This 178505-nucleotide long non-coding RNA is filed under the name Arabidopsis lyrata. Its description in RNAcentral is "long non-coding RNA (ALYR_LNC001147)". Lineage: Eukaryota; Viridiplantae; Streptophyta; Magnoliopsida; Brassicales; Brassicaceae. The record is from RNAcentral.
AGAGAAUGAGCCCCAACAUUGACAUCUCUUAUCAGACAUUUGUUUGUUAACUUUCUAUCCAAUAUAAGUAAGGCACUAGUUUGUUCGAUUCUUAUCCAAUGUCAAUUCUUUAAAUGUGCACAUUCUUACCACACUGCCACUUGUUGCAUAAUCUAUGACAUUGCAAGUAAUCAUGUAAGAAAUUUAGGACCGCAUACCCUUUUGCCAGGACCAGCUUUCUUGCCGUUGGGGUUGCCCAUACACAAGUCGUCAACAUUGAGCUCAUCUGGGUCAGGCGUUUGCUUCUCAACACUAGUAGAAAUGGCUUUAUACUCCACUGUAGCUUCCUCACUUAUCUUCUCUUUCUUCUUAGCAGAUUCAGAUGGGGCCAUGGAGCUUUCACUCCUGCAAUAAUACCAAAAGAAAAGAGCAUAGAAAUUUAUAAGAUGGGAAAGAAUUUGAAAGAACCAUUUACGUGUGAGCUAAUAAUUAAUAUCGAAUACCAAUAACAAAUGUACUAACUGAUAUAUCCCAAAUGACAUGACUACUUUUGAUUAUCCCAAAAAGAACAAAGUAGUUAAAUAAUAUUCAGUUUUAAGGCAAAGGAAUGGACUGAAGUCAAGUAGCCAAAGGAAACCUCAAGCUGACUUCUAUUCAUUGUUUUGAAAAGAGUAUGCCGGAGGAUCUUAUAUAUGAAGGAAUUUAGUUAAAACCAUUUCAAUAAGAAAAGCUAAAUUUUACAGUAAUAUUUGAAUUGUGGUUAUAGGAUACAAAAGUGACUGGAGAAGGAUAGAAAAGUUUGUCAGAAAAUAAAUUUACCUGCUUUUUGGAAUGGCUGCAUCCAUGGCAGAAGGAUCUUGGAGAGGAGGAAUAGGUUUACUGAAAUUGACGCGGCGGCGAAUGAGGCGUAUAGGUAUUUCCGGUUUGGCAGUCACCCAAACAGCUAAUUUGCGUCCUCGCAUGUAGCUCCCAUUAAGUUGAGUCACGGUAUCAGCUACGUCUUUUCCGUGAACAAUAGCUGUAACUGAGCUGAAAAAUUAUCAACAAAAUACACAAGUCUGUCGUCGUUAAAAAGUAAUUUUAAAUAAAUUGAAAGUUGGGAAACAUGUUAGAAAGAAGCCACAAACCUCUUCUUGAAAAAAGAGAGGCGUGUGAUAGUUCCAUAUGGAGAGAAAAGUUUAACCAAAGCCCUGGAGAUUUGACUCUUCCUAAGCGAAGUGUCAUAUCCUUCAACUAUUACAAUAACCCUACUGCAGUAAUAGGAUAUUGCCGAAGAUGAUAAACAUUAUUAUUAUCAACAAAUCUUAUUUUUUAAAGAAAUCAGUGUUUACUCGUUUGCGUUUGCCGGAUACGGAUAAGCCUCAACAGAGACAUUCCAUCCUCCCACGUUACUUCCAGUAAGUUGCAAGGCCUUCUCUACUGCGUCUUGUCCCCCCAGUAAACACAUAACACCAUGACUGAAAUAACAACAACAACAACAACAACAAGUGAGCUGAUAUUUAACUUGAGCUGAUGAAUUGGAAAGAAAUGGAGGAGGAAGAAGCCACCAAAACCUGUUGAGACUCGUCUUAGUCUCAUCAAAUUUUAAGGGAAUAUAAAUCUCCCAGAUCUCUCCACAUGAAGAGAAAUGUUCUGCCAACGCCGUGUAGACAUCAUCAAGAGGAAGACCAGUGUCAUAUCCCGUAACCUUAAUCCUCCCAACGUCACUGCAAUAAUAAUACUAUCAACGUGACAUCUGAAAACAUGCAUCAUCUUACACAUGCCAAUUUCUCAAUUUACCUCAGUUUUGGAAUGUUAUUCCGUUUCGGAACCUAAAAAGUACAAGAGAUCAAAUCAGAAACACUACUAACUAACUUGAAGUAAUUUUCUCACAAACUUGUGAAGAAACCAUCAAUUGAGAAACAAAGAUAAGAAACCAGAGUGUAUCAGAAAAGCCAUAAGAGUAGAGUAAGAAGAAGAUUACCAUGGUGGAUGAGUACAUGGCUAACCCUUUUACAGAUUUAUCAAUUUAGGUCUGGUAUUUAUAAUUGCUUUUUUCUUUUGGGCCUUGAAUUUAGUUCUGGCCUGGACUCUAAGGCCCAUAUGGUCCUUCGACGGACUUUUUACCAACACAUACAGAUACAGUAGUACCCUUUUCAUGUUUUCGUGUCUUAAAUUUUUUUUUUUCCUAUUAAGAAUCUUAUGAGUUUCUUGAAGCUCUCUGUUCCAAUGUCCCUCAGUCCUUUGUCCAACCCUCAGACAAACUUUUGAAAGAAAGAGUUAGUGGUGUUUUGCAGAAACGGCAAUACGUAUUUUGCCUUUCAUGUUAUGUAAAAUUAUCAUUACAUCAAAUGGUUCUAAACUUUUAAAAAUCACAAGAGAACCAACCCUCAGACGAAACUUUUAGUUUUUAUUUGUUUUUAUCAUUAACCUAAAUUAUAUGAGUUCGUAUAUAUAUUUAAAAAACGAACGAUUGGGCGUUGAAUAUAUAUAUAUAUAUAUAUAUAUAUAUAUAUAUAUAUAUAUAUAUAUAUAUAUAUAUAUAUAUAUAUAUUAAACUAAAAGUUAAUCUAACUAAAAGUUAAUCUAACUUCUUCAAUUGACUUCCUUUUUCUUCUUAGAAGAUUUGUCUGGUGUUUUGGAGCUUUCACUACUGUAAUAAUACCAAAAAAAAAAAAACUGAGAAAUUUAUAAGAUACGAAAAAGUUUGAAAGAACCAUUAUUGUAACACGCAUGAAGACAUCUUUACUUGUGAGAUAAUCAUAUAAAAUCUACUACUAAUAAAAGGAACUCAUAGCCUCUCAAACCAUCCACAUCAGUUUAGUUGAGAGUCUUUUUCGUGUUGCCAUGUCAGCAAAUUGAGCCACAUCAGCUUAUUUAAAGACUAUAUAUACAAACUUCCGCCACGUCAGCAAGCUUUAAUUGGAUUCAGUCUUAGGAAGGUCUCGAGGGAUUAGAGGACAGCUUUAUUUAACAUUAAGCAGCUCGACAUCAAAGACCAGCCAAGAGUAAGGAGGAAUGCUACCAGCACCUUCCGCACCAUAGCUGUAGGCCAGACAAUUUUAUCAUCUCUCAUUAAAAAAGCUUAAAAUAGAACAUCACAUUACCAAAGAAAGAUAGAUAAGAGAUGAUUUGCAAAGGCUUUACCCCAUUGCUGGAGGAAUUGUAAGCAUUCUUUUGCCACCAACACGCAUUCCUUUGAAAUUUACAAAAAGAGAUCAAAACAACACCAUUUGACCAUAUUUAGUGAAGAAAUACCAGUAAGAAACUAGCUAGGUUACCAUUGACGCCAACAUCCAAUCCCUUAAUGACUUUUCCAGCACCUGUAUGUGUAACAGCAAGCACAUAAGUAUCCAAGUACCACUCACACACUAAUAAAGCUCUUACUUUCGCAUCAAGUUAUAAUACCAACCUAGACGAAACUUAUAACGUGAUUUUCCAACGGUGGAAUCGAAAAUCUUCCCAUUCCCUUGAAGCUUUCCAGUAUAAUGGACACUUACCUGCACUCAGAGACAAUAGAUUGACCUCCAACAAAUAUUUGCACAAAAACUCCAACAGUUUAGGACUAAAUGUUCAUACCCUUUUGCCAGGCUCAGCUUUCUUGCCGUUGGGGUUUCCCAUGCAUAACUCUUUAACAAUGAGGCCAUCUAGGUCAGGCGUUUGCUUCUCAACACUACUAGAAAAGGCUUUACUCUCCACUGUAGCUUCCUCACUUAUCUUCUCAUUCUUCUUAGCAGAUUCAGAUGGGGCCAUGGAGGUUUCACUUCUGCAAUAAUACCAAAAAAAAAAGAGCAUAGAAAUUUAUAAGAUGGGAAAGAAUUUGAAAGAACCAUUUACUUAUGAGCUAAUAAUUAAUAUCGAAUACCAAUAACAAAUGUACUAACUGAUAUAUCCCAAAUGACAUGACUACAUUUGAUUAUCCCAAAAAGAACAAAGAAGUUAAAUAAUAUUCAGUUUUAAGGCAAAGUCAAGUAGCUAAAAAAACCUCAAGCGCUAAAUUUUACAGUAAUAUUUGAAUUGUGGUUAUAGGAUACAAAAGUGACUGGAGAAGGAUAGAAAAGUUUGUCAGAAAAUAAAUUUACCUGCUUUUUGGAAUGGCUGCAUCCAUGGCAGAAGGAUCUUGGAGAGGAGGAAUAGGUUUACUGAAAUUGACGCGGCGGCGAAUGAGGCGUAUAGGUAUUUCCGGUUUGGCAGUCACCCAAACAGCUAAUUUGCGUCCUCGCAUGUAGCUCCCAUUAAGUUGAGUCACGGUAUCAGCUACGUCUUUUCCGUGAACAGAAGCUCUAACUGAGCUGAAAAAUUAUCAACAAAAUUCACAAGUCUGUCGUCGUUAAAGAGUAAUUUUAAAUAAAUUGAAAGUUGGGUAACAUGGGAGAAAGAAGCCACAAACCUCUUCUUGAUAAAAUAGAGGCGUCUGAUAGUUCCAUAUGGAGAGAAAAGUUUAACCAAAGCCCUGGAGAUUUGACUCUUCCUAAGCGAAGUGUCAUAUCCUUCAACUAUUACAAUAACCCUACUGCAGUAAUAGGAUAUUGCCGAAGAUGAUAAACAUUAUUAUUAUCAACAAAUCUUAUUUUUUAAAGAAAUCAGUGUUUACUCGUUUGCGUUUGCCGGAUACGGAUAAGCCUCAACAGAGACAUUCCAUCCUCCCACGUUACUUCCAGUAAGUUGCAAGGCCUUAUCUACUGCGUCUUGUCCCCCCAGUAAACAAAUAACACCAUGACUGAAAUAACAACAACAACAACAACAACAAGUGAGCUGAUAUUUAACUUGAGCUGAUGAAUUGGAAAGAAAUGGAGGAGGAAGAAGCCACCAAAACCUGUUGAGACUCGUCUUAGUCUCAUCAAAUUUUAAGGGAACAUAAAUCUCCCAGAUCUCUCCACAUGAAGAGAAAUGUUCUGCCAACGCCGUGUAGACAUCAUCAAGAGGAAGACCAGUGUCAUAUCCCGUAACCUUGAUCCUCCCAACGUCACUGCAAUAAUAAUACUAUCAACGUGACAUCUGAAAACAUGCAUCAUCUUACACAUACCAAUUUCUCAAUUUACCUCAGUUUUGGAAUAUUAUUCCGUUUCGGAACCUAAAAAAGUACAAGAGAUCAAAUCAGAAACACUACUAACUAACUUGAAGUAAUUUUCUCACAAACUUGUGAAGAAACCAUCAAUUGAGAAACAAAGAUAAGAAACCAGAGUGAAUCAGAAAAGCCAUGAGUAAGAAGAAGAUUACCAUGGUGGAUGAGUACAUGGCUAAAAUUUGUUCGACAAGAGCGAGACUCGAUAACCGUUUUAGGGAUUUAGGUCUGAAGAGGGUAUUUAUAAUUGCUUUUUCUCUUUUGGGCCUUCCAAACAAUUUUGAUAACAAAAUAAUGUUUAAAUAUUAGAGAGACUCUUAAAAAAGGAGAGAGUUGAUCCAAAAACUCUUAGCUAAGAACCAUUUUUCUUAUUUUAAGCAUACUUUCUUAUUUUUUUAUUAUUAUUUUGUUUAAUAUAAUAUUUUGAUAGUUCUUGUGAUAUUUUUAAAAACCUAUUGAUAAAGAUGCUCUUAUGAGUUUUGUGAAGCUCCCUAAGACAAAAUUCCAAACCAAGUAAAAUAAAAAAAAACUUGUAAAUAAAAUCAAAUUUCGAAAUGUAAAAUUUGAUCUCGUAUGUGUUGUGUAAAAAAAGAGAAUCAAAUAAUUUUGCAGAAAGUAAAAGCCACUCAUCAAAAUCAUAAUGGUCAACAAGUGGCGCCAAAGUAGGCAUCGCUUGAAUCUAAUGAUCGAUUACUCUCAAUCUCAAAAAAAAAAAAAAAAAAAAAAGAUAACAACCGUUAAAUACAAAACUAUUCUCAAAAGUAAUAAUAUCUCCCUCUUCAUCAUCAUUGUGUUUCCCUCCCUAUUUUUGUUCCUCAUCUUCACCAUAUUGGUUUUUUGUGACAUCAAGACUGUGAAAUUUGAGAUUCAAGAUUUGUGUUUUUUUUUGUAGUGUUGAGGAAUGAGGAUGAGAGAAUAAGAUUCCAAUUGUAUUUAUAGUUUUGAUUUCCCCAAUUUACCUUGAUAGAUUUCGAAAUUUUUAUAGUUUUUCUGGCUUGAAAUAACGAGAGAAAUAAGAAAUUAUAUUGUAUCUUCUUAAUGUUUCACUUAAUUAAUUUAUUCUUUAUAUAAACUAAUAAAUACACUUUGAUAUGCUUACUUUUACUUAAUUUUUCGUUUAACUGCACCAAAUUAUGUGUUAUUUUUGGGAUUUCUGCUUUCUAAUAUACUACACUUUUGAUAUGAAACCUAUAUAUCCACCGCAAAUUCACUUUUUCUGUAGUGGACAUAACACGAAUUCACGAAGUAUUUUGUCGUUUGUUUGUUAAUUCAAAAGUAUCUCAUGCCACAUCUUCUUCACAAAUUAUGUGAUCACAAAGGUUAUUAUGGUCGCUUGGAAAAUGUUGCAAAUCUAAAAUAGCACAUUCACAAAACUCACGUUGCAAAACAUGAGCAAUCCAUAACAAGCUAUUCUUUAUAAUAUUCAUCAUCAUGUAAAAAUUGGGCUUAACUAACACAUCUCUAAAAAUUCAAGAAGAUGGUUUAGGCUUGCAAGAGCAUACUUGGAUAUCAAAGGACAAGUAGAGGACCACUGCUUGGUAACGUUUUGUCUGGUUACCAUCUUUAGGAUCAUUGGCUUCGAACGUGAUGUAGAGCGUGAUUGCAGCAGAUGGGUGAAAAUUUGCUCUCAAAACCUUGACAAGUUCCAAACUUGAAUCCUACAAUCAUGCAUCACCAUAACCAACACACUUAAUAUAUAUACGUUAAUUAAGAGAUUCAUCAGCAAACAAGAGCAAACGUCACACUACAAGAAAUAUCUACAUUAUUAGCAAGAGAGAAGAGCUAUUAUAUGUCAUCAAUAGCGUUUUCAUAAACGCUAUCUUAUGCCCCUGUUAUGGUAGACCCCCCAUAUACGAUGACGUUUUUAGCAUGCUAUGAUAGACCCUCAUAUACGAUAGCAUUUUCAUAUUAUAGCAUUAAUCGAAUGCUAUACUAUACUUUAUUUUAACACCCGUUUAAUGUUGUUUUAUAUAAUAUCAUAACAUUUUUUUGUUAUAUAAAUUUAAUUUAUUAUAUAGAAUAAAUUUUAUAUUGGAACCCAAUUUUGUAAAAUUUACUUUUUAUAAAUUUUAUAAAUCAUCAACAAGUAAUAUUACAUUAACCAAUUAGCCAAACAAGUCUUACAGAACAUCAACCAAGUCUUAUACUAACAUCAUAAGUCUUAAACAAUAAAACUAACAUCAUAAGGACAGAGACAAACUUCGAUCUCUUCAAUUUCUUCUCAUCUAUCUAUUUCGCCUCCUCAUCAAAAGUAGAACACAUAAAACUUCAAUUUGAACAAUUGUUCCUAUUAGUACUCCCUUCGAUAUGCUACAUGAAACAAAAGAACAAGGGGAUAGAAGACACCAUCUUAGAACUCUUAUUGACUAAGAUGAAAAAAAAAAUCGACACAUGGGAAUACAUCUACCAAACAUACACAUAUGUAUACUACGUACUUGGUUAGUUUGAACAUAAUCAUGAUAGCCUUAGAAUUAAGCUAAUAUGGAGUUUAAAACUUGAAGAAACGUCUUACCACUUAAGCUCCUGCAACCACAUGCAAGCUCCUUCUCCUAAACACCUUCCUUCUCAUUUUGUAUGAAGCAAACAAACUUAAUUGAACAAAACAAAGAUCUUUAGGAAAAUUAAACUCAAACUUAGAAAGUAAUAUAUCAAUCACAGACAUUGACACUUAAAGUCAUAGAAAGAACAUAUCUUACUUGUAGCAAAACCACUCUUUUCAGCUGCUCACUUUGCUAAGGGGUUAUAACAGCUUUGAAAUACAAAGAAAAAAAAAAUCAACCAUAAGCAGAGAGCUAAUAAAGAAAGAAAAUAAAGUUUGAAUUAUGCAAUAGUAAAGCUUAUACCUUUCAACGACAUUCACACUAAAAGUUAAUUCCUACAUUCUCAAUCUUGGCAGCUAAAGCAUUAAUGAAAUAAAACAAAUAAAGCCCCUUUAUAAAAUAAGCAUCACAUAACCAAAAUAGUAAUAGCUAUUUUCAGUUCCGCACCUGAGCUUCUGUAACUUCUUUUUCUACAUUGGCUGCAACCAUUAGUUCAUCAAACUUCUCUGACUUUGCAAGCGUAAUUUCAAUCUGUAAAACCAAGACCAAAUUAAUAAAUUGAGAAGAAGGUUGAUUUGCAUAUGAGAAGAGUAAGUAUCACCAACAAACAAUGUAUUCUGAGAAAAUUAGCUUAAUCAAGUCAAGAAUCAGAGAAUACUGAAAUAAAAAUACACAUUACAGUAUCAAUAGAAUAUAUACAGAAGAAUAAAAAAAGAGAGGUUAAGAUCAUACAUACCCAUUCCAAGGGCAGAGAGUUCGACAUCAUUGUUUGCUGCAUAUACCUCUUAACAAAUCCAAACAACAAAAACUCACUUACAUCAAAAACACAAGUAAUAACCACAAAAACCUAAUCCCUAAAAAAACCCAAACACGAGAAUAAGCUAAAAUACUCAUAGAGAAACAGAUUGGCUCUUCCUAAUUGAAACAGUACAAUCAUAUAGAAGUAUAUAUAGAUUUCCAGAAAAAAUUGAGCUUCUGGACUUGAUUCACACUAAUAUCCUCUCGACCCGAAAGAGUCAAGAACUUUCAAAGCAAUCGAAUUAAACUAUGUACCUUGGCGAGAUUGACGUAGAAGAACAAUCGUUUCUUGGUGUUUGAAAUCUGAAUACGACUUUUCUUCUGGGAAUCAACGGCCAAGUUCAUGUUGUUCACUCCAUUGGUGAUCUCUUCCAUGGUUGCUAAUUCGGAAUCCAUAACCCUAACUUUUUCCGAGUAAGGGGACAACGACUAAACGAAAUUAAUCGACGAGGAGAAUCAGCGACGACAUCGGCGGCUAGGGUUUUGGGAUGAGAGGAGACGAUUUUUCUCCAAAUGGUGAUGGCGACGAAUCACCUGAGACUAAAGGAAAAAUGAUAAAAAAAAAAAAAAAAAAAAAAAAAAAAAAGGAAUGGAGGCGAAAUGAGGCCGAAGAGUUUCGUGGAGUCUAUGAAGAGAUCUAGGUUUUUUUUUUUUGGUCGUACAAAGAAAGAUAAUUUUUUUGGCUUUGGUAUAUAUGAUGGCACAAAAAAUUUUAGAUCUGAGAUAUGCGGCUCUUAAGUGUAUUUUUUUUGUUUAAGUAUUGGCAGAAUAUGUUAUUUUAGCUUCCCGCUUAAUGAUUUUUUAUCUUAGUAUUAUUUCAAUGCUAUUAUAUAGUAAUCAAAAUAAAACAUUCAUCUUUUAUAGCAGUUACGGAAAAUGAGCUAUCUUCAUGUGCUAUCAAUGUGGAUAUUUCUUGUAGUGUCAAUUGAUUCAUCAGAUUACUAACCGUCUUUUCGUUGUAGAAGGAGAUAGCCAUGUUUGACAACCUGUUGAGCAAAUCUCUGUUGGUUUCAUGAGGCUCGCAGAGUCGUCGAGAUUCACAGCUCCGCAACCGAAUGUAAAACCACCAUAAAUCAAAAUUAAUGAAUCAAAAAUUCAAGAGGGAGAUUACAAACCCCGGUCUUGCCCCACUCUUCAUCUAACAGUCGAAAAUCAUCUGACAAAGUUUCCAAAUCAUCCGAAUCAUAAUUAGGGAACCGAGGUUCAUCGUUGGCUGGCUCCUCUAACUUCAGCUUCUUAGGGGAAGGAAGUUCCGAUCUCUCAUUCUCAAUCGGAGAUAACAUCGCUGAAACGAAAAGGAGAUGGAAACAAACCCUAACUUUAUGAAUUGGUUUUUUUUUUUUUUAUAUCGUUCCUUGUUCUUAAUUAUCUUAUAAAUCUACAUCAAAAUAAGGUCAUGUAAUAUAUUUUGUGAUAGAAAAACUCAACUCUAAAAUUUGUUCAAUUUCAACUUAACUUCUUACAUAAAUCGUUUAAUCAACCGACAAUUUGAGUAAUGGUCUCUAUCAUAUCUUAGCUACACUAGCUGCUUUAUGAACGCACGAGACACACAAUUUCUCACUGGAUCUUAUCUUUUACACAUCAACUCUCUCUUCGAGAAAACAAAAAUACGACAUAAAGACAUUUUCACUCGAAUGAAUUGUGUAAGUAUUUGAAGUUUUUUGUUUGAAAACAAUUAAACAGAUGCAAAAAUUUUGAAAACAAUUUUUAUCCAAAUGAGACAAAUGGCUAGAGAUAAUUGGUGGCCAUCACAACCGUAAUAGUGUGACAUAACAUCCAAAUUUAUCCAUUGCUACGUCGUAUCUAAUUUGUCGUUAAUAUGAAUAACUAAGUUCUCUCACUCAAUAUUCCUAUAAUAUUUGCAUACAAUUAGUGUAGACACUUGGAGAAAUGAGAGCGGCAGAUCAUACAACUAGUGUUUUAACAUACUUGCAAAAGAAAAAAGAAAAAAAGAAAAAAAAAAUACACAUAGUUGCACAAAACAUAAGUUGAUAACAAAAAAAAAAUCUGUAGCCAAGUCUGGUUAUAGUAUUAAUGGUAGUCAGACAUUGUUCGAGGAAUCAUUUACUAAUCUUCGAAUCUCAGACAUUGUUCAAACUCUUAUCAUCUCUAUAGUAAAUAAUCACUAUAAAGCAAGCGAAACUUAAUUAUAUUUAGCAACACAAACUUGGCAGAAUUCAAGAAGAGGGUUUAGGCUUGCAAGAACAUACUUCAAUAUCUCCAGGCAGGUAGCGAACCACUGCUCGAUAGGGCUUUGUCUGACGAUUAGCAUCAGACAGAUCAUUGACUUGGAAAGAGAUGUAGAGAGUAAUUCCAGCAGAUGGAUGAAAGUUUGCCCUCAAAACCUUGCCCAAUUCCAGACUAGUUCCCUACCACCAAAACAAAUCAAAUUUCGAACAUAGUCGUCAUAGAUUCAUGAAAAAAAUGUUUCCUUACAUUGUCUGCGUUGUGCUUGGUGAGAGCCUGAUUGGAUAACAUGGCGAUAAAAUCUCUGUUUGUUUCAGGCUCGUCAACCAUUGUGCUGUCGUCAAGAUCCAAUGCUUUCCAAUCGAAACAGAAGUUAAGUUUGGAGAAGUCGAUUUCAAAACCCUGCAUAUCUCUCGGGAGAAUCAGUUUUGAAUCAUGUAAAAGCAACAAAACCAAGAGAAACAGAAGAAAUUUCAAAACCUGGCUUUUAUCCCACUCAUCAUAGAACAAUUGAAUUUCCUCCGGUGUGCCGUCUUCGGAAUUAUCCGAAUCACUGUCAUCGCAGAUUCUCUCCUCCAUCUUCUGACGCUUCCUUCGGGGAAGUCAUCACUAGAACCCUAAUUUUCUUCAAGAUCAAGAUCGGAUAGCCACGUGGCACUCUUAUGACACAGAGUGUAUCAUAUUAUUCUGCAUAACUUUGUUUUGUUGACAAGUGUUUAACUAUUUUUUAAAAUCUAGCAUAAUCGGGGACAUUAUUCUAGUUUUCAAGUUAUUUAUAAAUUAUAACAAAAUGGCAAAGCCAACAAUCAUGUCACCAAGAGUACAACUAACGCAUUUUUUUCUAUCAUUCAAUUUUUUUUUUAUUUUUUUUAAAUGGCAUGGUUGGCAUGGUUGAAACUUUGUCCUUACAUAGUAUGGUUGCUGAUCUCGAGAUUGCAACUUCCUCGAGCAAUGAUAGUCAAGCUUUUGUUUUUUGGUAUUAAGAAUCUCAUUGCUAAUGGCCAACUAUUGUUUGAUUUUGCUUAAUUAAAUGGGCUUUGAAUUCAUAUCUUCUUCUUCUUGUUUACUUUUAUUUAUAACUAACAUCCUAUCAGUAUGUAUACGUAGGACGACAUGCCUCUAGCAGUUGCUCAUGCAUAUGUAAUUGACUCUUGAGUGUGACAAACUCAGUCAAAAGACCAAGACUCCUUUAUAUAUUCACAUUGAGAUCGAAUUUAUAUUUCAAAUAUAUAACUCAAGCUAGCUUUUAAUCAAAGACACCAUACGGGCAUUGGAAAAUUUCAUAAAUCAUAACAAGCUAUUCUUGAUCAAUAUUCAAAUUCUAUGUCAUCAUGUAAAUAUGGGCUUAACUAAUACAUAGAUGUGGAGAUAUAACAAACCUCUCAAAAGUUCAAGAAUUGGGUGGUUUAGGCUUGCAAGAGCGUAAUCUAAUAUCCCUGGCCAUGUUGUAUACCACUGCUCGAUAUGGUUUUGUCUGAUUAUUUAUCAGACGGAUCGUUGACUUCGAAUGAUAUGUAGAAAGUAAUUCCAGCAGAUUGAUGAAAGUUUACCCUCAAAACCUUGCUCAAUUCCAGAUUUGUUCCCUACCACCACACCAAAAAACAACAACACAAAAAAAAGCAAGCAAAUUUCGAAACAGAGUCAUAUGCACAUUCAUGACCAAAAGUAUUUCAACAAAACAAGCCCUAACAUUGUCCACGUUGUACUCGGUGAGAGCUCGAUUGGACAACAUGGCCAUAAAGUCUCUGUUAGUUUUGUUGCUUUUAUAAAGUCUCACUCAAGAACAAAACAGAGAAUGCAAAAACAGAGACUUGAAAACUCAUACCUUUCAUUGAAAUCAAAUGGCCAUUAAAUAGACCUUACAAGAAAAAGAAACUGCAGCUACGAAACUUAUGCCACUGAUCUAACUACCCGAGUCUUUCUCCGACAAAGGAGGAGACUUAUUCAAAAACAAGAAAACGUCAAACUAAAGACCAAGCCUAAGAAGCAGAAUUGAAAUCCACAGGCCCAAACGGAUUGGGCUCUUAUUCUUCAUUCCCUCCCGUAAACUGAAACACUUCUCUUCCUUUCAGUUUACUCUUCUCUGAUACUUACUCCCAUUCUUCCCCGGAGCUCUUCAAACACCUCUCGUUUCACAGCCUUGGUCAUUAUGUCUGCAACUUGAUCAUUGGUAGAACAGUAAUCAAGUCUAAUGGUUCCUUCUUUCACCUGUUCUCUGAGAAAAUGGUACCUCACAUGGAUGUGCUUGCUCCUUCCGUGCAGCACAGGAUUCUUUGACAAUUUUAUGGUGGAACUGUUGUCACAGAACACGAGUGUACCUUCUUCUUGUCUGCAACCAAUCUCCUCAAGAACAUUUCUGAGCCAGAUCGCUUGACACGCACCAAACGCAGCUGAUACAAACUCAGCCUCCGUAGUUGAUAAUGUUACGAUUGGUUGUUUCUUAGAUGCCCAAGCAAUUGCUCCUCCUCCUAACAUGAACACAAAACCAGAAGUGCUUUUCCUGUCAUCAACAUCACCGGCAUAGUCACUAUCAACAAACCCAAUUAACUCUGUAGCACCUCCACGUUUGUACUGAAUCCCGAGAUCUUGCGUCCCCUGAACAUAUCUCAAAAUUCUCUUUGCCGCAAGCAAGUGCUGCUCAGUUGGACUUUCCAUGUACCUACUAACUAGAUUUACAGAGUAAAUUAGAUCUGGUCGUGUGGUCGUUAGGUACCUCAAGCUUCCAAUAAGCUGCUUGAACUCGGUUGAAUCAACCGGAUCACCCGCUCCCGCCUUUGUCAACUUCUGCCCAGGCACAAUCGGAUUCUUGACUGAGUUACUUCUCUCCAUUCCAUACUUCUCAAUGAUUUCUGCAGCAUAUUUUUUUUGGUUGAUGAAAAUACCUCUUUCAUCUUGUAUGACUUCAACUCCCAAGAAGUACUUCAUUCUUCCCAAAUCAGUCAUUGAGAAUUCCUCCAUCAUCGAUUUUUUGAAUCCCUCAAUCAUAUCCAGCGAGCUUCCUGUGUAAAUAAGAUCAUCCACAUAGACACUUACUAUCAAAACGUCACUUCCCUCCUUCUUCACGAACAGUGUGUGUUCACAGUAGCAUUUUCCGAACCCUUCUCUAACAAAGUAACCUUCUAUACGGCUAUACCAAGCUCUCGGAGCCUGUUUCAGUCCGUAUAAUGCCUUCUUCAGUUUGAACACCUUGCUGGAUUCUUCUUCUACUUCGAAUCCCUUAGGCUGCUCAACAAAUACAUCUUCCUCCAAGUCACCAUGUAAGAAGGCACUUUUUACAUCAAGUUGAAAGACCACCCAUUCCUUUUCUGCGGCUAAGGCGAGAAUCAUCCUGAUUGUAUCCCACUUAGCUACUGGAGCAAAUACCUCAUGGAAGUCAACUCCAUAUCUCUGAUGAUAGCCCUUUGCGACUAGUCUUGCCUUAAACUUAUCGAUCUCUCCUUUCUCAUUGAACUUUGUCUUGAAAAUCCACUUUAGCCCAAUCACCUUUGCUCCUUCAGGUAAUUCCACUAACUCCCAUGUGUUGUUCUCUUUUAUGGAUGUUAUCUCAGCUUCCAUAGCUUUUUUCCACACUUCCAAUUUCACUGCGUCUUCAAAGCAUUCAGGAUCAUCUGAUCCAACAAACAACGCAAGCAUCUCAUCUUCUUCUUCUUCUGCUAUGAGUAUCCUUGCGUUUCGGAUGACAUAAUCUUUCAUCCAAACCGGUUGUUGUCUUUGUCUACCACCUCCUGUUCCAACUGCUUGAGGAAUCUGAUGAGCUACUUCUUCCACCGUUUCUUCUUCUUCUGGUUCCUCAUGUUCUGGUUGCUCGAUGUGAUCGAUUUCUGGAUUCCUUUCACCUGCAGGUUCAUGAUCAGAAUCAUCACAAACGAGCUCUUGUUCCAGCGAUUUAUCUUCCCAUUCCCAGCCUUUGCUUUCAUCAAAGUGAACAUCUCGACUGAUUAUGAUUUUUCCUGUUGCUGGGUUAUAGAGACGAUAGGCUUUAGACUCUUUGCUUACACCGAACACCACACACUUGAUGCUUCUCUCAUCGAGUUUGGUUCUUUUCUGGUACGGAACUAGUGCGUAAGCUACACUACCAAAAAUUCUCAAGUGCUCAACUGAUGGUUUCCAAUUACUCCACUUCUCUUCUGGAGUUAUGUCAUUCAAGGCCUUCGAUGGACUCCUAUUUAGUAUGUAUACAGCAUACUGAACAGCUUCGGGCCAGAAUUUUCUUGGUACAGACUUUUCCAUCAGCAUACACCGUGUCAUGUUCAUCACGCUCCGAUUCUUUCUCUCUGCGACUCCGUUUUGUUGGGGCGUAUAGGCUGCUGUGAGUUGUCUUUUGAUCCCAAAUUCUUUGCAGUACUCUUCAAACUCUCUUGAGUUGUAUUCUCCUCCUCUAUCUGACCGCAAACAAACUAACUUUUGCCCAGAUUCUCUUUCGGUUUCAGCCUUGAACUCCUUAAAGAACUGAAAUGUUUCUGAUUUUUCCGACAACAGAUACGUCCAACACUUCCGGCUAAAAUCAUCUAUGAAAUUGAGGAUGUACCUUUUUCCGCUGACAGAUAUAGGGUUUAUCGGUCCACAUAUGUCCGUGUGAACAAGCUGCAGCACUUGAGUUGAUUUCCACGCACUCUCCUUUGGAAUUGAAUCUCGGAUCUGUUUUCCCUUCAAGCAAAUAUCGCAAUUUGUAUCUUCUUCUCCAUGAGUAAACUUUGGUAAACCAUUUACCAUUUCUUUUUCAGCUAACGUUCUCAAACCUUGAUAGUUGAGAUGUCCAAAUCUCUUGUGCCACACGUUGUCUGGUUUUUUUUCACUUGCUUGGAGACACCUCUGUUCCCCAGUCUCUCUAGCCUCCUUGACGACUGCAAAGAUCACAAACAUACGAUUCUUUGUCAUUGUUGAAUGCAUCACCAUCUUCUUCUCCAGCUUGUGCCACACCUCACACUCAUCACCCUCAAUGAUGAAUCUUAACCCUUUUUGUUGCAGCUGACCCACACUAAAGAGGUUAUUCUUCAAUCCCGGUACGUAAUACACAUCUGAGAUCACUUGAGUCCUUCCAUCAAUUUCUAAUCGCAGUUUCCCGAUUCCUUCUACAACCAUUCUUCGAUCAUCUCCCAGCUUCACAUUCUGCUUAAAGCCACAAUCCAACUCAACAAACCACUCUUUCGUACCACACAUGUGGUUGCUGCAUCCAGAAUCAAGAAACCAGACAUGUUUCUCCUCUUUACUGAUCUGUUCUACAUGUGCCAUGAGAAGUAGAUCUUCCUCCAUCUCCACAUAAUUCGCCUCUUUCUCCCAGCUUGGACAUUCUGCCUUGUAAUGUCCCAUCUUGUGGCAUUUGAAACACUCCACCGUGUCUCUAUUCACAUAGCCACGUCCUCUUCCAUGGUAGCCUCCUCUUCCUCUUCCUUGGGUUGGACUUCCUCUACCUCUUCCUCCAUCCGGUCUCCAUUGUGUCUCAGCUUUCAAAACCCUCUCUUCCACAUCGUGCCUCUUUAGGUUCUGCUCAUGUACCAUAAGAGAGCUUUGCAGCCCGUCCACUGUCAUCUCCUUGAUGUCGUUGGACUCUUCAAUGGCACACACAACGUACGUGAACUUCUCGACCAAUGUUCUGAGAAUCUUCUCCACCACCUUAGAAUCCGGCAUAUCUUCUCCUAAAUUUCGCAUAUCGUUAGUGACUUCCAUCACUCUGGAGAAAUAGCCCGUGAUUGUCUCUCCCACCUUCAUCUCAAGAACUUCGAAGCUCCUACGUAAUCUCUGAAGCUGUGCACUUUGUACCCGAUCAUUACCUUGAUACUUCCUCUUCAUGGACUCCCACAAGUCCUUCGACGUCUCUUUCUGCAGGAUCGUCUUGAGGAUUGUCUUAUCUAUCGAUGCAAACAGAUAGUUCUUCACUUUGUGGUCCUUCACCGUCUUCUCCGCCAGCUCUGUCCUCUGCGCUCCGGUGAGGAUCACGUUUCUCUCCGUCCUUGGAAUUCCCGUCUCGAUUACAUCCCACCACUCCUUUGACCUUAUCAGAUUCUCCAUGAGCAUUGCCCAAUGCUCAUAGUCACCAUCGAAUUUGGGUAUGAUAGCAGACUCUUUAUCACUCAUAGCGUUUCUCUCUUGUACCAAGCUCGUGACAAGCUCUGAUACCACUUGUUGCUUUUAUAAAGUCUCACUCAAGAACAAAACAGAGAAUGCAAAAACAGAGACUUGAAAACUCAUACCUUUCAUUGAAAUCAAAUGGCCAUUAAAUAGACCUUACAAGAAAAAGAAACUGCAGCUACGAAACUUAUGCCACUGAUCUAACUACCCGAGUCUUUCUCCGACAAAGGAGGAGACUUAUUCAAAAACAAGAAAACGUCAAACUAAAGACCAAGCCUAAGAAGCAGAAUUGAAAUCCACAGGCCCAAACGGAUUGGGCUCUUAUUCUUCAAGUUUGAGGCUCGUCAACCAUUGUUCUAUCGUCCAGAUCCAAUGAUUGCCAAUCAAAACAGUAGGGAAAUUUCGAGAACUCGGUUUCAAAACCCUGCGAAAAAUCACUUCCGGAUAAUCAAUUUCUUGAAAUAAAAUCAUCAAACUAUUGAGAAUAGAAAAUAAUUCGAAAUCCCUAACCCCGCCAUUCCUCAACUCUUGGUUGUCUCCUCCACCUUCUGACGUUCCGGGGAAGUUAGAUCGGUGAUGGCAUCACUCAAAUCACAGAUACGAGAUAUGUCCAAGGAACCCUAACUUUCUUCCCGAUUCUUAGGAGGGGUUAUUGGUUCAUAGAUUUAUAUGGAAUUAGAAAUCCAAACAAAAAUCAUUUGUUAUUCAAUCAUUGAUUUUAAAAUCCUAAUUAAAUUCAUGUGUUAUUGGUUCUAUGAUUUAUAAAUACUAGUUAAAAUCUUAUGUUAUUCGUUUAGUCAUUUGUUUUUGGAUUUGAGAAUCCAAAUUAUGUUUUAAAUGGAAUUGAAUGGAAUUGAAAGAGAAAAAUAGAAGGAUUCAAAUCCAUGGGUAAACACAUGUUAUUUCAAAAUCCAUAUAUCUUGAUUUCAUAAUUAAUAGAAAUUUUCAAAUUCUAUAUGGAUUUACAAAUUAACAAACUAAUAACACCCCCUUAGCUUGUGUUUGGCCAAUCUGAUUUUAACCACGAGAGUAAAAAAUAACAUUAGCCACGUGACACUCUCUCAUAACUAGUGAUGUUAAAGGUCAAAAAUAACCUUAGAAAAAAGGUAAAUUUUGAUCAGUUAACGAUUUUUUUUUCAGUUUACAAAUUCUGUCAAAAUUGAUUUGAUUUUUUAACAAUUGACAAUUUUGAAAAUUUUAUAUACGAAUAUGCGGGCCACCAUAAAACCAAGAGAUGUAGGGGGUGUUAUUGGUUUGGGAUUUAGAAAGACUUUUAAUGAGUUUAAAAGUUAUGUAGAAUAUGUUGUUAUUCAAUCAAAACUUUUAAAAACUCUAUUACAAUUUGGUGUUAUUGGUUUGAGAUUUAUAAAAAGUAAUCUAAAAUCUUUAUAAAUCUAGUGUUAUUGGAUUAAGAGUUUUAUAGAGUCAUUAAAAGUUUUGUGUUAUUCAAUUAAAACAAAAGAAUCUUGGAUUGUUGAUAAAUUAAAAUAUUAUGUUAUUGGUUUAGGAUUUUAUAUAAUUUUCUUCAUAAAAAAAUCAUGAAAACUCCCCCAUAAAAUAGAGAGAUUGUGAAUAGAGUCCAUGACUUUGUAUGUGUCAGCAAUCUGACACCGGAAUCGUCUCCGUCGCUGCUUCUCCUGUUCUCCAGCAAUUUCAAGUUCCAAAAUUGGGGAAUGGAGGAGACAAAGACAUCUGUUUAUGAGAUGAUAUGAUCUUUUUGUGUUUUUUGUCUUUGUCUUUGUCUUGGUCAUCUAUUUGUAGAUGACAAAGACAAAGACAAAAAACAAGAAAACCAAAAAAGAGGAAGAAGGAUAACAGAACAGACGUGUUCUGGUUCAAAGACUGAAAGGGUUAUCAAAACAACCCAGAAAAAUAUGAAACUUUGUUGAAAAAUAGUAGAGAGAUAUACGAAGCUACAGGAAAAAGCGGAACGUGAUUUGCUGUCACGGUCUGAAAGUUAUGACCAAUCUACCAAGACCGAAGAACAGAGCGACGAAGCUGAAGUGCACCAACUUCAAACUUUUUCUCAAGUCGACUCACAAGGAAUCAGAAGCUCAUCUUUAUACGGUUGGAAAUAUCUUGAUCUCAAGAUUUCAGAACAACUUUUAGAUCUCCAAACCGAGGUCUGAAUCAGAAGAUAUCAAAGGAAGAAGAUGAAGCAAAAACAAGACUAUCAAGACUCAAAACCGCAAAAUCGAAGAACCAAAUUAGUACAACUCUCUGGUAAAUAAAAACCAGCUCACGAUUCAAAAGUAUAUAGCAAGCUUCGUCACAAACAAUGAAACCAAACAAACCAAAGAUAGCAAGCUUCGUCACAAACAAUGAAACCAAACAAACUAAGAUCUUUGUCACCCCUUAAUCCAACACAGGCAAAGAAGAGAAAAAUAUUUGAAAAUAAAAACUUCAUGAUCUUCAUGGUAUGCUCCCUGUUCCUGUAGCUUCUGCCCACAUACUAGCAGCUAUUGUGUCUCUCCAAUUAUUAGCAUAUUCCCUUUGUUGAGAUUGGAGAGGUCCCGUAUCUCCAUUUUCCUCAUAAUUGUUUUCUUCGUGGCUCUCAUUGUUUUCUUCGUCGUUGUCACUGUAUUUUUCAGGAAGAAACUCAUCGGACCGACAUUCUCUACGAAGAAAGUUAUGUAAUCCAGCACAAGCUAAUACAAGUUCUGCUUGUACCUUAAGAGGAAAAGGCGGUGCUGAUUUGAAAAUCAAAAAGCGAGAUUUGAAGAUACCAAAAAUUCUAUCGAUCACAUUUCUCAAAGAUGCAUGACGCAAGUUGAAUAACUCAUUUUGAUUACUAGGAUCACAACCUUGACCUCUAAAGUCUUGUAGAUGAUACUUUGUACCUCUGAACGGAGCUAAAAAAUUGCGUCGAUUUGCAAAUCCACAAUCAACUAGAUAAUAUUUUCCUGAAAUUCAUAUAUGAUAGCAAUGAUAUUAAUAGUCAUAUUAACAAAAGAGAGGUAACAAUUUUCUGUGUAAUGCAUAAGUAUAUACCUUCAGGAACAGGUAGCUUGCUCUUACUUCUCUUUAAAGCAUCGCUUAAUACUUUUGAAUCGUGAGCUGUACCUUCCCACCCACUAAGGACAUAUAUGAACUCUAGAUCAAAGUUACAAGCAGCAAGAACAUUUUGUGAUGUAUAUCCUUUCCGAUUACGAUAGCUUGGUGCAUUAGAAGCGGGCACCAUUGCAUGAAUGUGUGUGCCGUCGAUAGCUCCAACACAGUCCUGUAAAAAUAAUGAAUAUUUUAAAUUGUGUUGAAGCGUACUUUAAAUUAUAGUUUGCAAUAAACAUACCUUGAAAUAAGGAUAAUAACGUGUGCUUUCUCUUAUUUUUGCUGGAACUGUGAGUCCAUGUUUGGCCAUAAGACUUGGUGCAAUAGUGGUUAAUGCAUUUAAAACCUUGUGAAAAUUUGUGCUUGCAGCAAACUUUGAUCUCUCAAAUGUGUCCAUUGUAUAAUUAUAUCUCGAAUUUUGACCAAUGGUGAGCAAAAAUGUAGCCACCAUUUCUUCAAGACAAGUCUGGCGGGUACCUCUUAAAGAUGUUUUUUCUUUGAUAAUAUCACAUAACUUCAAAAAAACGUCAGGAUACAUACGGUAUACCUUUCGAAAGCGGUCAUGAUCUUUCUUCAAAAGUUUCUCGAGGUAAAUGUAGCCAAUUCUUGUGAUAGGCUUACGAAUCGGACGCUCAAUACGUUUAUUCGUGAAGUAAGCUCUCGUCGUAUUUUUCAGUAGUAAUAGCAAAAUAUCCAUUUCUGAUUCGUCAUCUUCAUCCUCUCUUACAAUGGUGCUCUCCAUAAUUCCCUGCAAAGAGUAAUUAAAAAUCAGCUUAAAAUUAUAAACAUGAACACUAACGUAUACACAAACAAAUAAAGGAAUAUUUGACGUGUUUAUGUUUGACAAACGUUCACCCUACGUGAUCAUGAUAAGCAAAUCAAACGUAUCAAAAAAAAAAGACCAUUGACUUGUCACAAAACCAAACGUAUCACAGCAUAAGCAAAUCUCCGCAUGUAUAUAUUAUUAAACCAAACGUAUCACAUCACUUGACUUUUGCAAAUUUUAUUGAUUUUGGUGCUAGAGAAUCAAAAGAUCCAAACACAAUGAAAACAAUUAAAUAUUAUAUGAACAUACAAGAAUCUAACGAUCGACACACGAAAUUCAUAAGCGAGUAUUAUGAUAGAAGAAGCGUACCUCUGUAACUCUGAUAAACAACCUAGUAUAUAGAAGAAAACCAGGCCUACACAGAACAUGUUAUAUAGAAGAUAGAAGAUGGUCACUAGACGUUAAUAAAAAUUGGACAAGAUUUUGGAAAUAUUUUGUAGGAAAAGUUUGGAAAAGUCAUCAAGAGUAUACAAGAUUAUGGAAAAAAGUUUUAAAGACUUUACAAGAUUUUGGAAAAUAAAUCAUCAAGAUAAUAUAAAACUUUUUAACAAUCUUUUAAAAUCCUUUAUUAUCAAGUCACUAAAAGUCUUUCUAAAUCCCAAACCAAUAACACCCCCGUAAAUAGGCAGAAUUUUAGACGGACUAUAGAGAAUAAACAGAUAUAAACAUAGAACAUCCCCUAUAUAUUAAUAGAGAAACAUUUUUUAAAAAAAAUCUUACCAUCAUGUGUUAUUAACAAGAUUGUGCUAAUGUGUCGUUCUUACAAUGAUUUGGCUUCUAUUUAGAUAAUUACCCAAGAUUUAUUAGACUAUUUACAGAAUUUGCCAUUAGUCUCGUAUAUCCAUAUAUCCCACUUAUCAAAAACAAAUUUCUAAUUAAAAAUUAAAAAAAAAAAACACAAUGUAUACGAGACAAACUUUAUUAUUUCUAUAUUAGCAAACACAUAACAAAUGUUACAUUUUUUCUAUAUAUGCAUAACAAAUAACAAAUCUGUAUUAUCUAAUAUUAAAAUUUAAGACAUGCUACGUCCAAACUUAAACUUAAAAUCAAACAGACAUUUUCUAUUUCAUAAAUCGAGCAAACUAAUGGUCUAUAUAUUACUAGAUUAGUUACAAAUGUGCCAUGAUAUUCUAAUUAUUUCGUUAAUUAACAUUAAACAUCAGUAAUACAAACAUCAUAUCUCUAUCUAUACAUAAAGAAUUCGUGUAUAUGUAUAUAUAUUAAAUUGAUCUAAGGUCUAUAUUUUUAAAUCCAGACUAACAUAUAUAUAUAUAUAUAUAUAUAGAUAUAUUUAACAACUCAAACAUGUAAACCUAUAAUUCAUGUAAAUUAAUAUAUUUGAAUAUAUUUUUAUAACUUUUGUAAGUACAAAUUUUCCUAGGUUCAUAAAUCCAAACUACAUUUAUAAAAUUAAUUCUCAAAACUAAAUCUAUCAUAAAAUCAACAAUAAAUUAAUAUUUCAAAUUUUGAAGGCAAUCCAAAUUUCAAAAAUUAAACGGAACCCUACAAAAAUAUUUCUCUAUAAAUAUAUUCCCUGAUAUCAUCUUCAUCCUCUCAAAUUUACCAAACACACAUCUUCUUAGUUUUUGAGCAAUCUAAAUUUUGUAAAUCUUCAUCAACUCUUUUACAAAGAUGUAUAUGUGUUUGUUAUUUAAGUUACGUUAGAAAAUAAAUUGUCGUCUUUAAUUAUUUUACGGGUAAAACGAAUUCCGAUACGAAAAAUCGAUGAUUGGAAUAUAAAACGUUUUUUUAACAUGUUUCAUAAUACACUAACAAAUUUUGGAUUCCGGAUAAUAAUACAAUAAUUUUUAUAACUAAAACUACAAUGCAGUUCUUUAAUUGUCAUUUCAUCCCGCACAUAGUGCGGGUAAUUUAUCUAGUUGGUCGUUAAACGGGCAUGGCAUGGUCUAAAUGGCACGUAAAACUUUUUAUACAAUAAUUAUUUUAACUUUUUCAGUAAAGCUAAGAAUCUUACAUGAUGUUCACAUAAGAGAGACAUCAAAUUAAAAUUUAUCCUUGCGGCCCUUCUUCUCUUCUUUAUCUAUUAUUGAUUGAUCCUAAAAUUUCUUUUCAGUAAAAGUUUACCGAAAAUCUUGGAAGUUAUUAGAGGACAAAAAAAAUUUGUUAGAGAGAGACAAAACAAGACUGCAUGCAGAAGGAUUGGUUUGCAUUGGAUUAUUAAGGAAAAAAAAAUACAAGAAGAAACAAGAAAAGAAAAAAAAAAAAAAAGAAUCAAGAAGAUACAGAAAUCCCCAAAACCCAUCUUUAAUUUGGCUGAUACCAAACAAAAAAAACCUUGGGAAUUUCUGAAACUCGGUUAAAAAAUUUAGAAUCUUUGAAGAAUCUUUUUGUAAAGACAGGCUUCAUGUAUGGGUUUUUGAGGCAAGGAGCAAACAGAAAAUGCAGAGGGAGAGAAUGAGCAAGAAGAAGAUUAGUCAGGUUCAUUGCAUUCCCUCUGGUGAUCAUAUUCUCAUGACGGCUUCUUCUUCUAAACACAUCUCUCAUAUCCGAUUCUACAAAGCCUGGAAGGGUAACAACGUAAUAUUAUUUUCUUCCUUCCUUCUCUGAAACACAUUUCUCAAUGAUUGCAUGAAAUUGUCUCUUAAUGCCAAUAUUACAUGUUUUCUUUGCUGUUCCACCAGAAUGUGAAUAUUAUAUGAUGUUUGGUUUUGGUUUUGUUUCAUCAGAGAUUUUGCUGUGGUGGUAGACUAAUCUUUGGUCCUGAUGUAUCAUCUCUGUUCCUAACCUCCUUCUUGAUUGGUGCCCCUGCGCUUACAUUCUGUAUAAGGAUGCUCUUGUGGAUCAAAAAUGGAGAUCCUUUCUUCAACUAUACCGUUCUAGCUUCAGGAUUUAUCCUCACCAUCUUGGAUUUUACGUUUCUAUUGUUGACAUCAGCUAGGGAUCCAGGAAUCAUCCCAAGGAAUAAAACAUCAAUGAAUCUUGAAGAUGAUUCAGAUAGUUCCUUAACACAAUCUAUGGAAUGGGUCAACAACAAAACUCCUAAUCUCAAGAUUCCAAGAACGAAAGACGUUUUCGUCAAUGGUUACACUAUCAAAGUCAAGUUCUGCGAUACUUGCUUGCUCUAUCGUCCACCUCGUGCAUCACAUUGCUCCAUCUGCAACAACUGUGUCCAACGCUUUGAUCACCAUUGUCCAUGGGUUGGACAAUGCAUUGCCAGAGUAAGUUCUUCCUCACAGACUUGAACCUCAAGUCUUUAACUGAUACUCCAUAGAUUUGUACACUUCUUUGUUCGGAGAGUAGUUGAUUCUUGGUGUGAAACUUUUGCAGAGAAACUACCCGUUCUUCAUUUGCUUCAUCUCAUCUUCAACAUUGCUAUGCAUAUAUGUCUUUGUGUUCUCCUGGAUCAAUCUGAUUCGACAACCUGGGAAGCUAUGGAGAACAAUGUCUUAUGAUAUAGUGUCAGUCAUUCUUAUCGUAUAUUCAUUCGUCGCUGUCUGGUUCGUUGGUGGACUUACCAUUUUCCACUUCUAUCUCAUGUCUACAAACCAGGUACAUUCCUUACCUUUAUCAUAGGAUCACACCUAAAUCUUGUUAGCUUGCUUUAGCCUUGAGAGCUUUCUUGUGUUGUGUCUGUUUUGCAGACAACAUAUGAGAAUUUCCGGUACCGUUACGAUAAGAAAGAAAAUCCUUACAAGAGAGGGUUACUGAAGAAUGUUAAAGAAGUAUUAUUUGCCAAGAUCCCGCCUUCGCAACUAGAUCUCAGAGCGAUGGUCCCGGAAGAAGAUGACAUGACUAUAGCAUCUAACGGAUCCGAGUAUGAGUCAGAGUAUAGCUCCUCCGUGAGAUACGAUACAGAAAUGGGAGGCAAGCUCACUAAAAGGGAGAGUCCGAGGAAGCUUCCUUUGCCAACACGAAACUUAGAUGAUAUCAAGGAAAUUAGUGAUAACUACGACAGAUCUACGACAACUAGAGAUGAUGCUUCUGAGCGCGAUCCUUCGUUCUUCUCAUCUCAACUAGACUUGCCCAAGUAACUGCAAUGAACAAUCUCUCACUGUUGUAUCAUCUUUGUCUAUAUUCUUUCGAACAUUCUGAUGAAAUAUAGCAAGAAUUACAGACGACUGGUUCCAGAUGUUGAUGUGUCUUUUGUCUUAUCAAAGAUUACUCAGCAAAACCAGAUGUAGAUUAGAACACCAAAAUGUUUAACAUUCGGCUUCAUUGGCAAACAUUAUUAUUUCCCAGAAUGAGAAAUCCUCAAACAACAGAUCUCUUACAAGUAAAAAGGAAACAACAGUUUAGGUUCGAAGAGCGUAAGACAUCUGAGUGAUAGCAUCAUCAUAGUCUCUUCAAGCUUUUCUUUCUAGCGUCUACCUUCUUCUUAUCUGCCUGAACCUUGGCCAAACCUGCCUCCCUUUUCUGAGUCGUAGUGACCACACUUGCAGAUCCUGCUGUGGCUGCUACAACGACAUUAGCCAUGUGCUGUUGGUCUUGGGCACUCGUUGUUACUCUCUUUAUGUCUGUCACUGAAGAGGGUAUUGCAGUAGCAGCACUAGGCGUCUCGUUGUUUGUCUGGCCAACAUUUAGAGCGGUUGUUGACUCUGAGAUUGCUCCUGUCUUGAACUUCGGUUUUGGUUUAGCAUGGAUACCUGUGUAAAGCCUGCAUACAGUAAUAGUCCAGUAUAUAAGCAUUUCAUCUUUCGGCAAAGAAAAAGUAGAAGGUUUGACAACAUUUGAAACCAAAGUAGAUGGCUCACCUAGCAUGCCUCGCAUACUCGUCAUAGUUUUCAAGUAGCAUCUUGCCAGCUUGUUCAUUUAAUGCAGAUUCUGGAAAUGGCUCGAUUAAUAAGCACCUUACAACCUGUUAACAUGUACAAAACACAGAUCCUCAGUCUUCAGUUUUAAGAAACCGGUCAAAGAGAUGAAUACAUAAGGGGUUAAUCAUCUUACAGAGAGAACAUGUCUUAAUCCAAGACUAGGGUUCCAAUCCUUUUUAAGCGUGUUAACACAUAUCUCUCCAUUAGAAGCAACAUUAGGAUGGAAAAUCUUUGUCAUGAAGUAGCCUGCAAUGUCACUCAAGAAAUUAGAAACCAUUAAUAAAAAUUCUCUGUGUCUCUGCCUUAAAGUGACAUGCAUACCUUUAGGCGGUGAAUGUGGAAAAUCAUGUGACAAAGCCAAUUUCAUACGGAAAACUCCGUUCUCAUAAGGAGUACCAACUGAAUGCAAUCAAAGUAGAAGAACAUCUUACUUUACAUCAUUCAACAUUUAUAAUCUUGCACGAGAAUGAAAUAGAUAGGGUAAUAAGUGUGCACCUGGUCCUUCAAUAUCAGCACAUAUUUGUGAGAAAUCCUCGUCAUUUACCACAACCUUGAUGCCAUCUGGAGGAGAUUCGUCUAGACUCUUCAGCUCCUUGGCAAGCUGCUUGAUAACAUUGGGUGGUAGAUUCUCAUUACUAGCCUGAGCAUCAAAGAAGACAAAUCAGAACAGAUACAACUUCAUAGGCUUUUCAUAAGUUUCCAAGUAAGAACAAUUCUAAGCAAUGAAUACAGAGGGAGAGAUAGUUACCAUGGAGAAUUAUAAACGCUAAAGGACCUUCCCCAGAAGUUCUUGUCCUCAGACUCAGAUAAACAGGCAGAAGCACCAAUGUGAUAAAAUCCUUUACUGGUCUUCAAGACUCAAUUGCGAUAAAACUGUACCAAAGCCAUAAAAGGUUAAUGCGUUGAUUCGUCAACAGAAAUGACUAAACUAAGUGGUCUAAGCUACAAUAUCCAUUCACAGCAUUAAUGUUUCAUCAGCAUUUAUCCGAUUCCACACCACAAUGAACUAUUAAAAGUAAGGCAAUUGAGCAAAAUCGAUGAACAAAAAUCUAAACUUGAAACUCUUGGAGAAGAGUGAAGACACGAAUUAACUAAGAGUAAAGCAAAAUAACUGAAUCAGACCCUGAUAAGAACGAAACGCAUCCAAGACACAAGAACAAAGCCAACCAAUUGAUGAAUCAAAGAAAACCCUAAAUUGAAACAAUUUGGGAUCUCGUGCAAUCGACGAAGGGCUUCAAAGAAUAACUCAAAAUACCUAAUUGGGGUUAAUAUAUAAACGAAAAAUCGAAGAAAUCUUAGAGAGAACACAGAGAAAGCAAAGAAUCACAUCCCAAGUCGAUCAUUUCAAGAAAGAAGAAAAAGAAUGAUUUUUUCAUCAGAAAUCGCAACGUACCUUCUUGCCCAAAAUUGAAAAUACGCAGAGAGUGAGAAAAGGCGAUCCCUUUCUCUCUACCUCUCUCGAAGUAAUGAUUCAACUUGAAAUCGGAGAAGAAGAAAGAGAGAGGUUCAAUUAUUGAAAUUUUAUAAGAGAAAUAGAGACAAAAUGUUUAAUUUAAUUUAAUAAAAGGAGCGUAUCAAAAAACGGAAAAAGAAAAAAAGUUGAGGGUAUUUUUGUAAUUUACGUGCCAGGCUGGAAUUGACCGUUAGCAUGUCUUCUUCUUUUUCACCCGCUAACUACUAAAGUAGCCGUUACUUGUGUCAGGUGUUGUUCUUUAAUUUUACUGAUUUUGUUUCUGAUCAUCAAGCUUCAAAUUUAUUAUUUACUAGUAUUAAUCCCGUACUCCGUACGGGGCAAAACUUUAAUCAAAUUUAUUAAAUUUUUACAUAUAAAAGUUGUAGGAAAGAGCAAGGAAGAAAGAUAUUUGUAAGCUUUUUGUAUGAAAUAAUGUUGUUGUUCUAUUGUUGAAAAAGAGAGGCAUAGAGGAGAUAUUGAGAUCGUGGGGGUGAAGAGGGGAAACAGUUGCAAGAAAACUUUUUUUUUUUAGUCUUUUUUUUUUGUCGAAUAGCAAAAGUUUAAUUGUUUAGAAAUCUGAAAGUGUAAAAAUUAGGACUUAAGACAGGUGUCGGAUGGAGAGGAUUGCAGUUUUUUUAGAAUUGACUUGUGAUUUAUUAUAUAAAGAUUCCAAAUAUGAUAUGUUAACCAUAUUUAUAUAGUUUAACAAAAGCUUUAAGAACACAAAGAUCAACAAAGAAUAACUCUCUUUAUUAAUCACUUAGGAAAAUAACUCAAAACCUAAGCACUCAAUCUCUAUUCUCAAAACUCAUAAGUUAUGCUACACCUUAGCAUCUUCUUAUAUAGAGAAGAGUUUUCCAAUUCUCAAAAGUAAAACUUACAUAUUUAGAUAACUCCUAAAUAGUACUUUUCCUAAUCUCUCUCAAAGAUAACUUAUUGUUCAAGUAACUUCAAGCUUAGGCCAACAUUCUCCCCCUUAAGCUUGAAGUUAUCUUUCUUCAUAUCUUGAACUCCAAUAAAACCUCUCAUCUCCUUAAACUUGAUUCUACCAAGUGGCUUUGUUAGGAUGUCCGCCUUUUGCUCAUUGCCGGGAACGUGCUCUACCUCCACUUGCUCAUUCUCAACACAUUCUCUAAUGAAAUGAUAUCUUCUAUGUAUGUGCUUACUUUUUCCAUGAAACACCGGGUUCUUUGUCAAAGCUAUAGCCGAUUUGUUGUCGAUUCUCAACAAGACCUUCUUCCCUUCAAUGUUUAGUAUUUCACUCAACAACUCUUUAAGCCAUAUAGCUUGCUUUGCAGCCUCUGUAGCCGCCAUAAAUUCAGCUUCACAGGAAGACAUCGCCACGGUUUCUUGCUUUUGAGAACACCAAGUAAUAGGCGAAUCAUUGAGGAAGAAAAUGUGACCCGUUGUACUUCUACCAUCGUCUAAGUCAACAUUGUGCGAGCUAUCACUAUAACCCAUCAAAUCUAUCUUCUUUGUCCGUUUGAACAAGAGACCAAGAGAGGUGGUUCCACGUAUGUACCUCAAGACUUGCUUCAAUGCUGCUCCAUGGGAUUCUUUGGGCUCUUGCAUAUACCUGCUCAAGACACCAACACUAUAAGAGAGAUCCGGACGAGUGUGAAUCAAGUAACGAAGGCAGCCAAUACUUCUCCUGUAAUCUUUCUCAUUAAUACCCUUCUCAUUCUGAGACUUAGACAAUUGUAGGUUCAUCUCCAUUGGAACAUGAGAUAGAUUGCAGCCUUCCAUUCCUGUUUCUCCCAAAAUCUUUUCUGCAUACCUUUCUUGCUUGAGACUAAUGCCACCUUCAUGUUGAUGCACUUCAAUUCCUAAGUAAUAAGUCAACUUUCCAAGGUCACUCAUCUCAAAUUUUGUUGCCAUCUCUUUCUUAAAUUCCCGAAUCAACUUUAAAGAGGAGCCUGCAACAAGCAAGUCAUCUACAUACACUGCCACAAUAAGUAGAUGUCCUUUCUCUUCUCGUUGAUAAAGUGAUGGUUCCUUUGAGCACUUAUGAAACUUGAAUUCUCUGAGAAUUGUGUUUAACUUGUCAUUCCAGGCUCUAGGCGCCUGUCUUAGGCCAUAAAGAGCUUUGUUCAAUUUAUAGACCUUAUCUUCACUACCCGAAACAACAAAUCCUUCAGGUUGACUAACGUAAACCUCUUCUUUUAACUCUCCAUGUAAAAAUGCAGUCUUAACAUCGAGGUGAUGUAUUUCCCAGCCAUUAGAAGCCGCCAAAGCGAUAAUGAACCGAACAGUUUCAAUACGUGCCACAGGAGCAAACACCUCGUCAAAAUCAAUGCCGUGUCUCUGAACAUACCCUUUGGCGACUAGACGUGCCUUAUACUUGUUAACACUCCCAUCUGCAUUUCUUUUUAUUUUGAAGACCCACUUUAAGCCAAUUGGCUUAACUCCUAUGGGGAGACUAGUCAAGUUCCAUGUCUUGUUCUUCUCUAUUGAUGAAAGCUCUUCUUUGCAAGCAUCUAUCCACACUUUCAGUUCUCUGGCUUCGCUAAAGUCCCAAGGUUCUUCAUUGAUUACCAUCAGAAGUUUUUCACACUCUGUUUCUGCGAGAAGGACGUAAUCAUUCAAAUAUGCAGGCUUUACUCUUGGCCUUUCUGAUCUUCUCAGCGGCGGUGGUGGUGUUUGUUCCCUUUCAUCAUCACCACUGUCUCCAUUACUCGGAGCAUCACCAUUCUCUUCUUCUUCUGUAUCAUCUUCGACUUCUAUCACGUUUUCAUCCGCAGCUUGAGUGAUCCUUGUACCUUCCCCUGUUUCAAUGUCUCUUAUGCCUUUAUUACCAAAUUCUCCCAAGCUAAUAAAGAAGGUUCCGGAGGCUUUAUGAACUUCUCUUUCUCCUCUGUUCCAGAUCCAAGCUUUGUUUUCAUCAAAAAUAACAUCACAGCUCACAACUAUCUUCUUAGUUGUAGGAUCAUAUAAUCGAUAGGCUUUUGUACCAGGCUCUGUUCCGAGAUGCACUAACAUUCUUGACCUGUCAUCAAGCUUCUUUCUCCCAACAAUCUCUGUUCUUGCGUAACAAAUGCAGCCAAAUACUUUAAGAUGUCCAAGAUUUGGUUUCUUCCCUUUAAACACUUCAUAUGGAGUCAUUUCAGUUAAUGAUCUUGUUGCAAUCCUAUUAAUCAAAUAGGUGGCGUGUCUCACAGCCUCUCCCCAUAAAGAAUUUGGCAAGCUCAUGUGUUUAAGAAUACUUCUAGUCAUCUCCAAAAGAGUUCUAUUUCGUCUUUCAACAACACCAUUUUGCUGAGGAGAGUAGGGUGCAGUCAAAUGUCUUUGGAUGCCAUGUUCAUCACAAUAAGCUUGAAACUCUUUUGACACGAAUUCUCCUCCCCUAUCUGUUCGCAGUGUCUUGAUUGUUGCUCCUAUUUCUUGCUCAACAAUUGCUUUGAACCUUUUGAAUUUUUCAAAUGCCUCACUCUUUUCUCUUAAGAGAACUGUCCACAUAUAACGUGAAUGAUCGUCAAUGAGUACGAAAACAUACCUCUUUUUAGCCGGAGUGGAAGGUGUAAUCGGCCCACAUAGAUCUCCAUGAAUGAGUUCAAGAUUUUGACUUGCUCGAUAAGAAGUUGCUUGCGGAAAGGGCUUCCUCGUUUGCUUCCCAAGUAGACAUGACACACACGUUUCUUUCUCAACUGUGAACUUUGGUAUACCUGUUACCAAUUCUUUGUUAAUCAUCAUCUUCAUUGUUUCCAAGUUAGUGUGUCCAAGCCGUGAAUGCCACAUAGUUGACUCGGUUGGUGACAUCAAUUGUAGGCAUUUGAGAUUUUCAACUUCUAGUAUGACCUUGUAUAGACGAUUCUUGGACCUUGUUGUCUUCACCAGCACAUGUCCAGACCGAUCAUAAAGAGUUAAAAAAUCUUCUUUCAUUCGCACUUCACACCCUGCUUCUGUCGCUUGACCAAGGCUAACAAUAUUGCUCUUCAGAUCCGGUAUAAAGUAUACAUUCUUCAAAAUUUUAAGCACCUUUCCCUUUCCAUCUCCAAAUACGAACUGAAUUGACCCUUUACCUUUGAUAUCAAUGCGAGAAUCAUCUCCAAAACGCACCUUUCCCAUGACUGUAUCAUCAAGAUCUAAAAAGAAAGACCUAUUGCCACACAUAUGGUUGCUUGCACCAUUAUCAAGGUACCAUACAUUUUUUGUGUCUAGAUCGGCUUCAAAACAGCUUGGUUUUACUUUAUUUUCAUUAAGAUAAACCACCUCAUGCAUCAUUAGUUCAUCAGCUUCUUGUGUUGCUUCAUCCUUUUUUUCAACAGUUUCUUGUAACUUAAGCAGUCUAUCGGGACAAUCUGAUGCAUAAUGCCCUAGUUUAUCACAUCGAUAACACGUUAUCAUUGACGCAUCUCUUUCCCUUUGUCUGUAUGAACCGUUUUGAUAGUUGUUAAAACGUCCGCGGCCUCUACCUCGCCAAUUAAACCGACCUCCUCUGCCUCUUCCUCUGUAUCCUUCAGUAUAAGAUGCUUGUGAGUCUGAAUUUGCAUACAUCAGCUUAUUAUGAUCCUCUUGUUUCUCUUCAUCUUCAUCAACAAUCCUCUCUUCAUACACUUUUAAACGUCCAACAAUGUCUUCGAAAGUCGUUUUGUUCAAAUUAAGAACUUGUUCAAGAGCUGCGAUGAUAUGGAUGUAUUUUUUCCGAGGCAAACUUUUGAGGAAUUUUUUCACAAGCUUUGGUUCUUCAAUGGUUUCUCCAAGUGUUGCUGCUGUAGAAGAGAUCUCCGAAAGUUUCUCUACAAAAGCAUCAAUUGAAUCUGUCUCCUUCAUCUUGAUUCUAUCAAAUUCCGCCAUCAAAGUUUGUAACCUAGCCUCUCUAAUUCUCUCAGCUCCAACGUGUUUUCCUUUUAUUGCAUCCCAAGUUGCUUUAGCAGUGGUGUGUUUUCCAACUUGUAAAGUCAAGGCCUCUGGUAUAGAUUGGAACAAUAAAGCUAUUGCCACAUCGUUCUUCUCCUCAUCUAGGUCCCCCGGAUCUAUGGUGUUCCAUACCUUGUUAACCCUAAGAGCAACUUGCAUCCUCAUAGCCCAAUAAGUAUAAUUAGAAGAGGUGAGCAUCGGACACUUUAUGGCAGAGGAUCCGAUCUCCUUUGACGUUGCUUUUACGGUCGGCUUCUCGUCUUCAUCGUCAGACAUGAUGAAUCUCUUUCACGUUAAUGCUCUGAUACCAAAUAUAGUUUAACAAAAGCUUUAAGAACACAAAGAUCAACAAAGAAUAACUCUCUUUAUUAAUCACUUAGGAUAAUAACUCAAAACCUAAGCACUCAAUCUCUAUUCUCAAAACUCAUAAGUUAUGCUACACCUUAGCAUCUUCUUAUAUAGAGAAGAGUUUUCCAAUUCUCAAAAGUAAAACUUACAUAUUUAGAUAACUCCUAAAUAGUACUUUUCCUAAUCUCUCUCAAAGAUAACUUAUUGUUCAAGUAACUUCAAGCUUAGGCCAACAAUUUAGAUGCUAGAUUAAUAAAAAAACACAACCCUAAUCAAGGAAUUUAAGUACACUUAAUAAAAGUGCUUGUAUUUAUUUUGGUAGCAUUUGGCUAAAUGAUCAAAUCAUAAUCAUAUUAUCAUUAAUGAUAUAUAUCAACUUAGGUUGUUUCAGUUUUGGCCAAUAGAUUGAAAUUUGUUAGACAUUUGUUUGUUUGUGAGAUUCUUUUUUCUUUUGAGUAGAAAAUGAAUGUUGGUUGAGGUAAUAAAUUAAUGGGAAAAUUGGAUAUAAAGGACAAAUAAUUAAACUAUUGUCCAUCUAUGCAUUCUAUAUUCAAAUGUCACAUAUUCCUAAUAUACCCUUUGUAAUUAAUAUAACCAAUUUUUCAAAUAAAAUUCAAAAUAGUUUGUAGGCAAAUGAUAAAGAAGUCAUGGGGAUACUUAUAAAAUCAAAAAUAUAUCGUUUUUGUUACCGUUUUGGAUGAAUAAAAUAUGAUCUACGAAAUUUAGACUAUGCCUUCUGAAUUUAGAAUGUGUAUUCUAUAUAUUGUACAUGUUCUAUAAAAUCUAGAUAAUGUAUUCUAUGCACUCUACAUGUUCUAGAAAAUUUAGAACGCAUUUCUGUUCUACGGUAUUUAGAAUGCUAAAUUCUACGAAAUUUAGAAUACAUAUUCUAUACUUUGCUCUUUCUUCUAGAAAAAUUAGAAUAUGUUUUCUAACAUUUACCCAUGUUCUAAAAUUGUUAGAAAACACAUUCUUAUAUUUUUCUAUAUAUUCUACAAAAAAUAGAAAUCAAAUUCUAUGUAAUUUAGAAUGAUUUUUCAAAAAGGAAAAUAAAUUAUAAAAUAUGGAAAUCGAAUAUAAAAAGUUAAGAUUACGAAACUACACAACUUUUUCGUGAAAAAUCGUAACAUGAGUGAAACGUGUUGCUCUACUUACACAAAAUACAAAAUACGUAAUAUAACCAAACUCAAUUAUAAACUAACAAAAGUACCACAUUUGUGGAAAAUUGUGGUUUACUAUAGGCGUAAUAUUUGAAAGUGACUAACGUAAAAGUGAAUUGACAUGUAAAAAGGUUGCAUAAAUCAUUGUGUUUUUGUUUUUCACUCAAUCUCUAUUAUAUUAGAAUCUAGCUGUGGAGGUUCAUACUUUGCCAUUCGGUCAUGAACACAUGAGCAAAUGUUAUUUCCCGUAGAUCAUCUACAGGCCUUUGAUGUGCAUGUAUAUGUUGACAUCGUCCAACAUAUCGAUGGGCAGUCCCAAAAGAGAAAAUCAAAGAAGAAGUUGCCGUAAAAAAAUAGAAGAAGAAGAUGCCGUAAAAAAAAAGAAUUAAAGCGGAAGAAGAUUUGAAAUUAUCUACGGCAAAAAAAAAAUAGAAAGUAAUUAAAUAUUAUUUUUGUCAUAUAUUUUCUCCAAAUCAUUUUUAGAAAAUAAUCUAAUUAAUUUUGGAAUGUUAUAGUUUAGCAAGAUUUAAUAAAAAAAACUGGGGAUAUAAAUGGGAUUUUAAUUAUAUCAAAGCAUAUAUGACCAAUUUUAAAGCAUAUAUGACCAAUUAGGAAUAUAGAAUGCAUAGAUGAACGAUAAUUUAAUUAUUUAUCCUUUAUAUCCAAUUUUCCCUAAAUUAAUUCUCCCACCUUGCAUAUUUUGUGUUUUGAUUAGAUUGCAUAUUUAAUAUGGCUAUAAUGAACAUUCUAUAAAUAUCUAAUAUGGCCUACUAUUCAAGAUCUUUGGUCAAUUAUAAGAAGAAAAAAAAAGUGAAGAUCUCGAAUCCCAACUCCAUGUGUUUAAAAUACUAGAGAUUAUCUCUAGCGAUUGCAGAAAAUUAAGAACACAUUCGUUUACAAAUUUUCAUUGAUUACCGUCACGUGAAUUUUACUAAUCACGAUUAUUUCGAUUUUGCAGUUUUUCAUUGUAUUAAUCUUUUGAUCUUCAAAAAUAUCAUUCAAUUACAAAGGUUGAUUCCAAUAUAUGAAACGAAGAGUACCAGUUUACCAAAAAUAUUUAGUUUUCAAUUUAUUUUCUUUGUACCUAUGUAUAUGUUGGUCGCAAACUAGCCCAUAGGGCAAUGUCAUCUCGUGAUCUCAAUGUUAAGAAUGAUAUUUAUCAAAGAAAAUGUCAUUAGACCAUUAAAUUUAUUUAUUUUUUAAUCUAAAGAGAGAGAAAAAGAUAGAAAUUGAUGUGAAGUUUAAAUGAUUUUUAAUACGCUAUCGUUUUGUGGUUUAUUUGAAACUUUUAAUGUUUAUUAUAACAAAAGUUUUGUUUUUUCUUAUAAAAAUGAAAGUCAAUAAACAAAAUAUUAGGUAAACUUCCACAUUAUAGUUUAAAAUGAUCCCAACUAAGGAUAAAUGAUCCCAUAAUCCUUAGUUCAUGCACCUUGAAACAAGUAGUUCAUCCUAGGUCUAGUGAAAUUUUUGUGCAAACCAUACUUUGACAUGUAAUUUUACUAUUAUAGUUUUUUAAUCAUAUAAUAGUUUACUGUAAAUAUUGUAAAUAAAAUCUAUUUAUCCCUGAAAUAAUAGAAAGAUAUAUUGUCACAAAAUAAGAUUUUUGACUAUUUUAAAAAUAUUAGAAUAAAUUAUAUGUAAACACAAUAGUAAGAGCAUGAUUCUUAACUCAUGUGUUGUGGUACAAGUUUGUUGGAUUGUUCGCCUUAUGUCAUUUUUCGUCAAUUUGAAGGUGUGUUAAAACUUGUUGGAUAAAUUGGCAUGGAAAAGGCGUGAACGGGGUCAGGAGUCAGGACAUUCAGGAGACCACAAGGCUGCAGGUAAUUUCUGUCUUUUAAAACAAAAAAAAUCGGAGAAGCCACAUGUCUCAUAUGUUUUGUCAUCUACUUAAAGACACCAUCUGUUUUUUUUUUUUUUUUCUUCUCUGCAGAAACUUGCUGUCGUUCACGAAGAGGAUACUGAUGGCCGUGAUGUUAAUGGCAAUGGGAGCCGCUGUUUCAUACUAUGGUUAUAAGGGACUCUUGUGGCUUUCUGAUUGGAUGAAAGAAGUCGAAGAACAAAGACAAAAGUCUAGAAGAUACCCGCGAAUCUAACUGGUUUCGAGAGUUGUUACUUCUCAAGCUUUUUUAGCCUGAUACUGGGCAGUGACAACACAGUUAGCUUCGAGACAUUUGGUCUUUCUUUUUGGUUUAGUCGAUGAUAGUCACCAAAUAUAUUUCAAAGGGGAGAUUAGAAAGAUAAUCAAUUUGUUUGUUUUAUUGAUUUGUGCUCUUGCUUUUAGCUCUUUUUGAUAUUUCGAGACAGCAAAAAAUGUUGUACUUGUUCUUCUUUUUUCUUGCAUCUCUUGUUUCUUCUUCUUGCUUGUUUUACCAGAUGUUGAUCAAUUCUCACUCUGUACAUUAUGUUUGUUGUGUUGUUAUAAAUAGUGAAUUUGUGUGUGUACAUACACACACUCGAAUGGGACAUAGGAAAUUAAUUAUCCAGUGGAUGGUCCUGCCUCCAAAUCUUCCCCAGCUAGUGCUCGGAAUCAACUUCGCCAGAGAUGGUAUGCAGUGUGACAUGACCAUUGGCUCCAGUUAAUUGCUGUCCACGGUGAUUGUUGGUUUCUCAUGGCUGAGUCGCUAUGAGAGGUACCCUAUAUGUGAUCCUUUUACAUAUGGUUCUUGCUUGAUAUGCUAAGUGAGUCGCUUUUAAUCCCUUCUUUAGUUUUGCUUAGUUUCUAUAUCAUUAGGUUAGUUAUAUUUUAUUAACAAAACACUAGAAAUUAACACGCGGUACACCGCGGGCCUAUAAUUUUACUAAAUAAUAAAAUUAAUUUUUCUUUUUCAGGUUGAGAGCCCGCGGUAUACCGCUGGAAAUAUUAAUUUUACAUGUUGUGACAUUGAUUUUAAUAUUGUAUAUUUUUAGUAGAGAAAAUUGUGUAGUGUAUGAAAAAAUGAUAAAUUGUUUACAAUAAAAAUCUGUCAUAUUAAUUAUGAUUUAGCGGUAAAAUGGAAUUUUGAAAUCUUGGUAAUGAAUGUUUUAGGGGUAAGGAAAAUACUAUGUUUUUAGGAAAACAUAUACUUAGACACGCCGCACGCGUUUGUAUUAAACAGAUAUCAAAACAAAAAAAAGAAUUAAAAUCGUAGAAACAUUACAUCAUUAAUAGAAAAUAGAGAAUACACAAUGAAAAUAAAAAUUAGAUUGCUCAAAAACUGAAGCAUAGAUGUUGAGAUAUCAAAACAAAAAAAAAGAAUUAAAAUCGUAGAAACAUAACAUCAUUAAUAGAAAAUAGAGAAUACACAAUGAAAAAUAAAAAUUAGAUUGCUCAAAAACUGAAGCAUAGAUGCUGAGAGAAGUUUGUGUGGAUGAAUGAAAAAUGAUUUGCCGAAUAGCAGAGCCUAUAUUUAUAAUGUUUAGAAUUAGGUUGCUUUAUUAGGGUUUUAAGAAAAACAUAUUCUGCAAAUAUUCUAUAAGUAAUUAGCGUAGAUAUGCUAUAGUUAAUCGCAUCAGAAUAUCUAAACGAAAUUAAUUUUAGUUUCUAUCGUUAAAGAUCUUAACAUAUUUGAUUUGCGCUUUCGCGAUUUUUAUAAUUUUGCAGUAAACCAACUUUAUGACUUUCCAUAGUUCAAGAUCGUAGAGAAUAUUUGAUGGUUAAUCUGAUAAUUAGAAGAUUCUAUAUAUUUUAGCGAAAUUUUUUCCCUAAAUAACGAAGAAGUUACCAUAUACUUCGGAAUUGUAUUUGUUGAUUUAAUAUUCGAUUUUAAAUUGAAUAAUUUACAUAGAAGUUACCAUACAAGUCCGGUAAGGUUUCUUAUUUUUGCUGUCAAAAAUACUCAUAUAUCCGAUUAUCAUUAUUUCUAUCAAAAAUACCCAAUUUAUUAACUACAUUUAUUUUAUAAUAAUUCAAAAUAAUAUAAAUAUAACAUCAAAUAAAAGUGAAAUGAGAAUUAUAUAAUUCUGUUUAAAUUAGGUCGAGAGAUUGUAAAAAAUUAGCUCAAAUUUGUUAAUUAGCAUUAACUCAUCAUAUUUUAUAUAUUUUUCUGUAAAAAUCGUGAAGAAUAUAUGUCAUAAAUAAAGAGUUUAGAUAUAGAAAUAGUUAAAAAUAUAGAUAUUUUUAGAGUUUAUAAAUUAAUUUCGUUUUGGAUAUUGCCAAAAUUUAAAGAAAGAUCCAAUUGAAUAUUUUUGGUCACAAAAAAAAACCUACCCAUAAAGAUUAAAAUUUAGGAUUAUAGUUAUUUCAAAUUUUAAACUAAUUUAGAUUUUAUAAUUUUCAUAAAUACGAAAAUAAUUUGUUCACCUAUAUCAGAAAAUAUAACUAAAACAAAUUACGUAAUAUUAUAUAAAAAUUUAAAAUAAAUAACUAUUUUCAUUUUAUGGUGUAGACAAAUUAUUAUUAGUAUUUAUGUAAUUUAGUUUCAAAAAUAAUUUAGAAAAAUAACAAACAUUAAAUUUUAUAACAAAACAAAUUAUUUUCGUAAGAAUUUGUCCCCAAAUUAAUAUUUACAAACUAUUUAUUUUAAUCACAUAUUCUUUCUAUAUAAAAAUAGGUAGUUAGAUAAUUAUGGUUAGAAGUUGUUAAGGUAAAUAACAAAUAUGGUUAGUUUAGAGAUAUCAUAUAUAUAUAUAACAAAUAAGAUUAUUUACCAUUAAAAUAGGUAACUUAUUUGUUUUGUUAUACGCAUAUUCUCUUAAAGAAAAUUAAUAAUUAGGUGUGGGGAGAAGUUAAGGAAAUUAACAAAUAUGAAUUAAUAAAGGAAUUAAUUUCGUUUUAAUAUUGCCAUAAAUUUUUUCAGUUUGAAAUUAAUAAAGGCUUUAUUUAUUAGUUUGAAAUUAAGACAACAUCCCUAAAAUUGCUUAUCCAAGAUCCGAAUAGACUAAAACCGGGUCAAACCCGGAUCCAAAAGAAUUAAAGCAAAAAAGUACUGUAAAAAUGUAUAUGUAGAUACGGGACCAAAAUAUGAUAAUCCCCACUUGACAAAACAUCAGGUUUAAGACUUUACUUCCAUUACCUGGUGUAUAAUUUUCCUCUUACAGAGUUCCAUCUACAUAUACGUUUACUAAAAUUGUUACGAGAAUAUUAUGUAUGAUAGACAGAUAAUUCGAAUAUACUCAAUACCAAAAGCAAAAGGUACUUCAAGUUUUAUUCCACAAAAUGAUUAUUUUUUAAUCAAGUGUAAAUAAGUCAGGAAAAGGUGUCUGGAAGAGGAAAACAACAAAGGUAAAACACACCUAAAAAACCCCAUCAUGGAUUCAAAUCUUAGGAAAGCUUCCUUACAGAGAAGUUUUAACGAACAUAUUAAGUCUUCAACAGUGAGACUAUCCCUUAACUUUAUUAUCCCUUCUUCUGAGACUUGAGUUUGAAAGAAACAUCACUUAACUUACUUUUCUUCUUCUUCUUCUUCUUGGAAGAUUUAUCUUCAACAAUGAGACUGAAACAAAAAUGUACACUCAUAAAGACAUAUUUAUGAGAGACCUAAUAAUAUCAAAUACCAAUAACAAAUAUACUUAAAUAACAUUCAGUUUAAGGCGAACAGAUGGUUUUGUGAUGUCAAUUAGACAGAGACCAAUUGAAUGAGAAAAGUAGUCAAUUAGAUAGAGCCAAUAUCGAAUAACAAAAUCAUAAAUCCACUUACUGAAAUUUCUCACAAAUGACAUGAAUACUUUUGACCAUCCCACAAGAACCAAAGUCCUUAAAUAAAAUUCAGUUUACACGAAAAAGAUGGGUUGAAGUCAAGAAGCCAAAAUCCUCAAGCUGACUUCUAUUCAUUGUUUUAAAAAGAGCAUUUGAAUAAAGCCAAGCUAAAUUUUUACAAUAUUUGAAUGGUGGGUAUAGGUUACAAAAGUGAAUGGAAAAGUUUGUCAGAAAAUCAGAUUAUCUUCUUCGAACCACAACAAAUCAGAGAAUAAACUAUCGCUUAUUAUAAUGUUAUCUAAAAGUUAGUAUGGAAACUAACUACUGAUUCAAUAUGAGGGUGAAAAGCUAUAAAGCCAUGCUAUAUGUGUGGCUUUUAAUUAGGACCAAGCAAUUUUAAGAUUAAAACAAAAAAAAAAUCAAUAAAUUUACCUGCUUUUUGGAAUGGCUGCAUCAGUGGUAGAGCUAUCCGAUUCUAAAACAAACCACAAAAGUUAUCUAGUUUGUUAUCAAGAAUCGUUUGACCAAAAAAAAAAAAAAAAACAGAAUCAAGAAGAAAUUUCUGUACCUCGGACCUCGGUGCACGCAGGAGGGGCCGCAGCGGAGGUAUCUGUGGAAAAGGGUAAUUCCCGGUUUAGAAGUCACGCGAACAUCUAAUAUGCGUCCUCCCAUGUUGCUCCCAUUAAGUUCAGUCACCUUAUCUGCUACGUCUUUUCCGUAAAGAUACGCUACAGCUAUGCUGUAAAAAACAACAAAGGAAAGUCUUUUAGGCAUUAGAGAUUGACUUUAAUAACCUGAAAGUUGGGAAAAAAUGGAAGGAAGAAGCCACAAACCCGUCGAAGAACAUGACAUCUUUGAGCUUUCCAUAUGAAGAGAAAUGAGAAAUCAAAGCGCUCUCGAUAAGUAUCUCAUGAAGCGAAGUGUCAAAUCCUUCAACUUCUAUAAAAACCUCACUGCAAAAAUAGAAUAUUGCAGGAGAUGAUAUACAUUAUUAAUAUCACACAUGGAAAAGAACACAUAAUAAGAUACAAAUCUUAUUUUUAACAAAAUUCAGUGUUUACUUGUUUGCGUCUUUGGGAAACGGAUAAGCCUUAACAGAGACAUUCCAUCCUCCAACGUCAACUCCAUUAAGUUGCAACGCCUUAUCUACUGCGCCUUCUCCCAGAAAAUAAAUAUAACCACGUCUGUGAAACAACAACAACAAGUUUUUUUUAGUUAGCAAUAUUUAAACUUGAGCUGAUGAGUUGGAAAAAAAUGGAGCAAGAAGAAGCCACAAAACCUCCUGAGAGUCUCAUCCCCAAAACAGACAAAGGGAAUACAAAUAUUCGUGAUAAUUCCACAACAAGAGAAAUGAUUUCUCAACGCCGUCUCAACAUCAUCAAUAGGAAGAUCAGUGUCAUAUCCCGAAACAAUAAUCCUCCCAACGUCACUGCAAUAAUUUGGUUAUACUAUAUAUCAACGUGACAAUUGAAGACAUGCAGCAUCUUGCACAACAAAAUUUUAAUUUUACCUGAGUUUUGGAAUGAUACUACCCUCACCAAUCAGAAUCAGUCCCUAAAAGUACAGAGAUGUAAUCAGAAACUCUACCAAGUUAAGUAUUUUUUUCUUACAAACUUUUGUAAGAAACCAUAAUUAUAGAGUGAAUCAGAAAAGCCAUAAGGGUAAGAAGAAGAUUACCUUGUCGGCGGAUUCGUCCAUGGAGAGAAUUUGUUUGACAAGAGCGAGAGACGAUAACCCUUUGAAGAUGUUUUUACAGAUUUAGGGAUUUAGGUCUGAAUUUAGUUCUGGUCUGGACUCUAAGGCCCAUAUGGUCCUAAUCUUCCGAGCCGUCGACGGAAUUUUACUAACUCACUAUAUUUUAACCCGCGGUAUACCAUGGGAUGAUUUAAUUUUAAAGUUAGUAUAAAAAUAUUUUGUAAAUUGUAUCUCCUUAUAACAUAUUUAUUUAUAUUAUAGUUUACAAUUGUUAUUAAGUAACGGUAUACCACGAGUCCACGAGAUAAUUAUUAAUAAACUGAGGAUUUAACCCGUAUUAAAGCGGUAUAUAAUUAUUGAUUCAAAUUCGUCCGCCAUAUAAAUCAUUUCCGAAAUAUAACCCGUUCCGUAAUUUCUUAACCCGUCCUGUGAUUUGUAUUAAAAAAAAAGGAUUAAAUCCGUAUUGAAGCGGCGGAUUAAUGAUAUUUUAAUCUUUUUAUUAUUGUUGAUUCAAAAACCCGUCCCGCCAAAAAACUCAUUUAUUUUAUUAAUGUUCUUAUUUAUGAUAUGAUUCUGAAUCAUUGUCUAAAUAUUUUAAUCGAUGUAGAACGUUGAACACACAUUUUCGUCAAUUGGAUAAUAUAUGUCCGUUUUUUAAAUUUCGAAUCACAGUAUAUGCAGAAAAAAAAUUGAUUUUUUUUUUACUAUAUGUAUUAUAUGAUGAUUCAAAACAGUUAAAAACAAAUCAAACAAAGAUGAUAGGAGAAUCAUAAUUAUAAAUCUUAAUCAAAUCUUCUAAAAAUCUAAAUUAUUAAAUAUGGAAUAUCCGGUGUAUGAGUUGGGUUAAAUAUAACCCGACCCAACAAAUUUUUUGUGAAGGAAUUUUUAAAAUGGGUCGGAUAUCCGAUAUACCCAAAAGCUUUUUUACCCACCCGUCACAAAAAGUGCUGCGAUUAUACUAGUAUAGAUAUAAUGUUUUUGUGUAUUCCAAGUAUUGUGAAGUCACAUUACUACAACAACUAGGAUCGGAUCCGCGGUCCACCGCGGGAGAAUAUUGGUUUACAUACGUUGCGUUUAAUAUUGUGUGUGUUUUUUAGUAGAACGAAUUGUGUAGUAUACUUAUAAAUAUUCAUAAUAACGAAUUGUAGAGAAAAUGUAAAAUUGUUUAUAAAUAUACCCAUCGUAUUUAUUAUGAUUUACAAAAUAGAAUUUUGUGUUUUAAAAUUCUAAAAUUAGACGAUUCAUGGGAAUUAAAGCAGUCAAAAUAGGUCAAAAACCGCGGGUCGAGCCCACAUCAUCUCACUAUGGGGCAGAUUUGGGAAAAUAUAUUAAACCCGCAAAUAAGCGGGCCACAUGGAUUAAUUCGCAGUGGGUCAUAGGUUUAAUCGGUUUUCAUUCGCGGGUUGGCGGAUCAGCCCGCAUAUUAGUAUUUAUUGAUAAAAUUAUAAUUUAUUCAACAUGUGGUAAUUUAAACAAACUUUUAAUAGUAUUUUUAGUUAUUUAUUUAUUUUAGUAGUAUUUUAAAUUUUGGUUACUUUAAAAUUAUUUAAACAAAAUCCAUGGACAAUCCCGCAAAUCCGCAUACAUUCGCGGAACGGGUUUGUAUUUCAUAUAUGCUACCCGCGGGUCGUGCGGACCGGCUAACUACAAGUCAAAAUAUUUUUUGUCUAUCGCAAAACGGACUUAACGGGACGAAUCAACUCGCUUUGACAGUUCUAAUAGGAAUAUUAUUUAGUCAUACAACAAAAUGAAGUUUGGACAUAGUAAUAAUAGAAUAUGUAUCUUAUUUGUUAGAUGAGAGAUUGAAAGAUGAAGUAUAAUGAUUAAAAAUUAAUUAUUAUUUUUCAUGAUUCACAAAAUUUAAUAAAUAUUUAUCAUCUUGUUGAAUAAUUCUAAAAUCAUAUUCAAUAAAUCUUUAUAAAUUGAAAAUUAAACUUCUUUGGUAAGCUAUAGGUAUGAAAAUAUCAUAAUUUUGAUUUAAUCUAAUUAAAUUAAAAUUAGUUACAUGGAUUUCAUAUCUAUUUAAUUUACACGACCAAAAUAAAAAUAUCUAUUUAAUUUACACGACCAAAAUAAAAAUAUCAAUUUAAUUUAUAAAACAGAUGGGUUAUUGUGAUAAAUUUUCUAGAAACUUUAGAAGCAAAUAAAAUAUCUUUUAAUUAAUGAUAAUUGGCUAAAAUGAGCGAAAUUAAUGAUAAAAACGUUGAUUGUUAUGGAAUUAGUCCCAAAAUAUAUGAACAAAUUUAUUAUACGUAAUUAAUGUAUAAUAUUGUUCGGAAUAUGCUUUUAUUAUUAGUUACCAUAAGUACAAUCAGAUUUUAUUUGAUUUCCAUAAAUAUUUGAUUUUAUUUCGAUUUUUCAUUAUUAAUUCGAAUUUAUAUUCCAAAAAAAAUUCAAAGAUCCGAUUUCAGAAUUUCGGAUCAAUUUUCUGAUUUUAACCCGACCCAUUUUCAUUUGUACUUCUCUUUUAAUAGUAUAGAGAUUAGUAUGUCCAGUAUUUCAAGUGAACCUAUUUGUCUGCGAUUGAACAGCCAAUAACCCAUCUUUAACUAUAAAAAGAAAACGAAUGAUCAACUCAACUACUCAAGUAAAAUAAAUUUUCAUAGCUUUGAAACCUAACUUGUUUCGUAGUCACUGCAAUCUUGGAUUCUGGCGACGCCUCAUCUACUCUUGUAUGUAAUUAUGAUCUAUCAAUAUAAUCCAUUAAUUACUCCUUUUUUGUUAUUUUUUUUUAUUCUACUUUCUUGAAUUGAAUUGUUCAUAUAUAAAUUUCUUCCUUUGGUAGGUACACGUAUAUCUGAGACUUCGAGACCAAACCGAGACAAUCGUACGCCAUUCACAUACACUCUUAAUUUGAACCUUUUCCAUAAUCGUACGCCAUCAUUCCGGUUGUCCUUCAUAUUGACAUGUGUGAAAAAAAAAAAACAUCUAGUAAACGGAUUUGAGUAACUAAUCAAAUGGUUCUAAACUUCUAAUAAUCACAUGAGAAAAUUCCAAACCAAGUAAUAUAAAAAACUUCCCAAAUUUCGAAAUGUAAAUUUGUAUAUCAUAUAUGUAAGAAAGAGAAUCAAAGAAUUUUGCAGAAAGUUAAUUAGUAAAAGACACUAAAAAUCAAGUGGAGACCACGCGCCAAAGUAGGCGUCGGUCGAAUCUAAUGAUCACUCUCAAUCUCAAUCUCAAACAAACAAACAAAAAACAGAUAACAACAAUUAAAUAUACAAGAAUCUUCUCAAGUCUCUUCACAAGUCUUUGCCUCAAAAUCAAUAAUAAUUUUUGUUCCUCAUCUUCACCAUAUUAAUUUCUUGUGAGAUCAAGACUCCGAAGUUGAGAUUCAAGAUUUGUGUUUUUUUGUUAGUGUUGAGGAUGAGAGAAGAAGAUUCCAAUUGGUUUGCUAAAUGGGAAGAAGAGCUUCCGUCGCCGGAGGAACUCAUUCCUUUAUCUCAAUCUUUAAUCACUCCUGAUCUCGCCAUCGCCUUCGAUCUCCACCGCGACAACUCAAACUCCGGUCAACCUCUACCCCAAACCACGCCGCCACAACCCAAUUCCUCAACCGAAUUCGCUGGAGACUCCACCGGAGACGAACCAGCAAGAACGCUAAAACGACCGCGUUUAGUAUGGACGCCGCAGCUACACAAACGUUUCGUAGACGCGGUGGCUCAUCUCGGGAUAAAAAACGCGGUUCCUAAAACCAUCAUGCAGCUUAUGAGCGUCGAUGGUUUAACCAGAGAAAACGUCGCUAGCCAUUUGCAAAAAUACAGACUUUACCUCAAAAGAAUGCAAUCCGGCGGCGGUGGAGGCGGCGGAGGUGAUUCCGAUCAUCUCUUCGCUAGCUCACCUGUUCCUCCACAUUUCCUCCAUCAGACAAGUAGACAAAGCUCUGACCUUUUCAUACCCUCUUUGGUCCCAAUUUCAACUCAGCAGCAACAUAUCGCAGCACCACCGUCUCAGUUCCUCCACCGACAAAUGUCCGCCGUUAAUUUCACUUCUCCGACCAAAGCUACCGACCAAGCAAUGUUCUUGGCUAGGCAGCAGAGUCAACUACAGCAACCAGUUUUCAGACCAUCUUCAUUGCAUUUGCAUAGUCAAGUGGCUAAUUACACUCAAGAUUUGGAUUCAGGAGCCAAAACUGUCUUGACUCUGUUUCCAACUCGAGACGAUUGAAUUAUAGUAAACAUUCACAAUCCGAGUUCUGCUUUUUUUUGGUCCUUGCUUUUGUGACCAGAUCUUCAAUGUUUCAAAGUGUGUCUACAAUACAAUCUUGAGGAACAUUUGGUCUCCUUUUAAAGAUUGAGUUUACUCUGUAAAAUCCUGAACUGCAUAAAAAGAAGUGAUCUUUUUCACUUGUUUAGAUUUGAUUACACAACUACUUUCUUGUUUUUUUUUUUUCUUUUCUUAUGGGUUCAUAUUUGUUCUUAAAAGUUGUUUGUAACUUUACACUGAACAUCAUAAAAGUAUUUGCAGGUACUAAAAAUUCUCUUCCUCUUCUAAAAGUCAAGACCCAAAUGGCCAAAUCCAUUUAUGUAUAGUUGAAUAUUACAUGAAUAUUCAUUAGUACAGUGUACAAAGAACAUGAAACAGCCAAAAAGCAAGGACUAGACCGUGCCAGUCAGAAAUUGAAUCCCAGGAUCUGAUGCUCUCAUAUCCUUAAUCAUACCUUAUUUAUUUAAUUAACUUUUUAUUCAUGUACGUAGAAUCAGUUAUGGGACCAAACCCAAUCAAGAUUUUUUUCUAUUAGUUAUUUAUUAUUUUGAAAAUAGUAUAAUCAUAAUCGUCUUGAUAAAGGAAACUAUAGGUUAUUAUUUGUUGGGUUGGGGAGGGAUCAAUUAAAAGCCAUCCCAUGAUGGUGGGUUCAUUAGCUGGCAUGUUUGUUUCUGAUCUGUUUCUAUAAAAGUCAUACCCUUAUAAAAAGUCCUUCGAAUUAUUACUAGUAUUUUUGUUGGAAAAUUUAUGAAUCCCAUUAGUAAAUAACAAGGCAGAUUUCAAACUACUAUUUUAGAAAUGGUUGAAUAAAAUUUAUAUCAUUGUUGGUAAACCAGUGUAGUGUACCUGAACAUGAACUCUUAAGUGCAUUCAAUCAGAAGAAUCAAAGAUAAUUUUUUUUAUCUGAAUUUUGGAAAUACGUUGACUCUGUUUUCUAUGUUGACCCAUACGAACAAGAAAAAUUUCCACAACUAUCUACCCUAAAUGGGCCAUAAGCUUUACAGGCAGACCCAUUUAGAGUACCUAGUACAAAAGGGAACGAACGCUUGCAGAUUUUGGAUUUCACUGCAAAAGCUUGAUAAUAAUAAUAUUAUAAUGUCUUGUGAUAAGAGUGGCCAAUGUUUGCAACAAGAGCAGAAAAUCUAAAGCUACAUCAAUAAAACCUGUUUGGAUACAAGACAUUGUGCUGAACACGACAAAAGGUCAAGGAUUCGGGUGCCUGCAACCGCAAAAGAAAAAGACAGCACAAUGGUCAAUGCAAGAGACUUGAGCGUUUAACAGAGAACAUGAAGAAAGUUUCUUAAGAGUGAAAUUAACCUGAAAUGAUGUGUGUCUGACGCAUUCAAUGUUUGUGCAUAAGUCAUAGUGGCACUAGGCCACUCUGUAUAAGAAGGUGCCGUCAUUGCUGGGUUUAAGGGAUGUCCAUAGUUUAUGCUGGCUUGAGUUCUUGGCGUCUGUGGGAAAAUUGCGUCAUGGAACUGAAGCGGAAUUGGUAUCGGAUUGAAGUUUUGUACCGGUGGCGCAACCCUCACAUACCUGCAACACCGCUAAAUCCAUUAAAUUUGAUGAAGAAACUAUGGCGUAAAGGCUGUUAUUAUUAUUAGAGGCAACGGAGGGAUUAGUUUAACCUGUUACGGUCAUAAUCAGGAUCAUAACGAUCCUUCUCUCUAUCUCUAAUAAUGGCAACCCGAGAAGUACGUCCUGAGUCUCUGAAAACACCAUUCCUCUCUACAUCAACAGGAUUACUAUUAUGAUUAAUCACCACUUCGGACUCAUUUCUACUCGGACAUGUACUAUUAUGUUUUGAGUCGAGACGAGGAGGGGGAGGAGGAGGAGCUCGUGUUGAAGAAUCUUCGGAGUCUGAACUGCUAGGGCUAUUGAAGAUACGAGCCCGAGCUCUAUCAUACUCUUCUUUCCUCUCCUCAACGCUUCUCAAAAGAUUCUUUUCAACUCCUGAUCCACUACCACUCCCACCAGAUCCUCUAUUGGGUCUAGGCUUGAUGGCGAUUUUGAAACCCUCAGGCUUGCCAUGAAUCUCAGGUUGCUUAACAGGAAUCUCAGACAAACAGACAUACGGGUAUCUACUUUCCGCCGUUUUGGUCGCCAAGAUUCUGUUCCCUGAGCCAUCAACACCACCACCGUCUAAAGCCGUUGUAAACAGCCCGUAAUGCUGAGCAACACGGUGAGCAAUAAGACGAAGAUAAGAUGUAGGCAAAGGCUGGAACUCAUAUUGUUGCUGCUCUGGACUUUGAAAGAACUUCUGUAUAUCGAGCUCCAUACGCAAAACUAGCAUACCAAGAAAAGAAAAAUAAAUAAGGAACAUUAUCAUCCAUUGACCAUGAUGCUUAUAGAUACAAAGAGAGAACAAAAUGAACAUAAGAGUCUUCUAAUCAGAGCAAUUGCAUUCUUAAUUCAGCUAAAUUGAGCUAAUGGUAGAGCCAUGGAUCUAAUCAUCAAGUACAAAAGCCAAACCCUAAUUCCUUAAGAAAUCGACAAAAAACCCUAAACAGGACCUCCAAUUCGAGAUUCAACAAGUCAAUAAAGAACUCUAUAGACGAGUAAAUAACCAUAAUUCAGAUCAAAUCCAACAAAGAUAAAAAAAAAUUAACUUGGAAUAUAAAGGGCUUGCAAGAGAAUUGACUUACUGGUGAGACGAUGACGAGGGUUCUGAAGAGCCUCGACCAAAAAAGGAUCCACCAUAGCUUCCUUGUCGCUCAUAGCGGCCAUCGAUGGAUGGAUGGAUGGUUUCUCUCCCAAAAUUCUUCUUCUCGAUAUUAAUUAUCUUAGAAAUCACCAAGGAGAAAAAAAAAGGAUUGAAAUUUCCCGAGGAGAUAUGAAUUAGAGAGAUUGAGAAGCAAAUCGAUGAGAUGAGGAAAUCGAAAUCGAAAUCCAAGAGGGUCAAGGAAACGGAAAAGACCUUAUCGACCCUUUAUCUCUCUCUCUCUCUCUCUCUCGGACACAAACUAGUGGGGAGAAUAAAAUAAAGUCGCAGCCUUUGAUUUUAUUUUGUUUGUUUUCUUAACCCAAAAACUGAAAAACGUUUCCAAUUUGAAAUUUCCCAAAGCUGUUGUCUUUGGGGCCAAAUACUAAAGAAGACAACUUUUCCUUUUGAAGCCAAAAGAAUUUAGUUUAUUCACAUUCUCAUGAUUUGGUGUGGUCGGUUAUGACUCUAGAUUUCAACAUUUUCAAACACAUAAUCAUAUCAUCAUUUUUUUACAUAUAUGAAGUCAUGUAUUUAUAUUUACAAGAAACCCUGUUUAAAGCCAAACAAGCACCAUGUUUAUUUUCAUUACAUAGCAGUUUUUAGUAUAUACUCCAUUCACACAUAUGUCACACAACCCAAAAGCUAUCUGCAACUUCUACUGCUACUUGCCGUUUUGAUCCUUCAUCACUUCUACCAUGAAAUUUUCCAGUUUGUUGCCCCUCUCUAGCUUCAGAAGCAGUUCGAAUUUCACACGGUUUUCAACCACCUGCGCGUAAAAAUAUCAUUCCUUUGCUUAAUUAGAUGCAUGGGUUUGGUGAUUAAGAAAGAAACUGAUAGUGAACAUAAGAAACAACUCAACCUUUGCCCUGGCUAGGAUUAUAUCUAUGAGUUUAUAGGGGAACAGUGAAUUUGAUUUCUGUUGAAGUGAUUUCAUUGCUUGCUUUGCUGCCUCUUGUACUUCAAGGUUAUUUGUUGAUACUGAUCUCCAGUCAAAUCCAUUACCAUCUGCCUCAAACAGAGCAAAGAGAUCAAGAACCAUAAAAAACUCGCUAUGAUCAAGAUCGAAAAGGAAACAGUGUUAUACAUCCCAAAGAUUAAACUACACGGUGAAAAUCAUGGGUGACUGUGACUUUAACUAGCUGAUCACAAGCAGAUUACGAUUAUCAUAUUACCAAACCAGACACGGUGUGAUGAUGUUCACUUCAAAGUUGUUUACCUGAUUUCAAGCCAAGGUCAGAGAUAGUGAAGGAGGGGAUAACAUUCUUGAACUCCUGAAGCUGCUUGAAGUUCAUCCAUGGCUUCACCCAAACUUUAGCUUCAUAAAUCUUCUUCUCACCAGCUUCAAUAACUUCAAGAGUAAGACGAUAGAGCUUGCCAGCAACAACCUGCUCUGUUGCCUUUAAUACUCUAGCAAGCUCAAGAACAACAUUCUACUCCAUAAAAUCCAAAAAACAUAACAAAGAAUUAAACCACAAGCUGAUUAAACCAUAUAGCGUGUAGAGAUAAACAUCGUGAACAGAGAAACCAUAAAAUUCAUCAAUACUAAAAAAAUCCUUAAUCUUUAAUCUUCAGUCUAUAAAUCAAGAACAAUCAGACACGCAAAUCACUAAAAUCCCAACCCUAAUUCCAGAGAAUAUACUAAUUAGGUUGGAGAAAACCAAACCUCUCGUCUGUUGUGUUCUUGAACAGCGAAGAGUGCAAUAUCAUCGAUCUCUUCUCCACCGUUCCGAUCAUUAGUGGAAUCGCUAAAUCCACCAAGCUUCAUCUUUACAACGUUGUUGUUGUUGUCGUUGUACGUUCCUUUUUCUUCACUGCAGAUCACAAACUGACCAAAUCCAGAAAAGAGAACCAACGACACGCAAAUUAACAUCAACCACGCCGAUGAUCGUCUCAUAUCCAUUGUUCCCAGUGAGCUUCUCUUGUUCCCAAGUUUCCGAUCUAAACGCCGAUGAGAAUUUUCUUAACAGUCGAGGAUGGUUUCUUUCGCCGAUUAAAGACUCUUUCCGUUUAAAAGAAGCAAAAAAUCUCAUGGGCCAUUAAAUAUGACUUUCAAGCCCAUUUUAGUUGUUAUGGACUCAUCUGAAAGCCCAUUUUAAAUCAGUCUGUUGUCCCUUUUUUUUUUUUUUUUUUAACUUAAAAAAGAUAUAUCAAAUUUGGCUGUAAUUUGUCAUGCUUUCAGCAGUAGAGACCAAUUUUGCCAUUACUAUUAUUCGUCAGGAUUUUUUAGUGGGUUUCUUCCCUUGGUAUUUAAUCAAAACAAAUGGUACAUCUAUACUAUUAAUUGGGAAAUAUUGAAUAUUAAGUAACCUUUAAUUUGUAGAAUAUUACAAAGAAUGCUAUUGGUAAUUUUUAAAUCAAAGAGUAAAUUAAAAAAAUUGGAUAAGGUUAAAGUGGACAAAUUGAUCGGAUACAUAACGUGGAUCUUGGGUUUGUUUUCGGAUAAAACGCGGACCCUAUCCAGCGUUAUACGGUCUGGGACGCGGAUCCUCGAUUUGACCCGUUUGGGUAACAAAUCAUUAAGAUUUUACUCCGAUAAUAUUCUCUUGUGCUGUUACACAAAAUAAUUUCGAAAAUCAUUAAGACAGUUGCCAAAACAAUCAACAGAAAAUCAACGCAAAAUAAUUGCCAAAUUAAAUCACCAAAUAUAAGGAACAUAACCAAUUUUGUAGGAACUGUUUUCAAUAAGAUCUAAUCUCAUUUAUUAUAUUUGCCUAAUUUCAAAAGUAUAAAAUAUUAUAUUCCUAUCAAAUGAAGCAUCUACAUAUACAUUUUUACAGGGGAUUUUUGCAAAAAGUCUUUUGGAUCCGGGUUUUACCCGGGUUUAACUCUAUUCGGAUCUAGAAUAAGAAAUUUAAGGAAGUUUGUAAUAAAAACGACAUUAAUUAUUAAUUAACACCUAAAUUAGAAAUAUAUAUAAUAUAUCUAAACUAACCAUAUUUGUUAUUUACCUUAACUACUUCUAACCAUAAUUAUUUAACUAUUUAUUUCUAUAUGGAAAGAAUAUGUGAUUAAAAUAAAUAUUUUGUAAAAGAUUGAUUUGGGGAAAAAUUGUUAUUACGAAAAUAAUUUGUUUUGUUAUAAAAAUUAAUAUUUGUUAUUUGUAAUUAAAUUACAUAAAUAGUAAUAAUAAUUUGUCUACACCAUCAAAUGAAAAUAGUUAGUUAUUUAUUUUUUUAUUUAAUAUUACGUCAUUUUUAAAAAAUAAAUUCAACAAUAUAAUGUCAAUGAGUUUAAUUCUAAAGAUUUGAAAAUAUUAAAAAGAUACUAACCAAACAUUAUCUAUCCUAAUUUGUUUCUAACAAUUUCGACACAAAUCUUUCGAAAAUUUAAUGUGAUCACAGUUUGUUACUAAAAUCUCGAUUAUAUGCCUAAAAUCUCGAGAAGAUCUUCCUUUAAAUCCGCAAAUUAUAAUUUUUGAAUUAAAUAAACUAACAAUACGAAUAUUCCUAAUAUAUUCGAGUACUAAUAAUCCUUAUUAUAGUAUAUUCCUUAUCUAAAUACUAAAUCUUUUAUUUUUAAUUCUAAUCAAAAUUUAUGAAAUCGGAAAUCAAUUAUGAUUUCUUAAACAUCCUUAAAUUUCGAAAUAAUCAACAAUUCGAAUAUGCUGAAAAAUCAUAACGAAAUAUCUUUAUUUACUUAAAUGUUUUAGUAAUCGUUAUAGCAAAAAAAUCAAUUCCAGCGCUAUUGGUUCUUUAAACUUUUUGAUUUACAUAGAUAUUUUGUAUUCCAUAAUUAACUCAUUAAAUUCUUUGAUUUAAAUAACUACAAUGUGAAAAUUAGUAUAUGUAAUAAAUAUAACAUAUAAUAUUUACGAGAUUUUCAUAUACUUGAUCCCCAACCCAAAUUGACGAAUAUAUUAUUUCUCAUAAAAUAUCUUUAAAAGAUUUUUUUUUGUUUCGUUUAGAUAUUAUUCAACAAACUUCCUAAAACAAAUGGAAAUAUCUUUAAUUAGCUUUCCUCAUUCAUAAAUCCCACCAUGCAUAUAGACGUUAUUCAGUUGAUAAUACAAAAUUGAAUAUAUUAGGAAUCAAAUAUUUAAUUUUCCAAUAUUUGCAAAAUUGUUUUAAUUUUUAGAUCAAACCUAAACUUCUCGAGUACUUUUUAUUCAUCUAUAUAAAAAAGAUAUUUUCAACCAUUGAUCCACAAUACUAAACGUUUUCGUAAUAGAGAUUUAUAUGGCUUCUUUUAAACAAUGUUCUUAGUACAUUUUAUAUUUCACGUUUGUUUUCUUUUAAAAAAUUAAUUGUCACCUACUUUUCUUAUGUUGCAGCUUUCGAUUUUAAGAUCUUUGGAAAUUAUGGACAUCAUCAACUCCGUCUCCAAAGAAACUAUCAAAUAAGGUAUGCAUUAAAAGGUUAGUUAGUCCUUCUUCUUAUCUUCAGAUACGAAUUUUUUUUAAUGUCCAGUAUUUUUUUACAUUUUCAUAAUUUCAUGUUUCUUCAUAAUGUUUGUAAAUGAUUUUUUUUUAUAGGCUAACAUAACAAGUCCAUUCUAUUAAAAUCUUUUUCUUUAACGUAAAAAGGAAAUGAAUUUGUUAAUAAAAUAAAGUUCUUAUUCUUAAUUUUCAUUAUUCUAAUGUUAUGUAUUUUAAUUGUUUUUAUGAUAUAUACUUUUACUAAAACCUGUGGAUCCGAGUUUUGGUUGGUAAGUGUAAUUUUUCUAAUCUUUUAAAACCUUUUACAACAAUUACAUGUUUUAUAUGGUUAACAAUCACAUCAUAUAUAUUUUAUUUUCUUAUCCAAUGUAUUUCAUGUUUAAUGUUUUCUAAUAUUUUUUAUUGAAACUUUUAAAUAGUUUCAAAAUAUUAUAAACAUUUAAACUUUAUUAAAAGUAAAAUAUUAUAAUUAUUUAAACAUUUAAAAAAGUUUAUUUUUAUAAAACGUUUUAAAUAUUUAUAAUAUUAUGAAUUUUAUAAAGUUUCAAAUAUUAAAUAGUUGAAUUUUAUAAUAAUUUAUAAGAAAUUUAAACAUUAUAAAUAUUUACAAAAGAUAAUAAUCGGGACGGUAUAUUACGGGUGAAAUCCUAGAUAUAACAAUCAAAAUACUAUUAUGAAUUUUGGGUCGAUAUUAAAUGAAGUUUCGAAUAUUAGAAAUAUUUGAAUUUUAUUGGAAAAUGACAAAAUGAUGUAGAUUUCACGGGACAGAGUUAUAUGGUCGGACGGAUUUGGGGUGGAUAUUAAUACAGUAUGAUAUACUACAGGUGAAAUCCUAUAAUUAACAAUCAAAAUAUAACAAUACAAUCUUAAACACUAAACAAAACUAAACAAAUAAUAUUAACAAAACAAAUAAAACUUCAAAUUUUAAAUCUUUAGUUAUAAAAUAUCGUGUGUACCAUACAUUUAAAUCAAACAAAACAAUAGCAUAUAUCUAUAGAUCAUCUUAAAAAAAAAUUAAUUUUAUUAUUAUUUAAUAAAAUUAUAGACCCGCGGUGUACCGCGGGUUAAUAUCUAGUAUUCUAUUAAUGAUUCUAUUAAAUACGGUUACGCAAAUAUAUUUUCAUAUUUACAAAAGUAAACCCUAAAAAUGAGAGUUGUAUCUGUAAUAGUAUAUAUAGUAAACUCGAUAAUCAACUUUCAUAACACAAUCCUUCAAAUCUUAACUUCAUUAAUUUCUUCUUUUUUUUGGUCAAAAAAAUGGCUGCAAAUCUUCCUAUCACGGAACUUGCUAACGUGAAACCUUUUCAAAACAAUCGUUCACUCAUAGACUCAACACACUCAAUUCACACGAGAGACAAUGAAAAUGAUUCUUGCUACUGUUUCUGUAAGUAUUUUUAACUUUCUAACUUCAAACCUUUCAUAUUUAAAAAGGAUUAUUGUUUUGCUUACUACAAUUGUGAAUUUUGUAGGCUACUUUGAUUCAUGCUACUAUAAAUAAACAACAGAUGAACAAGCUGCAAAGGUUUAUCAACUCUGGAGAGUGGAGAUUUAUUAAAAAUUUACUCUCUCAAAAUCUAUGGGAAAGUACAGAGCUACCAAACAUGGUUGCAAAAUGUCCCUCAUGAACACUACUAUUAUCACUCGGUGUUCUUCUCUUUCAGAUGAUGUUUUCUUCGAUUUGCAAACUAUCAAGAUAUUUUGAAUGAAUCACGAUUGAAUGCGAAUAUCUUUAUAGGUUUUUUUAUGUUUAGUUAUAGCUUUAUCUUGCAUAUAAUUUUUUUUCCUUAUAUCUUUAUCUUGCAGGAUCUUCAUCGUUGUUAUGAUAUACUACUUUUGAUUAAACAUACAAAGACUAAUAUGAAUAAACAACAGUAUAAAAGUCACAUGAGGCACUAACCUUUUACAUAUAUAUUUCUGGAUAUCUCCAAUGAGGCAAUGACUAUAUAACUCUUCCCUUCUCCAUAUUUUUAUGUUAAUAGAAUCGAAUGCUUCACAUUAGAACAUUGAAUAUUGUUAUUAACAUGUUAAACUUUUUAAAGUAACUCAAUAACAGUAAGUAAAGCUGCAAAUCUGAGAAACAAAAGCGUAAGAAUUGAGAUUUCACCAACCUUUUACAUAUAUAUUUUCUUAUAGCUACACUGACAAAAUCAUAGAGCUUCUCCCAUAGUCUCAUUGUCUGUAUCGCAAAUCAUCCUUCACAUUAAAUCGUUAAUACACAGGCAAGGAUGAUUUUGUUUUAAAAUACAAGAUCAAAACAAUGUGCCAUAUAUAAAGUAACGUAUCUUAAGCUCAAUAAAACCAGGGAACUCUGCAAACAUAAUCAACAAAAUUUUAAAAAUUAAGAAUCUUACUAACCUUUGACACAUAUAUUUAUGAAUAGCUAUAAUGACAAUAUCCCAUUGUCUCCUCCAUUGUCUGAAAUUACUUGCUAAUCAUCCUUCACUAGAAUACACAACCAAAAAAAAUUAAAAAUUCAAAACACAGUAUACACAAAAUAUACUCAAUUUAUUGCUUUCAAACUAUAAAAAGCUACGGAUACUCGAGAUUAACUGUAUACAGAGCUACUCUAUACAACAAUUCAAAACCACUGUAAAUCAAAUUCGUAUACAAACCUUAAAAAAAAUCUAUCAAAAACUAAUUUUAAAUCAGCCUUAAGAGAUCCGGCUUCUUGUAAAUCCUUGGCGAUUCUAUACUAUUAAAACAAAAAAUUUCAAAGAUUGGAAAUUGAAUCUGACAUAUACAAAAGCUGUACAAGUAUAAAUUUGAUUUAAUAAAUAGAUUACCUCUUCGUAGAAUUCACGAAUUGAAACCCACCAGAGGUAUAAUAGGAGACGAUGAUGUUCCUAUGAGAUUAUCGUAUUUGAUUCUGGAGAUCGAUCGAUGGUCUUCGUUAUUUUCACUAAAAUUCCUUUUCUCUUUUUUUGGUAAUAAGACAACAAAUUGUUCACAGCAAAUAUCUGUCCAAAUACACUAAUAUCCCGUAUUACGGUAAAUACAUAAAAACAAAUGGAAUACUAAAUAGCUCCACGAGGUUUACAAUUGGGCCUAAAACAAUAUUUUAAAAGCCCAUUCAAUCUAGAUCGGAAAAAAUAUUUGGGCCAUUAAUUAACAUAUUGGCAUUAAAGAAUAUUAAUACAUAAUACUCGACCAUUAUCUACGGGUAACAAAAUUAUAAUAUCCUUUACCCGUCUUUAGGUCAAGCGUACCUUUUUUCGAAAUAAGUACGAGUCGGGUAACAGAUCGAAUACAUGGAAUGAGUAUACAAUGCCCAACCCUAUUAUACUAUACAAAAAUACAUAUACGAACAAAACCCCGCAUGAAUCUUCAACCUUAUCCUUCCAAAAUCCAACUAUUUUUUAUACAAACUAUACCCAAAUACAUAUUUUAUCGACCAUUUGAUUUUUUACCAUACCAAUAUAUUCAAUCAUGUAAUAUGUCACACAUAAUCUAUUUUUAAUAAUCAUCCCAAAUUCAAAUUGAUAUACACACAUUCAAAACCUAUAUGACAUAAGUUCUAUACUCAGAAAAUUGUAUGUUAACAAAUUCCCACACGUAGGUGCGGGUCCGGAUCUAGUUAUAUUGUACAACAUAAGCGUUAAUGAUAUAGACUAUAGUUCACACAAACAUUACUUUUUUUAAUUAACAAAUAAAAAAAACAUUACUUUGUAUUUCACUAAGGCUUGUUUGGCAAUUAUACGAAAUUUUGUUGUUUUAUAUAGAACACAAAUCAUUACUGUAUUUUAUUUUUGAUUGUAGAAACCAUAUGAAAUGUCCAAAAAAAUGUGUUUUUUUAGUAAUUUGAUGAUACAGAGAUUAAAUGAAUAAACAAGAUAGAAUGUUUUCUUUUGUUCUAUACCCUUUCUUUUUCUAAUGUUCUAUAUAUGUAGUAAACAAAACCUUUUACUCAAAACGAUUAAAGACGCACUUUCAACCAUUAAUUCGAUCACCAAAACCUAGCUAGCCCACCGUAACCCUAAUCCGCAUCUCCAGUAGCUAGACCCAAAAUGGCCUUACGCUAGCUACUUUCUUAAUUUUCCAUGGUAUAUAUAGUGCCAUAAGCUUCAUUUUAUCAUUGAACUGGGUUAUUGCUGCAAAUGACCCUUCAAAAAUUGCACAAGCUUGCAUUAGGAAGAAGCCUAAGUAACUCAGAUGCAAAUUGCACAAGAUUGCAUUAGAGAUUUUACCUCUUCAGACACGAGAGAUUUAAAAGGCAAAGAGAAAAUCAGAAAGCCGUGGUUAAUUUAUUCAUUCAGACAACCCACCAAACCAUGAGUUUCAGUUGCGAAAGUGUGUUGGAUAGCCUGAGGUACCUAUGCAUCUGACUACUCUAGUCCCCUUUGUCUUCUCAGGUAGCUCAUAACCAAUCAAUAUCUUUGCUUUAAAACGAGCGACGGGGCGUCGCACCAACCAAUCAACGUGAUUCAGGUUAGGGUAGAGUUUGCGGACGUAUGCAUCAGCAGCUGUAUAGCCUUUAGUCCUUAGAAUAAGAUCAAGCUCGCAAGUAGUCAAUGACACUCUCUUCCUCUCCUCCUCCAUCCACUCAAAGAUCUCAAUGGCAUGGUAAUGUUUUCCCUCCUUGUCCUGUUUACCCCAUUUAAGCAGAUCUUCUUUGGUGAUGGCAAAACGCUUUGAUCUAAACUCAUUUAAUGUUUCUGCAGCUACACCUACUUUCUCUUCUUCCUCCAACCUACGAAACAGGAGAGAGAUAUAGACCUUACCGUCGUCGUCGCCAUGUGAUGUGAUGAUUGAUUCUUGCUAGCAUCAUUUACCAAAUUAAGAGUCUCCUUGGCGGAUUUAUCAUCGCCGGUUCUCAUCAGAUGCAUAGCCCAGCGUAUCAGAUCUGAUUUGGUGACGGAGUCGGGCUCCUUCUUCUCAAUCAUCAUCAACUUUCUUAACGUGUAUGCUAUUAUUCCCUCCGGCUCAGUCAGAGAUUGCAUGCAGUUUCUCGAACAUGAUUCUCUUCUUCUCCAUAUCCGCCUAUUUUCCACUUUUGCCUUCGCUAGUGCUUCGACCCUGAUCGAAGCCGGAGCAUUCUCUGUUAAACAAACCGUUUUGAAGAGAUGGCUACCAGGACCAAUGAAACGGCGGAAGUUCAUCGUCUUUCCAAGCCCUCAGAGUUCACUAAACCCUAAUUCCAUAAUAUAUAGCUUUCAAAAGUUUAUUAGAAUAAUAAGGGUUAGCUUUCUUAUCUUUAAUUUCGUUUUUAAGAGUUGAGAAACUAUAAACUAAAAUUUUUGACUAUGUCUGUAAUCAUUUUAAAGCCAUGUACAGUAUAUCAUAAGAAAGUGUGCUAUAUAUAUAUGUCAUACUAAAUUUUUUUAAGUUAAUACUUUUGAUGUGAAGAUCAGCAUUAUAGAUUUGAUUGUAAAAUGCUUUAAUCUGUUUAUCUACUCUUAUUAAAAGGUAGCCAAAUUUAGUUUAAUUACUUACUUUUAAUAUAUAUUUUCACUUAUGUUAAUAAAAUAUGAAAGCUAAUAAUGUUAUUUUUUAUUACCUCCAAAGUGAUGUAUAUAAAAAUGCAAGCAAUGGAAAUCACUUUAAGAGUUGAGAUAUAAUGUUCUCAAAGUUGACUACAUAAUGACACUAAUUAAAUCCUUAAAUCAUGUUUUCUAAAGUUGACUAAAAUAAAAGAGCUACUAAUUAAGUCUUUAAACUCUUCUAAAUAAUUUGUUUUCAACUAUAUCUUAAAUUUAAUAGGGCAAAAGAACCAAAUUCUCCCAACUCACUUUGGAAAUAAGUAAUGUUUGGAACUAAUUUUGACUAAAUAUAAGUGCAACAAGUAUUAAUUCAAAACAAAUUUACUACGCAAAUUCGGCAAAUGUAAAAUGUCAAAUAUAUCUAGUAAUUAAACAUGUUAACCUUAUGUGUGAGUUGUCGAAAUGAUAAACUAGAUUGUUAAGUACUUCAGUUAGUCUUUGUUCUUCAUCAUUUUUCUCUAUAAGUAAGUCCCUUUCCAUUUUCAUCAAUAUGCAUUUAUCUUAUUCAAACAUCAUAACAUUACAACAUAUAACUUUCCUUGAUAUUAAAAGUGCAUACAAAGUAUCAAAUAUUUAAAUACCUAUCCGGGUGCAAUCACAUAUCCAAGCCAUCAGACCUAAAUUUGCAAAAGCCCGAUGGAUCCGAUCGACAACAAAAUGUUGUCCUCUGAUUCGAAUUACGCUAGUGAUAUUAGCGACAAUGCCUCCGCCACCGGAUCGAUAGAGAAUCCAAUGUACAAAUGCAAGUAUUGUCCUAGGAAAUUCGAUAAAACACAAGCAUUGGGUGGUCAUCAAAAUGCUCACAAGAAGGAGAGAGGGGUAAAAAAACAACAUGAAGCAUUUUUGGCGCAUUUGAACCAACCGAAACCAGACCUUUACUUGUACUCGUAUUUGCAUCCGCAUUCAUUUCCUAACCAGUACGCACUCUCACCGGGAUUUGAACAACGUCGUUACAAAGUUGAUAGAAUUGACAAUAUGUCCAUGGUCUACAACCAAUAUAUGGGAUCUUCAAGCUCUGGCUUUUUAGGACUACGAAGUGAUCCAAGUCAAAGAAUGGACCGGGGUUCGACCUUUAACGGGAUCUCAUCCCAAACUCAACCUCAACCUCAACCGCUAUCGUCUGCAUCGUCACCAGUGUGUUUAGAUCUUUGUCUUGGUGUUGGUAGCUCCCAAACCCAACCACAACCUGAAGAACCAAACGAUGCAACAGAAGAGAUGGAUGCUAAGAAAGAAAAUGAUGGUUCUUCUCUUUCUCUCUCACUCAAGCUAUGAAGUUGUAAUGCUUCCCUUUUAAGUAUUUUUCUUUAAUUUUGAUUUAGUUUUAGAUUCACCACCUUUGUUUUCUUGCAUAGUAUCGGCUUGUGUCAAAUCAGUACUUGUGCACUUAAACAUUGUAAUAAACUUGGUUGUUAUUUGCAUUUGAAUUCAUAAAAUACAAAAACUUUAUAUUGUUCCAACUUUUGGGGUGUAAAAUUCUAUUUAUAAGAAUUUGAGAUGCAAUCUCAAUUUAGUUAUUUUAUGAGUGAUACGAUACAAGACAUCAAAAAAAAAAAAAAAAAAAAAAAAAACACACACUCUUUCGAAAGGAGGCGGUUUUUGAAACUUUCGAGCUCCUUCUUCUCUCCGUCAUCGUUCCUCUCCCAUCCCAUGGCACAGUUUCUUCGACACUUCUCUUCCCCUCCCAUGGCGAACGAAGACGAAUUUCAAUCUCCGGUAGAACCAUCGCAGCAAUCUCAGGACUGUGUUUCAGAGUCUUAUUUGAUAGGGUUUGUUAUCGCGAACAUAGUAGGGUUAAAGUACUAUUCCGGCCGAAUCAACGGUCGAGAGAUGGUAGGUCUGGUUCGAGAACCCUUGAACCCAUAUGAUAAUAACGCAAUCAGAGUACUGAACACACGAUCUGAGCAAGUGGGUCACAUCGAGCGUACGGUAGCAGCCGUUCUCGCGCCGUUGAUUGAUUCUCACACGAUCAUCGUCGAAGGUAUUGUACCCAAUACUCGUUCUAACUCCAAUAGGUUUAAAAUUCCGUGUCAAAUUCACGUUUUUGCAAAGUUAGAAGCCUCCUCUACUGUCAAAUCGACGAUUUCUAGAGGUGGGUUAGUGUUGAUUUCGGAUUCAGAUACAGCGUUUGGGUUAUCUGAGGCUGUUGUGGUUAAGGAACAGAUGGGUAAUGGAGAUAAGAAGAGUGUUGACAAGAUUUUCAAAUUGGUUGAUAGGAAUGUGAAGUUAAAGGGGAAAUUGGUAGCGGUUGAGCCGCCGAGGGAAGUGAUAAAGUCUGAACUUUUUGCUCAUCAGAAGGAAGGAUUGGGUUGGUUACUCUACAGAGAGAAAUCUGGAGAAUUGCCUCCGUUUUGGGAGGAGAAAGAUGGAGAAUUCUUGAAUACUUUGACGAAUUACCGCUCGGAUAAGCGGCCUGAACCUUUGCGUGGAGGGGUGUUUGCUGAUGAUAUGGGGUUGGGUAAGACCCUUACUUUACUUUCCUUGAUAGCUUUUGAUAGAUAUGGCAAUGCAUCCACCAGUACGCCAACCAAAGAACCUUUGGAUGUUGAAGGAGACAAGAUUGAAAAGAAGGGUAAAAAAAGAGGAAGAGGCAAGAGCAGUGAAAGUAGAACUCGAAAGAAGCUUAAACCUGAUGAUGUUGUUGGCAUGAAUGUGUCUCAAAAGACAACGUUGAUCGUUUGUCCGCCUUCUGUGAUUUCAGCAUGGAUUACACAGUUAGAGGAGCAUACUGUACAGGGAAGCUUGAAGGUGUAUAUGUAUCAUGGUGGCGAAAGGACAGACGAUGUUAAUGAGCUUAUGAAAUAUGAUUUAGUGCUGACUACUUACAGCACUUUAGCUGUUGAGGAAUCGUGGGAAGAUUCUCCUGUCAAGAAGAUGGAGUGGCUGAGAAUAAUUCUUGAUGAGGCACACACCAUUAAGAAUGCAAACGCUCAACAGAGCCGAGUAGUUAGCAAGUUGAAGGCUUCUCGCAGAUGGGCUGUCACAGGAACUCCUAUUCAGAAUGGUUCAUUUGAUUUAUACUCUUUGAUGGCGUUUCUCCGGUUUGAGCCAUUUUCGAUUAAGAGUUAUUGGCAAAGCUUGAUACAACGCCCGCUUGGUCAAGGGAAUAAAAAGGGUCUUUCACGUCUGCAGGUAAUAAUAUAUUACUCACAGAUAUGCCUCUUUAUGUUUUGCUCUUUGGUGAAAAGUUAUUCAAUUACACGCUUUUCAGGUUUUAAUGGCGACAAUUUCAUUAAGGAGAACAAAAGAAAAGAGUUUGAUUGGUUUACCGCCUAAGACUGUUGAAACUUGUUAUGUUGAGCUUUCUCCAGAAGAACGUCAGUUAUAUGAUCACAUGGAAGGAGAAGCGAAAGGUGUUGUGCAGAAUCUUAUAAAUAAUGGAAGCUUGAUGCGCAACUACUCAACAGUUUUAAGUAUAAUCUUACGGCUUAGACAACUUUGCGACGACAUUUCUCUAUGCCCUCCAGAAUUAAGAUCUUUUACCACUUCUACAUCUGUCGAAGGUAAAAACAAAACUGAUACAUAUUCUUACUUUUGGGUUCAUAGCUUAAAAAUCUUUGUGCCUUUGUGAAACAGAUGUAAUAGAUAAGCCAGAGCUUCUGCAAAAGCUGAUUGCAGUAUUGCAAGAUGGUGAAGAUUUUGACUGUCCAAUUUGCAUUUCACCACCAACAAACAUCAUCAUCACUCGAUGUGCUCACAUCUUUUGCAGGGCUUGUAUCCUUCAAACCCUUCAAAGAAGUAAACCAUUGUGCCCUCUUUGCCGUGGCUCCCUUACCCAGUCUGAUCUCUACAAUGCUCCGCCGCCUCCUCCGGAUGAUUCCAACACCGACGGAGAAGACACCAAAUCUUCAACCAAAUCCUCAAAGGUCUCAGCUUUACUAUCACUGCUCAUCGCAUCGAGACAAGAAAGCCCCAACACAAAGUCUGUUGUGUUCUCUCAAUUCAGGAAGAUGCUGCUUCUACUAGAAACUCCACUAAAAGCUGCGGGUUUCACCAUCUUACGCUUGGAUGGAGCAAUGACUCUGAAGAAACGCACCCAAGUCAUUGGAGAAUUUGGGAAUCCGGAGUUAACCGGACCUGUGGUGUUGCUAGCGAGCCUCAAGGCCUCUGGUGCGGGCAUAAACCUAACUGCAGCCUCAAGGGUUUACUUGUUGGACCCGUGGUGGAACCCUGCAGUUGAAGAACAGGCCAUGGACAGGAUUCAUAGGAUUGGGCAGAAACAAGAGGUUAAAAUGAUAAGGAUGAUUGCGAGAGACAGUAUCGAAGAGAGAGUCCUUGAGCUUCAGCAGAAGAAGAAGAAUCUAGCUAACGAAGCUUUUAAAAGAAGGCAAAAGAAAGAUGAAAGAGAGGUUAACGUUGAAGACGUGAUUGCUCUCAUGUCUCUCUGAAACUCUCAAUCAGUGCUUAGCUCCUUAACCGGAUUUUUUUGUUCCCUCUAAGAUUACAAUAACCGGUUAUUUACUGCUUUUGGUACGUAACCUUAACCGAUGUUUAUGUUGCCUUUAUCAACUAGACUUCUGUCUCGGUUAGUUUAAUUUAAUUAUGGGUUAGCUUGAAAUGCUUUUUCUGGUUUCAGGCCGGUUUACUUUUGGAUCGGUCUAGUUUGGUUUAACUUGACCAAAUUAAAAGACAGGGCAACGACGGUCGUCCGAUACUAUUCAGUUCAUGUUUAUUUGGUCGUUUUUAAUGACCGACUUAAGUGACAUUAAGUUGGGCGUUAGAUACUUAUGAUGAGUCCUUCACCAACCAUGUUUACUUGACGUCAACACAAUAAUUCUCGUUUUCUAAUCUUCAUAAAGUCAAAAGAAUCAAACGGCGUCAAAUACGAAAGGGUCAUUUACUCUUUUCCAUAUCGUUAAAAGUCAUAACACAAAAAGAAGAACGUAUAAAUAAAUUAUCAAAGUAAUAAUAAUCAACGAUACAAAACACAAGAAAACCGUAUAAAUCCAAACUAAUUUUACGAUCUCUGUUGGUUCAAAUUUCCGGAUGAUAAAAAGAUGUACUAGUAUUUAGUACAAUCAAAUUUAAACUUUGACCAUUUUAGUUUGUAUAGUUGAUAUUUGGAACAACACAAAAUCACAAUUUGGUAUCCACAUUUGAUGACACAACUACAUAUUCGGUUUAUAUAUAACGGUACAAUACAAUUUUUUUCUUAAUAAAGAAAGUCAACAAAUUUGCUCUCCCCAUUUCUGCAUUUUGACAUUUUUCUAUCUUUUGAUUAUUUUCCAGCAAAGAAAACAUUUUUUGUCAACAAUUUAGAUUAAUGUACGAUAAUGUGUGAGUUGUAAACAAUUAGACACUCUAUUGAUAGUUGCUUAGAUAAUUUAUACACUACAAUUUUAGAUACGAGAGUGACACAAACACACAAUAAUUUGUUUAUAUUGCAAGAUAACCGAAAGUCUUUAACAAGAGAAAAAAGAUAAUUGUUAGUGAUGGUGACAUAGUUAGAGCCGCUAUAAACUGAAAACAUAUGAAAAGAGGUGUUAAAACACAUUGUGUUUACUUUCAUUCCUAGAUUAGCCAAUUGUAAGGCUGAUUUUUUUGCUAAAGACGCUCUUGUGGCGUUUGUAAACUCUCUUAUUCCCUAAGUUAAUGGAGUCUUGUUCUGUUUAAAAAAAGAGGUGUUUCACUUUGAAUUUUCAAUUGCUAAGAGAUAUUAGUAAGGUAAAUAUUAUUUUAAACUAUGAUAUUAUGAAAAUUUUAGCUAGCGAAACAGAAAAGUAAAAUUAUUCAUUCUUUUCAUUUUUUCCGGUAUAAAUGUAAAAUUUAUUAAAAAAACAUUUGUAUUUUAUUCCUUUACAUUUUAAUAAGUAAUCAAGAAUAUUAAAAAUAAAAAUAAAAAUCUGACAGUCUGCUUACCACUUCAAAAUGAUGUUUAGCAUUUGAGAGACUGUUUAGCAUUUUUGAUAGUAUUAAUUUUCAUCUAUAUAAUGAUUCCAUCAUUACACUAUUAGCGUAAGGUACCAACUACCAAGUAAUUGAUCACAACAUAAAAUAUAUCUCACCUCAGCUUUGCGCUAGCUGUGACGAUAUCAAAAGGGCAUAAAAGUAGUGUAAUUAUAUUGGUCAGAACAGUUCCAUAAUGUUGAAUCCGGUAUGGCAUUUUCGAUUAUAUAUUAAGUUAUGGCUUGGACCUUGGAAUAAAGUUACAAACUCGGAUAAAAUCAUUAGUAUAUAUAACAUUGAUUCAACAGGUAAAACAAAAAGUUUGAUUCGAAUUCUUGUAUAAUAUGAUGUUGUGGACAAGAAAAAUUUGAGUCUUGUGACUCUUGUUGAUCAUGUUUUGGAUUAAUUAAGUACACAUAGCUCUAAUAUACAAAAAAUGAUCAUAUAUUUUAAACAAUCCGAAAUCGCUCACAUUUCUUUUACAUGUGGUCGUAUGGAUAGCAUAGAAUAAUAUUUAUGUUCUGUUUUGAUAAAUUUGAUGAAUAUUACACAAGUAAUAACUUUUUUUUUGGUGGGCAUAUUACACAAGUAAUAACUGAUUAGACCUUUAAACAAAUGUCCGUUUUAGAACAAGUAUGCCACAAUGAUACAAAUAAAUACAUGCAUAUAUAUAUAUAUUGAAUAAUUUGAGGCUAAAAAUUCCAAUUUUUCUUUCCAACUUGGUCUAAAAAGUGUCAUUUUAUGAUGCAAUAUAUUAUGAUUUAUAUUUUUAUUUGGUAUAAUAAAAAUUGUAAUGAGAUCGUUUGUGGGUAGAUGGAUUUGUUAUCUCUUCCACACAAAACACGCACCAGUUUUCAUUUCAGUAGGUCCAAUAGAACACCGUAAAGCAGCCACUAUAUCUGCUGACGUGUCGGCUAAUCAACGUCUGUCACGUAACGGUGGCUGUGACAAGCCCGUGAGGUUAGCACUCAAACGAGUCCCAGUGUUUUCACGCGUUUAAGCGUCAAUUGAUUCUGAUUGGCUUUGUAAUCACCACCGCCCCAAAUCCCGUACGACUUCGUUUUGUCACGUAUAACAUAAAAAUCAAAUAAUUAAUAUUUAUUUUUGGGGGUCGAUUUUGUUGACCAACAAUUAAUAAAUGCUUCAAAUUCCACUAACAGAAACUUCUGUUUCUCUUAUUUUUUUAGCGCUCUAACAAAACAAGCUAAGUUUAAUAGUCCAAUUUAUAUGACUUUGUAAAACACAAAACAAAUAUCUUAACUUUUACUUACUUAUAUAUACCUAUUAUAAUUAAACAUUUACGAUUGUGGUCUCAUAUAAAGAUAAGACACGCUAUUAGAAAAUGCAUGUUAACAUAAGCGAAUUGCAGACACAAAGAAAAACAAUGGAUAUUUUAUCAACAACAACAAAACAUAAGACAAUAAUUAAUGGAUGUCAUAAUAUAUAAUAGAUGUUAUGUCUUUUUGGUAAACUGUGAUACAGUGAUAGUAAAUUAUCUAAAAUAAAUACAUUAUGACUAAGUUAACGUUUGGUUGGAUCCUACCGGAAUAAUAUGAGUCAGGUUUAGAAUUGUAACUUUUAUUCAUCUAUUGUAAAUAAACUCUACACAUCUUAUGGCCUUAAAAAGUAUGGUUAUGUUGGAUAAAAAAACACAAGUAUGGUUAUUGAGAAAUUGUCCAUGAAUUAAUGAAAAAGCCGUGAGGGUAACGAGCUUUAUGGAAAUUGGGAACAAUUGUAAACAAACUUUGUAAAAUCAUUUUGCACCUAAUCCAAAGUACAAAAUACUACAAAAAAAAUUGUAUAAUAUUUUAAAACCAUUGUAAACAAAGUAAUACUUUUCUCUGUCUUACAAAUAUGAACAAAGUACCUAAUCCAAUUACAUAUAAAAAAAACAUGAAUUAAUAGUGUAACAUGAAACCAUUUUGGUUUGGAUCGUAGUUAGUAUUUACCAAAUAUUCUAUAUCACUCUUUGACUAGAGGAUAAACGCUUUUUAUCAGCAGCAUUAAGAAAUAGUUCAAAUUUCAAUUCAGAACUUCUCAUUAAAGUCCUUAAACAAAUCUCAUUAGUAGAAUUUACUUUUGACAUUUUCCAACGUAAUAUAUAAUCCAUUAACAACUUAUUGUAACAAAAAAAAAAAAAAAAAAACGAGUUUGACCUUGUUUCACUUAACUUGUGUCGUCGUUCAAGUACAACGCAUGUGUGGGUGAAAAAAAGAAUAAUGUUUUUAAAGUAAUAAUGAAAAGCCAAAUAAGACCGAUCAGGUCAAAAGAAAGCCGUAAAGAAAAUCCAACUUAAAAUAAAUAAAUCUCUUUUACCAAACAGAUACAGAGACUUCAAUCAGAGAAUUAAUUUUUUCUCUUUCUUCUGAAUUAAUAAUAAGAAAAAGAAGAAGCUUUCUUGUUGAAUUGAAUUUGUAGCUGGUAUAACGUAGUAGCACUUGGGUUUUAAGAUAGACAACGUAACCAAAAACUGUUUCAUGUUUUGUCUGUUUUUCCUCUUUUGGUUUUUUUGAGUUUCCUCUUUCUCAUCUUUGCGGUGCAUUUUUCUAAUUUUCUCGGGAAAAUCCUUUGUGGGCUUUCCGGGAAAGUUUUUUGUCAGAUUCGGAAACAGAUUAAAAGCGGAGCCAAAAAUAAAAUAAUAGAAAUCCAUAAGAACUACCAAACAGAUUUUGUGUUUAUCUUUAUAGAUUCUUUUGAUCUCGUUUGAUCAUCUUCAAAGUCUCAACCUUUAAGAUUUUGAUCCUUUUAUGGUAAUUAAGACAUUGAAACAAAUCUUCUGGGUAGAUUUUGGCUCUUCUCUGAUCUUCUCUUUUCUGAUUCAAUCUUAACGAUCCCAAUCUUCUUCUUCUUCUUCCUUUUCUGGGAAAAUUUUGGCUCCUUCUGAAUUUUUGUGGGAAAAUUGAAUUGAAUCCGAUUAGUUGGAUCGACAAGAAUCGGAUUCGAAUUUUGACGAUGAAAGCAUCAGGUUCGUUAGAUAGCUGGAGAGAAUAUUUCCGGCGAGGAGAUUCCGAUAUUUUCGGGAUCAUCGAUCAUGCGAUCAUGGUGGCUGCUACUGAUUGUCCUAACAAAUUCAAAUCCAGAAGAGACAAAAUCGCCGAGCUUUUAUUCUCCUGCAGAGUGAGCCGCUGCAUCGGAUGCGACCAUCUCGAAUUGUCUGUUCCCGGAGACGACGAGGGUAAUCGCGGCCGUGGAGCCACCGGUGACGGCGGUGGUGGUACGGCGGUUGAUGAAGAUUAUGAGGUUGGUGGUAGUAAAGAGAGCAAAGCUAAUAGUAGCAGAGGAGAUAAUAAUCAUAUCGAUGAGACGAAUUUGAAUAGUAAUCAGAUUGUUAGCAAUUAUACAUUUGAUGAAGCUGAGGCUUUGAGUGAUGAGAUUGAAGAGUUUUCUGUGGUUUCUAAGGAGGUUGCUAGGAUCAAAGAGAUCUUGCUCAACAAAGAAGAUGAGGUUUGAUCUUAAGUUCUUGAAUUUGCAAUUUGUUAAUUUCAUCAAUGUGAAGAUUUUUUUUUUCUGAUUAUGUUUCUUGUUCUUCUCUUGCAGCCAAACUCGGUGUUACUCGAUUCUUUAAGACAUCUUAAGUUGAUGUCUUUGAAUGUGGAUAUUCUUAAGGUUGGUUUCUUGGUGGAUAGUGUAUGAUCCUUGAGGUUUUCGUAUGGAGUGAGUGAUUUUUAAGGUUUGCGGUUAUUCUCGCAGAGUACUGAGAUUGGAAAGGCUGUUAAUGGCCUGAGGAAACAUGGUUCUGAUAAGAUUCGACAACUUGCAAAGACUCUUAUCGCGUAUGAGUUUGAUCUUUUCCUUAGGCCAUAAGUUUGGCACCUCUUACUCUUUUUGCACUUUUGGAAUGUGAGAUUGAGUUUUUUUUUAUGAUGGGUUUAUGCAGAGAGUGGAAGGAGUUGGUGGACCAAUGGGUGAAUACCACAAAGGAAAUUACUGGUAAUUGCGCUCUCUCUCUCUCUCACAUUUCGAUUCUUUACGUCUUAUAGACUACAUCAUGUCUUACAGUUUGGUUUCUUGAAUUAGAUCCAUAGUCUUUGGUUCUAAUUUUGUGUUUAAAACAGGUGCUGAAGGUACACCAGAGUCUGCAAACCCGUCUGUCGUUGAUGAAGAAGAAGCAUUUCCAUCGCUUCCAUAUGAUGUCGAUAUCUUUACACCAGAACCAAACGGAUUUGAAAUCUCACACUUCUUUGAUUCCUUGGACUUUGAUGGAAGUGAGUUUGAAAAUUAUCUCUUGUUUGUUUGAUACCAUGUUCUUAGCUACAUAUAUUCGGUUGAUUGAUUUUCUCGGGGAUGUUUGUUUCAGAUCCUCGUAACUCUAAAGAAUACAACACAAGCCGAGAGCACGAAAGAAGACCACAAAAUAUCGCCAAGAGAAAACCCGAGGGAACACAAAUGAGGAUACAAGAUGCUCCUUUUAGAUCUAUUAAGCCAUCAUCAGAUGCUGAUUUUGAUGGGACUAGAAGACCUCUAAAGCAAAAUACAGAGCAAAGGAUGAAGAACGAAACUGUAUCUGUUCACAAGUCUGAAAAACCCAUGAUCCAAAGGAAACCGGUUGUUACAGAACAGAAGCGGAAAGCUCCCGGACCUCAACAAGAAGUGAGUGUGGAAACAAAGCUCUUGUUUUUUAUCCUAUUCUUGAACACAGAAUUGAUGGUGUUUAUUUUCUUGACCCUUGCAGAAACUUAAAGGUCUUGAUGCAGACGCAAAGUUUGAGUUUGCAAAGAGGAAACUUCAAGAGAGCUACCAGCAUCAUGAGAAUGGUUCGUUUCAUUGCCUUUCUUUUGUUUCGAGUUUUUCGAUACAUUCUUGAAAACAAAAGAACUGACAAACAUAAAAAUGUUUGUGAUCUUGCCACAGCCAAGAAGCAGCGAACGAUACAAGUACUUGAGAUGAUCCCAAAGCAAGGUAGUGCUCAGAAACCGCAACUCAAGAGACCUGGAAUGAGCAACAGGAAUUGGGCUAACGGGCGGAAAUAGCUUCUUCUCUGUCAAAAUGGUGAAUAACUCUCGGCAAAAGUCAUUUUACUCCAUACUUACCACACAUAUCUCGCAAUCUCUGGUGCAAUAAAAGGUAAACAGAGUCAAGUUCCACAAGCUGGAGACAGUAACAAGCAGAGGAGAAGGAACAGAAUCCAACAUAACUUUACUUUGAACAAACUGUUUUCUCCUCUGUUUUGUUCAGUCUUGGAUUCACCAAUUGCAGCAAGAUAGGGAUACCAAUUAUUGUUUCUUUUAUGUGUUCUUACUACAUUCUUGAGACUUUCGGUACAGUUUCGGUUUAGUCGGGUUAUGUUCGGUUUUGGGACAAGGAGAGAGGUCCCUUUACGUAUAUCUCAUACAGUAUAAAAUAUAGUAAAAGAGGGUAGAAAAGCUCAUUCGAAUUGACCGGCUCUUCACCUAACUUUGUAUAGUAAUGUGAAAUGAUUUGGGACACAAUAUAAGGAUGACGACAUUUUUUUUCCCAAAUAAAUAAAUAUAUUUAAUGAUAUCUAAUUGUUAUGAAUGAAUGUGAUUGUGACCGAAUGUUGUCAUUUCUUAUUAUUUAUGUAUAGAAAAUAAGAAAAUAAGAUGGCAUUGGAAAGGCAUAAGGAAGGUGGGUGGAUAAGAAAAGAGGAGAAGGUAGUGGUGGUGGGAGCUAACGUGGAUGGAUAGGAAUGUUGUUGCAUUGUGUUCUUUGUGCGUGUUUGUAUUAUUAUUAUUAUCAUCUCGGCGUUACGCGUUCACGCAUUUCACCACAUGUACCACGUGGACUUCUACAACUUCUAAUCUUUCACCUUUCUAUUUCUAUUGGAAACUAAACAGUUGGAUAGAGAAAAAUCUAGUUUUAUGGUCACGAUUUUAUUUUGUGAAAAGGAAACUUUAUAGUUGAUUGAACAAGUAACCCAAAUAUAUUGUUCUACAAAAACAAACGUAAUGAUUUUUGGCGUGAUUGUAUAUUCGUAAGGAUCUGUUGGUUAUUUUAAGUUUAGCAUGUGAAAUACAAAUAAUUGUUGUCUCUGUACAAAACUGAAACGACAUUUAACAUUUAGUAAGUUUCAGAAUUAAUACGUUAAAUCAUACAGUACAUUAAACUUUAAACUGAGCAAAAACCGUAAUUAAUUUUAAGGCUGUAGAAGUUCAAUCUUAAACGAUCAGCGAAGUUUUUUUUUUUUUUUUUUUUGUCAUCUGGAUAUUUUAUUUAUUGAACAAAGGUAAAAAAACUAUACAACAUUGGAAAUAAACUUCCCAAGAACAAAGCCAACGGAAAACAUAAUUUCCUUGGAAAUAAAGCUUUUAAACGAGUUAAACAAACUCGAGUGAAAUAGGGCAACGCAGAAACUAAUUGAACGAAGAAAUCGAACAGAAAUUCAACAGAAAAUAUAAGUAAGGGUAAAAUUAAAUCUCUCACUUAAUCCCUAUCCCAGGAACAUUUACACUUAACGCGCGACCCGGUAGAGCCAUGAGUGCAAUCUAAUAAACCCUAAACUUCUGAAAGAUCUUCACUCAACAAGAUCCCAAAUCAUGAAACCCCUUCUGGAAACCAAAGGCCAAUAAAUCUCCCAACGUAACACAACGAAGAUCUUUGCCUUUUAAACAAACCCAAACCAAGGAACGAAAAUUUCAAAGAUACACAUAUCUCUUGAAAUUAUUACCUUCGGUUUAAACCAUAAACCAGAAACCAAAGCCGAUCGAACUCACCUGAUGAGAUGGCGACGAGAACAUCGGAGAUAAAGCCAGCCAACUUCGCUGAAUAAGCCGAACAGGCCAGAAACUUAGCCGAACAAAACUCACUAUGAAAGCUGGGUUCGUCGGAGACAAAAGCCAUCUGAUCUCGCUGAUGAAGCCAAGAUCAACGGAGACAAUUAGAAAGAUAUAUCAAAAGCUUCGUCGGAAAAGCAAGCCAAAAUUCUUUCUCUGAAAGAUUUGUGAUGGAGAAGAGAAAGACUUUCUGAUUUGCAGGGAAGACAAAAGCAAAUGAAAAGAAACUCACAUACUAGAUCCAAUCGGAGACCAUCUCUCUGAAAAUCAGCGAAGUUUUUAGUAAUAUCUUUUUUUUUAACUCCAUCUUUUUAUAAAAUGGAAAAACAUUAUAUGAGAUCCGUAAUUAUUUUCUGGAACAUAAAGUGAGAAAUCAUCCACCGGAUCAAACAAGAUCUUAGUAUAUUUUAAGAACAUAAAAUUCUAACUUAAAAUCAAUUAAUAGUGAAUAAAUUGGCUUAUAUUCAUUACUCCCUCCGUUUCGUUUUAGUUGUCGUUUAAAGUUUUUUCACACAAAUUAUGAAAAUCAUUAAAUUUUCUGUUUUACUUUUUAUUAAUAUAUUUUAUAAAAAAAUACACUGGCCUAAACAUUAAAACAGUAGGGAUAAAACUGGAAUUUUCACCAAACAUUUGCAUUGAAAACGUAAAACCACAACUAUUAUGAAACAAAAUUUAAAUCCUAAAACGACAAUUAAACUGAAACAGAGGGAGUAUAUACUAGUACUAUAUUAGAUUACACUUCAUUUUUGAUGUGAAACAUUCUAGCAGAUCAUCAAUGACUCAAUAUAAAUAGAAAAUGUGCUCUUAAUUAAUGAUAUUUGGUUCCUAGUCAUUGGAAUUGGAAAGACUUGAAAAGUAAUUAAGCAUGAGAAAAAAAUUAAGAAAUGCUAUAUAGAUCCGAGAGAUUUUGACUAUUUUCAUUAAUUGACCAUAAAGAAGAAGGCAUCUUGUUUUUUUUCAUGCAGAAAAUCGACAUGUUUUUUUUUUCGACAUGUUUUUAGACAGAAGUUGACAUGAACAAAAGAAAACAAUAGCAUCAAUUCUGCUGCCGACACGAAGUAUUUAGGUUACCAUUUUAUAUUUUAUGUGCAGUUUAGAUAAAUAGACAGCUAAUCGUUUCAAAAUUCCUAACGUCGUUAUCAAUGGUGAGAUAAAAAAUAAGGGUUGACAAAUGCAAUAAUUUGGAAAAAUAGUUGAGUAUCAAUUCUAUGGUUAAGGGUUAUGCACACGCAAAUUAUCAAAUAACCUUUUAACCUCUUACAUAAUUUGUGUGUGUGUUAUAAAAGUCCUCUUACAUAGACAUGCAUUCCUUUGAAACAUUUGAUUGAUGGAAUCGCUUAGGCCAAAAGAGUGUUUCAACAUGCACUCAUUUGAAACAUUUAAAUAUAUUGUGGAAUUAAAAGGCAGAUCUAAUACAGUUUGGUACAGUUACCACAUUUUCGCGUUUUGACACAAGUGAUUCCUCUAUUUUUUUCAUCAUUUAUAGAACGUUCAUCAAAAUCUUCAUGGGUUUUGAAAAUUGAUUAUACUAUAGUCUAUAUAAUGGAGUAACUCAACUUGUUUGAGUUUUGUUGAGUCUUCUUCGAUUUACGAUCGGACAAGGUUGGAAACAUUAACAGAAUUAUGCGCAAAUUUAUUUAUACAAAACCUUCUCAUAAAUAAGUAAAAUUUGAAAGAAUUGAGUUAAUUGUUGGACAGUCUUAGGUUUUGAUUAAAAUGAUCCACCAUUAUGUUUCGUUUGGUUGAAGUCAUCAUUUAUAACAUACAGCAUCAAUAUUACAUGUGAUAAGAAUCAAUAUUUAGAUACGAUUACGAAUUUGAACUUAUUUCAGAAAAUGGUUUUUUAUAAACUUUAUCCACGAAAUAAACUAACUGAUAAUAUAGUUAUAAAAUCUAAAAUAUCAAUGCAUAAAAGUGAUAUAGCAAACAUAUAUAUAUGAGGUUUUAUCACUCCCUAGUUUAUUAAGAAAUCAACAUUAUUCUUCACAAGAAAUAUAGAACAAGAAAGAAAAAGGAUAGUACUGGUUUGAUGAGUUUUAAGAGAAGAUUAAUUAUUACAAGAAGAAAAUGCGUUGUGUUGAUCACAUCAAACCCAUUGUGUCGCCCGUCUCUUGCAAGGAGAAGAAGUAUUUGUGUUCCAAUUCCACCAUCUGCCCUCCAUCUGCUUGAUCAAAUUUGCACCUCCUGAAACUUCACAUUUACGGGGGGAUGAUUCCGACAAUUAGAUGAGGAAAACAGUCAGACUCCAAAAAGAGCCAAAGUGAAGUCAAGUCAUAGAAACCAAAGAGAAAAAGCUUACCUUCCAUCGAUGCCUAGGAGAAGAACAGUGUUCUCUGAUCCAAAACCUACAAUGAACUUGGUGGAAGCUGGCAACGAGAACUGAGCAAACGACCGUUCAUUUUCGUACAAGUACUUCGGUAAGAUCCCUUUCAUGAAUGACGACGAAGAAGCCAGAUUAAAACUAAGAAUGUCAGGUCUCAAACGAAAUACAUGGAGAGUCCCUUUUUCACUUGACGCAGCGACCCAUUUCCGAUUUGAAGAGAUUGCAACGUUAUAGAUCUCUGCUCUUUCCAUUCCUCUCCGCAACUACUUCACCAAGAAAACCAAACAUAUCAAACUACUUAAGUAAUUAACUAACCAUAAUCACAAAUAAAAACAAAGCCUAAAAUUUCUCUAGGGUUUAGGGAGUUUAAGAAAAAAAAAUUUAGGUUUAGGGUUAAUUACCUCUUGUAAGAGAGUACCAUCAACUGCGUUAAAAAUCCUGAUCAGGGUUCCUUUCGUGCUAGCGGUUGCGAGGAGACUUCCAUCGAGAGUAAAAGUCAUGCAAGCAAUAGCAGAAUCAUGUGCUUUGAUGAAUUUGAUUACAUUCCGUCUCAAGUUGUGGACCUGAACUUGUCCCGGAUGAAACCCGGGACAAGCCAAGACUGCUUUCGACUCAACGUGAGUGACGCAACACAGUCCUUUCGGAUUCAUGAGAGUUUCGAUCAGACGGUAAACCUUAAGGUUGUUGAAAGUGUAGACAUAGAUGUUUUGUUUCAGGACAACCACAAUGUGUUCUCUCGUUAGUUUCACGGCGAUAACUUCUGAUUUAAAAGCGAGCUCACGGAGGCAGCAAAAUCUGUGAUCGUCCCAAACGAAGACUUUGUUAGGAGGAUACUCGGAAUUGUUAUAACCAUUUCCAACAAGAGCAAAUAGGUUAGAAAGGAAGAGCAUCUCAGCGACUUUGAAGCCUGAUUCGUGCGGUUCACGGCUGAUGCUUUUCUUGAUCAUUGGUUUGCAGCUAUAUACAUUGAACCCGCGAUUUGUUCCAACUAUGAAACCACUCCAUUCCUGGUUCCAAGCUACUGAUAACACCUUCAAGUCACUCUUGGCUUCAUCAGAUGGCGAAUUUGAAGUAUCAGAUUUUGAAAGCGUGAAUAUUCCACGGACAGUGGAGACCAUCGAAUUCAUUCUUUCUUUUUUCCAACCAGAUUCACAGAAGAAACGAAGAGACAAGACUUUAGAAUAUCAAACGCUUCUCAUGAAAAGUUGGCAAAUCUUUGUUUAUAGUUUGGUAAUAUUCACGAGGGUAAAAUAUUCCUAAUAGAGUACGAAUAGGAAGAGACUCCAAAGUCCAAACCAUAUCAAAUCUUAAAAUAAUACUUUAAUCAAAAUUAAAAACCAAAAAAAAAAAACACGUCUUCAUUAAGACAUAUUUUUGAUAAAUAAAGACACCAACCACUUACAUGAAGUUAUGUUUAUUUAUUAGUUACUCCUAUUUGUGAAAGGGUUUUCAAUAAAACUAAAUGGAUACAAUGUUUUGGGUCAAAAAAAAAACAAAAACCCUAGGCCUUACAAAUUAAAGAAAAUGAUUGAACCAAAACCUACUUACGGCUGGCUUGAUGAAACGAAGGGGGAAUCCUUGAAAUCAAACUAGUAGAAUCUCAGAAGCUUUUAGAGGCAAAUUAAGCAAUGACUUAUGAAUGAGGCUUUGUUGCGAAAAGUUAUAUGGAUCUUCUUAUAGAUUUUGACUGUCGAGACUCGAGAGUCUGGCAAAAGUUUGAAUUCUAGAGUUCCUUUCUCUCCAUACUUCACAUAUCAUAUAUAGUCGGUUGCCAAGCAAUGGUCCGUGUAAUAAAUGGAUUAAGUAAGUCCUCAAGUUUCAGAACAGAAGAUGUGUUUUGUCCUAAAUCUAGAUAUUUGAGGGAGAAAGGUUUGGCAUCGAUGGUUGCUGCAAAAUGCAUUGCGUUAUUGUGUUAACAGUAACAAAAGAACUCAAUCAUGAGUCUUUGAGGCCCAGGUGAAAAAUCAUCAAAAAUCAUAUUACUAAUGUCACUUCAUAGUCAAUCUUCAUGGAUUGAUAAUCCAUCAUUAUUCAUCAUAUUCGUUUAGUUAGACCAACCCAACCUAAUGAAUUGGAGGGACUUGUAAAGCAAAACUCAUAGUACAGCCACACAGUGUUAUAUCCUCAUAAGUCAAUCUUUGAUUCUCUCUUGUGUAAUUGUGUUCUUCAACUUUAUGCACCUAAUUCCGUUAAAUGCAAUUUAUCAAAUUUAAACAUGCACAGACCCCACUUGCAGUGGUUGGUUUGGUAAAUAAUCUCUCCAUACAAAAUUCACACUUUACUCUUUUAGUGGUUAAAAAAAGUCAUGCAGAUGGGUCUCUUCAAAACACAACAUCAUUAAACCAACUUUUUUUGGUAAAUGUUUUAGGACAACUUUUAUAUCAAUUUUGGUGUCUCCAAAUAUAUGCACAAAAGCAGGAUCGGAUACUGUCAAUGACCAAUAAAAUUACAACACGAGACAGAUCAUUAGGUUAUAUUUUCGGUUAAUUUUGAUAACAUUGUUGAAUUAUUUGAUGAAAUCGAUCACUACCCUUCUGCAUGCUGUAUCAUGCAAAGAAAAGAAAAAGCAAAAUAUUCCUUUAAUUUGUAGUGUCUUUUGUCUCUUAAAGAACAAAUGAAAGAAGCAAAAAAUGGGAUGCUUUUGCUUUUCUUUCCCUCCUUUCUUUGCGGUGUCUUGCUUUUUAUUUCCUUUACAUAUUUAUUUGAAUUUGAAUCUACUUUUUGUUAUAUUAAAUACAACCCAUUAUGCUUACUUAACAAUGGAUAUAAACCAACUAAUCAUUGUUUUUUUUAUCUUAUUUGAGCUCACUUUUUCUUUUUAACUCUCUUUACCACAUGAAAACAAACACUAAGAACAAAAUUUUCAUAAGAAACUCAAUUUCAGCUUUCUCAGAUCAUUUCAUGGAGUGAGUAACCAAAAGAUCUCAACCAUGACUUCUUCUCACACCACCUUGGCGGCUGCCUCCUUCUUCUUCCUGUUACUCGCAGCAACCGCGGUUUUGGUUUCAGCCGAUUUAGCAUCAGACGAAGAAGCCCUGCUCAACUUUGCAGCAUCAGUCCCACAUCCACCCAAACUCAACUGGAACAAGAACUUCUCUCUCUGCUCCUCAUGGAUCGGCAUUACCUGUGACGACUCCAACCCCACCAGCCGCGUUGUAGCAGUUCGUCUUCCUGGAGUUGGCCUCUACGGCUCAAUCCCUCCUGCUACAUUAGGUAAACUAGACGCUCUCAAAGUCCUUAGCCUCAGAUCCAACUCUCUCUUUGGAACUUUACCUUCUGAUAUUCUCUCACUCCCUUCUCUUCAAUACCUUUAUCUCCAACACAACAACUUCUCCGGCGAACUCACUAAUUCUUUGCCGUCGAUCUCCAAGCAUCUUGUUGUCUUGGACUUGUCUUAUAACUCUUUAUCUGGUAACAUUCCUUCCGGUAUCCGGAACUUGUCUCAGAUCACUGUAUUGUACCUUCAAAACAACUCUUUUGAUGGCCCCAUUGAUUCUCUUGAUCUCCCAAGUGUAAAAGUUGUAAAUUUUAGCUAUAACAACUUGAGUGGACCCAUCCCUGAGCAUUUCAAGGGAUCGCCGGAAAAUUCUUUCAUCGGAAACUCAUUACUACGUGGUUUACCUCUGAAUCCAUGUUCCGGAAAAGCCAUCUCUCCGUCUUCAAAUUUGCCAAGACCGUUGACAGAGAAUCUUCAUCCUGUUCGGAGGAGACAGAGUAAAGCUUACAUAAUCGCCAUUAUAGUCGGAUGCUCUGUAGCCGUUCUUUUCCUUGGAAUUGUUUUCUUAGUUUGUCUGGUGAAGAGGACGAAGAAAGAAGAAGGCGGUGAAGGAAGGCGAACGCAGAUAGGUGGAGUUAAUAGCAAGAAACCGCAGGAUUUCGGGAGCGGAGUUCAAGAUCCAGAGAAGAACAAGCUGUUCUUUUUCGAGAGAUGCAAUUACAAUUUCGAUCUUGAGGAUCUCUUGAAAGCUUCUGCCGAAGUUCUCGGUAAAGGGAGUUUCGGAACGGCCUACAAGGCCGUGCUUGAGGACACAACCGCGGUAGUGGUGAAACGUUUAAGAGAAGUUGUGGCGAGUAAGAAAGAGUUUGAACAGCAAAUGGAGGUUGUCGGGAAGAUUAACCAGCAUUCGAAUUUUGUACCGCUCCUUGCUUAUUACUAUUCGAAAGACGAGAAGCUAUUGGUCUACAAGUACAUGACGAAAGGAAGCUUGUUCGGGAUUAUGCACGGUGAGUCAUAAAGAGACCAAAACCUAACUUUUUUUGGUAAUGUAAAGCUUGUGGGUCACGAAAAAGAUUGUUCCUUUUUGUAUUUUGUCGGACAGGAAACAGAGGAGACAGAGGAGUCGACUGGGAAACGCGGAUGAAGAUCGCGACUGGGACUUCAAAAGCAAUCUCUUACCUUCACUCUUUGAAAUUCGUUCACGGAGACAUCAAAUCGUCCAACAUACUUCUCACUGAAGACCUUGAGCCAUGUCUAUCGGACACAUCUUUAGUCACACUCUUCAACCUCCCAACUCACACACCGCGAACCAUCGGCUACAAUGCUCCUGAAGUUAUUGAGACGAGGAGAGUCAGUCAAAGGUCAGACGUUUAUAGCUUUGGUGUGGUGAUACUCGAAAUGCUAACCGGGAAAACACCUUUAACUCAGCCUGGUCUGGAGGAUGAGCGUGUCGUCAUUGAUCUUCCGAGAUGGGUUCGGUCUGUUGUGAGGGAAGAGUGGACUGCAGAAGUUUUCGAUGUAGAGCUCUUGAAGUUUCAGAACAUAGAAGAGGAGAUGGUUCAGAUGCUUCAGCUAGCGUUGGCUUGUGUCGCAAGGAAUCCAGAAUCGAGGCCAAAGAUGGAAGAGGUUGCAAGGAUGAUUGAAGAUGUGAGGAGAUGUGAUCAGUCGCCGCAGUUACAGCAAAACAUAACAUCCUCAGAGGCUACUUCGAAUGUCUCUGAAUAAGAUUUUCUCAUUCCCACCAAAACUUCUUUGAUCAAUUCUACUUCUAUCUUAUUACUUUGAAUCGUAGUUUAGUGCGUCUGAUCAAAUUCUCCUCCUGUGAUUUUGUUUCUCUUUGAGUUUUUGUUAAAAUAAUUUCGCUUUGUAUCGUAGUUUAGCGCUUAUGAUCAAACGGAACUGAAGUUAACUUCUUUUCCCUAAGCCAGAAAAUGUCAAUAUCCAAUUAGAAAGGAAAUUAGGUCGACAUGAAGAAUGAAAAAUCAUAACUGCUUGCAUUUUCAUUACAGAAACAAAAAAUAUUCGCUUUCACUUUAAUUAUAACUUUUCAUAGUAACUAGAGUAAGAUAUUCUACACAUAAAUUUAUCACACCAAGACAGAAGAACGAACAGACAAUUACACACAACAAAAGUAAAAAAGUGAACAAAUAAAACAAUGAAAAUAAUGUAAAUUUUGUGUUUUUUUAACCCUCAAAACAAGUAAAUAUUUGCUCACUUCUCAACAGUUGAUUCCACAUUCCAGAAUGUCCGGGCCAGUGACUCGGCUAGUGAAGGGAUCAAUCCUAACCCACAACAACGAGAAGAUGGAAGCCAAGAGAACAGACCAGACCACAACAAUGGUAGGAGUCCGGUUCUGUCGACCCAUCAAACCCUUAAGGAAAGGGUACAAGUGAACAAUCACCCAAAAGGCAAAGAACAACUUACCAAAGAGUGGUCCCCAUGAUUGGUACCCACUGUUGAUAGCAUAAGAGACUCCUGCAACAACUCCCACUAGGUUUACAAUGAGCAGCGUCGUUGGCGGAAUCAGAAGUGUUGUCCAUUUGAACAAGUAGAGCUCGGCAAAGUCUCCAUCUUCGUCUGAAGCUUUUGAGGUGACUGUGAAGUUCGUGUCAAUACCAGCAAGGACUUUCAGGAUACCUUGAAACACGGCGAAUAAAUGAGCGGAUACUCCACCAAUGACCCAAAACUGCUCGUUUCUCCACCAUUCGUCUAUGCCUACACCACUCCACCUCAUUUCUAGUAUACCCGUGGCGAAAAUCGAGAGAAAGAGAGACAGAAACCAUAUACUUGCAAUGUUACUAAUCUGCAAAAGAGGAACAAUAGAGCCAGCUAAUCAGGUUUUGAAACCGUAAAUCUCUUCAAUUUGCUGUCUCACGAAUCAAUGACAAACAUAACAUGGUUUUAAAUAAAGCAGACCGUAAUUAUGGUUUGUUAUAAAGAUCGGGAGAGAAAGAGGUGUCAAACCUGAGGAAUAAUAAACUGGUUGGUGAAGAGACAAACGGCGGGCAAUGUACAAUACAUGAGAAGAGGAAUGGAGGUGAUUGGGUAGAUGGUGGUGUUCACAUAUGCAAACCUCUCAAGAAAUUUCAGCCUCCCAUUGUAGCCAUACCAUAUUGGACAAUGCCGACUGAAGAGAAUCUCAACUGAACCUAGAGCCCACCUCAGCACUUGGUUCAGACGAUCUGAAAGAUUGAUAGGAGCAGACCCCUUGAAAGCUGGAAGCUUUGGCAUACAGUAAAUGGAUCGCCAUCCACGGGCAUGCAUUUUGAACCCAGUCAAAAUAUCUUCUGUCACAGAACCAUAGAUCCAUCCAAUCUGAAGAAAGACAGCGUAGAAUACAAACAAACUGAGUGCCAAAGUGGAUAUGUCAGAACAUUGCAGUUUCAUAUAGGAGUUAAAAUGAGAUAAUACCUCCAUUCCCCAAUCUGACUUAUCCUCGUAACCACAACUAAUGACAUGGAUAGCCUCUUUGAGAAGGUUUUCUGGAGUUGCUGAAGGAGGAACACCCCCAUUUUCCAUUAGGGUAGAAGCAACAAAAACAGCAGACUGUCCAAAUCGCUUCUCCAGGCUCAUUUGCGACAUCAAGAGCGCCUUUUCAUCAUCAAAACCAGCACCUGAGUUUUACAAAUGUCAAAUAAGUUAAGACAUGAUGAGAUAUCUAUCUGGAAACUAUUUAGACAACGUAAGCAUUUUGCUCAAGAUCUUUUCUUCAUGAACUGUCAAAUAUAAAUAACCCCCUCCCCUGGAUCAAUAUCUCAAACAGCAAUAUAAGGGUAUAACGGAAAACCACAGAAGAAAUAAAAACAGUUGUACCUUCAACUCCCUCUUCUAUGUCAUCGAGGUUGAAUACAGGAACAGUUGAGUCAGUAUGCCUGCCUGAUUUCUUUUUGUCCGAUUCUUUCUUAGCUUUGGAAUUCUUCUUUCUUGAUCCACCACAGAGCUUAGAUAAAAGACUUGGCUUCUUGUGUUUUACCUUUAUUGGAGGUUCAUAACCAUAUAAUGCUGUUCUGUUGAAAACACAACCAGUUCCCACAUACACAGGUCCUUGAAUACCAUCUAAACCUCUCAAGUUAAUCUGGAAAACAUAUCACCAAAAAGUUACAACAAAACUCAAGCAACUGUGUUUAAUGUAUAUUCGUGUCUAAAAGCAAUUUGAAAGAACAGAAAAUUAGACGCAAGUAUAGAUAAGUGUGACUUACAUCAAAGAACACAGUAUUACGAUUAGCAUAUCUAUCGUUCUUAUCAAUACCAUCGAAUCUUUGUGGGAACUGAACAUAGCAAACUUGCUUUCCGAGGUUCGGGUCCAUCAGGAAGCACAUUGCUUCUCUUAAGGCUUUGCUGUUAUUUAUGUAAUGAUCACAAUCAAGAUUCAAGAUGAAAGGUCCAUUGGUAAGGACUGCUGAAACUCUAACCUGUUCAUUUGAAAAGUACCCAGGUUAGACUAACAAAAAAAAUUCAGAGAAAGAACAAGUCAAAAUUCCGAGAUCAGAAACCUACAAGUGCAUUCAUAGCACCAGCCUUUUUGUGGUGCUGGAAUCCUGGUCGCUUUUCUCGAGAAACAUACACCAAACGCGGAAGCUCGUUCCCCUCUGCAUCAAGUCCACCAUUUUGCCCUAAGAAAACCUGCAUUCAACAAAUGGCACUUCAACAAUGAACCUCUGAAGAGAUCGAGAUAGAAAGAGAGAGCCUUCUCGAUUUCCAUACUUAAACCAAUUUCUCUUACCUGGAUCAUUCCUGGAUGGUCCCUUGUAUUAUUUCCAGGCCACGGUGUACCAUCUUGCAUAACCCAUCCUUCUUCAGGACAUUUUAGGGCCUUGGAAACAAGUGCAUUGAUUCGGAUUUUAAAUUCCUCAUAUUCCCUCUGCAAGAAAAUAAAAGGUCAAUAUGCAAUAUACUGAAAUGAAAGUAAGGGUGACUGCAUGACGAAAACUACAAACUUACCUUCAUAGCUCUACGAUCUUUGACAAAUGAUGUCUGAACUUUAUCCUUCAAGUAAUCUAUUUUCGCAGCAAAGUACCAUUCUGGUGCACGAGGCUCAAUGCAAUAUUUCUUGCAGAAUGGUACCCAUUUCCGAGCAAACUCUGAUGUUUCUGCAAGUGCUUCAAAUGAUAACAUAGCAGCACCAUCAUCAGAAACAUAACAGGACACCUUGUCAACCGGGUAGUCAACAGCCAGAAUGGAGAGAACUGUGUUGGCUGUCACAAGGGGUGGCUCCUUCAAGGGGUCGACAGUACUCACAAAAAUGUCAACUGCGGCUAACUGAGACGGCUCACCUUCACGAUCAUAUCUGUCCCAAAAUUGAGCAUGAUCAAAUUAAAAUGGGAAAUCUUAUAGGCAGUCAAUUCUUUGAAUAAUGCUUCAGAAGAAUGGGGAAAUAUAAUUUACCUUAACGCAAGCCUGUCGAGGUAGGUUUCGCGGUUCACAGGAAACCACUUGGGAAACUGAUCCAAAAUCCAGGAUAGGGCAAACCAAAUCUCACAUAUCACAGAGACCAGCCAGAGAGCAAAGGCAUUUGGCACUGGAUUUGUGAUACGGUAAUGCAAGAAGAGACAAAGGAUAACAAGUCGCAACAUAAUAACCAUUCUGUAAGGAUUGAUCCGUGAUGAAGGAAUUGAAACUUUCCUUGACAGAGGCUGCCUCGCUUCAUCAUUCCUGCAAAAUAAAUAAAAUUGUAAAAUAAGCAUCAGGACAUUGCUUAAUAGGAAAGAUGCUCAGAUUGUGCAAUGUCAUAACCCUGAAGCAGAACAGGACCCACGACUGCCAAACGAGAUAACAGAACAUGAACUCACAGCAAAGCCUCAUCUGCGAGGAUAUCUGUGCUGGCAUCAAUAUCUCCUCCACCUCUUUCAGAAGCUGCCUGCGUGCUCACAGGACCAGUAUUCUUCUCUUGCUUCAUUUUCCAGCCAUCAACCCUCUCCUUCCAAGCUACAUUCCCUAGUCCAACCGGAUCCACAAUUCUUCUAUUUGCUGCAGCGAGAAUGACAACAACAGAUUUUAUUGUUUAGAGUUUUGACACAAACGAAAAGCCUCGGUACGAGUAAAUGUGUUGGCCGGAUAGUAAGAAAAUAAGGAUAUUUACGUGAUUGAUUAACAUCUGAUGAAUAGGGAAGGCGCUUUCCACCAGCUAUAGUAGAAGAUACAGAGAGGCGUUCAGGUGAGGCAGCAGAAAAUUCUCCUGAAGUCUGUAAAUAAACAAAUGACAAAAUCAGAUUCCAAAACUCAAUUACGCGAGAGGUUGCAAAUGCUUAAGAGGGAAGAAUGAACAACAAUGCCUUACAUCUUGUCUGCUUGUGAGACGAGGAAGAUGAUUGUGAGAGACCUCUUUAUCAUACUGGGGUUCCCUCAUAUCCUCUCCUUUCCCACGAGUAAGAUGCCAUCCAAGCAUCCGCUCUGAAAUCUUCUCCUUCUGCGGGUAGUUGAACUCAACGGUACCUUCCUCAGCUAAGCCAUCCUCGUCUUUAUCACCAGGAAUAGCAGGACUACCUAGAAUCAGAAAUUAGCAAAUUGCUAUAAAUACCACAAAUUCAAAACAUACUGAUAAACUAUCGAUGAACAAUGAAGACAGUUAAUGGAUCAAAUUUCAGUAAUAGUGAGAUCAAAAGUAAACCUUUGAGCCUCUUGUAUCUGGUUUUGCACUGAGGACAAGAUUGAUUCCCAUCUUUCCUCUCAUACUCAUAGCAAGGCCGACAAACUGGGAAUGAACAAAAAUCACAAGCCACAAAAGGCUCUCCAUCAACAGUCUUGCCAACAUUGUCACUACAGAUCUGGCAAAUCUGCGGAACAACGUUCUUCAUCGGCUUCCCCUACAAUUAAGUCGAAUCAAGUAGCCAAAAUUAGAAACCUUAACAGAAAAUUGCAACCAGAUCUCUCCAAUACGCAAUUAAACAACCAAAUCAAUCAACUUCAGUAUCUAUAAUUCCUGAUUUCGAUAAAGGAAGUAUGAUGAUGAAGCUAAGAGUCAAAAGCAUACCGCGGUUUCUCCUUCGGAUUCCAUUCGUCGUCACUUAGUUGCUUCCAACACCGAAACGUCGAAAUAGUUCAAAUCUGCUCGGAUUUAUCAAAAACAGUAAACGCGAUUAGAUCUGAGGAGAUCCGAGUAAAAGGAAGUCAAAUCUGAGAAUGGAUCAUCAUGAGUGAAGAAGAGUUACCAUGAGAUCUGAAGAUGGAGUGGUGAUGUGACUUUCUGAAUCUCUCUCUUUCUGGAUCCGAGCUUUCUUCUCUACAGAGAGAUAUGUAUAAGUAAGGAAGACGAAGAGGAGAAUCUUUAGAGGAUGCAAAGAGCAAGCUAUUUGUCUCUCUGCUCGUCACUCUUUCUGAUUUUUAAAAUAUUAAUAUAUUUGUCACAAAUCAUAAUCCAACCAAGCAACAACCACCACCACCACCGACAACUUCCACAGUCGAUUUUUUUUAGUUACAGUUUACUGUGACUGUAAAAAAGUGAAAAUGGCCGAUAAAUCUUGAAAAUAUAUAGGAAAAUUAUUAGAUCAUCGAAUUAGUCUAGACAGUGACUAAAUCAAAAUAUUAAUUGAUAGUGAUACUAAAAUAGUAGUGUGAAGAACAAAACAAAGCACAAGUAGUGGGGUUAAAGGAUAUUCAUCGUCACUUACUUUCUUACCUAUAAAACUCAAAAAAUAUUUGCCGACAAAAAAAAUUAAUCAACGGAUUAGUCUAAAAUAUAUUAUUGAUAGUGAUACUUUACUUACUAGUAGUAUCAAAUAUCAAUAUAGGCUAAAACCAGCGGGCCGAAAAGCAAAGGUCCAACGUCAGUAUCAUCAAAGCCCAACAGAAUCGACAAAAUGGGUUUGUUGCACUUUGCAGACAAAAUUGGUAUAUAUAUAUAUAUGUUCGGUUUACGUUAUUUACGAGAGAAAACUAAAUAGAACCGAACCCAAUAAUUAAUAGGUCAAACUUGAUAAACGGGUGGUGCAUGUGAAGAUGUGUGGCCACUUGGGCAGCAAAGAACAGACUGUCAGAUAAACAAAAGAAGAAAAUGGCAAACAUUUGAAUCCCAAAGAGCGCCACUUUCUCUUCGCUACUCGACAAAUCUUCCCUCCUCUUUGUCGUCCGUCCCUUUAUACCUUUUCACAUUCUGCUUCGUAACUCUCAAACCCUAGAAUCCUCUACUUAAACCUUCCUUUGUUUCCCCAUCACUUUCCCUGUUAAUCUGCUCUUUUGUUCCCUCGAUCAGAUCAAUUUUUCAAGGUCAGUGAAUCUCAUGUUUAUUUGGUCCUACGUAAUUCAGGGUUAGAUCUUUGCUUGUUCUGUUGAUGGGUUUUGUAGAUCUUAUGAUCUGAGUUACUUACUCUGUUUUUCUGAGAUUUAUGAAGGGUUCUUCUAUUUUCUUCAUCUGGUGAUCAAAUUUGUUCAAAAGUUUAUUUUUCUUGUUGCAAACUAUAGUUAUUAUUUCUGUUUACAUGUAGUGAAAAAGUACAAUUUUGUUACAUAGAAGAAGAAAGUCUUAACAUUUACGAAACCCUAGUUUUUUAUUCCUGAGAUUUCGAUUAGUUAGCUCUUCAUGAUAGUUUAUUAUCACAAUUUUUAAUUUGUUUUUUGGAAAAUUUUAAAUGACAAUUGUUGUAGCUAGAGAUAAUAUAAAUACAUUUAGUUAUAGCUAAAUCUUAGGAGUAUCAAAACAAAAACAAAAAAUAUCUUUUCAUAUCUCGUAUAUCUCUCUAUCUUAAUCUCUUAUCUUCUGUACUUAUAGGGUUUUUCUAUUACAUCAUCAUGUUCUCGUUAGUUUGAUUUUUUCCUUGAUCUUGAUUAGUUUUCUUUCGUUUAAGUGUAGAUGGAUUUUACAACAGUUGAAGUCACGAAAGAUUCACCACAUAAUUCUAAUUCUUUUGUGGAAAUCUCAACAGGUAUAAUCGUAUAAUUCAUUCAUGUAUCUUGGUUGUUUGUGUUUCUCUUCAAACAUAAAAGUCUUAUUAGACAUAUCAAUUGUCAAGUUUCAGACCACAAUGGAUCUUCUCCUCCUGUAACUCCCAAGUCUGAUACAAUGGAUCAUGAUUCCGACUUUUCUUAUUCCGAGUUAGAUUCGGAAACAGAGGCCUUUUACUCAUCUCUUAACCAUCACCUGGUCUCACCAGGGGCAAUGGAUAGCCAUGACUUAGCUGCUGAAAAACAAAUGAAUUAUGAUGACUUGAUGAAGAAAUAUGUCCAGUGUGAGGAAGAGCUAAGGACUACGAGUUUGAAGCUCCAAGAAUCUGAACAAGAGAUUGAGAAGCUUAAGGGUGAGACCAAGAAGAAAGAAUCUGAUGUUCUGCUUACCGAGAAUCUAUGUGCUGAGCUUGAAACUGCUCAGGGAGAAAUUGAGACUAGGGACAUAGCUAUUGAGGCUGAGAGAAGACGAGUUCUCCAGGUGCAAAGACAGGUGGUUGAUUUGGAAACUGAACUUGAGGUGAGUAGGGACUGUUUAGAUGUGUCAUAUGCUGAGAUCUCCAAGCUAAGGGAAAUGUUGUGUGAUUGUCAGCAAAGUUUUUCUAUUGAGAUAACAAAAUUGCAGACUGAUAUUGCUGGUUUGUUAGAGAACAAGACUUCCUUUAAAGCUCCGGUCAGAGAAAUCGAAUCACACGGUGAGGUAUUGGAAGAUCAGAUUAAGCAUUAUGAGGCAGAGAAAAUGGAGAUGCAGAGAAAAGAGGUUGAGUUGCAAGCUGAAAUCAAUGCAUUGAAGACAGAUUUGGCUACACGUGGUGAGCAUAUUGAAGCAUUAAACAAAGAUUUCGACAAGCACAAGCUGAGGUACGACAUGUUAAUGGCAGAGAAAGAUGGAGUCUAUGCUGAAGUAGACAAUCUAAAAGCAGAGAUGAGAUCAAGAGACAUCCAAAUUCAGCAAAUGGAGGAGCAACUUAACCAACUGGUCUAUAAGCAGACCGAGCUUGUGUCUGAAUCAAGAAAUGCCAAGAACACUGUUGAGCAACUGAAAGCUGUGGUUAAAGAACUGGAGAAUGAAGCAGAGAUGCAGAGUAAGGCUAAGAAAACUGUGGAGGAACUGAGAGCUACGGUGUGGGAACUGGAGAAGCAAGCAGAGUUGCAGAGGAAUGCGAUAUCAGAAGGAGAGGAAGAGAAACGAGAGGCGAUUAGACAGCUUUGUUUCUCUCUGGAUCAUUACAAAAGCGGAUAUAGACAGCUUUUGAGGUUUCUUUCGGGUAAUAACCAGCAACAUCACGCAACCAUCGUCGUGUGAGUUUGGAUUGAAUACUCUUUAUCAUUUGUUUACUCGUUAGUCGUUACAGUCUUAUGUCUCUUUUCUUUGUCUCAUCAUGUUUGAGUCAUUGUGAGUUAUGUUCUGUCUCAGACCUUAAUCUUCAGAUUCUUUAGUAAGAAUUUAUAUGAAAUUCUAGCUCGGAAAUGCUUUUAUAUAUGUGGUUUUGUGUGAUUAUUUAAGUAAUUUUGAACUUACUACAGGUGUUUCUGUCUGAAGUUUUUAUUUGUGCUUAUGACAUAAUGACGUAAAGCCUAAGUAAUUAAAAGCGAGAGAAGAAAAGGUCAAAAGCCAAACACAAACCUAAUCCUCCAAUAUCGCAACUUGGUUGACUCUCUCAAUGCAAGAAUUGGAGUUAAUGUGAAAUACUAAGGACUCAAUUAUGAUUGACAUUUAUUCCUGCUUUAUGUGUUUUGUCAAGAAAAAUUUAGUGAACACAAAAACAAAUUAUUCUUCUCGCUCGAACCAGAGAAAAAUAUGAAAAUUAAAAACUAAAUCUAGACCUGAGAACUAAUAUGACCAAAAUCAAAGUUGAAUGAGUCUGGUUUUUAUUCUGCGUUUAUGUAUAUGCUCCGAAUUCCAAUUCUAUUUCGUGGUGAAAUAUUUUGUGUCUUGGUCAAACAGAUUUUCUAUUUGUUUUUUUUUUUUUUUAAUAGUUAUAUUAAGGUUUGACUAUAUCAGGAAUGGUCAUCUUCAACAUGACUUUGUUUCAGCUUAUAACCAAAUAAAAAAAUGAAAAUUUCUCAAGUUAUACUUUGAUAGGUCCAUUGCGUAAAUUUUCCUCCAUAUCACCAUAUGUAACGAUAAAUGCUCGACCGCGUAAUGAAGUACGCGCAUGCAAAUAUUUUAAUUUGAUUGCUUUAGUUUAUGCUUUCAUGGUAGUAUUAAAGUUGUAAAUGUGAUUGCAUGUGUGAGUGUGUGAAACGACUUUGCAAGACCGCUGGCUACGAACUUUAUUAGUUAGAUACAACAACAACAAAAUCAAUUAUCAAUCUUAAAAGAUAGCUAAAGAAAAGGUUACUAUGGGCCCUUUUUUUAUCUUACUUUCUUUAAUUCUUUCAUAUGGAAUCUAUUAUUAAUUAAAGACAUGUAUUUAAUAUAAAGAACUUCAGAUCUCAGGUGUAAAAGAAUUGUUUUUUUUUUUUUGCUUUGAGUUGUCUUCUUUAUUUAUAAAUCGGAAAUUUUCAAGUAAAAAGAAUAUAAACACUCCAAAACAUAGAUAGAAGAAUUGGAUAUUCUUAUCAUUUAAAUCGUCUACAGUAGCCAGUUAUGAUUGCAAUCGUUGUGCGAAUAUAAGCAUGCUGUCACAAGUUUUUUAGUUAGUAAAUUUUUUAUUAUUUCAAGAACUUGAUCAAUAGAAUGAUUUUUAAACCAAAAACUAAAAGAAAAUUCAUCCUAUUCAAUACCAUAAGGUCCAUAACUUCAUGUGUUCACGAAACAUAAUGGGAACACAGUAAAUAGAAAAUAAUAGCAAUUUAGAACAAUAUAUAUAUAUAUAUAUAUAUAUAUAUAUAUAUCUACAUAUAUAUUUUUACAGGGUUUUUUUGCAUUAAUUCAUUUGGAUCCGGAUUUUACCCGGGUUUAACUCUAUCCGGAUCUUGGAUAAGAAAUUAUAGGAAAGUUGUCUUAAAUUCAAACUGAGAUAUUGCCUCUAAUACCCGAGAUUUCUUCAAUCAUUUAUUGACUCACAACAUACCAUUUCCGAUUUUUCUUCUCUACAAUAUCUGUAAAUAAACGAUUUUAAGAAACAAAGUUAUGACUCUUCUCCAUAAAAAUCUCUAUGGUUUCUUUCUAAAAUAUAUAUUCCAAGAUUUCGUAUUUCAACUAAUUAAUCAACACAUUCAUUUUCGGAUUCAUCUUUCAACUAAUUAUACUCACCACCUUCAUUUUCGGAGAUUUUUUUUCCGCAAUAUCUCUACAAAAUCGAUUUAAAGAAACAAAAUUUUGACUCUUAAAAAUUAAAAUCUUGGCAUAUUCCAAAAUACUAACGAAUCCAAAGAUUUUAUCUUUAAUUUGUUGCUACAUCGAAUAUUUUUUGCGUGAAGUGAUAGGGAUUAGUGACCUAAUUUUGACCCUAUAAAUACUCUACACCUAAACGUCAAUUAACAUCAUCAAACACAAAUAAGCCACGAUUUACAAAAAACCAUUAAACACACCUUUUUCGUCUUCAUAUGGCUGCUACUUUUGAGUCUCUGGUGAAUAUAGAUGUCGAAGGGAGAGAUUGUUGCAACGGUUUGUCAUCGAGCUUCAGGUGAUGUUGUGUACAGGUAGGGAAUGGUUGUGACGGCGACGGUGAGUUGUUGGUGCAACGGUGGUCGGUGGGUAAUAGAGCUUCAGCUUGGUGGAUGAGUAAAGGGAACGGUGUGACAGUUGCGGUGAGAUAUGGGUUGCGACGGUGGUGGAUACGACCGGAGGCGGUUGCUUUUGUCGGCUAAUGGUGGGAGAGUGGUCGGAGAGAAAUAGUUUUAGAUCUAGGUUAGGUUGUGUCGUGGCCUCGUGGGUUAGACAAAAUAUUUGGGUUGUAUGUGAUGGAUUGGUUUGACAAAUUAUUUAGGCCCAAUUUUAUUUAUAUGGGGUUGGGUAGUUUUAGUACUAUAAAUAAGUUGUAGUAUUAGUACAAAACAUUGUAAUUGUAAUUGUAAUUGUACAAAACGUGAAACUUAAAACAUUGUAAUUGUACAAAACAAUAGAUUAUAUAUAUAUAGAUAAUCUAUUAAAAUUUUACAUUUUGAUUUUUUUAUUAUUUUAUUUUUCUCUCACUAAGUUUUAUGGUUGUCGGUUGUUUGACAAAAUAAUUGUCUGAAUAGAAACCACAAAAUAUGCAUACUAAAUACAUGAAAGGCAAAUCAUUAUUUUUCUAUUUAACGUUACUUGCACCAUAACAUAGUAACCAGAGUUUUCAGAAUUUAUAUUUAAAGAUUUAGAGAACAUAACAUUGAACAUUUUAUUUUAUCCCACAAGAUUAAGCUAUGGUAUUUGUGGUGUCAGUAAAUUAAUAUAUAUCUUUUAGUAUGAGAAAUAAUUUUAAAUCUCACCAAUAUAAAAUUGUUAUCCGGUUUACUCCGGUUAUUUAUUUUUAAAAAUUGAAACUUUGAAGAAGUUUCAAGUUAUUAUAAAUAUAAAAACUUUAUUAAAAGUUAAAUAUGAUAAUUGUUUAUACUUUUAAAAAAAUUAAACUUUAUAAAAUGCAUAAAUUAUUUAUAAUAUUAGAACUUUUAUGAAGUUUCAAAUAUUAUAAAUAUUUAAACUUUAUAAAAAUUUAUAAGAAAUUUAAACAUUAUAGAUAUUUAAUUUUAUAAAACAUUUACAAUAUUUAAAUUCUAUAAAAAGUUUAUAAUAUUAAUAAUAUUUGAACUCUACAACAAUUAAAUAUAUAUUUAAAUUCUAUUUAAAGCAAACUUUUAAAUUGACUCGGAUUAUAUGUUUUUUAAAUAAAAUAUUAUUAAAACUGAUAAAAUGAUGUUUAAUUUCACGAGACAUGUUCUAUGGUAUGAUGGGUAUUGUUAGAUAUUAAUAUGGGACUACAAUAAUACAAUUUUAAACAAUAAACAAACAAAUAAUAUUAACAAAACAAAUACAACUUACUUUAAAAUUUUUAGUUAUAAGAAAUCGAUCCACGGCGUACCACAGGUCAGUCCCUAAAAUGCAAACAACAAAAUAAAUUCAUAUUCAAAUCUGCUAUAUAGAGUUGCUUAAUGAACUGUAUGUUUUCGUUUCUAUAUCUUAAAAUUGAAACCUACAACAUACUAAGCGUACACUAUAUAUAUAUAUAUAUAUAAUAUAUUUAAAUCAAACAAAACAAUAGGUUAUAUCUGUAGAUAAUCUUAAUAAAUUAAACUUUUAAUUUAUAUUUAACAAAAAUAUAGGCCCGCGGUGUACCGCGGGUUAACAUCUAGUAUAUAUAUAUAUAUAUAUAUAUAUAUAUAUAUAUGAAGGUUUUCAAAUGAGAGUUGACCUCCAAUAUUAUCUUUUAUACAUUUGAAACUUUAUUUUUGACUUUUUUUAGUAAGAUGGUUUUUGUUCAUGUCCUGAAUUUUAGGUAACAGCCAUUUGAGAUAUAAAUAAACAUUUACAAACCAUGUAGUGGUCCAAACUAUUGACUCUAUUAAAGAGUCAACACAUAAUCGAAUUUGUGUAAUAUGUGAAGAAGACUCGAAUGAUUUGAUUUGAUUUGAUUUGUGGAUCGUAUCCCGUUGUCAUCGGAUUGUGCAGAGAAAACAAAUAUUGAAGUAACCUCUAAGUCUACAAGGAAAUAGGAGGACACCACAACAAAGGUUGACUUUUUUUAUAGAAUCACAAAGCCAAAACGAUAAUCUAGAAAGUAGAGAAACUAGACAGCAGAAAACGAUAAAAGACCGAGUCUGUCGACCAUUACCUUAGUUUUUCAUAUUGUUAUUAAGAAAUAUAAUGUAAUAUACAGAUAGUUAAUACUACUUUUGAUAGCCCUACAAAACUUGUUUGUAUUCAUUUAUUUUUCAAAAGUUCCCUAUAACUUUAUGAACCAAUUUGAAGAUUAAUAUUUUGUCACGUUGCUAUCGAUUUCAAAUUCGUUGUAGGUGCUAUAUAUGAUAAUCAUCGAAAACUGGUUUCAUACCUAAAAAGGUUAUGAACCAAAAGACUCAAAUUGUCUGGUUAAAAAUAAAAGUUAAGAAAAAGGCCGUUAGAUUGGACCAAUGAUAUAUGUAUGAAAAAUUUAAGAAUCAUUAUGCUUUUUGUCAGGUCCAAGGAAACCUUAAGUUUUUUUUUGUCGAAAAUAGAUAUGUGGAAGUGGAACACAACUCUUUUCAAUAUUCACGGUAAUAUACUAACAACUCUUUUCAGGAAAAGUAAUAUGUGGAAGAGUAAUAUUUUAUUUUCCUUUUAAUUCAAACACACAACAGAACUAAAAUCAAAACUUCCAAUGUCAGAAAAGAUUUAAGAAUGUAAUGGUAAAAGUAAGAAAAAAAGGAUAUGGGAAUCAAUAAAUGAUAAAAAUGGAAGUAGUAUAGUAUAGUGGGGCUAAAUUUCUCUAUCCAAAAUAAAUGAAACAGGCGCCGACAUUAACAAUGCCAUUCCAUUUAUAACUCUUAUCCAAAAAUUUAUUAGGUGAGAACCCAAUUUACUCUUUCUCUUAUCUUCUUAGACUUCUUCGAACAAAUCUCUGUUGCAGAUGCUUUCUUUUAAAACAUUGGGCCAAUACAGUAUUUUGAAAAGAUCAACAAAUUGGGUUUUGUUUAAGAAAGAAUAUUGAUUAGAGAACGAGUCGUUGAUGCUCUUUUUUUUUUUUGUGUGUCUAAAUUCUAAUUGACUUGCAAGAAUAAAAAAGAUAUCGAAAAAUUCCUCAAAAGAUUUUAAAAAGAAAAAACUUUUUUGACACGGAAAAAGAGAGACUUUUCUCAGAGGAAAAAACAAGAAAAGAGAGAAACCAUAAGUAAAAAAAAAAACAGUCCGUCCAACGAUUUGGUUUUAAGUUUUGUCUCUGUUCUCUCAAUUCCUCUUCUUCUUCUACUUCGCCCCCACGACAAGAAAUUCUCCUCUCUCUCAUUCUCUCUCUCUAUAUAAUCUUCAACUUCUGGGUUUUCUUCUUCUACAAUCUCUCGAGUUAAAAGUCUCUGCAAAGAGUUUUACUUUGAUUCUUUCUUCUGUGGAGGAUCUUAUGAUAUCUUUUAUCAUGGCUUCUUGAAUCAUGUAAUCUUUGCUUCUCGCCAUUUCUCAUCCCUACCCGGAUCCGUAACCAGCUCUCAGAACCGGGUUAUACCAUUUCUUCUCUUCAACAAACUUUAAAAGUCACACCGCGUUGACCUUCUUCCUCUGGUCUCCGCUCCAAUUUUUCUGUUAGAAACUUUGAACAACUUCACAAAGUUUCAAUCUUUUUUACUUUGGUUCCUCUCUCUCUCUCUCUCUGUUUAUUAGGGUUCUUGGUUCUGUUGAUGAUGAUUCUCUGAUUAAGUAGGUGUAGAGUUAGUUAAAACCAAAAAAGAAAAAAAAAAAAAGUAGAGUUAAGUCAUUGAAUUUGGUACCAACAAUGGCGAGCCAGAAGGGUCAGAAAAUCCGGUUGGUGAAAUGCCCCAAGUGCUUUAAGAUUCUACAGGAAGACGAAGAUGUUCCUGUUUAUCAGUGUGGUGGUUGUUCCGCCAUUCUUCAAGGUCUUUGUUUUUCUCCAAUUCUGCAACUUUCCAUUUCGAUUUUGCCUCUGAUUAAAAUGUGAACUCUGUUCCUAAAUCUGGCUUUGUUCUAGUCCUGGUUGGUCCAUCUGUUUGGAUUUCCUCUGUUUUUUCUGAGCUCAAACCAAGUUGUGUUUUGUGGCAUGAUCUCUAUCAGUUAUUGAAUUUGUUUGUUGCUUCUUUGAUUCAGCGAAAAAGCGAAACACUGCUCCAAACAGUACACCAAGUGCAGGAGAGACAGAGAGGGCUCAAGCUAAUGAGCCGCGAAGCGUACCUGAAACCAACAAUAUGUCCAGCAGCUCGGGGCAGGACACGGUUCUUCCGUCAUCCGCAGGUCGUUCCGCGGGCCAAGAGAAUGAGGAAGGUAGGAAUGCAUCAAUGGACUCUACGGAGAAGGAGCUUGAUGAGUUAGAGUUAUCGAAUGGAGAUGGGACAAAUGAAAUUCAAGAGCAGGAACGUUCAGUUGGUGAUUCUGAGAAGAAUGAAGGAGGAGACAAUUCCAGAUUGGAGUCUCAUAUGAUGAACAGCGUGGCAGAAGCUGCAGGAUCUGGGGCUAGCUCUGGAAGCUUGAGUGUUGAUCAUUUGGUGGCUGCAAGAGCGAGUAAUCCAUCUGGUAACGCUAAAAUUUCACCAGAUGCUUCCCUUGUUGAAGAGGAGCAAAGCCAAGUUGAUUUUCUAGCAAACAAGACUCCUGCUUAUGAUGUGGUGGCUGCAAGAGCGAGUAAUUCAUCUGGUAAUGCUGAGAUCUCACCUGAUGCUUCCCCUGUUGAAGAGAAGCAAAGCCAACUUGAUUAUCCUGCAAACAAGACUUCUUCUGCUUAUGAUGGGAGUGAGUCUUCGUCUGAUGAAAGGGAAGACCAACUUCUCGAUGAUAACGAACAAUGGAAUGCUCUUCAGAAAAUAAGAUCAGGCAAAUUUGAGAUGCAUAGAUAUCCUGGGUAUAAGGAGCAAGGCGCUAGUUCCUCCUCCCCUUUCUCUGAGGAUAGGCGCAAUGGGAUUACCACAUAUAACGAGCGGCAUCAGAACAGGUCUCUGCAACUAGAGGGACCAGGAGGGCGUCUUGGCAGACAAGGGAGGAGACAUGUGACAGAACAAAUUCGGACCUGACAUGCCUUUCUAUCCGAGAGAACCAUACACACGUGGAAGCCCGUCAUAUCCGUCACAUGAUGAGUUUGAUCGCUAUUCCCGUGCACACUCGCUUCAAAUGCCUUCAUACGCUGGAGGCAUGAACCACGAAUUUGUUGACUAUAUGUAUCACAACAACCCGAGGGCAAGAGGUCAGGGCCAAGGAAGUAGGAUCUCAGGAGAGAUGGGAAGAAACCAUGGCGGUUGGUAUUCAGGUCAGCUUCAUAAUUCUUACAGUUCAUAUUCUGCAAGUCCACAGAGACCAAUGGAACAACCUGAGUAUCAUCGGAGAUGGAGGCGCGAGAUAGUCUCAGACGUGGAGGAUCAUCAUCGUAAUAGACAUGCUGGCCACCACCAUGAGUUACAGACCCGUCGUCUAAAAGAGAGACAACGUGUGGCCAAGCGUCAUGUCCGUCCAACAGCUGGUGGGGCACCUUUUGUUAGCUGUUACAGUUGCUCAGAAAACCUGCAGCUUCCUGUAGACUUUCUCAUUUUCAAGAGGAAGCAUCAUCUUCUCAGAUGCGGCACUUGCACCUCUGUUCUCAGAUUCUCACUUCAAUCCAGAACUCAUUUAGUUCCUGCAGUAACACAUGACAUAAAUGCUAAUAGGAAUAGCAAUUCAACAUCAGAGUCUCCCAGAGACAAAGCUCCCUCCAAACCUGAAAAGCUGAGAUCCUCUGUUCAGGAUGAGGAGCUACCUGUGUCUAGAGGUUCUCCGCUUCACCGACUAAUGGGAUAUUCUACUGUAAGCCAAGUCUUUAAAGCUUCACAGCGUCCUCCUUCUGUAUAGAUCUCUGCUUCUGAUGAAGCAACGAGAACUAUGUACUUCUCAGAUGGAAAGUUUUGCCAUUGGUUUAUCAUUCUUUUUUUCACAUCUGUGUAUAGGUAAAAGAUUUGUUUCUGCACUUUUGUUUAAAGUAGAAACCAUGUCACUUGUGCAAAAUUAUACAAAAAAAAUAGAAGAAGAUAUGAAGAAGAUAUUGUUCAUCUGUUGUAUAUAGUCAUGAUAUGUUUGUAACAAGAUUAAAUUCAUCAUUGUUCCUGGCUUGAUCAAUCUACUAUAACUUUACCACUAGUAAAUAAAUAAAAAGUUUGAAUAGGUUUAGUGAAGUAUAUCUGUAUGAACUUAUUUGAAGCUGUGCUUAUAUCGAUUCGUCCUCUUGUUGGACGCGAUAGAAAUCCGCUGAUCCUGCAGCAUGUUCAGGUUUGGGGCUAACAGUCUCGUGUAUCGAUCGAAAUACAGAAGUUGCUUCAACAGAAGUGCAAACUCUCUCGGGAACUUAAGCCCAUAUGAUUCGCUAACACGCACCUACAAGAGGAAGAAAACUUAUUUUCAACUCUAUGCACUCUCAAACCGGUGUUUAUCUUAACUUGAAUCAAUGCAACUUCUGUAUCCUAACAUCUUUCAAGCCAAAAAAAAAUCCUUCAAGUUACGCCUAAUUAGUGCUUACCAGGUCGAGGAAAAGAGCAUUCAUCUGUCUCUCAUCCAUAACUACGUUAGCAGCAACAGUAGUUGUGUCUGAAUUUGUUCCACGAGCUGUAGCCACUACUAUCUCUGUAUCUAGUUCCUGCAAGAAGAGAUUCACUUUUCUCCAUAAGAUUAGCGAAAAUUGUUGUAAUUAUUUUGCACUACAGUUCUGAAAGCAAAUCAAGCUGGUUACAGAGGGUCAUCUUAGUCAGUGAAGAGUAAAAUUUCUUGCCUGGAUAGAUGAGAACAUCUUUUCCAAGUCUUUUGCAAAAGCUUUGGCAUCAACAUCUCUGUUUGUGGCGCCCAUUUGAAUCAAAGCUGAGGCCAUGGAGUCAUAUUCUUCAGUUGAAAUAGACGCUAAAAAUACUUCCAUAGCAUCCCAUGUUUUGGGGGAUAUCCGACCAACAAUGCCUGAAAAAAAUGUGGAUACUUGCUUGAAUACACCAAAAAUUACCAACAAAAAAAGGAAGACUAUUGAUGGGAUAAAAUUGCAUUUUCAUGCAUUAAUAGAUGAAUCAGAGGUGGUAGGGUCGCUCCGAGUAACUGAAUAGUCACAUGCAAUGCAAGAAAUGUUGCACUGAUUAGGCUUGAGAGAGUAUGAUUUACCAAAAUCAAGAAACCCAAUCCGCCCAUCACGCAACAGCCAUAAGUUUCCUGCAUGUACAUCAGCAUGGAAGCUUUCACAAGCAAGUAAACUUCCAAACCUGCAGGUUACAUCAUAUGAAGAUCAAUGUUACUAACGGGCUACAUUUGGGAGGAGGAACAAUCUUAAUUUUAAUAUUGAAUUUCAAAGAUCUUACCACACAUUAAGCGCGGUAAUAAGGCUGUUCUCAGGACUGGAAACAAGUGAUCUUAUAGAGUCUAGAUCAGUCAGAGGAACUCCAUAUAGCCUCUCCAUUGUAAGUACCCGCCGGCUGCUGCAGAACUUGUACACCCUUGGAGCAGUAGCUUGCCCAGUCAACCCCAUGGUUUCAAGAUAUCUCUUAAAGGCCUCAAUGUUUUGAGCCUCCUUAUUGAAAUCUACUUCCUCAAGCAUUGACUCACGAAUGUCUUUGACAAUACCAACCUAUCAAUAGGGUAUAUGGUUUAGAGAGUAUCUUAGGAGCGACUGCAAAUUAAGUACAGAGGACUUUACCAGUGAAGUACGGCUAAACUCAGGACUAAGGAACUCAAAUAUACGAGCAACAACGUAGAUAAAGUUCAAAUCUGCCACUAAGAAAUCUUCUAUCCCAGGCUUCAAGACUUUAAUCACUACAUCCUCUUGGGAGCCUCUAAGCCUUGCACCAUGGACCUGGUCAUGAUGAUUCCCUUAAGCAGAAGAAGAGUACAUGAAAAAAAAGAAUUUCGAUCAAUGAAGUAGAAGCAGAAGAACACACCUGUGCUAUUGAGGCUGAUGCAAUUGGUGUAGGGUCAACAUAUUCGUAUACACUUUCUAUGGGUCUCCCAAGAUCCUCUUGCAAGAUUUUACGAAUUUCUUCAAAUGGCACAGGAGGAGCUUUGUCAAAGCAGUUCUGAAAUUCUUUGACAUAUUCUGGUGGGAACAAAGUUGGCGCAGAUGCUAUAAACUACAAAUUCAAAAGAUACAUUAUAGAAUGGGAAAUAUAUUGAGAAACAACAAAAUAGGCUUACUUUAGACAUACACUUCACAUGUUUCUAGAUAUUUACAUGACAUCAUCAGAGGAUACAAUAUGCUUUACAUUUAGCAACAUGAUUUACCUGGCCCAGCUUAAUGUAAGUAGCUCCCAUGCGUUCAAAGAGUCUCCUCAAGUAUAGAGGAGACAGUAGGCCAAGCUGCAAUUCACUUGGUAAUCCACCAGACGCGCUUGUAGACUGCAGCGAGUGAGAAAGUAGUUAGCAAUCAAAGAUAGUUCGAAGCCAUAAGAAAGAAAAAAACAUAGUUUCAGCUGACAGGAAGUGUCAAGUGUUAUGAACAAAAUUUAAGAACUUUUUACUUGAAACAUAUAUGAAACCUAUAAAUAAGAUUAACAGGCACCUUAGAUAAAUCAUUUAGCCACUCUCCUCCAACCCCUACAAAGGCUUGAACGCCUUGGACAAGGCGUGUCACACCGCGUGGACCUGUGUUUAUCGAUGUCUGAAUUAUAUCCUCAACCAGUUUGGGCAACUUCUCUAUCUGGCCUGCAUCAAAAGCCAUGUAAACAAAUACAUGGAUCAAUUAACCGUCUUCACAAAAGCAACGUAUUUCUGAUAAGUAGAUUUACAAAACAAAUCCAAUUAGCAAAAAAAAACACCCUAACGAGAUAUAAUUCAGCAUCAUAAAUGUAAACAGUGAGAUUCAGUUUACAAAAAGCAGGAAAUUUCCGUACUUUGAAGACGAGAAGUGAAAAGGUCCUGCGUUUGCGAAUACUGAGCCGAAAUAACAAAACCCUUCAAAUUCCUGCUUCCGAUCAUCUUCUUAGACGUUCGUGAUACAGUUCUCGCGACGGGAAACUGCAAAAUGAAGCUAUCGAGAUUGAGCAGAGAAGUAAAAGGAGCUAAGCCUUAAAGAGCAGAUAAAGGAAACGACUUCAGGGAAGGAAAGUGAGAAUAGAAAACAAGUAGACCUGAGAAUGGUAAAAUAACGGUAACCGCGUGCCACGGAAAGCUGAGACCGCCAUCGCUCGCCGGAGAUUGGAGCAAAAGACAAGAAACUCCGGUCAAGCUAGCUUUUUACUCUCAAACGCAGAGAAAAGCGACACCGUUUUGAUCAUUUUAAAAACUGAAAUAUCCUGAAGCGGAGUGAAGGGGAAUAUGCCACGUGGAGACGUGUGAGAGGUGGUUUCCUUCUCACAACAUAUUCGUGCAAAACUUCUCGGUUCGAUUCGAUUUCCGGUUCACCACUUUUGAAUCCGAUUAAACCGAACCGUUUUUGGGGCGCUGGAGGAGAGAAGUUGAGGUAACGCAUUGACAUAAAUACCCUCAUCAAAAUUGAGAAAUAACAAAACCAUUCAAACCCUAACCACUUUCACGGAACCUCCUCUUCUUCUUCGUCUCUCUGUCUUCUUCUCUCAACGCCGUUGAUUCGCCAUCGUCGCUACAGGUGAGAUUUUCCUUCGAUUGUCUUUGUUUUUUCUUCCUUUCUUCCAUCAAUUCGUUCUCUUUCCAUCUGGGUUUGUUCUUUUAGCUCAAGAAAAUUGAUUCCAGAGUCAGAAUCGUUUAUAGUUUUGAGUUAUGAUGAUUCCUCAAUUGAUAAGAAAAACUUAAAAUUGUAUUAGUUUCUACGAUUCAUGGUUGUUCGAUUUAGGUUUCUUCUACAUUCUAUAGGGUAACAUUUGUUUCUUAUGCUUGUUUUUGCAUGCUUCUUAUUCUCUUUACUUAUCCUGAGCUUGUUAUAUUAGGUAAACUUGCUCUAUUAUACUAGGGUUUCUGUUUCUCUUCUGGAUAAUGAAUGAGCAUAUUUGCUCAAGAACACAAAUUGAAAUUUUGUCUACAAAGUCAUCUUCUUUAGUUCUGUAUCUAGUAAACGAGUAAAGUUUGUGUCUUUUGAUGUGAUUCAGUAUUUGUACUAGCUUAGCUAUAGCUAUGCAUAAUGUAUAUCGAAAAUACAUAUCUAGUCUUUCACAGUUAUUAAUAUUUCCUGUUUUAUUGCUGCAGCUUGUCUUGAGGUUUCCGACUUUUUGGCUAAUCUCCUCUGUGGAGAGCAAUGACUAAAACUCGUGGGACUGAUGUAAGUUUUGAUUUCCCCAGUAAUUCUUGAGCAUUCGAGUAACUUUUUAUUAUCUCAUAUUUUGUUAAUCCGCCAUGGUAAGUUGAUUCUACAGUUUUUAUGUGUUAAUUAGCAUCUGAAACUUGACUAUGAGUCCUUAGUUUGUUAUAUGUCAAUUCUCCGAAAGGGCUUUUUUUCUGAUUGUGAUUGGUUUUGGUUAUUGUUGUAGAUGGCAAAGAAGAAGGGUAAUCGUGAUUCUGGAUUGGAUUUCAAGACUCAUCAGCAUACUGAAUUUUUCGAUAAGUUGAUAGAGCUCAUCCCUGCAAGAUUCUACUUACCUGAUGAGACAGAAAGAAAAUGGUUUCCAGGUCUUAGCAAGGCUCGAAAAGCUAAAGCCAAGAAAAUAACAAAUGAAAACCUAAAGAAGGCGAAGAGAGAUAAGUUGGACCCAGAGAAGUCUGCUUUGACGACUCUCGAUUUACUGAAGGAGAAGAUAGAGAAGGAAAGAUUGGCUUCACUGAAGCAGAAGCAAAAGAAGAAACACGCGGAUUUACGGAAGCAGAAGUUUGACCGGCAAAACUCUGGUACUGAGCUUCCUGAUGAUGACAGUGAGGAGGAAACAGACAACAACAGACAAAAGGAUCAUCAAUCUGUUACGUACGAAGAGCUGAGGCAACGUCUCCACCGCAAAAUUGAUGAGCUCAAAGGUGGUCGUGGAGGUUCAGAUAGACCAAGAAGCAAUGAGAGAAGGAAGAAGAUUCUGCCAAAUAAGAGAAAGAGGGAUACAGUUUCUGAGGAGAAGACUGUGGAGGAAAAUAAGUCAGCAGAUAAAGGUAAGGGUAAGUUGGAUGUGGAGGAGGCUGCUAAGGACCUUACAUUUGGUUACGUCAAGAUUGAUGACGAUGAAGAACACGGAAAAGAGAAAAAGAAACGGAGGCUUUCAAAGGCAAAAGAACUUGAAAGGGCUAUAAAGUUAGAGGAUGCAAAGAAGGAUCCAGAAAAAGGAGAUGUAAUUGCAAAGAAGCACUCAUGGAAGGCAGCUACAAGCAGGGCAGCUGGUAUCAAGGUUCAUGAUGACCCAAAGCUAUUGAAGCAAAGCAUCCACAAAGACAAGAAGAGGCACGAGAAGAACGCAGAGAAGUGGAAAGAGAGAGUUGAAGGGCAACAAAAGUUCAAGGUGGAGAAGCAGCAAAAGAGAUCAGGGAAUAUUGCCGAUAGGAUUGAACAAAAUAAGAUGCGGAAAAUCGCCAAGAGAGAGAAAAAGCUCCUGCGUCCUGGCUUUGAAGGCCGCAAAGAAGGGUUUAUCAAUGAAGGUGGAAACUAAAAUUCAAAUCUUCCAUACGCCUUUUGUGUUCCAACAUUUCAACGAUGUGAUCCUCACAAAGGCUGUGAAGAGGGUUUGCACAUCUGAAAUAGAAAAACAUCUUCUACCAUUUUGGGAAUUUUCAUCUAGUCAAGUCCCUAGCUAUAUCUUUUAUCUUUUAGUUCGUUUUCUUUUGCAGUUUGUAGACUUAUCAGAUGUUCCAUUUGCUACUCAAUGUGUUGUUGCUUACAGUGAAUGCUCUUAUCAGGCAGGUUUUGAAACUAUAUAGAAUUUGCAGGUUUUAGACAAACUUGUCACAGAAAUUUGCAUAUUUUGAAUGCGAGAAUACAAAGCCUAGGUACCACAUUCAAGCUAAAAUCUGUAUGCAAGUUUUGAUCUGAAAUCAUUUAUGAGAAAUCAAACUAAACCGAGUCGAUGUGAUAAUAAAACUUUAGUUGGAUCCGGUUAGGUCUGGUUCAUAUUACAAAACUCAAAAAUGAUCUUUAGGUGCAAGUUCUAGAAGUAAACAAACGUGUCUGAUUUUGAACAGUAAGCUUCUUUUUUUGUCGGCGAACAGUAAGCUUACUAUACUAAACAAAAGCUUGGAUAAAAGCCUCUGAAGAGAGUCAAAGUAGGUCGGCAAAAGAAUCUCGAGACACGUGCCACAAGAACAAGCUUGGAGAAUCUCGAAAACUCUCUUACUCAUCGCCACUCCCACACGUGUGAUGAAUGCCGUGUGUUAAUGGGUCACAUUACCCAAACCUUAUAUAGACCACAAAGAGACCCAACAGAACUCCAUCAGACAAAACAAUGGAAGCUAUCUCUCAAACCUGCACAAAGAUCAUCACCAACUCAUCUUCGAGAACAUAUAAAACCUCAUCUUCGGUCACGGCAAUCCCACAGACCAAGCUGAGCCUUAAAGCCAAGAAGGAGAGGUGGGUUGCUGCUGCUAGAUGCGUGGCUUCGGGGUCGGGUUAUGCGGCGGCAAUGGAGCCAAUUACACCGGAGGAAGAGGAGGAAUUGACUCAGAGAAGAGGUAUAUGUGGCGGAGAAGCAAACAGAGGAGUAUGGGAGCUCUUGGAGUGCCUUGAGAAGGAAGCUAUUAUGGGUGAUGAUGAUGGGAGAGACCCUACAGAUUACAAUAGAAGAGCGAAGAUUUUCGACAAGAGUUCUAAGAUCUUCAAGAACUCUAAAGAACAGAGAGAUCAGUCUCCUGUGGAGUACCUUGAGAAGGAAGCUAUCAUGGGGGCUGAUGAUGGGAGAGACCCUAAAGAUUAUAACAGAAGAGCAAAGAUUUUUGACAAGAGUUCUAAGAUAUUCAAGAACAUCAAAGAACAGAGAGACCAGUCUUCUCCAGAAUAAAUAUAAAAAUUGUUGUCUGUUUGUUAUGAUCUGAUCUCAUUAGUGCUUGAUUCCUUGUAUGGUUGUACCUGUACUUUUUUUUACAAGGAUCCUCUCAUUGUAACACCAUCUUAAUAAUAUUCAGUCAACAGGAGAGACUAAUUAUUGAACGCACAAUGAUGCAGAAUCUUUGGAUCCUUUUUCCAUUCAACUUGAGAGUCCAUAUAAAAAUAGCUUUCCAACACCCACUUUAACCAUAGUCUGUGUUCCAAGAAUCCUGAAAGUUCUCAUAAUCCAAAUGUUAUCUAUGAUGAUUGGAUCAAGAAUAUGAUUAACACUAAAACAUCUUGAAAACACCAUUAAUCCUCUUGAUGGGAACAAUGAAAUCAUGAGUACUAGAGAAAAAUCAGAAAACCUGUCCCGAUGGAUUUACUUAUGUUUUAUAUUGAUAUCCAUCAAACAUAUUUAGUCCAACAAAUCUAGACACUGUUUAUGAAGAACAGAACAAGUUCCAAUGGCAGUUGCACAAAAGAUAUGAUAGAAUAAAAGAUUAUCUUUAUACAGUUGAAACAGGAAUAUUGUUGGCUUAAUGACAAGUUCCCAUCUAAAUCCAUAGUUUAUACAUGGUGAUUGAUAUCUAGUAGCUUCAAUAUAGCAGUUGUACAGUGUUCUAAUAAGGCAAAACAAUAAAUGAUUUUCAGACAAAUUAUUUUCGGACACACGAAACAACAACAGUAAAGAGAUAAAUUCCGUUGACUUCUCUUCCGCACACUUACUUUUGGAUCCAUGGGCCCGAUAUAGAAUCUGAGCCUGAUGUCUGUUGUGGUUGAAACGUCACCGUUUUGUUUUAGUUUAUCUUCUCUCUAAACGACGUCAUGUUGCUUCCCUCUUCUUCUUCUUUCUCCUCUUUUAGUCUUUUCAUUUGAUCGCUGAAAACUGAAACUAUUUCCCCAUAUCACUCAUCUCUCUUCUUCAAAAUUCCUUCUUUGUUUCACAAAACUAAACCAAACCCUGAUUUUAGCUUCUUAAUUGCUUAAUUAUCUUCAAUUUUUGUUUAAUUUUUAGGUUUUAAAUCAUUUUCGAUCGUUUGAUUCCAUCAUUCCAUGGCCGGAAAAGGGCUAUCAUCGGCGCCUUUCAACGCGCCGCCGAUGAUUGUCCAAGACGCUGACCCGUUACGUUUUCGGGUCGGCGAACAAGACCCUAAAACCCGUGAAUUCGCUGCUUUUAUCGGCGACCACCACCGGUAUUUCGCGGCGGCAGCAGCAGCAGCCGCCGCUGCAGCUAAUCCACACCCUCAUCUAGAGUUCCGUCAGAAUUUCUACUCGGAGAAACCCAUUAUCGGAAACCCUAACGACAGUGGUGGGUCCGACGGCGAGGAUGACGUUGACGUGGAAGAAGAAGACGAGGAUGAUGACAUAGACGGAAAUGAAGGCGACAUGGGCAUGAACAAAGAUGCUGGCGAAGAUUCUGUAUCUGCAGGAGCUGGUAAGAGAAUCACACAAAGUUUUUUGUUUUUUUGGAAUUCUAAGUUUGAAAAGUUUCUACUUUUGGGAGUAUUGAGGCGGUGGACUAAAAUGGUAAUGCAGUGAUAGUGGUUGGACAAGACAACGCAGCUUACUACUCACAGCAUUUUAAGACGAUGGAAACGACUUUUGCUUCUAGGAAUGAGGAAUCAUCUAUCGCUGUGGAUAAUGGGUGUGAUUUCAGCGGCAGAAGAGACCCUUCUUCUUCUUCGAGCAAUUCAAUCGAGUCCUUGAGGACCAUUUUGUCUGAUCCUACAACGUAUGUUCUUUUUUGUUUUGGCUUGGUUUUUACGGGUUUUUUUUGUGGUCUUAAAGUCGUUAUUGAGCUUAUAGGACUCUGUUCUAAACUCUUGAAAUUCGUUUAGUUCUUAAAUUCUCCAAUAAUGGAAGCAAAUAUGUAGAACUUUCUGAAUCUUGGUGUAGUGAUAUAUGGUUCCGGAAUUACAAAGAGCUUUUAGUGUUAUUAACUUAUUACCUCGCCAAGAAGUUAGUGUGGACGUUGAUACUUUUUAAGUUGGAAACCAUUGGAUUGGUAUUUGAUCAUGCUUGCGUUUAAUCUAUAGCCUAUUUUUUUUGUUAAAUGUGAUUCUCUUUGCACAAUUGCAGAGGGUCUUUGAUGGCUGAUGCUAUGAUUUUACCUUGUGGACACACUUUUGGAGCUGGAGGAAUUGAACAAGUGAAACAGAUGGUACAGAGUUUUGUUUCUGCUAUUUGCUUUUGUCUCUUUUCUUUUGCUUAUGAAAUCUAUUUUCCGUCGCCUUCUCUUAGAAGGCUUGCUGCACAUGUUCACAACCAGUCUCAGAAGACUCAAUAACCCCAAAUCUCAGUGAGUUACUAGAGUUCAUGAUUUCUGUAUUUGGUAUAGUCUCAGAGAACUCCUUGUCAUUAUUUUCGCCCGAUUUUUCGCAGCUUUACGAGUUGCGGUACAAGCAUUCUGCCGAGAAGAGAAUUCACAGUCAAACCAUUCAUCGAAGAGAAAACGAGAAGGAUUUGAUCAAGUAAUUCAAUACUACUAUUCAUAUGACCUCUCACAUUUAUUUAUGUAUCAAACAAGAGGUUCCUUUUCCAUAUACACAGGAGAGACGUGCAUUUGGUGUCACUAAUCAUUCAGGUCGAUCAAGGAACAAAAGUAAUCAUUUCCCAUUUGCUGUGGCAGAUCGAGUUAUAAUAAAGGUCGGUCCUUUCUUUUUUUUCCCUGCGAUUUUUUUCUCUAUCGUAGGUAUUUUCUUAUGAUGGAAGAUUGCGGGAGUUGCUAACCGAUGGAGUGAAACAUGAAUCAGGGAAAUAAGAGGACACCACCUCGUUUUGUUGGCCGGGAAGCUGUUGUGACUACUCAAUGCUUAAACGGCUGGUAAACUCUCAUUUCUUUCUUUCUCACUGCAAACUUUCUUGUACACUGAUAAAGGCAUCACCUGUACAACCCUUGAGCAAAAAUCUAUACCAACUUUUGUAUAAAUGUUUCUGUUACUUAAGAGCUCAUUUGCUACAUUUGCAGGUAUGUGGUGAAAACACUGGACAACGCAGAGAGUGUGAAGCUUCAGUAUCGUUCAUUGGCUAAAGCUCCAGAAGAUCCAUCUGCCAAAGCAACACCAAACAAGAUGGUCUCUAACUGGCUCUAAACAAAGCAACCUUGUUUUCAGCAUGAUGACACCAGUUUCUGCUCCUAGGUUCUCUAUGUAAGAUCCAAAACCUUAUUUACAGAUCCAGAUCACUGUUACAUAUUGUAAAUUGUAGUAGUUACUCCAUGUGUGAGGUUUGACUUUUUGGGGAAAUUAGGCUUAGGGCAAGAUCCAAACUUUGAAUAGCCAGAACAUAUUCGGAUCAUAAUACAAUACAUAGUUAUCUCAAGAUUACUUCUUUAUUCAAGAAGAGAUGUUAAUAACUUUCAGAAUCUUAACUAAUUUAGCAUACUAAGGUUCUUACUGUAAAACAAAUGGCUGAAAAAUGAAUCUAUAAAAGGAAAUAGGAAAAAAAAAAAAAAAAAAAAAAGAAGGCUGAUGAGCAUAUUGCUCCUAGUGUUACAGAUGGAUAUUACAAAGAAUAACUCUGCUAUGAAAGUUUACACUAAAGUAACUGGGAAAAAGUUUUCAACUAAAAGGCUUAAAUCAGAUACUGGUCAGAGGUUUAAAGGAUUUCAGCUACAGGUUAUGUUCUCCUCCAGAAAACUGCAGGUCGAGAAUAUAGAGGCUGCAGCUGCUUUAAUGACUAAAUCCUUAUCUGACAUCAGCGCGUUUACAGCUCUGCAACACAAUUUGAACAGCAGGAAACUAAAAAUUUGGAUUGGGGAAACAUAUUAAACUGGUAAUGAGAUGAAUAGGUAGUGAAAUGGCCAUACCUAGAGUCCAGUGGCAUCCCUAAGUGUAAGAAAUUCUGACCAGAACUCAAGCUCAAGUGUUGCAGACCUUGAUCACAAUGUGAUUGCAGAUAUCUCACUUGGUUUAACCAGCUUUCCUGAAUAUUUUCAAAGUUCACAAACUCCAUAUCAGAUGCCAAUGAAAAAAGGUAAGAUGUGUGGUUAGGAAAUCUUAAUUCUAUUACCAAUUGUGACUCUUCUUCUGAGAGCUUGUGUUCGAGUUGCUUAAACAAAGUCAUCCAUCUGGUCUUGUGGACAUCGACUGUUGAAGCCCUUGAAGCCCCAUCGAAGAGUAAAGUUGGGUCAUUUUCUUGAUCGGGUGGAAACUCUUUCGUUAUUAAGAAAGGUAGCUCUGUCGUGACAACUGCACGAACCCUCUUCUUGCUACGUCGAAGAGCUGAAAAGAACCAAAAAGAGAUUUAAAGAACAGCCAAGUACUAAAGUUUUCAUAGCAUGAAUGACCAUAUAAGAGUUUUGGUUACCGGAAACACGGCCUUUGAGGUCCUGAUGAAGCAAUUCCAACCAUUGAGAAGCUACAGUAGCCGCUGCAAAUUAGAGAUGAAGAUCCAUCUAAGCCACAUAUGAUAGUAUAAAACCAUGCACAUUGUGUAUUGAAUUCUAGAACAUACCAUUAACAGUGAGAACACUAGCACUGUUAAGAUCUGAUGCGUCCUCGCUCGACAAGGAACUGGCAUUUUCUGAGAACUUACCUGCCACGUGAAACCUCGACCUAACUGUAUUGUUUUCUUCACUUAACUCAUCAUCUGCGCAUUUCUCAUCGUAGUAGCGCAUAGAGUACUUACCUUUUGGCAUGGCAUACUUGAAUCCUUGGUUAAAAUCAGAUCCGAAGGCAUCAGUGUUCACAUCUCCCAAGUUUUUCCUAGGACUCCCAACUGCACUAUUACUAUGCCUCAAUGUAGAAUGAUAGAAGUUUCCAGCAUCUCUUUCAGACUUGACAAUGUUUUCGAUAAUGGAAAGUACUUGCUUUUUGUUUCUCACAUGGUUAAUAAUUCCAGGGUUCAAUUCAUUAAGCAGUCCACUAGGAGCAGCUAGCCUAGCAAACCUGUCAACUUCUUCCUUCCUUGCAAUCUCUAUCUUUCUCUUCUUAGCCAUUGCAGCGUCAAUAUUAUUCUUUUUGCGUCCACGUUUCCUUGGAGCCGGUAUCCCUCCAUGAGAAGAGGAUACGAGACAGCUACUUGAUGUCGUUGAAAUCCCACCGUGCGGAUUAGAGAGAUACCCGUUCUGUUUCAUUUCUGUCCAAACCUUCAUUGGAUCUUUUUUCGCAACAGGACCAUUGGAACUCCCACACUCUGAAUAAACAUCCAUUGAACUAGUUUUCUGGCUUCUCCUGGACGAGCAAACCGAUGUUAAAUCAUCAUUCAAGCAGCUGGAAACAGCAUCCGCAUUAUCACAUCUCUUAAGCAAAGCUCUCUUAUCACAAUCAACAUCUGCGUUGAGAACAAGCUUACUGGAAGAAGACUUGACCUUUUGACCUAACAGUUGAGUCUUAUUAGUCAUCCCUUCUUUAACAAAACUCUCUGAAACUUUACCAACUUGAGACAUUUCAUUGGCUUUUUCAAUGUCCUUAGAAGCAGUGCCACCUGUAGCAACGGAUGUUCAAAUUACAUUUGAAUCAAAGUUUAGGCUAUCUAUUCUAUGCCUUUCUUAAACUUCAAUCUCAUUGAAACCAUAAUAUGAAGAAUCAUAAAACGAUGAACAAUUGAAUGAAAUUGGCUCGGCUAGUAACAGUAAAUUACCUGAAUUUAGAGUUGGUGUAACAGGUUGAAUUUUACUCAACUUCAGUCUUUCAUCCAAUUCAGCGCCUCCGAUCUAAAAUCCCAGAAAUCGAAAAAGUAAAGCAAUGUAUAAUUAGAUCGAGAAAUUGAAAGGCAAAGUAAAUCAGCAAACGAACAAAAUCAAUUCAACAAAAAUCCAAUGAAGGAGAAGAAGUAAAGAGGUUACCUUUAAGUCGGAUCUGGGAAUCGGAGAAAACCCUCCAGAAACAUUGUCGUGUUCUUCCAUAGCGACUCAAUUAAAACCACGAAAGCAAACCCAGAAAUUUACCUUCGAAUAUUUGACCAAAACAAAAGCCAAAAAGUUUCGAGAAAUGAGAAAACCCAGAAAAUGGUGAUAACAGAUUCUCUGAUUCCUCGAGGGAAAAAUACUCGAAAUGGAGAUCGAGGGUUCGAGUGAUGAAGUCUAGGGUUUUAAGAUCUGAUGGUCAAUUAGUAAAGAUCGGAAAUGUUGGAUUUGAGACCCUAGAAAUUGGAGAAGAGGGAAGAAGAAGAAGCAGAGGAAUGAGGUGUGAAGAGCGCGCGAUGUGGGCGUAGUUUAAUCAUUUCUGACAAACAACAAAUGUUUUAAUUCUUUUGGGUUUUUUUUUUUUUUCUGGGGGAUCUUUGAGGUUUUUCAAAUUCAAACGAGGCUUAAACGCGAUUUGGAGGGAAUAGUGAAUUUGGGCCUUUAUAAUCGAAUCUUUUGAAUUUUUGUUAGCUCAUUACUAAUUUCGUAAAGGCCUUUUUCACUUUUAUUGCUAUUUUUUAAUAAACCAACUACUUAAACCGUAAAUUACAAGAAGGCUCCGCUUGCCAUUUGAAUUUUCAAUUUAAGUAACAGAUUAAAAGCUAAUCAUAUUUAUAAGUAUUAAUUGCAUAAAAUAUUGUAAUUGUGAAAUCUUGUGUUAUUCAAUUCUGUAUUUUGGAAAAUAAUACGUUUACAUUAUUGUAAUCUACAAACAUUAAAAACAAUUGUUAUUCAACCUCCAUUUAAUUUUGUUACUUUUAAAAACAUAUUUGAUUUUCUUUUACUAAAUUAAGUUUUUAAUAAUAUCAACAUAUUUGAUAUAGUAGAUUCAUACGAUGUCUUAGUAGGCUCUAUGACUCCUUCUGGGCAGAGAAUUCUACGCGAAAGACCUGUUCAGCCGUCGAUCAAAGCUCAGGAGGUACAAGCGUCCUCUAAUGCUCGGGGAAGACAUAACCGUGGACGGGGUCCCCGCGGACGCGGGAAUCGAGGAAGCGGUCGUGGACGUGGCUAGUAUCUCUCCUUUGCUUAUUUAUCAAGCUAAUCGAAGCGGAAGAUUCGAUUACCAUCUUUACUCAACUUUAUUGUACUUGUAAUGUGAACUUUCUGCGCUGCCUUUAUGGUAUGCUUUUAAAAAAAAUUAAUAAAAAAAAAAAAAAAAAAAAAAAAAAACAAAACAAAAAAAACCAUAUUGGAUAUUUGACCCAAAUUUGGUCAAAUAUUUAUUUACAAGAUUAUGCAAAGGGCUCCAUUAUCAAUUUCCCACAAGCCAACAAUUCCUAAGCUGAGAUUCACUAGUCUCUCUAAAACUUGACACCUUAGCUAAACAGAAAUGCGUACACCGCAUACCCAAACCCGACCCGGAUCCUGACCCUGACAUUGACCCGACACGGGUCGUCUUAAGCAGAUAACAAACCGGCCCACACUCAACUCCUUUCCCUUGUACCACCAACCCCCACGCACGUGUGCCGUCGCCACCGUCAAAACCACAGCCACAACUCUCCUCCGCCGCUCCUAACUGCUCCACGAACACAAUUCCUUCCGGCAUCUCCGCCUCUCCUCUCUCCCAUCUCCCUUUCACCGCCGCCCAUUCCUCCGCUUUCAUCACAACCACCGUUCCCUCCUCCUUAUCUCCGGUGUACAAAUGGACUAACAACGGCGCUUCACUUAAAUUCUUAACGAUCUCCGUCACCGAUUCCUUCAUCCACCUGUCUAGCUUCUCACGCUCCGCCUCCACCGCUCUACUAUCUCCUCCACCUCCUCUGCUUCUCCCUCCGCUUCUUCUUCCACCUCUCUGUUUCUCUAUCUCCGUUACGGUCUCCGCUAUCGACGCCGUGAUCGUUCCAACGCUAGAUCGCCGAGUACCGCCUAGAUUGAUCGGGAACGACGAUGAAAGCAAUCUCGCAUUAUGAUCGGAUCCACAUGGAUGCUCCAAUGAGCCGCGUUGCACUAGAUAACUUCCACCGUAACCGAUUUUUGCAUACGCCAUCUUUCCCCGGUGAUGAGAUUUCCACGUCAAUAAAAAAAAUCUUAAAUCACAAAAUCCGGAGAUUAAAUCCUCCCUAGAUUCGCUUUAAUGUUUCUAUGAACAAGACGUUAUGAAACAACGGCGAGGAUUCAGGCGGAGAAAUAUAUCUAGCGGUCGGAUGAGUAUAGGAUUGUAGGAAGAACUUUAACGUAAGAAGAUGACUUGAUAUAACGCUAGGUUAUUAAAAUAUGCUGACGUCAGUUUAAACUGAAACCUGUUUGACGAGUUGUAAUCGGGUGUAACUCAAUCCAUGCUAAGUCCCGGUGCGUAUAUGCCUUUUACGUUUAAGUGGUUGUUAGUGAUUGUAGCGGAGUAUACUAGAGAAGGGAACAUGGUUGCACAGUAGGAAUCAUGUAGAGGAUUAUUGCCCUUUGAGAAAGUGGGAUGAGGUCAAUGAUUAAAGACCUUUAACGAAAUAACGGCGUUUUUUAUAAUCUAGAACAGACGUAUUGCCGUCGAGUGUUGCUUGAUCUAAGCCGUAGGAUUAUAAGACAAUGCUUCAGAGGACCGGAUCGGACGGUCAUCAUGAGAUGUAGAACUCGAUAGGCACGUGGGAAUGUGGUUUCGGUGUGUGGGGAGAUCGGAGUAACACGCGACACUCGUCUUCUUAAUUAAGUGGAUUCCGUGCUCACCACGUGUUUGCCACGUCAGCUUAGAGUCCACGUUGGAGUCAACUAUAGCUUAAAUAUAUUUAUAAGCUUUUCAUAUUAAUAUGGGUUGCCGCAUUAUUACGACCCGUACUAUUUCUAUUCUCACGAUUUCGACUUAUACUUUUCGACCUUUUAUAAAUAGAUAUAAACUAUAUUUAUUUUUUACAAAACGACCUGAACUUUUUUUUCGGUCCAAAUGUCUACACCUCCAAUCGAAAUAGAUAAUCCCGAUUUUAAACCUGAUUAAACCGUUAAAUCGCGAUUACUGUCUCGUGUUUGACCAAAUCCGACUGUUUUUUCUUUGACUCGAUAAGCCCAGCUUAAAAACGACGUCGUUUGCUAAAUAUGAAAAUCACUCAAAAUAUGUUUUCCCCAAAUUUCCUAUUCACUCGUCUAUCGAUUUUUCCCCAAAUAUGAAGAACCCUAGAAGCGAAUUUAAUUCUAUCACCAAAACAAACUAUUUGGUUUUUAAGCUGGAUUUAUCGGGUCAAAGAAAAAAUAGUCGGAACUAGUCAAACGCGAAACAGUAAUUAAUUGCUAUUUAACGUUUUAAUCGGAUUUAGAAUCGGGAUUAUCUAUUUCGAUUGGAGGUGUAGACAUUUGGACCGAAAAAAAAUUCAUGUCGUUUUGUAAAGAAUAAAUAUAGUUUAUGUCUAUUUAUGAAGGAUAGAAAAGUAUAGGUCGAAAUCGUGAGAAUGAAAAUAGUACAUGUCGUAAUAAUGCGGAAAUCCUAUUAAUAUUAUGGUCAAAGUUGUGAAUUUUGUUUUCCAAAUUUCUUUUACUAGUUUUUUCUAAGAAAAAUCCACCAAAAAUAGAUAAAACCUACAAUGUUUAAAUACAAAUUCAUUGAAUGAUAAACAAACAAUCCUUUCUUUUUUUUUUGGAUCAAAACAAACAAUCCUGUAAAGGUAAUAAAUCCACAAUUUAUUAAAUCUGUUGGAUCUAGAUAGUUAGUCUAUUAGGAUCGCCCCUUCAAAUUUUUAGAUGCAUAAAGCCAAAAAGUUAUAUUAUUUUCAUUGAAUGAUAAACAAACAAUCCCAUAAAGGUAAUAAAUCCACAUUUUGUUGAAUUUGUUGGAUUUAGAUAUUUAGUCUAUCUGGAUCAUCCCUUAUACUUUAGAUGCAAACUCCAGAACUACAUCUACAAUAUUCGUAAUAGCUUUUUCUAGAAAAACAGUAAUCUUUACUCUCUCAAUUAGGUUGGAUACACAUGUGGAGCUAGACGAGGUGUUGCAACCGCGUGUAAUGGUUUUGCCAUGAAAAGGUCACUCUUGCUUUCCGAAAUAUCGAUCUUACUCUCACCAGGCACUGGUGACCACGUGAACCCUUGAAUCAACCGAGCCAACAACAUGUACGUCAUGGCUGACCCAAUGUCCACACCCAUACACCCUCUUCGUCCCGCACUGAACGAUAUUAUAUUGAGAUCAGGCUCGUUUGGAUCCACGCCUAUGUUAUUGAACAAAUGUCUCUCCGGGUCGAACUUAAGAGGCUUGUCCCAUACGCUAGGGUUUCUCCCAAUCCCCAUACGACUAAUCAGCACAUGGCUUCCCUUGGGGAUGAAGUAACCGUCUACCACAGCGUCAGCGGUGGACAUGUGAGGGAGGUUGAACGGUGCCACGGGGUGUAACCGGAAUGCCUCUUUCACACAAGCCUUCACGUAGUUGAGAUUUGGGAGAUCGGACUCAAGGACAAGGCGGUCUUUUCCAACUACCCUAUCGAUCUCCUCCACGGCUUUUUGCAUGAUGCUCGGCUCGUUAAUCAUCUCCGCCAUAGCCCACUCCGCCGCAUUAGACGGAUUAUCCACCGUCGCCAACAUUAGCUCCUUCAUAGUCCAAUCAACCACCAAAAAAGUUAGAGGUGAUCAGAUAAAAUAUUUUUUUUUUGUAAAAUAAAAUUAAACCUUUUGCUUAUGAAAAUGCAUCACUAAUGCAUGGAAUUCCAAAUUGAAAAUAUUUAGAGCUUUGAUUUUCUAAAGAAACUCCAUUACAAUGUACCAUGAUCUUUGAAGUAAUCAUCAGUUUUAAACUAUCCCGGUUUACUUAACUGGUUAGAGAGGUGUUGUAAUAGUUUUACUUUUACCAGUCCUAAGUGCUACAAAACAUUCAUAGACAAAUGAUUUACAAUUGUAGACACAGUACAUGUACUAAUAAAGUCAGGUCACUAUUGGUCACGAAAGGACGAAACUUUUUUGCUAAAAAAAAAACUCUAGGUACUAUAUUGUAGUAGCCAGAUAUAAUUCGAUAAUUAAAAAGAUAUAAUAUUAAGUCCAUAAUAUGCAUACCGUCACUUGUGCUUUGAUCUCUUCGUCCGACAGAGUAGGCUUCCCGUCAGUGUCUUUAGCCAUUAUAAACAUGUCAAGAAAAUCUUGAGGCUCUUUCAUGUUCCCAUUUCGCCAUUGCAUAAGUCUUUCAUCAACAAAAGGAUCGUUAUACUUACUUACCUUUCUCAUUGCAUCACUCACAAUCUUCUCAUGCCCUUCCAAGUCCAAGAACCUUAGCCACGGGACAUAAUCUGACAAUGCAAAGGCGUAAAGAUGGGUUAAAACCGUAAACAAAGAUUCCACAUGUUCAAUCUCUUCGAACCCUGGUCCCGAUCCAUCUUCACUUCCGUUACCAAAAUGCCUUAUACCAAACAUCAUCUUCCGAGCUACAUUUCCGCUGUAUUGCCGCACCACAAGCCUUAAAUCAAUAACCACAAAACCAUUACCAUUACCACGGUUUUUGACACUACGGUUAUUGAUGUACCGGACGAAGUUAUCAGCCUCUUCGGUUCUCUUUUGGAGCGUCAGUUGGAAGCUCUUCUUGCUCGUCACGUGAGAUGCCACCACUCUCCUCAUCAUCUUCCACUGCUCUCCUUGUGGCUCCACCGCAACAGUCAAGUACCCGCGGCUGCAGUACUCUGUCCCCAUUGUUAGUGGUCUAGUGGCGAAAACGGAGUCUUGCUUCUUCAGAAUCUCCCUUGCAAUUCUCGGGGAUGUCACGGGGAUUACGUGAGUAUUCGCAAGACGGAUACAUGCAAUAUCGGUGUUGAGUUCUUUCAUAAGAGAAUGUAUCCAACGGAACACCGGUCUGUUCCUCCCUAGUAUGUCCGGUAAGUUUCCGAUUAGAGGCCAAGAUUUCGGCCCGGGAGGGAGAGAGAGGUUUCUCGUGUGUCUAGUCAUUAACAUGGUUUUCUUCUUCUCCUUAUGCUUCAUAGUUAAUGCAAGAAGAAGCAAACCUAGAAUAAACGCAAGCAGUGGGGUGGAGUCGAGCAUUGUUUUUAUCUCAAUUUGGAGAAAUUAUUUGAGGUCGAAAAAGUUUACUUUUUUCUUUUCUUAAAUGAAAUGAUGAGGAAUAAGCUUAUUUAUAGCCAUGACACGGCAAUGAAACAAUGCUUGUGGUUAGGUGUAAUCUGUGGAAAAUAAAUGUGCUUUAAAUGUUGAAGGAAAAAAAUGUUAAAGGAAUCUGAUAGUGUAUCAUAGUGGGCUUGGAGAAUUGGGCUAUAAAACUGUAAAUUUUAUUUACCAACUUUUUUAGCUUUCCAAAUUCGUCUAAUCAAUCUCUAAGGAUAAAUUUGCUUAUUCCUUAUCCCUUUUAAAUCUUUAUGUUAAAUUUUUAAUGCAUCAUUAUGAAUAUUUGUCCCUUUUAGGUAGCGCCACGUUUAAAAGACUAUGGACUUGGAGAUUUGGGCUUGUAAAACUGUAAAUAGUUGGCCCAUUUUAAAAAUCGACUCAGCUCUGGGUUCAGCUUUUGAAUCUAAUCCAAACUACAAUAAGCGAUCAUAGCCGUUUCUUUGUCAUCAUCACUUUUACGUUACUGAUUUCAAUAGCCGUUGUGGAGAAAGGUGGCUGCUUCUAAUUUUGUAUCUAACUUAUGUACGCUUUCUUUCACUGAUCUCUUUACUGUAUCAUAGUAAUACAAUUUUAUCUCUCUUAUUUUACUUCUUUAUCUUCAUUUGUUAGGUAGAACGAGUGGUUGUGGGCUGACUGCUUGAUCUAAACACGUGGCUUUCUGGUGGAUCGCUAAACAAACAUAUUUCAUAGACAUUCAAUGAAAGAAAUAAAGUUGUUUUGGUAUCAAAAUAAUUCAAUUCAUCAAAAGAAUACGUCUUCUUUUAGAUCACAGGCUUUGAACGUUAGCAAUAUGUUACCUACCACCAGUCCCUGGCUUAAUAUAUAGAUAUUCACAUUUACAUGAUAGAUAUUCUUUCUCUAUGAUCAUAAAAUAGUACACCAAGCCGUUUAUAAAUUCCUUCACUCUCAGUUUCAAGUAAAUAUAAAUUAGAAAGUAAGUCUACACUCUUUGCAUUGUUUAUAAUUACAAAUUUUUAUCCACUAAAGGAAGAUUAUCAGUUCUAGAAAGUUUCUCAUUGCUUUUUCUUAAGAUUUGUGUUUCUUGUUUAUCAAACAGUGGGAACAGAGAUGGUCAUGGUUCAUGAUGUUCCUUUUCCUCCACAGAUCAUCACUUCCAAGCCACUCUCUCUUCUGGGCCAAGGUUUUUUUUUUUUUUUGGUCUAAGAUAACCAUAUUUUCUUUUUUGCUUCCAUAAUAUUUGAUACCUUAAUAAUGCAAUAAAAUCUCAGGUAAUAAUUUAAUGUGGGUUGUUUUUAUUCUUGUUAUAGGGAUCACAGACAUCGAGAUCCACUUUCUUCAAGUAAAGUUCACGGCGAUCGGAGUUUACUUGGAUCCUUCAGAUGUUAAAACCCAUCUUGAUAAUUGGAAAGGCAAAACCGGCCAAGAACUCGCCGGCGAUGACGACUUCUUCGACGCCCUUGCCUCCGGUAAUCUUAAUUAGUCCUUGUUACGUUUCAAAUCAAAUUUGAAUUAGGGUUCUCCGGUUUUGAUGAUUUCUGGUUUAGAUAGACUACUUGGUUAAAUAUUGGUUUUGGCUGUGUGAUACCAAAAAGUGUGAUGAAAAGAACUAGUCAUAUAAUUCGGUUAGGCUUCUUUUUUUGGUUUACUCCGGAUAAACUCCGGUUUACUUAAUUUAUUUGGUUAAGUACGUGUCGAAUAAAAUUGAACCGGUUCGUCUGAUGACUAUAUAUAUAUUUUGGGUCUCUAUUUAUUUCAGCGGAGAUGGAGAAGGUUAUAAGAGUGGUGGUGAUAAAGGAAAUAAAAGGAGCUCAGUACGGAGUGCAGCUAGAGAAUACGGUGAGGGAUCGUUUGGCUGAGGAGGAUAAGUACGAGGAAGAAGAAGAAACCGAGCUCGAGAAGGUCGUUGGCUUUUUCCAGUCUAAGUACUUCAAAGCUAAUUCCAUCAUCACUUACCAUUUCUCAGCCAAAGAUGGCAUUUGCGAGGUAUAAUCUAGAGCCUCUGUUAACGUCUAUUAUUAUAUCGAAUUCAUGUCUUCUUAGAAAUAAAAGUAUGUUUAGUCAUCCAUUUGCAAAGCAUCAAAUUCACGUGGAACAGAGGAACUCUGUUUUCGUUAUACUAAUGAAUUUGUUUGAAAUAGAAAAGAAAAAACCACAUUUGAAUGCAAUUUCUUGCGUAUAUGAAACAAUCAAGGUCCUAAAAUAAUUGUUUAUUGAUUGGUGGUAGAUCGGGUUUGAGACGGAAGGUAAAGAGGAUGAGAAACUGAAGGUGGAGAAUGCGAAUGUGGUGGGGAUGAUGCAGAGAUGGUAUUUGUCCGGAAGUCGAGGAGUCUCACCGUCGACUAUUGUCUCCAUCGCUGAUUCGAUCUCUGCAGUUUUAACAUAAGAACCUUGGCCCCUUACAUAAAUAAACAUUUGUAUGUGUCAUUUGUGUGUGUGUUUUUAUGUCGUUGUUAUAUGAGACAUUGUGUUUGGUUAUCUUUAUAAAUGAUUAAUGCUUAGUCUACAAAAAGUGUCUUGAUUUUGUUGAAACUUAUAUAAUCAUCUUGUCAUAACUUCUACCAUCAAGAUUUUAUUAUCUGUAAGUACUGUACUAUCAAACAAUGGUCUUUCAUUCAUCUUGAUGCAAAGAAUGACUUUUUCAUAGUGGAAAACAAGGAAAUUGGUUUGACUAGAAGGUGUGUUUAGAUUUUGUUUCCUCUUUCGUACUUCCAUGAAUUACAAACACCAGUUUAGUAACUUAUGGAUCCGCCUUGACCAAAUCCUGAAUUUGUAUCAUCAAACGUAUACUAUAAAGUUUGAUCUAAUCGAACAAUAAGGUAAUCUCAUCACAGAAUUCUGAAAAAGCAUGUGGAUGAAUCAUGCUACAUCUCAAUUUAAACCAGCUUUACUCGUUUAGAUUCAACAUUGGAAGGAUACUUAAGUAGGUUUUGUGGAGCUUACUUUGGCUGAUUGAACCAAUUUUGUUGAUUUCUACUGUAGUCACUUGCAAUAGACGAUUUGGGAUUGGUCUUUGGUUCGUGAUGUAGUGUGACUUCGCUUUUGUUGCACUAAGCAGAUACAGAGCAGCAAACUACAGAGGAGAAAUCGACGCGAUGUUGGUUUAACAGUAACUAAGUAGAAAUAUAGCAACUGAGAAUUACACGUGGUAAAACCUAUGACGUCACUACAAAAUGGGAAGUUUUACCCGAACCAUCUGACUAGCCGUUGGUUUAUCACCGAACCUAAGGUUCGAUUUUGCUCUGGACUUCCCAAGCAAAAAAAAUGGAAAUAACAGAAGAGUAAAAGAAAAGGAAACUUGAGUCCCAAAUCAUCAGUUUAUAAAUAGUCUAAUCGUUGUAGUAUCAAAUUUAACAUUUAAACACAAAGAAGGGAUAUGAGAAUAAUAUUUUUAGCCACAACCAUGUUAAUUUCACUAUUACUUUUCAAAAUUAGUUUAAGUGUUAAAUUUUAAAAACGUCAAAAACUAACCGCGCCUAGGCAUUCUGUCCUUAGUUAGUCUGUAAGCUUUAGUUUUCGAAGUUCGGCAUGUUUUCACGUAAUAUAGAUUUAAUUUAACACUUAAACUCAUUUUUAAAAAUUAAUAAGUAUUUUAACUAAAAUUUCAAACAAAUUUAACACUUAAACUUUUUUAAUAUAAUGAUUUUAACCAAAACCAUGUUAAUUUUACUAUUUUUUUAAAAAAAAUUAGUUUACGUGUUAAAUUUUAAAAACGUCGAAAACUAACCGCGCCUAGGCAUCCUGUCCUUAGUUGAUCCGUAAGCUUUGGUGUUCGAAGUUCGGCAUGUUUUCACGUAAUAUAAAUUUAACACUUAACUCAGUUUUAAAAAUUAUUAAUUGUUUUAAUUAAAAUUUAAAACAAAUUUAACACUUAAACUUUUAGAAAAUAAUGCUUUUAACCAAAACCAUGUUAAUUUCACUAUUACUUUUAAAAAAUUAGUUUAAGUGUUAAAUUUUAAAAACGUUGAAAACUAACCGCCACUAGGCAUCAUGUCCUUCGUUGGUCCGUAAGCUUUGGUGUUCGAAAUUCGGUAUGUUUUCGCGUUAUGUAGAUUUAACACUUAAACUCAUUUUUAAAAAAUAAUAUUAAUACUUAAACUUGUUUUUAAAAAAUAAUAAUGAUUUUCACUAAAAUUCUUUUAAAAUCCUUGUAAAUUUUUAAAACCUUUAUAAAUCCAUUUAAACCUCUAAUAGAAAUCUUUAUGUUUUACAUUGUUAAAGUAGAGUUAGCAUAUAAAAUCUUUAUUUAUUUGAAAGGAGGUUUGAAAAUAUUCACAAUAUUAUAUGAGCUAGACUCACAAUAUUAUACGCACACUCUGUUCCCUUAUAUCUGAUACUCUAUUCGUCUUCAUUUUAUAUAAUUAUAUGUGGUGAUAUCUGAGGUAAUUGAAAACCUCUACAAAGUCUUACAGUCUUAGUGUAACGUUUCUGACUUUCUGUGCUUGGCCUUUUUUUUCCAGUUGCCUAAUGGCCCAAACUUUUUUAUUAACUUCUGUUCAUCCGAAUGAACAAUACAUUUAGGUCACAAUCACAUUAACUAAAAAAAACAAAAUUGAGUACAGAAACGAAUCGAAGCAAAUCAAUUUUCUCAAAAAAUUUAUUUUAUUCAAACCUGAACAAAAAACUGACUGAGGCGAACCGAAAAAAGAUUUCGUUAAAGGCUAAACAAUUCUGAAAACCAAAGUCAAUCAAAAACCAAAUCAAACUUGAAAAGCCAAAACUUAGAAGAUUAUAUAAGUAAAUUGUGGAUAAACUUCCCUAAUUGUAAACAGUAAUUUACAAACAAAACAAAUAUAUAUAUAUACCAAACCAGAAAGAAAAAAACCUACUUAGGUGAAGCAAAAACUCAACAUUGAAAGUGACCUCAUGAAGCUCUGUUACGUUGCCACGUCAUCACCCCGCCGGGAGCCAUUAGCUGGAGUCUGAUGUUCGAGGAGUGAUUGUCUGCAAGUGGGGCAAGAGGAAUGUGACAGCAACCAAGUGUCGAUGCACUUGACGUGGAAGCCAUGGUUACAUUUGGGCAAAACCCUAACUGUCUCUCCUUCAACAAAAUCUCCUAAACAGAUCAAACACUCUGUGGCUUUCAUCUUAAGCUCAAGACUGUAUGAAUCAACCGGAAUAAGCUUCAACGCCCGUUUCUUGAUCCCCUUUGCUACGUUUACGUUUGCGUUAGUGUCAACUGGAUCUUCGUCGGGAGUGAACCUUCUUGUGCAGCGUAAGACACAGCGCAAGACCGAAUUGAUGCCAAGAGCACAGAUCAAGGCGCAUAGAAGAGCGGCUAGUACGAUCACCAUGUGUGUAUCCAUGCUAGCUAUAUUCUUCUUGUUGCUGACAGAGUCUCCUAAGGUUCUAGGAUUUGCAUCAGUAGCUGAAAUAGUCGGGGUAGCUUGCGUCUCAAGUAAGAAUCUAGCCAUCUGUAAACGCUUUAGAAACAGAUGCACAAAUCUUUUUUUGACUCUCCUUUAAGGUUCUUCUUCUUCUUCUUAUUGCUCUGGUUUAUGUUCGAAUCGGACUACAAAAGAGACUGAGAUGAGAGAUUCAAGUUUCUUCAUGCUAUGAUAAGCACAAGAUCAGCUUUUGUUUUCUCUUUUACUCUGAGGCUUCGAUUCCAGUCUGAAACUCAAAGACUUGAUAAAUCCAUGGAGAUAUCAAAUCUCAAAUCCUUAAUGAUCUGUUUCUUUAUACAAGUUCUUAUUUGAGUUUUACACAAAAGGAAAUAAGUUGUUCUAUAAGAGUAGGAAAUGGGUAGACUAGAGAAAGAGAGAGAGAGGGAUGAUGAUGAGAUGGUCGGUCCAAGAAAUCUUUGGUUAGAUUUGCUGAUAUAUAUAUUUGAUAAAUUAGAGAGAUAAUACUAUGGCAUAUAAUCUUGUUGCAUUUGUAUAAUUAGUAACAGGGACAAACGUAAAGGACAAGGCCAAAAAGACAACUAAUAAUGCAGAAUAUAUUGUUGAGUAGAUAUUAAAAUUGAUGUAUAACGAAUUCUCUCAAUUAGUGGUCUUAAGAACUUUGGAAUCAAGCCAGAUGAAAUCCACUCUCGUAUAGAAAGAAAUUAAUUAGUGAGAAAAGAAAACAUUCGAACAUUUAUUUUGUAUAUAUAAACAUAAGUUGGGGUAUCAUAUUCUCAACAAAUCAUGAUGAUUAUAGCAUAAUGCAUUUGUUCCAUCAUUUACAAUCUUUACUAAUUAGAAUUUAUAAACUUAAUCUUCAAUUAAUAGAUAUUUCUAGUUUUUUUUUUUUUUUUUUUUUUGGCUGCAACAGAUAUUCAUAUAUAGUAUCAUGUUUAAUAUGUGUAACAAGAAAAUGUAACUAAUUACUUCAAUCAUAAGAAGAUGCAACUAUUACGUGGAUGUACACUUUUCUUUUUGCCUAGCUAGUUUCUAAUGGAAAGCAAUUAAAUAAUUAAAAGAUCUACAGUACAAAAUAAAGCGAGUUUAUCAAUUAAUCUACUAAUUUACUAUCUUCGGGGCACAUUGAAACGUAGUUAAUGUUACCGAAAAUGUGUAAAAUAUUAGUUGGAUUUAAAUUGAAUGGUGUACAUAAAGGGAAAAAGAAGUAUCUGGGUGGGAUCUCUGGUCCACAUAUUAGCAACAUCCAAUUCAACACUUACUGAUGUACAAAUCAAACAUACACACAAGUUCUCACGCAAGAGACACAAACAAACACUUGUCUCUCUUAGAUCCACUACCUCCAUUAUCAUACAUAAUUACUUUAUAAGACGAACUGACCCAUCAACCAAUACGUGUGUAUUCUCAUAUACGAAUGUGUAAACAUGAUUAGCUUUCCUAUUUUUUUUUUUUAAAUGAGAUGGAAGAACCAAAAAAAUAAGAAAAGAAGAUAAUUGUAUCUGUUUUAUAGUGAUGGAUAAAUAGCCGAUGCUAGUUAAUUACAUAACAAAUUUUUGGGCAACACUAACAAUAACAAUAAGUGAUGUAAAUUAGGUGUGACUAGGCUCUGGGGGUAGAAAAAACGAUUUAAUUCUAUCUAUAGACGUUAUUGUCGGUGAGCGGGCUUUUGGGGUAUAGAAUCUAGCUCUAGGAUUAGUGUUAUAUUGGUCCACAAAUGUUUUCCAUUUCAGAUUGAAAAGUGGUUAGGUCUAAAGCUAUAGAAUCAACCCAAACUAGAAUCCUGCAAUCAAAUCAAAGUGGUAAAGAAUGGUGGAUACGACUAGAAAGCGUAAGUCAAAGUUUGUUAGGUUAAAUUUCGAUUUGGUUCGGUUAAUCUUGAAACCAUAUGACAAAAAGAAUAAACAGUUGAAGUCUAGUGUUGGACUGUUUUCAUAAGGUUGGUUGAUAUUUCAUUGGGCAGGCCUUGAUGGGCCGAAUCACGCUCCAUAGUAGCCCAACUAAGAGGCGGCUGUGUACUAGCUAGACUACUAGGUGGUUGUGAUCUGUCCCUGGUUCUUAUUUCUUAAAUCUUAUGACGUAGGUGUCUGCAUCAUACGUGUAUACGGUGUAUUAUACAUGCCCGAUCACGAGGACGAGCCACACAACCGGUGGUGUAGAGCUUCUGAUCAUACUUGAUUUUUUGGACUAUUUAGUGGUUUUAGAUAUGUAUUCAAUUCGUAAAAUGCAAUCAAUUUUCUCUUGAAUGUGUUAAAUUACUUGCAAAUUUCAAAUAUAUUAUCGAAUUUUCCUGCUGUGGCUGUUCUUUUUCUUAUUUCUAGUUUUAAAAAAGAAAUUUUUUAUUGAUGUGUAUGCAUAUAUAACGAAGAAUGUGAAAUGAUGAUGACAAACUGAUAAUUGACUGCAACUUGAAAGAAAGUCUGUUACCGGAAACAACGGGAGAUCUCAUGUUCUUAUAUAUAGUACGUCAUGCUUUGAUGAUCUCAUUUUACAUGUUUCUUUCUUCCUCACAAUUCAUAUCUAACCAAUUAACUUAUGACUAUAGUCUAUAUAUGAAUUAUUCAAGUGUGCGCAUGCAAUUGUAGGAAACGAACUUCACUUGUGUAUUUUUUCUUAAACUACAAAUUUAGGGAUGAAAAAAGACACAAUUUUUAGACUAUGAUAUUGAUUAAAUAGGUAAAAGCCAUAUAUAUAGUUUAAAAAGAACAAAAAAAGCUGACUAUAUAUUUUAAAACUAUGAUUAAAAACAUCGAUUGGAUUAGAAUUAACUAUUAAGUGCCUAACCGUAGUCACAUUUCAUUAUUUCUCUUUCUCAUGACUGAUGACAUCUUAUGUCAGAAAUUAAAUUAAAGAUCACUAAAGAAUGCAUGAUUUGUUCACCGAUUAAUAUAUUAAAUGAAGACAUGUGAAUCUGUGACGUGGGUUUCGAUAGAAAAAAAAAACAAGAAGAAGAGAAUAAUAUACGUUGACAAAAAAAAAAAAAAAAAAGAAUAAUAUACGUAAUUAGUCCACGUGGCAUAAAAGUAGGGGUCCAUGCGGUAUAGCCGUUGCCCGUUGGAAUGGUUAAGCGCUAACGGAAUUGCAUGUGAAGACUUGCAUAAUGCAUAACCUACGUACGUACACACGGAAUUCCUGGGAAUUAAGACCGAUCCGAUUAUGUCACCUUCUUCCAUUUUACGUUUUGUCAAAAACAAAUAUAUUUGUAUCAUAAGAGAAGUGAUAUCUAGUAGUAGUGAACUCCAUAAUCAAUCCCUAUAUAAGUGAACGAAUUAUAUACCAACUUCACUCAUCUCCUUUUUCCACUUCUUACUUCCUCCGAUCCUCUUUAGCCCCUCAGCAAAAUCAUGAAGCUUACAGAAUAUUCCCAUAUUUUAUUUCUUUCACUAUUCACCAUCAACUUCUACAUUAUAAACUCCGACGACAACGGAGGCUGGGAGAGAGGCCAUGCUACCUUCUACGGUGGAGCUGAUGCAUCCGGCACAAUGGGUACUUGAAACAUUUUCUUUCACUCGCACCCACACAUAUCAUUAAUUAAGUCAGCACAAUUGGAUACUUUUAACAUAUUUGACCGUUCAAGUGUUGAUGUUUUUUAGGUGGUGCUUGUGGGUACGGUAACUUACACAGCCAAGGCUAUGGGCUACAAACCGCGGCUUUGAGCACGGCUUUGUUCAAUAGUGGGCAGAAAUGUGGGGCCUGCUUUGAGCUACAGUGUGAGGAUGAUCCUGAGUGGUGCAUCCCUGGUUCCAUCAUCGUUUCAGCUACAAACUUCUGUCCUCCAAACUUUGCCUUAGCCAAUGAUAAUGGUGGUUGGUGCAAUCCUCCUCUCAAGCAUUUUGACUUGGCCGAGCCUGCCUUCCUCCAGAUCGCUCAGUACCGGGCUGGAAUCGUUCCUGUCGCAUUCAGAAGGUAAAAACAAAAUUUUAGCCAAAAAAGGACAAUUCAGUAUACGUUUUCUUAUAUAAAACGCUCUAGGUAUCAAUGUAUAUCAUUUGUCCUUUUAUAAUGAUAGGGUUCCAUGUGAGAAAGGUGGAGGGAUAAGGUUCACGAUCAACGGGAAUCCGUAUUUCGACCUCGUGUUGAUCACAAACGUGGGUGGUGCUGGAGAUGUUAGGGCCGUCUCUUUGAAAGGCUCAAAGACUGAUCAGUGGCAAUCUAUGUCAAGAAACUGGGGACAGAAUUGGCAAAGCAACACUUACCUCAGAGGGCAAAGCCUAUCUUUUCAAGUCACUGCUAGUGAUGGUCAGACUGUUGUGAGCUACGAUGUUGUCCCUCAGGAUUGGCAGUUCGGUCAAACUUUUGAAGGUGGACAAUUCUAGAUUAUGUACCAAGAUAAAGUAAUAGACAUUAUACGAGAAGAGGCAAUGAUUGUGUUUAAUUAAGACAAAACUCUGUUUUUCAUUGAUCAUAUCCACUCUUUUAUAGUAAUAACUCAUAAGAAAGACAAUGAAACAGUUAAUUUUGUAUUCGUUUAGCAAACAAGGUCUAUCCCCAUUUGAAAUAUCUACUUGAUUAUAUUGUAGGGAAUUAUUGACGUACAAAGCCUAAAACCUAAAUAUAAUUUCUUCAUUCUUUCUAUUGAAAAGAACCAAUUUAAACAUAUUAAUUACUUUUAAUAGUAACACAAGUAUAGUAUUUGAUAUUUACAAAAUUCUAUAAAACAAAGAAUAAUAGUAACUAAAAAAUUGUCAUUCGUAGUCAACCGAGUGACAAAGAUAGCAGUUUUGUUAAGUCUUGACGUAGUUGAUUCUCUUGCUUGGUCCAGACGCCGGAACUGACCCUCUCGGAAGAGCGUUCAACACCAACGACCCAAAUUUUCCGGUGACAUAUGACGCCGUGAAGUGAUCAUCCUCGCCUUCGCACCCUACCACCGUCUUGGAGACAACAGAGAUCUCCCCGGGGAAGAUGACGCCAUCAAUUACCGACGGAAAUUUCCUAGCAGUUGAAAACGAAGCAAGCUGAGAGAAGGAGAUGAAUAAAACUAGAAUCAAAGCUCCAAUUCUAGCCAUUUUCUUGUUUGUUUAUAUAUGAGUGAAGACUUUGUUUUUUUUUUUUUUUAACUUCUUCGUCAAUGUGUGAUUUGGUGAAGAAGAUCCGUGAAAGUACAUGUCUAUAUUACUAUAUAUAAUGUGAAAAUAGAUAGAUAGGUCACUGGUCAGUCAAUGGCAGUUGCAUAGAUAACGCGGCAAGUGUUUGGACUCAAAAGAGUUGAAAGACUAGGUCAUUAUAGUUUCCGGUCCAAUUGAAAUAUCACUUUAAUUAGUACGUAUUGUCAAAAUUUGUAAUUACAUUUUCUGAAUUUUAAAAUCUAGAUGUGAAUAAACGAUUUGGAGAUAUAACACAUGAUUCAUUAUGUUAAUAUGUUGAAAAGACUAUAUGGAAAUAUAUAUAUCUAUUUUUGUAUCCCUUUAUGUUAAUUGACAAGUAGAGUGUUGUUACUUGUUACAGACAAUAGUAGAGAUUGUAGUAAUGAAAAGUCAUGUGUUAGUAAAGUUUGUUUAGUUAGACACAUCCCAUUCGAGUUUGAUUAGUAGUAGUAAUGAAAAGUCGUAUGUUAUUUGAUGGGCCUUUAUUGAGCUAUUCUGGAAUGAAAAUAAGCCUUUCAGUUUUCAGAACUUAUUCACUAGUUGCCGUUUCGAGACAAUGACGACACUUCUGAAUGAGAGAGAGGCUCUCUGUAUAUUUCUUUUUGUCUCCUCUCUCUUGUCCUGUUCGUCUCUGACUACUUCUCCGAUUUGGCUUACCAUCGGUCUUCGGAAACGUUGACCUUGGAGCUCGAGGGUACCAAAUGGCAGGCAGAAUUCGAUUAGAUGCGGUUAUCUCCACGGUAGUCACGGUGCACCCGCACGAGAUUCCGGCGUUGCUACACUCAUCUUCCUGCUUCUUCUUCGUACCGAUCUCCUUCCCUCUCUCUCUUUCUGUUUAACCAUUCAUCUCGAGUGUCCAUUAACUUUUGUUCUCUUGAAUCAGAUUUUGAGUGCGUAUUUCGUAGUUCUUCCACUCCGCGAUGAAGGAGCAAUAUCGCUGGGAUUAUCAAAGCUCCCUGGCCUCUUCGUCGGAUCCUUAUUUCUCACUCUCAUUGCUGCUCCUCUUUCCACCUUCAUCUUCUCUUUGCCCAAUUUGUCCAAAUCCAAGGUAACUCUUUCUUACAUUUUCUCUUUCCAAUUUGUAAUCUUUUGGCCAUCUUAUAUACCAUGCUUUUCGAAAUUUGCAGGCUUUGGUUAUAAUACAUAGAUUCUUUAGUCUAUCACUUGUUCUAUGUUUCCUUCUUUGGAUGGCCUCCCCAACAGAGUCUAUCUCAUCUAAUUCAAAGGUAAGAUAGGAGAGUUCGAUUAUUCAUAAGCUUUCUGGAAGAAGUCAUGUCUCAUGGUUUAACACAUACUACUGCUUCAAAGGAUGCAGUUGAAGCGGCAUCCAGCCUAACAAAAGUUGGUAUCGAUGGAGCUAAUGGAUGGGACAACCAUAGCUGGUUUUACAUUUCUGUUCGAGUUGGAUUUUUCCUUUGGGUAUGAGUAUGACUAACUCUUUGUUUUUUGGAUUUUUCCUUUGGGUAAGUUUUGAUGUAGCUGGAUACGUGAUACUUCUUUUUUGUAUGUUUCCAAGGUUGCGUUGCUUAAUCUUGUCGCUAUUUCUUCAACGUGGGCUAGAAUAAUAGACGUUAUGGAUAGUGAGGUAGUUUCUGCUGCCCUGUACUUUAUUUCUAAGAACUGGCUAUUGUUUCCAAGCAUAUAACAUUCUUCAAUUCAGUCAGGUGCAAGAUUGUUUGGUUUUGUUGGUGCUGGUGCUACCCUUGGACAGCUUUUUGGAUCUGUAUUUGCUGCUGCCACUGCUUGGAUGGGUCCAUGUAUGCAUCACAUUGUCUGAUGAUUCUUCCAUUUACAAUCUAAGUACCUAGAUAGAGAUAUUUUUUUCUGCUUUUGUUUGUUCCAUGUAUGCCAUUUUGAAUUCACUCGAAAAUCAUUUUGAUGUUCGUUACAGAUCUACUUCUAUUUGCUGCUCUUCUGAUGGAAUUGGCUGCACAGGCUUCAAAAGGGAUCACCAAUGACAUUUCCCAGUCCUCUGAGGAGUUGUCUCCUCUAAGGUUAGCUAAGCUACAAUCCGUGUCCAUAUGUGUAAGAUGAAUUUGAUUUUUAAACCACCCUUUGUUUGCUAUGUUUUCCUAUCUUAUGUUUGGAACAAUAUGUGGCUAUGUAUGGAACCAAACGAAAAAUUGAAAUGAUUUAUCUGGAAGUUGAGGUUGGUCUUGGUAAUGCUCAAGUUUAAGUUUUCACAAUACAAGCGAGAUGUGUGCGUACUCAAUUUAGGUUCUGGGCUAGACUUAGUGUGAGUUUGACUCAGUUAUGCUCAUGGUUGGUCGAGAAGUUGAUUUUUGUUGUUGGUUCUGUUAGGGGAACUGAUAAUGAUCAUCAACGUGAGAGAAAACAGGAAGCUACUUCUCCAAAAGUUGGUUCUCCAAAAGUUGCUUCUCCUAAAUCGCCUAUCUCCACAAGCAGACCUCAGCUUUGGGCCAUCUUCGAUGGCAUGAGACUUAUACUAGCAUCGCCUUAUCUUUUGCUAGUGUCUUUGUUCCUCUGGCUCGGUGCGGUCAUCUCCUCAUUCUUCUAUUUCCAAGUAAGACAGAUCUUUAUAUAUUGAAUGAUUUCUAGUUUUAAGAUUAUCUAAAUCAUGUGAAGGUAAUAUCAGAACUAGUUGACAAUGCAAUAUUAGGCUUGUCAUGCGAACCAUCUCUGUGUUAUACUAUUCAUUUACCUGCUCUUUAAAGAACUAUGAUAAUUAUAACCAAGACUCUUUGUUCUUCAACAGCCAUUUGAACAAUAUUUCACAACAUGAAAAUUAGAAUAUCACUUUGUUACUAGUGCGAUUCUGAUAUGAACCAUUACUUUAAAAUUCCUUUGUUUUCUUUGAGUUUAUAGAAUCAAUUUUUGGACUUAGCAAAAAGAAAGCUGAACUUCUUACGGUCCCACUGAUGAAAUAAAGUUAAACUGCAGAAAGUGAAUAUAAUUGCCACGACAAUCAAAUCAUCCAUUGGUCGAAGAAGACUGUUUGCCCAGAUAAAUAGCUUCGUUGCAGUUUUCAUACUCAUUGGACAACUGACUUUAACGGUAUGUCAUAUGCGAGAUAAAAUUCACAGAUUGAUUCAUAAUACCUGGAUUUUUUAUUAUUAUGGUCCAUAUAUAUCAGUUCAUAUGUUAAAUCUUACAGGGCCGGAUCUUGACUGUAGCUGGUGUCACGGUUGCAAUAUCUGCAUCUCCAUUUGUUGCACUUGGGAAUUUGGUUGCUAUUGCCAUAUGGCCAACUUGGGUUACAGUUGCUGUAUCUGAAACCUUGAGAAAGGUCUGUGGCUUACAACAAUCUCUCUCAUGUUGCCUUACUGUUCCAUUAAUUACACUUGACGUUUUAUAACUUGGUAGGUGACAACUUAUGUUGUAACUAGACCUGGAAGGGAACUCUUGUUCACAGUUGUCUCGCAAGACGAGAAAUACAAAGCUAAGGUACUGAAUCUUUCCUUUUCUCAACUUCUAGUUAGAAAAUCAGUUCUGCAAAAGGGAAGGGUUACACUUUGGUCUAUUAUUUCACAUUAUGUGUGCUAUGGUUUCAGGUAUGCAUAGAUGUGAUUGUUCAACGGCUUGGAGAUGCUGCAGCGGCGGGACUAUUUGAAGUCCUGACCAUUGCUCUUGGCGGUCAAACAUCAACUGCUUCACUCUAUGCCUUGCCAGUAUAAUAAAAGCUUCAUCCUUUUAGACAAUUCAUCGUGUAUGUUAAUUUUCCAUGAAAAUCCUCAACAAGUCUGCAUUGUUUUCUUACAGGUGUGUUUAAUAUGGAUAGUCACGGCGUUCUUCUUGGGACGGCGACAAGAACAAUUGGCGAAACUCCAGGUGGGUUCAUCUUCGUAGGAACAAAAUCUUAAAAGAGUCUCACAUUAAUACAGAAGAUGAGAGGCUUCAACUUCAUAUGUAGGAGUUAUGGGAAAGCAACUUAAACCCCACCGACAUGAAGGAUCACAAAGAACACAGAUUUUGGAUUCUGCUGAUAAAUAUACAAAGGGAUAUUUCGCGCUUUCUUUUGAGAUUGGAGUAUAUCUGUAUUUGUAACCGAAUAAUUUUUUUUUCUUUCAGAUAGAGCAAUUGGAAAUCAUUAACUUGUAAGUAGAAAAAUAUUCAAUAAUUUUAAAAAGCGCCAAAAAAGGCUAAACCAACCCCAAAGAGUGAAAGACCAACACCGGUCACUUACCAAAAAAAAAAAAAGAGUCAAAGACCAACUAAACCAAGCGAAACCAAUGCACGCAUUAUAGAUGACGUGGCAAUUUUUUUUAUAGCCAUGAAACAAUAAUGCUUGUGUCUAGGUGUAAUCUGUGGAAAAUAAAUGUGCUCUUAAGUAUUGGAAGUAAAAAGACGUUAAUGAAUCCACGUUUUUCAACAGCACAUUUCUAUUUACCAACUUUUUUUUACUUUUCCAAAUUCGUCUAAUCUCUAAAGAUAAUUACUUAACGAUUCAAUAAUAUGGUUAUUUGGUUAAUUUGCAAAGCAUAAACACAAGCAUUAAGUUCAUGUGGAACAGAGGAACUCUGUUUUCGUUAUACUAAUGAAUUUGUUUGAAAUAGUAGAUGUUUUAGUUUCAUUUGAAAAAAAAAAACACAUUUGAAUGCAGUUGCUUGCGUAUAUAAACAAUCAAUGUCCUAAAAUAAUUGUUUAUUGAUUGGUGGAAGAACAAGUUUGAGACCGAAGAUUUUGACAUGUGUCAUAAAUGAUUUAAAGUUUUUCUUUAAAGAAAUAAGUAAAUUAAAAAAAAAAACACAUUUACAAAUACGUCUUCGGUGUUAGGGUUUGUUAAGAAUGAUUCACUGACAAAUGCUCAUCCAUUGCAAGUUGUCUAUCGAGUUUUAGAAGACCUUCAAAUUGACGGAUGAGAGCAUAAGCCCAACAAAUCCAAAGCACUUGUUUAGCCAAGCAUGAGUCAAGAAUGCAUGGCUUCUUGAUCCUCCAAGUUUGGAGUGUGAUAUUCUGAAGACUUUCACUCAAAUGAUUUCUCAAACUUUGAGAAACAACAGAGGGAAGCAGUUCAAAAAAUCUUACUCGAUCACUCAACAACUCAUAGGACGGCCACUCGGUAACAUUGUGAAUAGCUUACGAAAACAAAAUUUUCAAAAAUGCAUAAAAUGAAUUCUGGCUAAGAAAACAGAGAUAAGAAUGAAAAAAAAAAAAUUCUAACAUCAUCAAUCCUACUUAUCAACAAAUCGGAAUUCAAUUAAAAGGAGUAAUGAUUUUGAAAUAAGAAUCAUUAUUUGUUAUUGAGGUUAUCACUUAACUUCCUUUUCUUCUUAUUCUAGAUGAUUUAUCUUCAAUAAUUGGAUAGAACAAAAAAUGUACAUUCAUAAAGACAUACUAGAUAAUCACUCGUACUAUAGCACAUGUUAAAUUUCUAUUUUUUGAAUCUAAUGUUAAAUUAUAUUCAAAGAAAAAAUAAACGUUUAUACAAAUGAAUGCAAAUUUUUUAUAAAGAAACUACAAAGAAGAUUCCUUCAUUGGUGUUGUCUUGAUGCAAACCAAUCUUGUAAUCCUCUUGCGUAUUAUACAUGUUACAUUUCAUUUCGUACAAAAUUUAUAUAUUAUAUAUUUUAGAAUAUAGUUUUGAUAUAUUAUAGUAGUAAGUUUUACAAUAUUGAUUUCUUUUGUCAGUCCAUAUAUAUAAUAUUAGAAUGAAUAUAUUUUUAUUUUUGUAUAAUAUUUAAUUAUGGAUAUUUUUAAGAUAUGAAGGCAAAAAUAAUAUUUUUUUUUUUAAAGUUAAUAUUAUUUGAACAAUGAGUUUAUUUAUGUUGACAAUUAUAAAAUGAGAUUCAUAUAAUUUAGUUAGAUAAAAAUCAAAAUAUCAUAAAUAUAUAGCAUGUAAGCGAAACAAAUGCACCCCUGAUGAGAUCACCAAAAAAAAAAAAAAUGCACCCCUGAUGAGAUCACCAAAAAAAAAAAAAAUGCACCCCUGAUGACGUAGCAAUUUUAUCGCUUUAAAAUAUUGGGCCUCUUUUUUUUUUGGGUAAAAUAUUGGGCCUCUUUAAUGGGCCUUAUCAUUGAGAAGUAAAGCUGAAUUCAGUUUUAAAUCUAUCAUGAAAGAAAAGACAACAUAUUUUUUGUUACUUCUUGUAAGUCCUCUGUUUCUGAUUCUGAUGAUUUCGUAUCUGUUAAGGCACACGAUAUGGUGCCAGUCUUAGGAAGCAGAUCAAGAAGAUGGAAGUGAGCCAGCACAGCAAAUACUUCUGCGAGUUCUGCGGAAAGGUAUACUCUCUCUUAUGAUCUCAAAUAUCAUACGCUUGAUGGUUUUCUCUUCUUUGAUUGUUUGGAUUUUACGAUGCUUUGAUUUGUAAAUUUCAGUAUGCCGUAAAGAGAAAGGCUGUUGGUAUUUGGGGUUGCAAGGACUGCGGGAAAGUCAAGGCCGGUGGUGCAUACACUAUGAAGUAAGAAAGAAAGAUUCAUCUUUUUUCUCAUUCUUCCAUUAUUUAUUUGUGAUGAUUGAAUUUUUAAUCUGUUGUCUGCUUAUUCGUUUGGCAGCACUGCUAGUGCGGUGACAGUGAGAAGUACCAUUAGACGGCUAAGAGAGCAAACCGAGAGCUAGAGACUGAACAGUUAGAGAGAAUUUUCUUCAUCUAUCUAUAAUACAGAGCAUAAACAAGUUCCUUGUGGGUUACGUUUUCCAUAGAGAAGUUCCAAUUGGAUUUUGAUUUUCUUAAUUGCAUUUGGCAAAUGCCAAUACACUAGAAACAUUGUAUCGAAUAAUAUAGCAAUACACCAAAAAUAUUUGAGAAUCAUUCAUGGCUAAGGCUUCCACAGUUGAAAUGAGACUUUUUCAUCAGCAACCAAGAAAGGAAAGAGGACAUGAACUUGUCUCUGAACAGGGUCAUCCACUUGCCUCUGCUCUGCUGCAUGAAACCUACUGUAUAUGAUGUAGUUAUAAGAUCAAUGCUUCUCCAUUUCCUUGAUCCUGCAUACUUGUUCAAACCAUCUUCAAUCCGCCUAUAACUCUCGUCCUCAUACCUGGAAUUUUUUUUUAUCAUGGUCCAUAUUAUAUCAGUUCAUAUGUUAAAUCUUACAGGGCCGGAUCUUGACUGUAGCUGGUGUCACGGUUGCAAUAUCUGCAUCUCCAUUUGUUGCACUUGGGAAUUUGGUUGCUAUUGCCAUAUGGCCAACUUGGGUUACAGUUGCUGUAUCUGAAACCUUGAGAAAGGUCUGUGGUUUACAACAAUCUCUCUCAUUUUGCCUUACUGUUCCAUUAAUUACACUUGACAUUUUAUAACUUGGUAGGUGACAACUUAUGUUGUAACUAGACCUGGAAGGGAACUCUUGUUCACAGUUGUCUCGCAAGACGAGAAAUACAAAGCUAAGGUACUGAAUCUUUCCUUUCCUCAACUUCUAGUACGAAAAUCAGUUCUGCAAAAGGGAAAGGUUGCACUUUGGUUUAUUAUUUUCUUAUUAUGUGUGCUACCGGUUCAGGUAUGCAUAGAUGUGAUUGUUCAACGGCUUGGAGAUGCUGCAGCGGCGGGACUAUUUGAAGUCCUUACCAUUGCUCUUGGCGGUCAAACAUCAACUGCUUCACUCUAUGCCUUGCCAGUAUAAUAAAAGCUUCCUACUUUUAGACAAUCCUUCGUUUAUAUUAUUUCUCCAUGAAAAUCGUCAACAAGUGUCCAUUGUUUUCUUACAGGUGUGUUUAAUAUGGAUAGUCACGGGGUUCUUCUUGGGACGGCGACAAGAACAAUUGGCGAAACUCCAGGUGGGUUCAUCUUCAUAGGAACAAAAUCUUAAAGAGAGCCUCACUUUGAUACAUGAGAGGCUUCAUCGUCGCUAAGAUCCAAUAUUUUCUCGCAUCGUCUUCCUCCGGUGCUGUAUCGUGCCGUCUUUCACUUUUUCUGCGUUCAAUCAUGGGCUCGUCAGUGCUUAGAUCUACAAGCCGCGCGUGCAGUCACGCGACCUUCUUCGAAUCCGACAGAACCGGAAGCUGUCUGGAACUGUCCGAAAUGUAGAUCGUCGAAUCAGAAAUCGAAUAUUCCAAGGCGCUACCUUUGUUACUGCGGCAAGGAGGAGAAUCCUCCGGCGGAUAAUCCAUGGAUCUUGCCUCAUUCUUGCGGCGAGGUCUGCGAGAGGCCGUUGAGCAACAACUGUGGUCACUGUUGCUUGCUCUGGUGUCAUCCUGGACCUUGUGCUUCCUGUCCCAAGCUCGUGAAAGCUAAAUGCUUCUGCGGCGGUGUUGAAGAUGUUCGUCGAUGUGGACACAAGCAAUUCUCUUGCGGAGACGUCUGCGAGAGAGUCCUGGAUUGUGAUAUCCAUAACUGUAGAGAGAUUUGUCAUGUGGCAAGUGUCCACCGUGCAGAUAACGCGCGGUUUACAAGUGCUGUUGUGGUAAGGAGAAGGAGGAGAAUGAUUGUUGCGAGAGAGUCUUUAGGUGUGAGGCUUCUUGUGAGAAUAUGCUUAAUUGUGGCAAACAUUUAUACGGGAGAGGAUGUCACUCGGGAGAAUGUGGAUUGUGUCCAUAUCAGGGAAAGAGGAGUUGUCCCUGUGGCAAGAGAUUCUACCAAGGCUUGUCUUGUGAUGUUGUGGCGCCUUUAUGUGGUGGCACCUGUGAUAAAGUUCUUGGUUGUGGCUACCAUAGGUGUCCAGAGAGGUGCCACCGCGGUUCAUGCCUUGAGACUUGCAGGAUUGUGCUUACUAAGUCUUGCAGAUGCGGGGGCACGAAAGAGCAGGUGAAAGAGAGCCUUUUUGAUACUUCAUGAUGCUUUGUUAUAGUUAAAUCAAAUGUUGAUGGAAAGAUUUUUGGGAACUUAAUUUAGAGUAGGUUCCUUGCCAUCAAGAGUUGGCGUGUGAGAGGAAAUGCCAGAGAGUGAGAGAUUGUGCACGUCAUGCUUGUAGACGCCGAUGUUUUGAUGGUGAAUGUCCACCAUGCUCAGAGGUAUGCUGUGUCUCAUGGUCCAGUCUAGUGACAUUGUUCACACUUGGCUUCUACUUUUUUUCGUUUGAAAUUUUCAGAUUUGUGGAAAAAGACUCCGUUGCAGGAAUCAUACAUGCUCUGGACUUUCUUUGUCCUUCUGGUGUCAACUUUGGAACUAUAAGACUGAUUAAACAUUGUGUAUUGUAAGAUAUCAACUCAUACACAUGGAAUAACAUUACUUGUUGUGUGUUCAUUGCAGAGUUCCAUGUGCUCCUUGUCCAAUAAUGGUAACAAUAUCUUGUGCUUGUGGUAAGACGCAUUUUGAGGUGAGAAUUAGGAUUUGAACGUGAAUAUGGCUUCCUACUAUCAAGUCGUGAUAUAUAUAGUCUUGUUACUUUUAUUUUUAUGGUGGAUCUAUAGAAAAUUUUUAAUUUUGUGUAGAUGCAUCUGAUAGAAGCAGGAGAUGUUACUGACAUCUAACAAGCGAGACUAUCAGCUUAAACUUACUAAAAUCUCUUCGGAAAAAAUGAUCUUGAGGCCUUGUUUGGUCUAAGCCUGAGAACCAGAUCUGAUGACUUUAUGCCUACUGUUAUAAUAUUUUCUUUGCUUCUUCUUUUUGUGUCCAUAGGCUUUUAAUUGUUUGCUACUUCUAAUAGAUUCUGGUCCUUUGAUAGAAAAUCUGGUACCGUAUGUGAAACCUGUAUUAACAACGCAGUUGGAUGUUUUAUGUUGUUCAGGUACCUUGUGGCACUGAAACAAAUCAGAAACCUCCUUGUGGUAGUUCACAUGUUCCCAAGCUUCAUUUUUUACAUUUUCUGAAUAACAUUAUUAGAAAACCACACUCUUGAAACUAGAGGAUAUUGUUGUUGCAGAAAAUUGCCAAACUGUACCCAUUUGUGUCCGGAGAUAUGUCAUCCUGGGCAGUGUCCAUCGCCAGAACAGUGUGGUAAAGAGGUAUUACUUCCAAGACUCCAUGAUGCAACUGCGUUGUAAAGAUAUCCGCCUGCGAGUUUAUAUCCAUUUGGGAUGUUGUCUCUGGUACAAAUGUGAUCUUACUUGUCUCGAUUUUUGUAUGGAUCAAGGUGGUUGUUAGUUGCAAGUGCCUAACCUUGAAGAAGGAAUGGGUAUGCCAAGAUGUUCAAGCAGCUCAUAGGGCCACAGGUUCUGACCCUAAAGAAGUACCAAAGAACCAGUUCGGUGUUGACCCUUGCGAUUCCAACUGUACAGAUGGCUGAAUCGGUGUUAAAGCAGCGCAAUGUCAAAGAGAUUGAGGUAAACAGAAACAAUAAAAAGCUCUCAGAAUUAAUCCCACUCUUAAAGCAACUAUUACAAACCUUUAUUUCUAAUCAAACAUCUUAGGAGGAGCCUAGCGGGAAAAGUUCAUCAAAGCGAAGGAAAAGGCGUGAACGGGGUCAGGAGUCAGGACAUUCAGGAGACCACAAGGCUGCAGGUAAUUUCUGUCUUUUAAAACAAAAAAAAUCGGAGAAGCCACAUGUCUCAUAUGUUUUGUCAUCUACUUAAAGACACCAUCUGUUUUUUUUUUUUGUUUCUUCUCUGCAGAAACUUGCUGUCGUUCACGAAGAGGAUACUGAUGGCCGUGAUGUUAAUGGCGAUGGGAGCCGCUGUUUCAUACUAUGGUUAUAAGGGACUCUUGUGGCUUUCUGAUUGGAUGAAAGAAGUCGAAGAACAAAGACAAAAGUCUAGAAGAUACCCGCGAAUCUAACUGGUUUCGAGAGUUGUUACUUCUCAAGCUUAGUGACAACACAGUUAGCUUCGAGACAUUUGGUCUUUCUUUUUGGUUUAUCACCGAAGGGGAUUAUGGUAAGACCGUAAAUGCUGGGAAUCUACAAAUAUAAACAAUUAUCACCGAAGAAAAGAGAAAGCAAUUAUCACCUAGUAUUAAAUCUAUAGAAUCCAGACGUUAUGGUAAGGCCGUAAAAUCUGGGAAUCUACAAAUUAAUCUCCUUAAUCAAAGUUUCUGUUGACCGAAUCAUUAACUAAUAAAAAAAGAGAGACGCAAUCGGGUAAGAUUUUUGACAGGUGUGAGACAUUCAUUGGACCUCACGAUUCCCACUUGUUUACUAAACUAGAUUUUUGUUGUAGUACAAAAGAAAGAAGCAGUACAAAAAAAGAAGAAGGUAUUAAUUUUUUUUUUAUGCAUUAGAAAAUGGAAAGAAUAGAGUUCUAUCUUUUGAAUUCAAACACUAUAAAAUGCACAGACGUGUAAAGUUUAGACUACAGCUUGCAUGUAUCGAACUUGUGGCAUGACCGCAUGAGCGGUCCACCGUGGACCACAACACUCAAAACAAUUUACAUUUGUUAAAACACAUAUUUUAAUAUAAAGUAGAAAAAAGAAAUCACCGGGAAAAAAACAAUUACCACAUUAAAAUAUAAUAAAAUCGAGACGUUUUUGGUAAGGCCGUAAAAUCUGGGAAUCACAAAUAUAAAUAGUUAUUACCUAUUUUAUAAGAAAAGAAAGGAAAAAAACCUGAAAAAACCGCCAUUUAAUUUUUUUUUUUACCGUUUAAUACGUGUAGUAUUAAAUUUGAAAUAAAAAUAUGUCAUUUAAUUUCGAUUGUUUUUUAAAACCUUCGUUUUAAAAAAAUUGGUAAAAUCGUACCUCCGAGUUAACGACCGUUAACUUUGCUAACGGAAGCACCAACUGUGGUUAAAACUUAACCAAUGGUGUUUAAAUAUAUAUAUAUAUACAUUCUCUUUGUUUAAUUAGACGAAUAUACUGACUUAGUCAGGUGGUUAAUGUCUGUGGACUUUCCAUCAUUUCCUGGGUUCGAGUGCCCCUCUCUCAACAUCUGUUAGACGUUUUUAAAUGGGAAAAAUGUCAUUAAAAUCCUCAACUUAUUCAAAACGUUUAUUUAAAUCCUCAACUCACGACGAAACGAAAUAAAUAUCAAACUUAUGUUGACUUUCCAAAUAAACACCAAACUUUCAUUGACUUGGCCAUAUUAGGCAUGACGUUAAGUGAGUUAACAGACAAUGUGAAUCACGAAUGUACGUACGUAAAGUUGUGUCUUUUCGAUUAACACAUGUACGUAUACGUUGUUUCGUGUUGUAUAAGUAGAUCGAGUCAAACUCAAUAAUAUCAUUGUGUGUAAUACAUUUUAUCUUAUCAAUAAGAUCCAGUUUCUUCAUACUCUGUUAAAACAGAGUUCGUUUGUUGAUCAAAACACUAACAAGUAUUCCUUCUAAACAUAAAACGACGUUGUUUUGUCGUAACUGUUCAAUAAAAUCCCGAGUUUCAAAUCAUACUCUAUUUAGGGUUAGGGAUAAUGCUCGAUUUGGGGAUCUAAGAUUGACUUUAGGGAUUUAAUUCAAUCGUUACGACAUAACGACAUCGUUUUGUUGUUAUAUGAAACAAUGUCGUUAUCAAUUAACAUAUAUGUUAACAGAAAAUUACCUCCGUUAACGAGAUCUAUUAACCCACUCAACGUCGUACCUAAUAUGGCCAGGUCAACGGAAGUUUGAUAUUUAUUUGGAAAGUCAACAUAAGUUUGAUAUUUAUUCGCAAAGUCAACAUAAGUUUGAUAUUUAUUUGGAAACCUCCACAUAAGUUUGAUAUUUAUUUCGUUUUGUCAUGAGUGANNNNNNNNNNNNNNNNNNNNNNNNNNNNNNNNNNNNNNNNNNNNNNNNNNNNNNNNNNNNNNNNNNNNNNNNNNNNNNNNNNNNNNNNNNNNNNNNNNNNNNNNNNNNNNNNNNNNNNNNNNNNNNNNNNNNNNNNNNNNNNNNNNNNNNNNNNNNNNNNNNNNNNNNNNNNNNNNNNNNNNNNNNNNNNNNNNNNNNNNNNNNNNNNNNNNNNNNNNNNNNNNNNNNNNNNNNNNNNNNNNNNNNNNNNNNNNNNNNNNNNNNNNNNNNNNNNNNNNNNNNNNCUUUAGUAUUUCCCUCCGUUAACAAGGAUCUCGUUACAUUUUCCAUAGGUGAAUUCUCAAUUACAAUUUCCCAAAAAAAAAGUAAACACGAUUGUUGCAUUCUCUACCGAUUGAGUUUUUACUGGACGAAUCUGCAGGACAUGGAUUUGCUUGAAAAUUGCAACGCAUCAAAUUUUCGAUCUCUGAAUUUCUGGGUUUAUGAUUUGGUCUGGAAAGCCAUUGUUCAGUAGGAGAAGAGAAAGCCAAAAGAGAAGAAGGGAAAAAAAAAAAAAAAAAAAACGUCUAAAAGGUCCGAAGGGGAUUCGAACCCUAGAUCAGAUGAAAAGUCUACACACAUUUAACCACCUGACCACAAGAAAUUCGUUAAACUUGGCAAAGAGUAUGUAUAUAUAUAUAUAUAUAUAUAAACAACUAUGGGUUAAGUUUUAACUACAGUUAGUGCUUCCGUUAGCAAAGUUAACAGUCGUUAUCUCGGAUGUACGAUUUUACCAUUUUUUAAACAACGAAUGUUUUAAAAAACAACCGAAAUUAAGUGACGUAUUUUUAUUCCAAAUUUAAUACUACACAUAUUAAACGGCAAAAAAAAAAUUAGAUGGUGGUUAUUUCGGGUUUUUUCCCAAAGAAAGAAAGCAUUACCAAAAAAAAAAGCAUUUAUCACCUAGUAUUAAAUAGGAGUAUAAAUUAGAGACGUUUAUGGUAAGGCCGUAAAAUCUGGGAAUCUACAAAUGCAAACAAUUAUCACCGAAGAAAAAAAGAAAGCAAUUAUCACUGAAGAAAAAAGAAAGCAAUUAUCACCUAAUAUUAAAUCUAUAUAAAAUCUUGACGUUUAUGGUAAGGCCGUAAAAUCCGGGAAUCUUUAAAUUUAUCUCCUUAAUCAAAGUUUUGUGUUGACCGAAUCAUUAACUAAUAAAAAAAAAGAGAGACGUAAUCGGGUAAGAUUUUUGACAGGUGUAAGACAUUCAUUGGACGUCUGCGUUGGCAAAGUUGUUGGCCUAUCUUACCCCCUCACGCUCUUUCUAUAUAAUAAACCAAUCCUCUCGUCCUCUUGUUAUCUAUAAUCUAAUAAUCUUCGACUUCUCCUCUUAAUUCAUAUCCUACGUAGCAAGUUUUAGAUCUCCCUUCAGUUCCCAUCCAGUUUCAAUCCCCACCGAUGGAUAAUCUUGGUCAAUCUCCGCCGAUGGAGAACCGCGGUCAAUCGCCUCCAUUGGUGAUCAGUCUUAUUGACAGAUUAGGCCUCCUCCUCUACAUGCUAAGUAAUUUUUGUAACCAUUGUUCUGAUUCUUAUUUCAUAAUCAUCACGCAUUUUAAUUCUUCUAAUUUCAUAAUCAUCACGCAUUUUAAUUCUUUUUUCAUACUAAAAAAUGAUUUAUUUUCCAAUUUUUUUUUUGAUUCUUUUUCAAGUUCUCAAAUUUUGUUUUAGACACAAAAUCAUACUUGAAGCUUUGGUCUCAUAAUUACUUUUGUCUUUGUAUUUCUUAUUGUUAGCAUUGCAAGCCCAUAUGAUCCAAGAACAAAGCCUAACACACUAAUAAGGAGCAAGUCAUUUUUCCCCAAACCCUUAGAACCCUAAAUCUCUAUCCGGUUCUGUUGUCACUCUCUCUCGACGACCAUUUUUCUAAAGAAUAUGUUGAAUCUGAGCUCUCCUUUGAUUUGUUAAUGGAUCGACCAGCUUAUUGGCAGAGUAACUAGGAAACCAAAACACACUCACUGUCACUGGUGAACACUUAAACAUCUUUUCAAGUAUCUGAUUCCACCUAGAGACUGACUUAGCAUAGCUGGAGUUAGUAUGCUCAGUGUUCGCGCACCACAGUACUUACCAUUUGUCCUACUCAGCUACUUCUUAGUCGAUAAUACACUCUACGNNNNNNNNNNNNNNNNNNNNNNNNNNNNNNNNNNNNNNNNNNNNNNNNNNNNNNNNNNNNNNNNNNNNNNNNNNNNNNNNNNNNNNNNNNNNNNNNNNNNGGAUUGGGGCCUAGCCAGAGACAGAAUUUCCCUAGGUGAAAAAAAAAGAGAGUUUUUAGUAAAGAAUACCGAAAAGAAAGCAAACAUUCAAUACUUACCAAGGGUAUUAGAGGUCCAAGGGUAAGUAUUGAAUGUUUGCUUUCUUUUUGGUAUUGAGUCUUUACUAAAAAUUCUCUUUUUUUCUCUCUUAGGGAAAUCUGUAUAGAGCAAAGUCUAUGCACGUUCAAUACCAGGGUGCUAAGUCAGACACUAGGUGGAACCAGAUACUUGAAAAGAUGUUUAAGCGUUCACCAGUGGCAGUGAGUGUGUUUUGGUUUCCUAGUUACUCUGCCAAUACUAGUGGAGCCGUAAGAUCCUGCACUCCAGGCAGUUACCAGAAUCGAAUCUUUGCUGACAAGAUUAUAUGAUAGACUCACUGCCCGGCCUUUACAUUCUGCCUCCCGAACAGCGAAAUCUUCAUCUCCGUCGCCACUAGAUGCUUUAUAUAAAGGGCCCUGUACACAAGGAAAACAAGAGAUCAGCAUUACAAGGCAAACAGUAGACAAACAAAGAACACUUAAGGGUGGUCCAUGUGUAUUUGUGUCAUCUCUUUUGUCCCGUCUGUGUUCCGAAUCAAGUUAAGGAGGGGGUAUAAAUCUUUGACGAAGACCACUGGAUUAUAAACCACAUAUCUAGAACACUGGUGAAACAACUAAAAUCUACGAGGAGCACUUGAAAAAUCUCACGUAACAACCCCAAAAGAUGAGGAAUCCAUACCUGUAAAGCCAAUGAUGCGUCAAGCAAAGCAUAAGGAUGAGCUUUCACCACCAAUAUAUUUUCACCUCUAGUUCCUUGCAUCGUUGUAAAUCUCCAUUACCGAUUCCCAUUUGUAAACACUGUUGCAAUAUACAUCCGAAGUAAUCUCAGUCAGCCUCAAGGGCAGUUAAACACAAAACAUCACAACGAACUAAAACAUCUUCCAUGACUUAUAAAAAUUGGACAUAAAGAGGAUAGUCCGUGGAAGGAAUGCAUUUGUAUACAAGGCAUCCCCGCGUCAGCAUGAAUAAACUAUUUGAUAUAUCAAAGGAAUACCCCUGAAAAGCUUCAAAUGAGCUAGUGAGCCUAGAUUUGGGAUCUAAAACAGCUUAAUGAGAAUCAUUCAUAUCGUGUUCAAGAAACCAGAAAACCAAAAUGUUACUAUCUUGUAAACUUAGCAUACCAGGUACAGCUUCAAGCGAUAAAAAACUUAUUAAUUAACUGCCAGAGAAGAAUGAAAAGGAGAAAGAACCAUUAUCCUACCUUCCAAAUGGCACAACUGGGCACAGGAUAUAAAUUGAACCAUCAGUGAAUAAUAUAAAGAACUGCACCAUUGAAAGAUUUGGUGAAGACAUAAACAUGUAAUCCUCAAAGCUCUAUUUGACAAGACAACUAAGCAAAAUCUCUGUCAGUUUUCAAACAAGAAUUUGUACUGAACUUACAGUGAAUCUAUCCCACAGAUGAUCUCCUCAGAAACUGAAAUCAGCAGGAUAAAUUGAUGAAGCUGUUCCAGAUCUUCCUGGCUCACCAGAUCUCCUUAUAAUCAGCAUCUGAAGACAAAUCGAAUAGCCUAGCAAAAAGUUUAGCACGCAAAUUACUUUUAGUAAGCCAAGAAGCUCUUAAAUCAGGAUUAAAUGGAAUGAUUCGACUCCUUAUAAUGAGAUAUUGGACCAGAAGGUAACAUAGUAUGUCAUUGCAUAGCAGAAAUUAAGAAUCUACAGCCUUUUUUACUGAAUUUCUUCUACAAUUUCUUUAACAUCUUUCCAUAAUGAUAUAGAUCAAUAUAUUGACAUGUACAUCCACCUUCAUUAUCAACCAAAAAGAUUGUUACCUGAAAACUGCAUCCGAGGAUAGAAUUUCCAAAUGGGUGUCACUAUCAGGGUGCCACAAUGCUUGUAGCAAGUUUAUGGCAUUGUCACCACUAGUAUAGAUUUCUGAACCAAUAGAAACUACCCUGCAACCCAUAGAUUAUGAAGUGAUAACGUAUAAGCAGAGAGGCCAUCAAUUUAAGCUAGGUAACAUCAUAAUCAAGAAUAUAAAUGCAUCUUAUAAGGGCAACGUUAAUCACUACCUGCAAAUGAUAUUGUAUUCUACCACAGAAGCACGUCCAAAUAGGUACAUCACACAUAUUCCAUCUGAGCCGGCAAGAAGUACAGCUGAUCCAGACUUAUUAAUGGAGAUUUUGCUAACAGAAAAUGUCAGUUGAAGGUCUGGUUGCAUCACCUAUAAUAUCAUUUUUUACUAAAACUUAGUCAAUCACGAAAAUAGCAGAACCUUGGACAUUCCUUACCAGCAAUGUACAAGUACAUCAGACCAAACAAUCACAUUAUUUCUUGAUCAUUUUUCUCCAGUAGCUCCAACCAAUAAAACUUAAAAGAACACAACUAAGACAACUCUUUCAAAUCCUUACAAUUAGAAGGAUAAUCACCUAUAGCGAUCGGUCCCCAAGCUUUUUAUUCAAACAAUCAUCAUCUUAUUGCACAUGCCAUAAAAAAAGACACUUCCACAUUUUAUCACUAAAAUUCAUCUGUGUAGCAGACCACAGAGGAAAACUAUAGGUUUUUGACACUAAUACAUAGCAAGAAGAAAAGAUCUUCCUAUCAUCCAUCAGUAAGAAAUCUAAUUUCUCAAACUCUUCCUAAACCUAAUUUCUCAAAGUCAGUAAAAUGUCAGCAACAAUCGCACUAAGAAAUCCGUUUCCGCUUUCGAUAAAUCUUCUUCUCAAUACUCAUUUUGGCCGAAUUAGCGGUGAAAACAGAAAGAGGGAGUAAAUGACCUUGGACGGGACUGCGGCGAGGACGGAUGAUGGUUCAGGCUCACCCAAGCGCAGAGAUAAUCGGUGAAGGAGAUAUCGUUUAGAAUCCCAGUAGUAUAGGCGCCAGUCUCCGUCCCAAGCCAUCAAAUUUCUCGGAAAACGCUGCGACGCGGCGAGUUCAUCCUGGGAGGAUGGAAGAGAAGCGAAAACCGGGUGGCUCUGGAGAGGAACCCACCGAACCGGCUCUUUAGGCAUCGGAUAUCGCCGUGAAUCUGGCGUAUCCUCUGGCUCCUAGAAGUUAAAUUUCAUACUCUCUCUCUCUCUCUCACUCACUGUAUAUGUGUUCGUCGGCCAGGGCGUAGAUGUAGAAGAGCAGGAAGAGAACAGAGAGAAGAAGCAGAUACAGUUGAGACUUUUAAUGGGCUUUUCUUCGGCCCAUUAAAUUUCUCUGAAAUAAAGUGUGCUGUCUUAUAAAAAAACUGAAAUAAAGGACUUAUUUUAAAAUAAUAUACAAAAAUUGAAUCUGAACCCUAAAACUUAAUUUUUAUUGUACCUUGAGGUUCAAGCUAAUGCAUAAGGUCAUGUUAAUUAGUUUUGGAUUCUGAACAAACAUGGUGGAUUAUUGGGGAAUUGAGUUGAAAAUAGGUUUGAGAGCGUAAGGGAUACUCAAGGUUUUUUUGGUUUGAUUCGUUCAUAAUUCAUUGUUUAUCAUUGACAAGCAGAAGCUGAAUUCAGUUUUCAACUCUAUCAUGUCAGUCUUCUGUUUCUGAAUCCUGAUGAUUUUGUAUCUGCAAAGGCACACGAUAUGGCGCCAGUGUUAGGAAACAGAUCAAAAAGAUGGAAGUGAGCCAGCACAGUAAAUACUUCUGCGAGUUCUGCAGAAAGGUACUCUCUCUUAUGAUCACAAAUUUCAUAAGCUUGAUGGUGCUCUCCUGGUUUCUUUGAUUUGAUAAUAUGCUUUGAUUUGUAAUCUGCAGUACGCUGUGAAGAGAAAGGCUCUUGGUAUUUGGGGUUGCAAAUACUAAUAAACCUCUAAAACACUGUCACACUUAUCCAAAAAAAAACUAGUAAACCUCUAAAAGGCACAUAUGAAGGAAAUAAGAUCAGCAGCCUCCCCUCUAUAGUUUUUCUCUAUAUUUACAUAAAUCUCCCAAAAAGAUCUCUAAACCUGUACACUACCAAAAGGCCAAAACCCUCUCCACGAAAUCGGGAUCCUCAGUAGUCGAGCAGAGUAUCGUCUUCCCUGUUUGAAUGAAAGUAAAGGUGAGACCACAAGAGCCAAGAACAAGGGAUAUGGUAAUGUUGUAUUAUUCAGAGCUUAUGUAUUAACUCAUACCAAAACUCAUUUUCGAAAUGAUCAGAUGAAUCAUAGUCCUCCUCCUCUUCAUAAUGAACGUAGCUCUCAUAGAACUGUAAAGUAGUCGGAAAAUGAAAUGAAACAUAGUGACAACUGAUUAUGCAAAAGACGGAAACACAGACAAUGCUUCUUGGUUUUGUAAAAUAAAAAACACAAUGACUCUGACCUUGUCAUAUCUCCCAACAGUUUUCGAAUCUGCCUCAUCAUCUGCCUGCAAAUUGGUCAUCACAGUUUUUAACAGUUUCAAAGGAAAUCAAAUGCAGAUGAAGCAACUCUUUUUCGAAUAAUUAUAAAUUGAGUAAUAACUCCAUAGAAUCUUCCAAUGUAUCAAUUUAUGAUCCAGGGAUAUAAUCGACCUUAUCAAUACUUUUAGCUUCUUCGUUUAACUUUCUGCUGUGUGCCAAAUCAACCUCCAUAGCACGGGCAUUGAAUGGUUUUUGGUCCUGGAUACAAGCAACAAUAAUACAAAAAUCCAGCUUAUAAAACAUGGUUAGCAGUAGAAAUAAGAAGCUUUUUGAGUACUUUAAGAACAAACUGAUACCUCUGGUAACAUGUUCUUCCAUACAUUGAAACAUAUUCUGCUAGCAUCCACCAAGUUUCCAUUGUACUUUUCCCUAAAAUCCUCUCUAGAGAAAGAAGAAACAAUAAUAGUUACUGAAGAUUUAAAUCACUAACUACUCAGAUUUCACUUCUCACUAUCAAUUUCCCCACGUUUAUUGCAUCACAGCACCAAGAAGGCAAGAACCAACAAAAGGAUCAACCUUUCACUUAAAAGGAAAGACAUUGACCAUAUGAAGUAACAUCAUCACUCCCUUUUUAGACCUAAAGCAUUCAAAUUCUUAAACCCACUCAAAAUCCACUUUUUAUCUCCAUCUAAUUCACCCAAGAAAUUGAACACAAUUGCAUUAAGAAACAGAGUAAAAGUCUUUGGUUACUGUACAAGAAGAAGACAAAUGGUGAUCUGGGUUCAUCUUCAAAGCUCCCAAUUGGUUUCGAGAUAUUAAUGACAUUGCCACUGGCAAUGUACUUGAAUCUCUUCACUUCCCUUCUCUUCUCACCGCACUCAUGCAUAUCAAACAGACCAAUCGCUAUCAUAACACCACAUUCUUCACUGUAAUAAAAUCCCAAAACAGAGUACAUCACGAAUCUAGAUAAAACCCUAAAGAAAUCUGAAUCGACGAAUCCAAAAACUUAACAAAAAGAGAAAUACCAUUUUUUAAAAGCGCUUCCAUCAGCAGCACGACGAACUGCUUGAACCCUUUUACGAGUUCUCGGCCGAAUCGCCAUUAAUGCGCAUCAAAGAUUUUUUCUAUUUCUGACAGAGAAUAAAAAGAGGUUUAACCUUUUUGUUUCUUUACUGUGUUGUGUGCACGAGAACUCAACAGGCAUCGGAUCGCUUACGUGUCAACUGCACAUUUUAGCGUUAGUGGAUUUUCUGCUAACGUGCGCUUAACAAAUAACACGCGGGACAUAACUGGCGCGUAAUCAAAACAGAGGAAAUCUCUCUCCCGCUUCCAGGAUUAAUUAUUUAUUAUAACCAAUAUAAUUUAGACACGUAACCACGCGGGGAAUAUGCGAAUAUAACACUUCAUAAUUGGGCAGAUAUAUAAGCUAAUUUCAUUGGAUUUUAAUGCGAAAAUAAAAUACACACUUCAACACAAAGCAAGAAAAGGAACAAAAAAAAAAAAAAAAAGACAUUAAAUGGGAUCUUCGAAAUUUUUGGAGAAGAUCAAUCUUAUUCUCACCAACUCAAAUAACAAAAUAAAAAAUCCAAUAGGAAAAGAACACGUGGAGGAGAUUUGAAUCAGUUGGUCCUCCCGCAAACCUUGCGGAUUUCACCGCUACUACCAGUCAACGGGCUGAUAUCACCCAUCUUGAUCAUCGCCGCCGCGAAGUCAGAGUUAAAGCUCGAUGGAUUGUUGCUGUAUCCACGGACAAUGGAGUCAGUGGAGCCUCCGUUGAAGAGCACUUGGUCGGAAUGGAGGAGACCUCUCUGAGUCAUGAGAUUCUUGAAGUAGUUGUUGUCGAAGGAAGCCGCCGUGGUGACGUCUAGUGGAGCUAGGUUUCCGUCGCCGGAACCGGUGGCUCUAGGGCAAGUUCGUUGACGUGUGGUGGCGAAGGCGGCGUUGAUGUUUGUCUCGUUGUAGAUUCUCGCUCGGAAGUUCGUGCAACGGGAUUGUCCGAUCGUGUGUGCGCCUGAAAACAAAAACAAAAAAGUUUGAAUGAUUAGUUUAAUAGUUGACUUAAUUAUUUUAAGGAUCAUCUGAAUUACUUUGUCGGUGUUGCGUAACAGUAAUUUAUAUGAUUACGUAAUUUUGGGAAAAAAUAUGAUUACGUAAUUUUGUUUGGGAAAAAAAAAAAACAGAAAAGUCGGUGGUGCGUUACAAAAAUGUGUUGAAAAAAAGUCGACAAAAACAAACAACACAAUCAAAUUAUAUUAUUUUGUGUCGACUCUGUUGACUGUUGUGUUGGUCCUUUGAAAUAUUUCUUUUUAUGUUUCUUUUUGUUAAACAAAUUGGUGAACGAAUAAAAUUUAAGAAAUAUUCACAGAUUAAGAAAUAAUUUUUGUCACCAAUUUUUAGCAAUCUAUUAGUAAUCGAUGUUUGAAAAAUUGCAAUCAACCUUAAUCUGUGAUACAUAUAUAGUUGCGUAAAUAAUAAAUGGGAAUUGGGUUAAGCAAGAAGAGAAGUGAAACGAACCGGAGAGAGCAACCAUAUCUCUGGUGGAGAGUCCAACAGCACUGAAACUACUAAUGAGUUGGCUCAGACUCGAAGUCGGGGCCGGAAUGUUACUAUUCGCUGCCGCUUGACUCGCCGUUCUUGCAUCUCUUCUUCCUACUUUAACAUUCCAAUUCGGCCCUCCAAGCUUCAACAAAAUAGAGACAAAUUCAUGUUUUAGACCGGUUUAAUCUUUUAAAUUUUCAAAACCAGACUAAGAGAGGAAAUAGGGAGCUUACGACUACGACGGAGUCUCUAGCUGCAAUGGCUAAGAUAUCAGCACAAGACACAACCCCGGGACAUGCUUUCUCAACCGCUGAUUUGAUGUUGUCGAUCACAUUAAACCCACGAGCUGAAUUGCGGUUUGGGGCCGCGUUUUGUUCUCCUGUGAAGCUCGACGUGUCAUCUAGCAGAAUCGAACCGUCACAUCCCUAUAUAUGUAAGCAUGACAGUGGUUAGAAGUAAAGAACCAAAAUAAAAAUUAUGCUAAGUUUCUUGAGAUGCAAGGAAAACAAAAAAAAGGUAAAAGAAAAAAAAACUACGUUGACGAAGCAAUCGUGGAAGAAGAGACGGAGGAUAGAUGCACCCAUUCGAGCCUCGCUGUUAACGGCAGAUUUAACGGCGCUUUGGACGGUGGAGAGGAGGUUAGGGCAAGAGGUUGAGUAGAAAUUAGUCGUGAGUUGUGCUUCGACGACGUUAUUGUUAUUACCUUGGAGUAAAAGUGUAAGUACGAGAACUAGAAUAGCAGUAAGUUGAUUUGAAGCCAUUGUAGGUUAAAACAAAGACUUGAAUAUAAUAGACUUAGAGUUGAUUAUUGUACUUGAAGAACAAAGCAUAACAGAAUCGAGGUUUAUAUAGAGACGUGAAGGAUGUUCUAAAGUGAAAGAUAGGUGACCUAACGCGUUGAAAAAAUGUGUAACUCUGUUAUUUCUUUUGGUUUUUAGGGUUGAAUUAUCAUUUUUGCAUGGAAUUGAUUUUGUAACUAUCUACGUCGGAGAGAGAAGUAAAAACCAAAUUUAUCAGCGAUAAUAUUAUUUUCCCAAAUGUCAAGUAAAUAGUAUAGCCAUCAAACUAAUUAGCCGAAGUCUCAAAAUAGUUGACUUUGAAUAUGGGUGAGAAAAUAAGAGAUUAAUGGGGUUCAAAAAUAAAACAGAUGAGUGUUUAUUCUUUGGUGGUCGUGAUAAGCGUGACACUGUUACAGAAUAAAUUGUUUGUGCUAAAUAUAAUUAGCUCGUCUAAUACUAUAGACAAGACCCGAUUUUACAUUAGAUGGAAAUAUAUCGAAUUUUUGUUGGAUAUAUAUUACAUGAAUGAUUAAGAGAGAUUCUGCGAAAAUUCACACACACCUGGUUGUAAAUUGAUGAGAUUGUGUAUAUAUGAAGUUAUAAACUAAUUAAGCAGAGAGAAAACAAAUUCCUUUAAACAAUGCUUUCAGAUAUUUUUAGUUGAUAUCGUUGUGAUUGUUUGAAUAUUUGUAAUUUUUUUAAUGUUUUUUUUUUUGAAUAUUUUUAAUAUUGUGUUCUUUUUUCUUGCUAACAUCAAAUAUUAAUUGUUUAACCAUCUUACUGAUUUUUUUUUUUUUUUGUCGUCUAGAUUUAUUAUUAAUUGCAAAUUAUGAGAACUGUUACAUAGAUGAUUCUACAACUGACAAUUCUUUCCGACCCUUACUAGAUUCACGACAGACUACACUUCAUUCUUCGUAAUCUUGAUGAAAACCUUCAAUGAUCCACGACCUGGCGACACUUCCUUCUCUGCGUAGAAUCUUGGCGAACGGCUAUAAUUGUACAUCGCUGGAGAUCUCUUGCACACUUGCCUCCAUUAAUCUGCAAAUUUGUUAAUAAAUCGCAAUAUCUGGGACUCGAACCCCAGACCUUUUGGUGUAGAAGCAUUAAUCAACCCUUUGUCAACCAAUGAGCCAAGGAGGCUUCCACAACCAUCUUACUGAUUAGUUAAUGAGUCGAUACAUAUUAAUAAUUUGUCUUUUACCAGCAUAUAAUAAGGUAACUAUUUGGAAACGCAUCUUCUUUAAGAUGGAUCUACACAUAUGUCGAAAUCUGUUUUAUUUUUGGUCCAAAAUCUGUCUAUCUCAAAUGUUUUCAAACUUCAAAAAAGCAGAACGCGCGAUAAGGUUUUAGAGAUUUUCGAUGUCCAAAAAAAACGUUUUUACAAAAAUUUAAUCACGAUAAUCAAUCAAAAAUUCAAAAUCAUGAUUGAUCUUUGAAAAUACAUGCCACUAAAACUGUAGUACUUCCGAUUCUAAAAAUGGCAGCAAAUAGAAGAACAAUAAAAAUCAUCAAUCGCGCGUGUUUAACUCAUAGAGUCAUGGUAAUUGAAGAUGGAUUUUUACUGUUUAGUAAGUGACAACUAAAUACAAUAAAAAAAUAUAUCAUGAUACAGUGUAUUGUCCUUGCACAAAAAAAAAAAGAAAGAUAGAGUCAAUUGUCAACUGAAUUUAUUUUUUUCUACAUUUUUGAAUAUCAAACUUCUAUUUAAACAAAGUUGAAAUUGACGUAUUAUUUUUGAACAUAUAUACAAUCAAUAUUUAUAUUAUUUUAUUUUAUAUUUUACUGAAAAUACCGUAUCUGUUUGUGAUUUAUAUACAUUUAAUUCAGAUAAAUAAGCCAUGAUAUAUUUGUUUUCAAAAAGUUUUGGAUCUAGAUCCAUAUAUAAUCUCUUCAUGCUCGGGGUAGAGAAUAUGUAAGCAUGUUGAAAUAGUCAUUUUCUUAUCGUAGAUGUUGGGACAUGAAAUUUUGAAGACUCCUUUUUUUGGUAGCUAACUAGCUAGUGUAUGCCGGAAGAAAUAGUAUUUAAUUUCUUUUUGUUUAAUUAGCAGUGGGCGUCUAAGACCAAGCGCAGUGGCGCAUGUAGGCGUCGGAUGUAUGUAAUUUAAUAUAGAAAAAUAAUGCAAAAAGUGGCUUUUCAACAACACCCACAUGUAGAGUUGCAUUCGGGUGUGGGCAUUAUAAAAAGGGAAAAAAAAAAUUUUGUCUCUAUCUCUCUCUUUUCUCUCUCUCUAAAUAUAAUACUAAAAACUUAUUUACAUCUAUACUAACACAUUCACCACUGUGGGUGCUCUAAGUCAGUCUUAGCACCCGACUAAUCGUGGAAGGUGAUAGCAAACAGCUUGUCUGAAUCCCUGAAUACCUAAGAGCAACCCCAUUGAUGGUUUUUAAACAUAAGUCUCUUAUUUUAGAGAGAAAAAAUAUAUUAAUAAAAAAAUGUGUGGGUUUCUUAAAUAGUGAAGAAACCCUCUACAAAGUAUGUCAAAGUACCUUAUAUAAGAAAUUUUAGAGAGUGUUUCUUCACUAUUCAAGAAACCCACACAAUUAAAUAAUUAUACUUUUGUUGUCUUAAUGUUAAGAGACUUAGUUAAAAAAAACACUCAUUGGGUUGCUCUAAUGGUCCACACACAUAUCAAUGUUGCGCCAAUAAAUUGCAACCCAAAAAGCAGAACAAAUUUACGCUUUGAUCCCUAGAUUCUCAGUCUCCAGUCUUUACCCUUACGCCAUCCCUAGCUACAUGGGUUUAUCACUUGGUGCUUUUCGUAUGUUUUUACACGCUGAUUUUGAUGCCAUAACUAAUUCUUGUUAUCUUCUAGGUUAGAAGUCGUAAUAAUAAAUAAUAAUGUUCAAAGUCGCCAUAUACAGUUAUAUAUUAUGGAUUAGACAUACAUCUUUUUCAGCAUAUAUACCACGAGAAAAUAUAGAAGAGUUUGUUAGAGAGAGUUGUCAAGAAUAGUGGCCUCCUAAUUAUUUAACUAAUACUUUGGACCAAACAUUUGAUUUUAUGGAAAGAUAGAUUACAUCACAAGAUUUGUUAAAUUUUUUAUCUUUUCCAAUAUAUUCCCAGCAACUCUUUAUGUUCUUGACUUCUAUUUGAAGAAAUAUAGCAUUUCAUAUUUACAUCAAGUUUACACUGUAGGUUUUCUUCUCUAUUUUUUUUUCUGCUCACACUAAUAUACGAUCGCUUUGAAGCGAUUAAUUAGAUUAAUAAAUUGUUCAUUUAGUAUGUCAUAAUCCAUUACGGCAGACUGGAUUAUCCAUGUAUGGAUAGUUAAAAACUUCCAAUUAUAAAGCCAUAGAGGUUAGGUAUACAAAAUUAUCAAGUACAUAGAUAAUAGAUUUAAUCUCGCACAGCCAUUUUGUUAUCCAUUUAUGAACUAACUAUUUUCAAAUUUUAUUUUAAUGUAUACUAAUCGAGUGUGAAGAUCUUUCUCGUAAAACGAAUUAUAUGUUUAAAUAUUUGGAUUAAAGACUAAUUAUAAAACAAUAAUUAAGGGAAGAAGAAGUCACAUACUUUUAUAACACUAUACGCGGCUUUUACUUUUACAGGAUUACUUUCCAAAGGAGGCACGAUGGUCACUUUCAAGAUUACUAUAUGAGUUACAUACAAAAUCAAACUUAGUGGAAUUAAAAAAAAAAAAAAAAAAGAAGUUAGAUACCUUCUCCGGUCUCACUUUCACACCAACCUAUAAUUAACUUACUAAUCAAACCCUCUUUAAUAAUCUAUAUAUAGAAGAAACAGGCUUCUAGAUACUUACUUAACUUAAGUUACUUUAAAUUACAGGAAUGUUCAUUGGAUGUGAAGUUUAAUGAAUAUUAUUUAGCCACUUUAAGCCUUUAAGCAAAUGCUUGUUUAAGCUGACUAGGAACUUUCCAUAUUUUUAUUUGUUAUUGAGCCAUUUCAAAAAAUCAUAAUUAUGCUCUUCAUAAAACCACAAGAUUACAAUCACGUUUAUUAACAUUUUUAUAGAAUCUCAAGAACAUUUGAUUUCGUGAAAAUCUCUCAUAUUUUCUUUAUAAGUUAAAUUUUUUUUUAUCACACUAAAUUAUAUACAUUUGGUAAUCCUUAUUGUCAAAUGUCAAUGCCACCACUAUAUAUGUGAAUUUACUUUAUAUAUAUACAAGGUAGGCUUGGGCACGAAGCGGAUAUCCGGAAAAUUUGGGAUAUUCGUUAUUCGAUUCGAUUUAACCGAAUACUUGAUUUUGUGAUUUGCUUUGAUCCAAAAAUUUCCGGAUAUUCGGAAUAUCGAAUAUCCGGAUUUUUUUGUGAUAUUUGCGGAUAUCCGCUUCGAUACUUCUGUACUUAUUAAAACCCUAAAAACCUAAGCGCUCGCAUUUAAAACUACGAAGAAAAAUAGAAAAUUUGGGAAAAAGAAGUCGUCACAGGAUUUCAACUUCUUAUUUUUAAGGGAUAUUGAUUUUUUUUAAAAAUAAAUUUCACUUCACUAAUAAAAACUAUUAAAUUGUGUCACAAAUACAAGUCUGAAAAAUAAAAAACUGAGUUUACAAAUACAAGCCAAAAAUAUAUUACGAUGUACAUAUAUAUAUAUAUAUAUAUAUAUUUCUAAUAUAUAUCAAAAAAUACGGAUCGAAUCGGAUAUCCGACUUUUAAAAAAACAAUAUUUGCUAUUUGCUUCGGUUUUUACGAAUACUACAUUUUUCUAUUUGAUUUUCUCCAAAAUAUUACGGAUAUUCGGAUUUUUCGAAUCGAAUCAAAACGAAUACCGAGUCAACGCGGAUCGAAUAUUUUGCCCAGGCCUUACAAGGAACAAGAUAAUAAAUGGGUUGAACCAAAAGGGGUCACCUCAAUUGGUAAACAACUUCAAAAUUAAGAAAAGAUAUGAACCUCCUUGUCGGAGUCAAGAAUUGGAAAAAGUUGUUAAUGUGAGUAAUUGCUAGAAAGAAUUUUUAAACACUCUUUGCAGCAUAUAUUGAAGAUUAUUAUUUGAACCGUUAAUUACAUAGAAAAUGCCAAAGAAGCUAGAUUAGUCACCCCAUGACAUGAUGGGACAAUUUUAAAUACAGAAUAUUACCAACAAGAAAAUAAGAAAGUUAAUCGUAAACGUAAGUAAUCCACAUGUGACGUAUCUUAGUCUCGAUUCAAAGGCGAAUGAAAUAAAAUUUGAUUUGACAACGAUAGUCGCCUCUUCAGAGUUCUAGUUUUGAGUUUGAUUGAGGAAAGACCGAAAUGAAGUGUUUACAUAGCAGUUUGGGUAAACCGCCUGAGAUUUGAAUAUAAUGUUAUGUUUGAAGAGUGCUUUUUGUGGUAGUGAAUUAUGAAAUAUAUAAAAAUGAUUAAGAGUUUGGUUGUUGUCAUUGCAUCGUUUAUUUGCAUCCUAGGUUUGCAUUUAAAUGUAGAAUAUUUAUAUUCAUGUAUACAUUUACAAUCAUAAUAUAAUAAUAACAUUAGCAUGUAUAUUAUAACACAAUCAUUUAUAAAUUAAAUAAAAAUCACGAUCAUAAAUAAUAUGAUAAUUCUGAUAGUGGUUUGGCUCCAAUAGCUUCUACGUGUAAAGGUAUCUCAAGUCUUGAGAUUCCUAAGCUUUCUAAUUAUGUAACAUUUUCGAAACCGGACAAGGUCAACCAUAUUUGUCGUCUUCCAUUAUUUUAGUCAAAAGAUUACAAAAAAAUAAGAAAUUAAGAAACUAAACUAGGUGACAUCAUUGAUAUUUGACUCAAUGCAUGCCUAAUAUGUUUCUAUAUUAUAGCUUUGGAUAUGAAUGUUUGACUGUAGAACCAAGAUGCUGCAAAUUCUUUGAUACACACACGUAUAAUUAUUACUAUAUCAACGUAACACUUCGGUGGGACGAAGCUAAAACACUUUUGGAUUUUGGUGGGGUGGGUGGAGUAAAAUAACAAUACGAAACAAUACAAAAGCUGCAGUCACUGACAACAUACGAGUCAAAAAUUCAUAUCGUGUAGAGCGCCAAUUCAUGAGUAUGAAUGCCACGAAAUAGUUGAGGUUUUCAACUUUAUUUUACCGUUUAAUAAUCGAUUUAAACACUAAAAUCAUGCUUCACAACAACAACAAAAAAAAAAAAAAAAAGUGGGUCUGUGGAUACGUAUCCUAUUUUUUUCAAGAAUUUGUUUUUGAAAAAAUGAUAUUUAUGAAAGAAACAAAUCGAGAUUUUUAGCACUAUAGCAGUUGGAAGUAAAUUGAAAUUGGUGUUCCUUUACUCGAAUUAUUUAUACAUAUACACUAUCAAUUUAUUUACAAAUUUUGGCACAAUUUUCAUUCGAAAAAAAAAAACAAAUUUUGGCACAAUAUCAAAGCUGCGACGACCAUGACAUGGAUUUUUAAUAGUUUGUGCUAAUUUUAUUCUUAUAACACCAUUUGAAAUCGUCUACAUGUUAUUGAGAAAACAAAAAGAGACAAUAUAAAGUACAACAACAAUGUUAAAUGCUAAUCAGAAUUGUUUGAGUGGACUGUAAUAUUGUUUUCGUUCUCGACAUUUAGGUGUGUGAGGUUUGAAACUGAAAGUCCCCUUAAAAAACCAUUCAGACGCGUCUCCUUGUUGAACCAUAGUCUCUAGAUUCUUAAUUAGUGUGACAUAAAUUUUUAUGCAAAAAUGUUAAUGGGUCGGGUUUAAGUUUUGAAUAUGGGCCUAACUAAUAUGGGUCUCCUUUUAAUUUGAUGUCUUGUGGGCUAAAACUCUAAUUCAGAUUAUUGAAUUGAAUCCAUCUCUAAACAGUCUAAAGUCCACACAUUGUAGUAGUUUUUUGAAAUUUUAACUUUUUACGUUUUGAAAACUCAUACAACACUUGAAACUUCCAAUAUUUGUUCAAACAUUCAUAUUGGGAAUCAAUGAAUGACUAACGUAUGUUACAUAUGUCAGAAAACUUGUAAUUAACUAGAUAAUUAUCAAUUGAUAGUUAAUUAGUUAUUUUUGCGUAUGUUACAUACUUACAUUCAUUAUUAGGACACAUAAUGAAUGACUAAGAAUGUUUUUUUUUUGCGUUAACUUAUUACUCCCUCCGUUUUAAUUUAGUUGUCGUUUUAGGAUUUAAAUUUUGUUUCAUAAUAGUUGUCGUUUUAGGUUUUCAAUGCAAAUGUUUGGUAAAAAUUCCAGUUUUAUUCCUAUUGUUUUAAUAUUUUGGCCAAUGAAAUUUUUUAUAAAAUAUAUUAAUAUAGGGUAAAACAGAAAAUUUAAUGUUUUUCUUAAUUUAUGUGCAAAAACUUUAAACGACAACUAAAACGAAACGGAUGGAGUAUGUCUUAGAUUAAUAAGUUAUUUAAUAGUUUAAUUAAAAAAUAUAAUGGUGGCAUGGCCCUGACCGGCAUGUUAAUAGUUUCGAGGAGGCAGAAGUAGAAACCGCUCGCUCUUCUCUACCAAAAACUUUUUCUUCUUCCUCUUUCUUCGAUGUCUCUCAUCAGUUACCAAUCACAAUCUCUUGCUUUAAAUUGAUCCUUCUUUCUCUGUGUAAUUCUCCACUGAAUUCAACUUUAGUUCGUCUCUUUCCUUCUGGGUUUCUCUGCAAUUCCAAUUCUGGGCAUGUAAUUCGAAGAUUUUUCCCUCUUUAGUUUUCAAUCUUCUUUUGUCAAAGUUGAAGACUUUGUUCGUUUUGAAUCUGUCCGCUAGUAGAAUCUUCUUCUUUGAAUCGCUUUCAUAUCUCUGCUUUACGGGUUUUCACACUUUUGCCAGCAAUGUCUAAGCUUCCAAGCACAUGCCUUUGACUAACUUUUCCCGGUAAAGGAUUUGCUUUUACUUCUUUUUUCCUGGCACGAGAAAAUGGGCUCAACUGAUGAGGUUGAGAAAUCUAAGACUAGGGUUUCAUGUCCUCCUGCUCUCUCAACAUCUCAUAAGAUUCUUAUCAGUGAAGAGAAACCUAGGAGAUGGUCGGAGAGUUCGUUGCCUGAUGUCUCUAAUAGGAUUAAGCUUUUGAAAUUUGGUUCCGCUUCUGCUAGAUUCAAGAGAAUGGCAGAGGAAAGAGAUGAGGUUUCACGCUCUGUUAACAGCUCAAGCAGCCACAAUUUCCGGGAAAGAAUCAGUGUGGUGUUUUCCCGGAAAAUUGAGUGGGCUUGCUUGAUGAAAAUGGGUAAGCAAUGGCUACAAAACCCGUUGAACAUGGUUCUUUUCUUGUGGAUACUUGUGGUUGCUGUCUCUGGUGCGAUUCUGUUCAUGGUUAUGACCGGCAUGUUGAACCAUGCUUUGCCCAAGAAAUCACAGAGAGAUGUUUGGUUUGAAGUUAACAAUCAAAUCCUCAACGCUAUGUUUACUCUCAUGUGUUUGUAUCAACACCCGAAACGGUUUUACCACCUUGUGCUUCUCUGUAGAUGGAGGCAAGACGAUGUUACAACGCUUAGGAAGAUUUACUGCGAGAACGGGACUUACAAGCCAAACGAAUGGAUCCACAUGAUGGUUGUUGUUCUUUUGCUUCACUUGAACUGUUUUGCUCAGUAUGCGCUUUGCGGUCUUAACUUAGGGUAUAGAAGAUCCGAGAGACCUGCAAUUGGUGUAGCUAUAUGUAUAUCUAUUGCAAUAGCAGCUCCUGCGAGUGCGGGUUUGUACACUAUUCUUAGUCCACUUGGGAAAGAUUAUGAUCCUCAAGGAGAUGAGGAGAAUCAAGUGGAGCCUGUGGAAGAAGGAUCCGUUACUAAUCACAAGUUAUCUCUUGAAAGGAGAUAUUCAUUUGCUUCUGCAGAUGUGAGUAAUCCUGAAUGGAGAGGUGGAGUUCUUGAUAUAUGGGAAGAUAUUUCAUUGGCUUAUCUCUCUCUGUUCUGCACUUUCUGUGUGUUUGGUUGGAACAUGGAGAGGAUUGGGUUUGGGAACAUGUAUGUGCACAUUGCGACUUUUAUUCUCUUCUGUUUGGCUCCUUUCUUUAUAUUCAACUUGGCUGCUAUAAACAUCGAUAACGAGAUGGUAAGGGAAGCACUUGGAUAUACCGGAAUUGUGCUUUGCUUGUUUGGUUUGCUCUAUGGUGGUUUUUGGAGAAUACAGAUGAGGAAAAGAUUCAAGUUGCCGGGCUAUAACUUCUGUUGCGGGAGACCUGCGAUUGCUGAUUGUACACUCUGGUUAUUCUGUUGCUGGUGCUCUUUAGCUCAAGAAGUCCGGACCGCGAAUUCUUAUGAAAUAGUGGAGGAUAAAUUCUGCAAAAGAAGUGAAGAAAAUAGUAAGAUUGAUGAUGAGGUUGUGGUAUCUUCAUUGCCUCGUGAUGACGGUGUGUUUGAUCCGAGUUGCUCGCCUAAGAAGAUGACCACGGCGAUAGCUAGCUCGUCUCUUAGCCCGAGCAGACAGAAAUAUGAAACUUGCUUGGGAGAUAAAAGUGAUGAAGCUCUAAGUCCACCUUCUCCUCCAUUCAUACACAGAAGCUAGUUAGAACUUAGAACUAACAGUUAUUAAUCAAAGUUUGUUUCAAAAAAUUUCAGGUUUAGAAAAAUAUUAAACAAUGUAAAACCAGAUCUACUAUGGAUCUGUUUAUACGGUUCAGGUAUAUCUAUAUUUAAUUGGAACUAAAGUUUAAAUUCGUCUUGGAGUUUAUGAAAUUCACGAAUUAUAAACCAUGUAAAACAAUUCUAGUUUUGUUUGAAAUUUCAGUCAGAGAAUUAUGUUUCUUCUCAUCAUCUCAUGUGAGUUUUUACCAUAAACGUUUUUUUUUUUGUUUCUUCUACGAUGAACCACAUUACAUUGAUUUGGACCUUAAAGUGAAUUUAAAAAACAACAAUAGUUUACUUCAUGCUGCUUGAUAGGCUUCCUACCAUGUCUCGCCUUGCUUCUUGGGGGUUACAAACGUCUACUUCCUGCUGCUUGUGUUCUGGUUCUGUGGAAACCAGAGACCAUCUUUUCAUUGGUUGUCCAUUCUCUCAAGUCCUCUGGGACUCAGUUACGAUCAGACUAGGCCUCCCUGCAACUAUCUUUUCCACGUGGGACUCUUGAUGGAGUGGUCAAAGUCAGAAAUAGGUACUCUCCACCAAGGUGCCAACGCUUCGAUUGUUGCUGGUUCAUGCAGUGGUUUACAGUGUAUGGAUGCAAAGAAACAACUUCAUUCAUAACUACAUUGCUAUUCCUCCGGCUACUAUCUUUAAAGAUAUUGACCGGCAAGUUGUAAACUCAAUCUCAACUCGUAAGAAGAUGAACAAAUUCAGGAAUCUUAUGUCACUUUGGCUUCAUUUUUCCUAAAUCUUGUGAAUGCGUUAUUGUCUCCUUAUUUUUUAUUUCUUUUUUGGCAAGGUUUCAAAUGUAUAGUUCUUCUCUUGUAACACCUAACUUUCAUCUUAAUUAUAUUUACAUUCUUAACAAAAAAAUAAUAAUAACAACAACAAUAGUUGCUGUUUUUGCAUUAUGAAUUUUUCAUCCGACUUACGAUUUCUUCGAAUGUACUCAACUCAUCGCAGUGCUCAGAGCAUUCGAUCAAAUCAAACAUCUCUUCAAUGUUGGUUAUGUAUUAACAAACUUGUAUACAAACAAAUAGGUUCUAACCUGCGGUAUCCGUAUAAACAAUUAAGAACAAAAAACAGUAAAACGUAUAAAAAACAUCAAUUUUCCAUUUUCUCUUUAGUCCUUUAUCGUUGUCUAUUUUUCCUUUUAACCCGAAUUAUAUUUCCGUCUUAAAAUACAAUCAUGUCAAUUAGGGCCCAAGCAAAGUUUGUUGGUUUUCCUAAAUUAUGUAACUUAACAUUCUUUUUUUCUUUUUUUUCUUUUUUUUUUCUUUUUUUGUCUCAAGAGAUUUGAGAGAUUUGAGAGAAAACGAUUUGACUUCUGAAAUCAAGUUAGGGUUUUCUCUUUCUUUGUUGCCCUAGCAGAAACCGAUUCUCACGAGGAGCCGCCUCUGCUUUAUAGUUGUAUACCGAGCCAUAAAACCUAAGGAAAACAAAAGCUUAAGAGAAACACAUGGAGGAAAAGGGCACCCAAGAUGGCCCAAAACCGUCACAGGAUUCUGGCUUGCACAGGCUUUACUUCAAGGGUUUGACAAGGGAGGAAACAAGAGGGCUGGUGGCAGGAUUUGGGGUUGCAAUUUGCGGCCAAGAGGAUAAUAUCUUGUUUCAGAUGAAAGGAUCAAUUCAUGACUCCGAGAUUACGGCUUUGGAGGCUGAGCUUAUGGCAUUGAAACGAGGACUAACCGAAGCCGUGAGUUUGGGGAUCACUCAUAUCUCAAUCUACUGCGAUCAUUAUCACAUUUUUAAACUUGUAAGUUUUCUUUCCUUUAAGAUAUUCACAUUUGUCCUCACUUUCUUCAAUAUCGUAAUGGACGUUUUACCCUUGAUCAUGUUUUUAGGUCACGGGGAGUUCCGGGCCUGAGAAAGAUAGCAUUGCCUUGCUAAUGAAUGAUGUGCAACGCACCAGACAACAACUGACAUCUAGCACCCCUCUUCUGGUGACUGGAGAUCAAACUAAUAAGGUUGCUUAUAAACUUGCAUCGGAAACACUCGUUUCUGAAAUCAGCAUAAGUAUGCCUCCUUGUCAUAAGAAGAACACUUUUUGCGGUAUCUGUUUCGAUGAUGAUCUCGAAGCUGAACAGAUGUUUUCUGUUGCUUUAUGCGGUCAUAAAUUCUGCUUGGAGUGCCUCAAACUACAUAUACAAGUUGAACUAAUGGAGAGAGUACCGAGAUGUCCUCGUUACGGCUGCAAAUCGAAACUGAAUAUUGAAAGCUGUGCCCAUCUUUUGACACCUAAACUAAGAGCCAUGUGGGAACAAAGGAUCGAAGAGACAACUGUAACAGAUUGGGCAAUGUGGGCAAAGUGCCAACAAAUGGCUGGAGUAGCUCAUGGGUUUUGCCAAAUAAGUUGCAAGUAUCAUCUCUAGUCUCAUUAUUCUCUAGCUAGAUAUUACAACUAAUCCUUCUCGAGUUUUAUUAUGUCUUAGCCUCCUAAUUAACAUUGUAAUUUCAUGAUUGAUUGAUAGAUGUGGGUACUCCUUUUGCUACAUAUGUGGAGCCGAAUGGAAGCUGCUAGGAGCCGGUUGCAUUCAUCGCAACAAAGAGAUGUGUACAAUCAUUAGUUGCAUAGUUAUAUGUUAUGGAAUUUUGGUAUGUUUUCUGUUUAUUAUGAGUUUAUUCAAGUUGAUUGAUUACUCAUAACGCUUGUAAGCGGGUUUACUUGUUUGAUGCUUAUUUGUUUUCAAGAUUUUUGGAUUAUGUUGUAAGAUACACAAUGGUUUACCUGUCUAUUUCCAAAAUCAACAACCGUCUUGAUCAAGUAUAUCCGUAUGUAUCUAUCUUCUUAUAUCUAAUAGAUAUACGACGAUGGAGUCUCGUAAAACAGUAAGAAAGUUUGAGGAUACACACACACAUGUGGAGUGUUAUGAUCGAAUUUUAUUGUUUUUUUUUCGCUCACACAUCAUACUUUAAAAAUCGUUUCAUUCCAUUGGAGUCGCAUAUUUUCUCUCUGUAUCCCUCAAAAGAUAAUCGCACCCGCUUUGUAAAUAUCCGAUCUUUUUUUUCCCGCUUAUCCGCCCCCUAAGUGAUUUUAUACAAGAUAGUCAAUGUUUAGAGGUAUAAGAUUAAGAAUAGCGACAAGUUUAACAACAUGAAACUCUACGCCAUGUUGAUAUAAAACUAUCGUCGGCAUUGACUCUUGACACAAGCGGAGACUUUUUACUACGGUUUCUAACUGAGGUAUACAGUAUUCCCAUAUAUUCCUGCCAAGAACAGCAAUAGCUCUUGACUUCCUCUGCCUUUUGGACUUCAUAUGUAAUUGCUACAUACAUUCUCCGCUUUAAGUUUAAUAAUCAAAAUUUUUCUAAUUUGCUUUUGAAUUUAGCCAUAGUUUUACUUAGCCGCCUGAGACAGUAGUUAUUAGGAAGAAAUAACAUUUUGUGCUUUGGAGGAUUUUUACUUAAUAAUAAUUAGUUACCAAUGUUCUGUAGUUGGUACUUCGGUUGUGUGUGCUUCCGCUUAGAAUCUAACUUUUACGUUCUAGAUGCGUAGGCUGGUAAUCUUAGCUUCUCUUUGUCUCCGUUGAACCAUGAUAUGAAACAUUUGAUGCUUCAAAUUCAAUAAACGAGAAAUUAAACAAUUUAGAAGUUUUCUUUGUAUCGGGUUGACUCGAUCCAGAAACUUUGUAUCGGGUUUUCUUUAACACGUACGUGAGCUUCUCUUCUCUUCAUGUGCCUGCUCGUUACGUUGAUCUCUUCUCUAUAUGAGAUUGUUUAUUAUAAAGGAGACUCACAAAAAUGCCCCUUUUUUAAUACCCUUUUCAAAAAUGCCCCCUUUAGCUGUCUAUUUUUAAAAAUACCCCUUUUUAUGUACAAAAUGACUAAAUUACCCUUCUUUUAAUAAAAGAUAUCACAAAUAUAUAAAGAAAUAUAACAAAAUUAGGUCCACAAAAUACAAAAUAUUUUUUGGCGGGAAAAGUGAUCCCGCAAUUUUUCCCGCCAAAACACUUGUAAAAACUUGUAAAACCUUUAAAAUACCUUGUAAAUUUUUUGUGGGAAAAGUGAUUCCGCAAUUUUUUUGGCGUUAAAUUUUUGGCGGGAAAAAUUUUCCCGCCAAAAAUUUACAAGGUAUUUUAAAGGUUUUUUACAAGGUAUUUAUAAGGUUUUACAAUGUAUUUUAAAAGGUUUUACAACGUAUUUACAAGGUAUUUAUAAGAUAUUAUAAGAUUUUACAAGCUAUUUUAUAAGGUUUUUACAAGUUAUAAGGUUUUACAAGUUUUUUAUAAGGUUUUACAAGUUAUAAAUACCUUAUAAAACCUUAUAAGUACCUUGUAAAACCUUUUAAAAUACAUUGUAAAACCUUACAAAACACUUGUAAAUACUCUGUAAAACCUUUAAAAUACCUUGUAAAUUUUUCCCGACAAAAAUUUUCCCGCCAAAAAAAAAAAUUGAGGAAUCACUUUUCCCGCAAAAAAAAUUUUUUGGCGGGAAAAUUUUUUGGCGGGAAAAAUUUUUACGGGAAAAUUUUACAAGGUUUUUUAAAGGUUUUUACAAGUGUUUUGGCGGGAAAAUUGCGGGAUCACUUUUCCCGCCAAAAAAUAUUUUGUAUUUUGUGGACCUAAUUUUAUUUCAAAUAAGGGUAAAAUGGUCAUUAAAAACUAAAAGAGGGCAAACUUAAAAAUGGACUCUCAAAGGGGGCAUUUUUGAAAAGGGGUAUUGAAAAAGGGGCAUUUUUAACAAUUUCUCUUUUUUAUAUGUGAAAAAGGCAAAUACAAUUCCGGGGAGAAAAGGAAAAAUAGACUAAAUAAAAAUAAAAAUCACCUUAUUAUAUACAUAUUAUUUGAUCAUAAGAUAACUUUAUACCUAUCUCUACUUUUAAAAGGAAAUUAACAAAACCUUAAUCCUAAUUUAAAAAGGAAAAACAACAAACGUCUAAUACAUAUAAAUAAAAUACCAAAACCCCCUUUCAGUUUCCAUCAUCCCCUUUUCUCGAUGGCUGCCAUGUUCAAUAGCGUUAAACUCUCCAUGGGUGCCUUUUUCACGAGAAUUUCUCAAGGUUUAGCAAGUAAGGACGAGGACUUAGCGAUAGUUGCUAAUUGGAUCAAUGGUUGCCUCACGACUUUGAUGGGACUCGUGUCCACCAUCAACAAGAAAUCAACUGUUGAUAAGGAAGAGAUAAUAGAACUUUGGUCAACGAAACAUGUCGAAACGAGUCUAUUGUUCCUAUUCGCAGCAUGUGUAGCAACUGCUAUACUAGCCAACUUUUCUAGUAAGAUUUCUUAUAGUUCUUCUAAUCUUCGGCAAUUCACUCACUUUUUCUUAUGAUACAAAUUUUCUAAUCAAAUUUUCCUUUGUUUCUUCAGGAAAAAGCAACUUCCGAUUAUAUCAGUGGAGAUCUAUCGUGAUUGGUGUGAUCACCCUCUUGAUUAUGGCAGGGAAUCGUAUGAAUCUUAUGAUGAUUUGUACAACAUUGGUGGCUCCCUUAUUCACCAUCGGCUGGAGUAUAUUCAAGAUCGUAGGAGCAAAGGAAAAACCAGCUGCUGCUAGGUCGGAUUCAACUGAUGCCCCCUAGGGCACGAGAAAAGUUGAAAGUCAGACAAAAUUGGAUUUUAAUUUUUCUUUUGUGUUUAUUAGAUAUUAUUAGCUAUUUCGUCUGAGUUUUAUUUUGAUAUUAAAUUUAUAACCUAUGAAAUUUAAGAGCACAUUGAUUAACAAGAUCUCGACCGGUUUCUGAUACAUCUUUAUAUUGCAAAAAAAAAAAAAAAGAAAAAAAAACUUUUCUAGAUUUUCAAGUCUCGUUAGAGAGCAAAUUUCCACGUAUCUUCAACCAUCUUCAAACCAGAUGCCACCUUUGCCGGCGAUAUGCUCCCAUCGAUUUCAUAAAGAUCAGCCAUUGGUUCUUCCUGCUUCCAGCUCGCUCUCGUCGAAUCUAAAUCUGAUGGCUUCUCUUCCUCUUUCUCUUUAUUUGGAAUAUUUCUGGCCUUGGCAUGGUUCAGCACUACCAUCUGAGGCUGGUCUAGACAGAGCAAAUAGAGAGCAGUCGCCUCUCAGUCGACCUUUACGUGUUCCCCAAGAAAUAUCCUUGGCUAGACCUUAAUUAUUCGGAUGACCUCAUCACAGAGCCAACCUGCAACGUAACUGACCAAGAAGUUCGGCCACACCAAUUUUGCUGAGGGAAAGAUUCAAGUUACCGAAUUAUAACUUCUAUUUCAGGAGACAUGCGACAAAUAAUCUAGAAAACUAAAAAGGUCUAGCUUUGAUGAAAUUCAUAGAAUGCUUGUGUCCGUUAGUCACAGUGCUUCAAAUGGAAAACAGACUGAAUGAACUACUUAGAGUACCAGUAUAUGUGCAAUAUAGGAUAAAAGUAUAUCAAAAGGGUUACAGAUUAAAAGGACCUUCAUCCUCAUAAACUAAUGCACGUUAAAAAAACGUUUUAUAUUUCAAUCAUCGAUUUUUCGUAUCGGAAUUCGUUUUACCCGUAAAAUAAUUAAAGACGACGAUUUCUUUUCUAACGUAACUUAAAUAACAAACACAUAUACAUCUUUGUAAAAGAGUUGAUGAAGAUUUACAAAAUUUAGAUUGCUCGAAAACUAAGAAGAUGUGUGUUUGGUAAAUUUGAGAGGAUGAAGAUGAUAUCAGAAAAUAUAUUUAUAGAGAAAUAUUUUUGUAGGGUUCUGUUUAAUUUUUGAAAUUUGGAUUGCCUUCAAAAUUUGAAAAAUUAAUUUAUUGUUGAUUUUAUGAUAGAUUUAGUACUUUUGAGAAUUAAUUUUAUGAAUGUAGUUUGAAUUUAUGAACCUAGGAAAAUUUGUACUUACAAAAGUUAUAAAAAUAUAUUCUAAUAUAUUAAUUUACAUGAAUUAUACGCUUACAUGCUAGAGUUGUUAAAUAUAUAUAUAUAUAUAUAUAUAUAUAUAUGUUAGUCUUUUUUUUGUCAUCCGUAAUUAAUUAUAAGCUCAAAAGAGCCAUUCCUGAGGAAUGUUGUUUACAUAAGUGAUGUGAGACGGUUCUGAUAUAUAUGUUAGUCUGGAUUAAAAAAUAUAGACCUUAGAUCAAUUUAAUAUAUUCUUUACAUACACGAAUUUUUUAUGUAUAUAUAGAUAGAGAUAUGAUGUUUGUAUUACUGAUGUUUAAUGUUAAUUAACGAAAUAAUUAGAAUAUCAUGACACAUUUGUAACUAAUCUAGUAAUAUAUAGACCAUUAGUUUGCUCGAUUUAUGAAAUAAAAAAUGUCUGUUUGAUUUUAAGUUUAAGCUUGGACGUAGCAUGUCUUACAUUUUAAUAUUAGAUAAUACAGAUUGGUUAUUUGUUAUGCAUAUAUAGAAAAAAUGUAACAUUUGUUAUGUGUUUGCUAAUAUAGAAAUAAUAAAGUUUGUCUCGUAUAGAUUGUGUGUGUUUUUUAAUUUUUAGUUAGAAAUUCGUUUUUGAUUAGUGGGAUAUAUGGAUAUAUGAGACUAAUGGCAAAUUCUGUAAAUAGUCUAAUAAACUUUGGGUAAUUAUCUAAAUAGAAGUCAAAUCAUUGUAUGAACGACACAUCAACGUGACAAUCUUGUUAAUAACACAUGAUUGUAAGGUGUUUUUUAAAAAAUGUUUCUCUAUUAAUAUAUAGGAGAUUACUUUUAAUUGUAACCAAUAGGAAGAGGAGAGAAGUGAAACUAAAAUUAUUAAACAAACAAACAAAUAAUUAAAUAAUAUAAAAAUUAGUUUUUGUUAAUUUAUGUGCAAAACCCAAAACAUCAAAUUUAAGGAAACAGAGGGAGUAUGAGAUUGUAUUUUAAAAUAAAAAUAUAAUUUGAGUAAAACGGAAAAAAAGAAAAGGAACGAUUUUAGGAGAAAAUGCAAUAUGGAGGUCGAAAUAAAACAGGCAAACAAAAAGAAAAAUUUAAUACGUUAAUUAUUGCUUAUUCCUCUUUAAUUUUUUUUUUUCCUUUUUAAACUUUUUUUUUUUGUCCAACCUGACAUGAUAUCCUUCUCAAACUUAACUACCUUAUCACUGAUAAUUAAAUUUGAAGGCCAUGAAUUUGAGACUUUCCUUCUCGGCUUAGUCUGGUUCUCUUGAAUAUAUGUUGAUUGACUUGUAUACUCUUCUAAUAGUUGCUCAUAUUCCAUGUGCUCUCUUCUUUGAUUUAGAUGGUCUAUAAGAUCGAACAAUUAAAAUUAAGAUAUGUUCAUGUAUCAAAGAAGUGUGGAGUCUAAUGAAAGUGCUAUUGAAUGUCACUAGGUAUAAAAUUCUGUUAAAGAAAAAAUCAAGACGAUAUAUAAUAUUUUGCAAACAAAACUAACCAAUUAAAAUAAUAAUAAUAAAUUUUAAUUUUGUCUCAACGAUUUAAUUUUUCUCGUGUGGUUUAAACACUUUUUGAAUCUUUAGCUCUAUCUGGUAUUUUCUGUAAAUCUUUAACACCAACUGGUUUUUUGUUUUCGUUUGCGUUUUGGUAAACAACAGGAUCACCAAAACAGAUCACUGUCCAGACGAUUCCAAAAUAACACCAACAAAUGGACCAAUCUCACAAUAAUAGACCGCCGUUGAUCGGACCGAAAAUUAGUUUUUUCCACAAAUGUUGGUCACAAUUGGCGUUGUAUACAUGUCACGUAACACAUCAACAAAAAUCAGGCCAUGAAUGUUUGCAAGUUUUUAAUGGUUUUUGGAUUAUAGUUUUUGUUUAUGUAUUUUGAGUUUUGGUUUAAGGUUUUUAGAUAUUGUAUUAGAAGAAAAAUUAAAAAAAUAAAAAAUGAAUAGAAAAAGUUAAAUCACGUUAAAAAUGAGAAACUCGCAAAACAUAGACUUUAAAUUUUCUUUGAAAAUUGAUUUUUUUUAUCAAAAUAUAGAUUCUCUAUUUUUUUAGGAAAUCCAUUUUUCAUAAUCUUGAUUGGCUAUAAAGUAAAUUUUUGUAAAAACUAAAAUCAAAAACAAAUUUAAAAUCUACAACCAUUCAAGACCUCAAUAAUGCGGCAGCAAUUUCGUUAAUGUAUUAAGCAAUACAAAUUAAAUUUCAACGAACGAAGAAAACUUAUAAUAUGUAUGAUUAUUUGCUUAUAAUAUCAUUUUUUAUAUAAAUUUUCUUAGUGUACAAAAAAUGAUUGAACAUGAAUUAACCAAUUCUAAAUUUAUUCAUUUAAUAUUUUUCUUAACAAGAAAAAACCUUCUUUAUUCUUUUCUAAUUUUUUUUCUUUACAAUCAUCAAGUGAAAAUUGAGAAUUGCCGUAAAAACUAAGAAUUAUAACAAAAAAUUGAAAGGAAAAUCUAAGAAUUCAGUCGUAAUACUUUAUCCAUUUUUUCGUUUCAGAAUUUAUGGAAAUUUUUUGCUACUAAUUGUUCUUUGUCAUAACUAUCAAUAUAUAUAUUUAUAUAUGUCCAUAUAUUCAUUAGCGAAUAUAUCCAUUUGAGAGAUAUUUCAUUAGCUAAUAUUUUCCCUAGUUGAUAUGAUACACCUAGAAAUUAGGUAAGGUCUUAAUUAUUUAUUCAAAAACUGUAGAUAAAUUUGUGCUGCUAUUUCUACUAAAAAUAUUAAAGAAGAAGUUGACAAAAGAAAAAGAAAAAAUUAAAGAAGAAAAAAAGAAAAAGAAAAAAGAAAAUAAAUUAAUUGAUCCACUGUCAAACCAAAAAAAUUGAAAACCCUAUAUUGGUUGAAUGGGAAAAUCGAUGGUCAGAUUCGCAGAAUUCGCCAUUAGACUCUCUUCCGAGAAUCCAACCAGACCCCACAGACCUUCUCCUCCUCUACGGAACAAAGUCUUCGUCAAGAAGACGACAGACACGACACACCUCGAUUACUCCAAUCUUGUUAAGCUGGAGAAGGCGGGAUCGCACUCGGGUUCCAAUCCCGCUCCGGCUUCGGGUUCGGAUCCAAUUAAUCGGGUUCCCCUUGCUCAGGUCGUCGAGGAUUGCGUCAGACGUUGGUUCCAGGAUACGCUCAAGGAAGCCAAAUCUGGUGACGUUGGUAUGCAGGUUUUGGUUGGUCAGAUGUAUUGCAGCGGCUAUGGAAUCCCCAAAGAUGAGAACAAGGUUCGCUUUUUCAUGAAUUUUCUGAUUCAGUUUUGCUCUCAUUUUUCUGGGUUUAGUUUGUUUUCUUAAUGUUCUUCUCGAAUUCAUAUAAAGGUUUGGUUUUUCGUCUCUGUAUCUACAUUGUAUGCCUCUGAUUAGGUUUUGUUGUGAUUGGUCUACUAGAGUUUGAAUUAGGGUUCUUAAAAUGUAUGUGGUUAGCUCUGAUGUAUGUGGUUAGCUCUGAUUUGAAGAUGUAAUGGUGAUUCUGAUUUAGAAUUCUGUUUGUGUGUGGUUUUGAUUUGUAAAGGGUCGUGCUUGGAUUAACAAAGCUUCAAGAACUAGAUCAUCAGCUUGGCAAGUGAGUGAUAAGCCUCCAGGUAAUAAUAUAUGAUAGACUUGUUUUUUUGCAUCUUUUAUUGAAUUAGUGAAAUGUUUUGUGUUUUAUUUAGGGUUCUUGUUCUUCUAAUUCCAGGUUAUAAUGCAAGCGAUUCAGAUUCCAAUGAUAAGAAAGAUUGAUGAUCAUCUUUCGAAUGUUUGUAUUGCCAGUGACUUUGAUUUGUUAGUUUCUAUCUCCUUUGUUUAAUUCUACUUGAUGUAUUCAAAUUUGAAGCUUUUGUAUCAUCCCAAUGGUCAAAAAGUGGCCCUCAAGCUUUUUAUUACCACGCAGUGAAGUAAUUUAACUGUGAGUCUGUUGUAGCUGAAUCAUUGCAUUACCAAUAGAUUUUGCCACGCUUUCUCUGGUUCUUUGUCCCCAGAAGUAGAAUCAAACAGUUUGCAAAGAAUGAAUCUGGAAUCUAGAAUGUCACUUGACAAUUUUUCUCCGAGGAAUCUACAUUCUAGUUCUAAAGAUCAUGUGCAAUUAAUUUAUAAGUUUGGAUGGAGUGAAAAAGGUAAAAGUUAAACUGAGACAAAUGUUUGCAUCUCUCUAAUGAUGGAUUCUGUUCAUUGAUAUCACCAACAAUAAUAAGUCCCUGAGUUUCACCAUGAUGUUGGUUUUUCUAACAUUACAUUGGAGUUGCUUGGUUCACCAUCUUUCGAAAACUGUUACCAUUAAGUUCUAAAUUCUAAUCCGAUUCAAAAUUCACAAAAACUUGAAUCCUACCUAAACAAAUACUAGCGAAUAUCCGACCCGAACUAUAUGAUCUUCAUGAUAAUAUAAUUGUUUUCUUAAAAUUGUAGUGUGAAAAGGUUGAAAAAGUGAAUAUAUCAAAAGAACGGUUGUAGAAAAUGAAGGAAAAGAAAAUUACUUUGGUCCUAUUAUCAAACGCGGCUAACUUAGUGGAGGCCAGUGAGGUUUUCUAUUCACAAAAGUUUCCUUGACGCAAAGAAUCCCAUUCGUCAUCUUCUUCUUCUUCUCUUUUUGUCAUUUUAUAAUAUUAAAUCAUGUAUUUAUAUGUUGCUGCUACUUCUAGUUUCUCUACACAACUAGACCUUGUUUACACACAUAUACUCUGUUUUCCUCUGUUUCUCUACACGAAGAAGAAGUCUUUUUAUUCCACAAAAGUUUCUGUGAUGGCUAAUGUAAGUAAGAUCUUGUACAUGGUUUGCUUUAAUUUCAUCUACCAUGUUCUAACUGCACCGUUAUCAAGAAAAUAAACAACAAAAAGAGAGAUCGUUGCAACUAGAGUGUUCUUGCAAAUUAUGCUUGAUGCAAUGUCUAUGUUUAUUGGAUAUCUGUGUUUGACUGUUUAUGAAUUAACAAUUAACCAAAAUGACAAAAUAUUCUCUAUUGUCAGGUUGUGGAGCUGAAAGUGAAUUUGCAUUGCGACGAAUGCAUCAGGAAAAUACUCAAAGCCAUCAAGAAAAUUGAAGGUAACAAUUGUGUAAUUUUUCUCCUCAAAGCAAAUAUACCAUUUGUAAGAUAUUUAUGGUUUAUUUACAGGCUAUUAUGGUUCGUACUAUCUCUAAAUAAUUAUAUUUGAUGAAAAUUACAGAUAUAGAGACAUACGAUGUGGACACACAGCUGAACAAAGUAACAGUCACAGGGAAUGUAACAGAGGAACAAGUGAUUAGGGUUCUUCAAAAGGUGAGGAAAGCUGCUGUUAAAUGGGAUCAAGACAAUCAAACCCUCUUUGCCAACUAGAGUCUUUUUGCUUUCCUCAGAUUUAGCAAUAGUUAGGUCUAUAUGUAUGCUCAAUUGAUCUUAAGCAUCUGCUGUAGAAUUCAUGAGGAUUUCGUAUACACAGACAAUAAAAUGCGAUUUAGACUAAAUCUUCCUUCAGCAUUUGAUUUUCUAAUAUAGAGAUCAAACCUUCGGGGGUGAUGUUCAUGAAUUCAAAUACAAAUUUAUUCAACAAAAAAUGAAAGGAAGCAACUUUUCCGCUUCUAUGAGUGUACAAUUACAAAUUGUCAAUUGACCACAUUUUGGAGAAUGAAAAGUGAAGAAAGAAUUGGAUUCUUGUAAAAUCAGGAUAUUUCCAUGCUUUAGAACCUGUGCUCCAGCUUCUCUUGUUCUUUGAAGUACUGAGCAUACCUGCGUUCAUUUGCAAGAAACAAGAUUCAGAUAUGAGUCUUUGAAACAAUAACAACAAUUAAGACUUGAUAGUGACAAAAUGAGUGUCAAAGUACAAUAUGGCACAUGACAGGAAAUUUAUUUCUCAAUCAAGAUCUAAAGUUUCCUAAAUAAUUGCUAUGAGAGCGAAUGAGCGAUGAUAAUCAAAGAUAGGGAAGCUGAACAUAAUUUAACUCCUUGAGCAUAUAUUUGAAUUCCAUGAAUUACAUAAACUGUUUCAAGUAAAAGAGCAUCAUCAAGCUAAUAUACUGACUAUCUUUCUAUCAUCAUCAUCAUGAAUUCACUAUCUCUAUUUGGGGGGAGGUAUACGUGGUUCAGAUAAUCAAAUCUUAUAAUGUUGUCAAGCUAGCUAGCUACUUCUUUUGUCUUGACACUUGUAUCCUUUAGUAUUGGUUCAGCAGAAACAGUACUAAGCAUCGAAAUCGACACCAAUCUAUGAGAAUUUGUCACAAAACAAUAACCCUAAAACCAUUUUUGCUGUCAUGUCCAAUAAAACCACAACCUAACUAAAUCUACACAUAUCGCAUCAGUCACAAUCAUCAGAUCGAAUUCCACACGAUUGAUCCAUCAAAUAUGUUCGCUAAUUGACUAGACCGAGAGAGAGAAAGAGAGAAACGUACGAGUAGGUUCCGACGACGGGAGCGACGAGGAGAAUAGUGCUGAUCCAAUUCUCUGAGACCUUGUGGUGGAUCUUCUCCGGAAGAUCCUUCCAUAGACCCGUCAUGAUCUUCUGCUGAAACGGCGAUAACGCGUAAACCACCGCCUUCAAUUUCACCGGCUGCUUUCCCAUUUUCGUCGACCAAUUCUCCGAUUCCGACAAUUGCAACAAGGAGACUUUUCAAGCCGGCUAAUAUGCAUCUUCUCUGCCAACAAAACGCUGCCGUUUAAUUAUAAAGGCUUUUAAUUUCAAACCCACGUAAGCCCAAUGGACAGUAAAUGGGCCUUUUCUCUAUAAAUUUGCAAUAAUCCACGUGGACGGUGGAGAUGCUGCGAUGCAGAGAGCGGUCUAUGGUGAAGCUGUUUACAUGAGAUCAUGACGUUAACACGGGAAACAGAUUGCGUCAGAAGAAAUCAAUUCAUCCGCAAAUAAAUAAUACGUCUUUAAUCCACGCGCCUCCUUCGUAUCCCCACGCGCAGUCGUGUGUGAUGGCUAAUCCUCCAACGUUACCGAUCUCAGACCAUUCCGGUGGUGGUUCUCAAUCUCAGCAAACCGUAUCCACACCGGCGUUUCGCACGUUCCUCUCUCGCCUCUCAUCGUCGAUCCGUCAAAGCCUAUCGCAGCGGCGUCCAUGGUUAGAACUCGUAGAUCGGAGCGCAAUUUCACGGCCAGAAUCUCUCACCGAUGCGUAUUCUCGGAUCCGGAGGAAUCUCCCUUACUUCAAGGUAAACUACGUGACGAUCGUCUCCUUGGUGCUCGCGCUCUCGCUUCUCUCCCAUCCAUUCUCUCUUCUCGUUCUCCUAUGCCUCUUCGGCGCUUGGAUCUUCCUCUACCUUUUCCGUCCGUCAGAUCAACCUCUGGUCAUUCUCGGCCGUACGUUCUCAGAUCGUGAGACGCUUGGAGUUUUGGUGAUUUUGACAAUCGUCGUCGUCUUCUUGACCAGCGUUGGAUCUUUAUUGACCUCUGCUUUGAUGAUUGGUUUCGGAAUCGUAUGCUUACACGGCGCAUUUAGAGUUCCGGAGGAUCUUUUCUUGGAUGAUCAAGAACCUGCCAACACCGGAUUAUUGUCUUUCCUUAGCGGAGCCGCCACCUCCGCCGCAGUAGCCGCCGCAUCAACUCCUGCGUCAGGCCGUGUCUAAGUUUAAGGACUCUUCUCUGUAGACAACAAACUCAAUUUCUACGAUUCUUUAUAGUUUUUUCUAAACAUUGCAUAUGUGAUUAUGUGAGGGAAAUUGUAGAAUUUGAUCUUCUUGGUUUUGACCUCCAUUGAUUCAAACAUGUAAUUGAUUCAACAAUUGAUCAUAGGCACAUUACUCUCGAUUUGGAUUUCUAUGGCGUUAGGUGUGGUGUGACAAAGAUUAUUGAAUGGUUGAUUGAUUACUACUCGUAUUAUUAAGCUUUGAGACUAACUGUGUUAUCCGAACAUCAUUAGUGUGGUUAGAUGUUGGUGAUUCCACUCUGAGUUUCAUUUUCAAUUCAAUUGACUCUGAAUUUAAAAUUCAGCCCAGUGUCUAUCUCAAAUUGGUUUGGCAAACGAAAUGAAACAAACUGAUUGUUUAUUCGGGAAAUGUUUGUAAAUUACGGAUCCAUCUUCAACAGAAUGUUUCUGCACUGAGAUACAUUUGUUUCUGACGUGUAGAUACUUUUGAUUUUGGUUAUGAAAAAUGACAAGUGGGAUAAUAUCGAGACAAAGGAGAAACGUAACAAAGAAGUUUAUCGUGAAUGUUUGUUAAAAUGCAUGAUGAAAGAUUUGAAUAUUACUUCUAGAGAAAAAGGUGAUUUUGUUAUUGGCAGUUAGUUUAUUGUUUGAACGUUACACUCUAGUACAGUGCAUAUGCUAUGUUGGUUAAGAUUUUUUUGCUAAGCUAUGUUGGUUAAGAUAAAAACAAACAACAGCAACAACAAAAAAAAAUCAUUAGACCAAUAUGACCCAUUUCAUCCGUGUAUUUGAAUAUGGCAUUUGAGUUAACAGUUCCACUUUGACUUUAGGUUUUGCAUCUAGAUGUUGUUUGUAUUCCAAAUUCAUCUUUAGAGUUUGAGAUAGGCCUGGGCAUUUUCUCCGAAACCCGAAAACCCGACCCGACCCGACCCGACCCGAAAAAAGAGGUUCGGGUACGGUUUCGGUUAGACUCUAUAAACCGAACGGAUAAUAUGAUUGAUUUGCAACGGGUUCGGUUUCGGUUCGGGUGUAAACCGAAACCCGAUCGGUUAACCGGCCAUUUAUUGUAUACAUAUAUAUAUAUAUAUAUGUGUAGUUAAGAGAAGUAAUCAUAUAUUCAUAAACCCAAAAAUAUCGAGACUUGAGAGCACAUAUCUCCUGUUUCCGAUAUUCUCUCCGAUUUUCUAGAUUGCUUUUGCCGUUUCCACUUCUCCACUCCAUUGAUUCGUUUCUCUUCUUAAAGCCUAUAUAAACCCCAAAUUGGCAAACUGGAAACCCUAAAUCCCCUAAACGAUUCACGAGAAAGAGCUGCUAAACCUACUCUAUCAGCUUCUUCGACAAAUCAAUCGUCGGUUUGUGUUUCUCCUUUCUCGUAUUCUCUUAUUCAAACUUUGUAAUUCUAUCAUUUCUGUGUUUAAUUUAUUUUGUAUUUCAGUUUCUUAUGCAUCUUAGAUUGAUAGAGCUUUGUAAUUAUGUCAUUUAUGGGUUUCAGUUUCUUAUGUUUAACAAUAGGUUUGUGAAUUGUGACUUUGUGUGAAUGUGAAGUUGUGUAAUUGUGAAGUAUGUAGCCGUAGGAAUCUGUAGUAUGUAGCCGUAGGAAUGUAGCUCUAGGAAUGUAGCUCUAGGAAUCUGUAGUAUGUAGCCGUAGGAAUCUGUUCCAUUUUCUCGAUUAUGUUGCUCACUUAUCAAUCUAUCUUCUCUGUUCUCUAAUUGAGACAACGUAGAUGCAUCAUUUUUAUUGAGAAUUUGAGAUUUUCGUUUUGUUUAGUGUCAUUAGUCUCAUUUGAAAUUGUUUAACUUUUUGAUUUUUGAGACUGAGCUUGAAUUUAACUUUUACUUGUGAUAUUCUUUGAUUGUUGCAUUGCAGAUGGGUUCUUCUUCACCUCCUCAACGACAACAAGAUGAAUAUCAGAAUCAGAAUGAUGAUGAAUCAGAGAGAAGUGAAGAUGAUGUGGUGACUUGGUGAAAAUGUCUUAUGUUCUUGUUUUGUAUUAAGUUGUUAUCUUAUUCUUUAACAUGCUUUUUAUCUCUACAGAUCCUUCGACAUUGGGAUUUUGUAGCUUCUGGAUGAAGACUCAUUAAGCUUGUAUGGAAGUGAAGUGAUUCUGGAUUGAUUUUCUUUCUCUCUCUCUAAACUCUUAGCUCUUAUGCUCUCUCCCUCUUUGGUACUUUGCAUUCUGGUUUUUGAAUGUUGGAAUUGUUUCUAGGUUGUUUUUCUUUUUUACUCUAAACUCCUUAUUCUCUCUUUGUUUGGAUUUGAAUUCUGGUUGUUCUAAUACUCUUAUGCUAUGCAUUUCUUCUUUAGUUUUGAAUUGAUUUUUGAAUUCUAUUUCUGUUAUUUGUUCUUAAAUGUUCGGGUAUUUCGGGUUUUGUAUGGUUUACUCGGGUUAGUCUGGUUUAAAAACCGACCCGAAUUGUGUUUCGGUUCUACAUUGGGUUCUAUAUCAAAAUUGAAAACCGACCCAAAAUCGAUUGAACCCGAACCGAAACCGAUCCGAAAACCAGUCGGUUCCUAAACAUCCUAACCCGAAUUACCCGAAAACCGAAUUACCCGACCCGAACCGACCCGAAAACCCGAAUGCCCAACCUUAGUUUGAGAUAUGAAUCUUGAUUUUGAUUUAUAUAUUAAAAAUGAAUGGAUUUAGACCUACAUAUAUUAUUAUGCAAUAGUUAAUUUUCUUGUAAAUAAUUAAUGUUGUGAAGUUAUUGAGAGAUUCGUCUAAUGCAAAUAUAAAACUCUUUAUCCCAUUUUUUUGAGUUUGGAUAACCAAUGGAAGAUAUAACAAAUUAAAAUGAUUAAUCUGGUUAAACACAAUUAAAUGAGUGAUAUACAUGUGAGUCACAAUGAUUUUCCCGCCAAAAACGUAAAUCUGUUAUUUUCCCGCCAAAAACAUAAAUUCGUGAUUUUCCAGCCAAAAACGUAAAUCAGUGAUUAUUAUUAUUUUCUUUUUAUUGUUAAUUUAUUUUAAUUAUUAAUUUAUUUAUUACAUUAAUAGGUCAACCCAUUUAACCAUCUAACCCAUCAAAUUAAAUGAGUUCAUGGGUUGGCUCAACUCAUUUGAGUUGAGUCAACCCAUGAACUCAUUUAACUUCAAACUCAUUGUGUAAUGAGUUGAGUUGGGUUGGAUUAACCAUUUUGACACCCCUACAUGUGACCUUGGUAUUAUUUUUUUUUUGUUUGUUAAAGAGUAACCCUUGGUAUUAAAUUGCCAAAAUAUUUUUACAGAUGAUGAUUAAUGAUCUUUGUAUUUGAUAAGACAGAGAAACUUGGGAUUUAAGGAAGAAGCUUGAGACACAAGCACUAGAAUGUAGACGUGAUAUGACAUGACUUGAGUUCAAUUCAACUAAACUUUGUUGAAAUUAUGCUAAGUGUUCGGUGCAACUACUUACCUCAACUAAGUCUUUGCUCCCUUUCAAUGUCUCAAGUUCUUCUCAAUUUUGGAUGCGCAAAAAGAACUAGUUAGAUUUUUCAAGUUUAUAACUUAUGGCGUGGAAUAUCAAGAAACAUGAUUACGCAAUAUAAAAAGUAGUCAUAAAACUAAUUAUGUUUUCAUGGGUUAAUAUUUUUUAAAAUAUCAACUGUUGUUAAUAACUAAAACAAACUUUAAAGGGAUACUAGAUAUUAUCAUUUGGAGGUUAGGUGUUUAAUCUAAUUUCUAAAUCUACGUCAUAUUUUUGAAAAUGCAUGGUAUCAUGCUCCGAUGUCCAAUAACAUUUUUAACAUAUAUUUUCUGCCAACAUUUUUGAGGUUGAUCAACUCUUAAAAUAGAAGAAAACUAAACCAUGGUUUUCCAUUUGAAGUGUGAAAGGAAGCAAGAAAACAUAUCCAACGAACUGAUAAAGACACUUAAAUAUAUUGGUGACCGGUAAUUUAAAUUUUCUUUUGAAUAAUCAGCACCUAAUUCUUCCAACCCUAAAUAAUUUAGUAAAAAAAUUAACUUCCAUUUAAUUUAACUAUAAAAGGGAUCUUUCCCUCUUCAUUAUUCUCUCAAACCCUUCUCUCAUAUCUAAUCACCUUAUAAACCUUAAUCUCAAAAAUUUCAUAAGCUCAAAGCUUAAACACAUUUGAUGACGACUGUCCACACAUUCUCUAUUUUAUUGUUCCUUUGUUCCCUUUUCUCGGCUUCAUUGAUUAUCGCCAAAGUCCAACACCAUGAUUUUGUCGUAUGUUGCAUGUUCAUAUUGGUUAAAACUUAAUUAAAUUCAUUAACAACUAAUUGUCAUUACUUAUAAUUGUGUGUGUGCAAUCAUUUAGAUACAAGAGACGCCGGUGAAGAGGCUGUGCAAGACCCGUAACGCCAUCACCGUCAACGGAAUGUUUCCGGGGCCUACGCUCGAAGUCAACAACGGCGAUACUCUUGAAGUCAAAGUGCAUAACCGUGCUCGUUACAAUAUCACCAUCCAUUGGUACAUUUUAAAUACAUCAAUUUACUUUUUAAAACCUUUUAGAGAAAAUACCAUUAUGUUACUUUUUUCCAAAAAUAAUUGAACCUUUAACCAACUCAAAAAUACCACACAAAAAAAGUGAAUAAGCUUCUUCACACUAUAGUUUUUUUUUUUUUGGGUCACGGUAUAUCACAUAAUUAAGUUUUUUCGUAUAUGAUAAAAAUUGAAAAACAGGCAUGGGGUGAGGCAGAUAAGAACUGGAUGGGCUGAUGGGCCUGAAUUCGUAACCCAAUGCCCGAUCCGACCCGGAAAGAGCUACACGUACCGUUUCACUAUCCAAGGCCAAGAAGGGACAUUAUGGUGGCACGCUCACAGCUCCUGGCUACGAGCCACUGUCUACGGCGCACUCAUCAUCCACCCAACCCCUGGUUCCUCUUUUCCUUUCCCUAAACCAGACCGCCAAACCGCACUCAUGCUCGGUAUACACCAUACCAUACCGGAUUCUUUUCCUUAUUUGAUUAACAAAUUUGUUGAAAUCUCUAAAUCUAAAUUAACAAACAAAAACUCAAAAAUCAGGGGAAUGGUGGAAUGCAAAUCCGGUUGAUAUCAUUAACCAAGCUACUCGAACCGGAGCUGCUCCGAAUAUAUCCGACGCUUAUACCAUCAAUGGCCAACCCGGUGAUCUCUAUAAAUGCUCAACCAAAGGUAAACCAAAAAAAAAAAAAACUAUACAGUAGUAUAACAUAAUUUAAGUGUCUGAAUAUUAAAGUAUCUGAAAUAAUUUGUAAAAUGCAGAGACUGUUGUAGUACCGAUAAAUUCAGGGGAAACAAAUCUCGUACGAGUGAUCAACGCAGCUUUAAACCAACCGCUAUUUUUCACGGUGGCUAACCACAAGCUCACUGUGGUUGGAGCCGACGCGUCUUACCUCAAACCAUUCGCCACAAAGGUCCUUAUGUUAGGUCCAGGCCAAACUACUGACGUACUUCUAACCGCCGACCAACCGCCAAAACGCUAUUACAUAGCAGCAAGAGCUUAUCAAAGCGCCCAAAACGCACCGUUCGAUAACACCACAACUACUGCCAUCCUCCAAUACAAGAAAACGAGGGCCACUUCUAAACCAAUCGUGCCGGUUUUGCCUGCCUUCAACGACACCAACACCGUGACGUCUUUCUCAAGGAAGUUCAAAUCUCUCCGAAACGUCGUCGUACCGAAAACAAUCGACGAUAAUUUGUUCUUCACUAUCGGUUUAGGUCUCGAUAAUUGUCCCAAGAAUUUCCCUAAAAACCGGUGCCAAGGCUUAAACGGAACCCGGUUUACUGCAUCGAUGAACAACGUUUCGUUUGUUCUACCGUCGAAUUUCUCGCUCUUGCAAGCACAUUCCAACGGCAUUCCCGGCGUUUUCACAACGGAUUUUCCGUCUAAACCGCCGGUUAAAUUCGAUUAUACCGGAAAUAACAUAAGCCGGGCUUUGUUUCAGCCGGUUAAGGGUACUAAACUGUACAAACUCAAGUAUGGAUCUCGAGUUCAGGUUGUUUUACAGGAUACGAACAUUGUUACGUCGGAGAAUCACCCGAUUCAUCUUCAUGGUCACGAUUUCUACAUUGUUGGUGAAGGGUUUGGUAACUUUAAUCCCAAGAAAGAUACUUCUAAGUUUAAUCUUGUUAAUCCUCCACUUAGAAACACUGUGGCUGUUCCUGUUAAUGGAUGGGCUGUUAUAAGAUUCGUGGCAGAUAAUCCAGGUAAUGCAAAAGUUUAUAUAUCUUUAGUAAUAGUUACAUUUGAUUUGAUUUGGGAAAAUAAUAUAAUGUUGGUUUGAAACAGGGGUUUGGUUGAUGCAUUGUCACUUAGAUGUUCAUAUAAAGUGGGGUUUGGCUAUGGCGUUCUUGGUCGACAAUGGUGUCGGAGAAUUGGAGACUCUUGAAGCUCCUCCUCACGAUCUACCUAUUUGCUAGUUUCAAUAUAAAAGAGGCACUUCUAAUAGAAGAAUAUUCAGAUUUUGGUAUUGUACUGGAUUAAAUCUAUUCAUGGAAGAUAAAUGUCCUUGUCAGUUUGCGUAGAUAAAUUGUUGUAUGUGUUCAAUGUCAAUCAUAGACUAUAUAGUAUAUUGUUUCUGUCUUCUCAAUUGUUGGAGCUAUGAGAAAAUUGAUAUUGAGCACAAUGUUGUUAUUUGCCAAACAAACAAAAAAGAGAGAGAGAAUUUUUUCAGCUUAAUGGGCUUUUUCAUUCAUCUGUAACGAAAGAAUGGGCUUUAAAAGUUAUCAAAAGAUUUUAAGGGCCAUGGGGUAGGAGUACGUAGGCAAUUGCGUGAGCUUACGUUAGCGAUGGCGUUAGAGACACGUAGUGGAUGAAGUGGCCAUGGUUUGCAAAGGACACAUGAGGCACAUGCAAAGGCUUAUGACUGCUACUUUGCUUACAACUUGCAAUUCCCAAUAUUAUUAUAUGGUAAUGAACCCUGUUACUCUGCUCGAAGCUAAGCCACCCAAGUUUGAGCUUCACCAUUUGACACGUCUCUACCUAGUUAAACUAAUAUUUAAUGUUCUAGUCAUUUCUGGCUGACAUUUUCUCGAAUUCGUAUUUAUGAAUUCGUUCUAGGCUGGAAUGCAUUAAUUUUACAAUGUUAACCAUAAUCUUCUUUUAAUAUCUGUAAUCAAUAAUAAAAAUCGCAUUUAGAAAGUUUUGUAUAGGGGAAAUAAUGAGCAUAUUUGUAAAAACUUGAAAAGACAAGCAAUAAUAAACAGCUGAAGAUUCGUACUACAUCAUCCAAUUACACAUCUAGUGACUAGUAGUAGUAAAAAUGUCAUGUUAAUUUUGAUUAAUUACCACAUAUAAUGUGAUAAAUAAAGCCUUUAAAAGUGGCAAUAAAACCAAGAAAAAUCGAGAAAGAGCAUGAGACAAUUUUGUGUUGUCAGAGUUAAUAAACAAAAUGAAGAUAUUUUAAAUUUGUUAAUAUUAAAAUAAUGAAGUAGUUCCUGAUCUUAUCCAUAAAUCAAUUAAAAAAGGUUUAAAUUUUACUUUUCCGUAUAAACAGCGUGUUUCGAGAAGAUUCGGGACACUCGGCGAUUGGGAAAGAAGUCUUAGCCCUGAUAUUCGAAUCAAAAACUGACACGUCACAUUGAUCACAAACAGAAUAAUAAAAUAAUAUUAGAAAUAUCUAGAGAAGGUUAUAAAUAUUCCUCGAUACUUGUCCUCCUUAGAUAUUUUGAGUUCUGCUAAAGCUGUCUGAUAAAAAGAGUAAGGGAGAAGAAACCAACCACUAGAGAAAAACUCGAAAAAGCUACACACAAGAAGAAGAAAAGAUACGCGGAAGAACACUAAACACGAAAGCGAUUUAUCUACUCGAAGGAAGAGACUUUGGUUUUCAGGUUUCGUCUCCUAUAGGUACGCUGAUUUCUGACUUCUUACAAAUUUAUGAUCAAUUUCUCUGAUUUGGUCUCGAAAAGGGCUUCAUUUAUUGUUAAUUGGUGAUUCUUGGCUUAUUCUUCGUCUUUAGAUUUUCGAUUAUGCCUUUUAGGUGUUCUUAAUUUAAGUUCAAGGAGUUUUAAAUACGUCUGAUUUUGUACCAAUAUAAGUUCUUUUGUCUUAUGUUUCAACUAGUGUUCUGAUAUUGAAGUGUUGUUGUUGUAUUGUAGAUUUUGUUGUUUCUGGGAAGGAGAUGGCAGUUUAUGAUCAGAGUGGAGAUAUAAACAGAACCCAACUUGAUACAUCGAGGAAAAGGAAAUCUAGAAGUAGAGCUGAUGGUACCACUGUGGCUGAGAGGUUGAAGAGAUGGAAAGAGUACAAUGAGAAUGUUGAAGAAAUUUCUACCAAGAAAAGGAAAGUACCUGCCAAAGGGUCCAAGAAGGGUUGUAUGAAAGGUAAAGGAGGACCAGAGAACGGUCGAUGUAGUUUCCGAGGAGUUAGGCAGAGGAUUUGGGGUAAAUGGGUUGCUGAGAUCAGAGAGCCGAAUCGAGGUAGUAGGCUUUGGCUUGGUACUUUCCCUACUGCUGAAGAAGCUGCUUCUGCUUAUGAUGAGGCGGCUAAAGCUAUGUAUGGUCCUUUGGCUCGUCUUAAUUUCCCUCGGUCUGAUGGCUCUGAGGUUACGAGUACGUCGAGUCAGUCUGAGGUGUGUACGGUUGAGACUCCUGGUUGUGUUCAUGUGAAAACAGAGGAUGCAGAUUGUGAAUCUAAACCCAUGUUCUGUGAAGCUAAGCCGAUGUAUCGUCUGGAGAAUGGUGCAGAAGAGAUGAAGAGGGCUGUUAAGGCGGAUAAGGAUUGGCUGAGUGAGUUUGAACAUAAUUAUUGGAGGGAUGUUCUGAAAGAGAAAGAGAAACAGAAGGAGCAAGAGAUUGUAGAAACCUGUCAGCAACAGGAACAGCAGGAUUCGCUAUCUGUUACUGACUAUGGUUGGCCCAAUGAUCUGGAUCAGAGUCACUUGGAUUCUUCAGAUAUGUUUGAUGUCGAUGAGCUACUACGUGACAUAAAUGGCGACGACGUGUUUACAGGCUUAAAUCAGGACCAGUACCCGGGGAACAAUGUUACCAACGGUUCAUACAGGCUUGAGAGUCAACAAGGCGGAUUUGAUCCGCUGCAAAGCCUCAACUACGGUUACGGAUUACCUCCGUUUCAGUUCGAGGCAAAGGAUGGUAAUGGAGUUUUCGAUGACUUGAGUUACUUGGAUCUGGAGAACUAAACUAGACAAUAUGAAGCUUUUCGGAUUUGUUAUUUGCCUUAAUCCCACAAUGACUGUUGAUUCUCUAUUUCUGAGUUUUAGUGAUAUAGAGAACUUCAGAACACUUUUUUUUUUUUUGUUAUAAAGGUGAAGUGUAUAUAUAUAUCGAAACAGCAAUAUGACAAUAGAGAAGACAACUAUAGUUUGUUAGUCUGCUUCUCUUAAGUUGUUGUUCUUUAGUUUUUCUUAUGUUUUGUAACAACAGGAAUGAAUAAAUAAUACACACUUGUGAAUCAUCUUUACGGGCCUUAAUGCGUCUCAAAUCGUAAGAGGAUAAUCCCAAGCCAACGAUGAUCUCUCACAAUCUUCUCAUUUCUCACGUUGAGACAGUAUUAAUUUUAUUUAGAGCAUUACCAAAAAGUAUCUUGCUGAUAUUUUGAGUUUUGAGAAUAUUGUUAGAAAAAAGAAUAUUGCCUCAAAUUUGUAAGAGACAGAAAGAAACAGAGUAGAGCCAUAUUGGUCAGUGAAGUUUGUUGUAGUUAUUAACUGCAAGAGAAGUUUCUCGGAUCAUUUAGAGUUGCAGUAAGAAACUUGGUUAAGGAUUGACAACUAAUAACUUAAAAAACCUCAUCAUGGAUUCAAUCCAGGCUCAGCUUUCUUGCCGUUGGGGUUUACUUAGGCAUAACUCUUCAACAAUGAGCCCAUCUAGGUCAGGCGUUUGCUUCUCAACACUAGUAGAAAUGGCUUUA